Molecule: long non-coding RNA, 259776 nt
Filed under: Olea europaea (common olive)
Lineage: Eukaryota; Viridiplantae; Streptophyta; Magnoliopsida; Lamiales; Oleaceae
Source: RNAcentral
UUAAACUGACAUAAAUAUUAAUUACAAUAUUACAUUUUUUUUCCUGUCAUUUUUCCCCUCAGAUGAAAGGUUGGAAACUAUCAAUACGUUUAUCUGCAUUUACCAAAAAUCACAUUCAGCAUAAUUUACCAAAAAUCACUGCUGAUUUUAUCGUGCAUCGGCUUCUGUAGGAGUGACAUUAUUCAAGGAACUAUUCCUCUUUUGUCUCUGCUGAGAAGAUCCCGUAAAUGCGGUUUGCUUCGGCUCAGGAAGCUCGACAAUUUCACUGCUAAGCAUUGAUAGAACGGCAGAAAUAUUUGGCCCAUCUUUGGGACGUUCUUGGACACACAAUAAGCCGAUGUGUAUGCAUCUCAUGAUCUCUGCACGGUAGCUUGGACUCAAUAUUCUUGCAUCUAUUAAAGCGACAACAUCGUCUUCGUUCCACAGCUUCCAUGCCUGAAAUUUUUAUGUGUGAGUCUUGACAAAGAAUCAUAUGGGGGUAUUUUAGACAUAAUACUGACAUAUAAAAGAAAAAAAAAUCUCAGUUAACAGAUGUUUGUGUAUGUGUGAAUGCUAGUUUUGUUUGGUGGAGUGGGGAGAACUGGAAGAUUAAAAAGGUAGUUGUGCAACAUCGACCAACCAAAAAGAUAUUACUUUGACUGCGGACAUGAGUAAUCCACAAUGAAUAGUAAUAAGAGCGUUGGUUAUUCACACGAGAUAUACAUUUGAGUUAAUGUAGUUCGGGAAUGCACAAAGAUUUAAAAAUUAAUCUGAAAAUCAUAAGCUUUUCAAUUGGAAUUUCGUUGAAGAUCAGCAUAACAACUUGUUCCAAAGACUUGUCAGCAAAAGAAAAAGACCAUGGAACUUCCAAUGUUAAAAUGUAUCAUCACACAUCCAUUACUGAAUUCAAGCUCACGUGUUCAUCGCAAGAUCUGAUCAUUGCUAAUGUGCAACUGAGGUGCUAUGCAAAUUAGUUAUAACUAUAUUUAUUCUUUGAUGCCUUGCACAUGUAAUCUAUUUUCCUUCAUUUCUUGCUCACCACUCCAAAGUGGCUAUAAAUAUUGUAUCAUACUCGGUGUAAUUCAUUCUGUGAGUGAAAAUACAAUUAUACCUAUUAUUCUCACUACUACUAUAUCAGUUUGUAAUUCAACAAUAUUCUCAAUUUCAACUUGGUAUUAGAGCCUGAAUGGCUAACACCGAAUCCAAUGACAAUACACAUUUAGCCCAACCAACCUCAAGCACAUUGAUGCCUUCAAUGUUGGGAGGAAAUCAAUUGCCUUCAUUUGGGAUAAGUCUCUCUCAAGUUCCGCCGGUGAAGCUUGACAGGAACAACUUUCUACCAUGGAAGAACAUGGUGAUGCCCAUCAUCAAGGGGCACAAUCUUAAGGGAUUCAUCGCAGGAACGAAAUCCUAUCCACUGGAAUUUUUGGCUACUCAAACUACAGGAACUGCUAGUAUCACUAUCGAAAUGACACCGAAUAAUGAGUAUGCAAAAUGGAUGUCUACUGAUCAACUAUUGAUGAGUUGGCUUUAUUCAUCAAUGACUGUUGAGAUUGCCAUGAAAGUAAUGGGAGCUACAAACUCUUGCAACCUCUGGAAUGUUGUCCAUGAAAGUUUUGGAGUAAUGAACAAGUCCAGAGUACCUGAACACAAUCAAACAAUUAGCAAAUAACUUUGAAAUUGCUGGAAAAGGCAUCCCUCACAAUGAUCUUGUUACACAAGUGCUGGCUGGACUAAAUGAAGAAUACACACCUAUAGUGGUUCAAAUCAACAGCGAAGAGUUCAUCUGUUGGACUGAGUUGCAGUCUGUGCUAAUGACCUUUGAGAGUCGAAUUAAGCAUCUUAAUGCUCUAAAAACUGGCCUAGCUUAUGUUAACUUGAGUCACACCACAGUUAAUUUUGGGGCACAGAUCAAAUGCUAGAGGCAGAUCCAACUAUGGAGGAAGAAGCUAUUACAAUAAAGGAGAAAGAAGCAGAGGCAAAACCAGUAGACAAACCGAGAACAAAGGACCAUGUCAAAUAUGUGGUUUGAGCAAUCAUUCUACAGAAAGAUGUUUCAAUCGGUAUGAUGAAAGAUAUAUGGGGACAAGGCCUGGACAUAACUAUUAGAACAAUUCCUCAAAAUCAGCAGCUCUUAUAGCUUCAUCAAGCACACUCUCAGAUCCUGCUUGGUUUACAAACUCAGGAGCCAGUCACCAUGACACUACUGAGAAGAAGAACCUAGCUGAGGUACGUGAGUAUGGUGCUUUAGGUAAUGGUAAUAAAGUCACUAUCUCUCGUACAGGUAAAAAUUGGCUGAAUACACUCAAUGACAAGUCACUAGCCCUUAACAAUGUUUUACUAGUACCAUCAAUCAAGAAAAUUUUGAUAAGUGUAUCUCAAUUAACAUCUGACAACAAUGUAUUUAUGGAGUUUCACUCUGAUUUCUGUGUUAUUAAGGACAAGCAAAUGAAGGAGGUGUUGCUGGAAGGAAAGCUUAAAGAUGAGUUAUAUAAAGUUGAGCAUCGAGACCUAGCCAAAAGAACGUUCAAUUUGGAGUUACCCUUUCCAAAUAAAUUGAACCCCUCAACAUUUGUUGUCAAAACCAAAGUAUCUAAAAAUACCACUGAAUAUGAGUCUAGAUUAAAACAAUGGCAUAUGAGACUUGGACAUUCCACAACCUCUGUGACAUCACAAGUGCUCAAAACUUGUAAUAAAAAGUUCAAUGCUAAUGAAAUUCUUCAGUUCUGUGAUGCUUGCCAACUUGGUAAAUCACACUCCUUACCAUUCAAACUAUCUGCUUGCACUAGCCCUACUCGAUUUAAUUCACAUAGACGUAUGGGGUCCUGUGCCUAUCAUUUCCACAUUUGGUUUCAAGUACUAUAUUAUCUUCAUUGAUGACUAUAGUAGGUAUACAUGGAUCUACCCCAUGAACAUUAAAUUCGAGGCACUAAAUUUGUUCAUUCAAUUCAAAACUAUUGUUGAAAACAAAUUUGAUAGAAAGAUUAAAACUCUCCAAUCUAACUGGGGAGGUGAGUUUAGAGCCUUCACUGAGUUUGAUCUAUAAUCUGGUAUUGAUAUGAGUCUCUCGUCCCUACACCUCAACCCAAAAUGGUAGAGCCGAGAGAAAACACGGACAUAUAACAGAAAUUGGUUUAACUCUUCUUGCUCAAGCAAGCCCUUGCACUAUCGGUGGGAAUCUUUUCACACGGUCUCUUAUAUUAUCAACAGAGCGCCUACACCAGUCCUCAACAUGAAAGUACCUUAUCAAAUUCUGAACAAAGAACAAAUUGAAUAUAAGUCACUGAAAUUUUUUGGCUGUGCUUACUUUCCCUGUCUCAGGCCAUAUCAAAACCACAAGUUUAGCUUUCACUUCAUAAAGUGUGUGUUUCUUGGUUUUAGUAACUCUCACAAAGGAUGUCUCAGUCCAACAGGAAGAAUAUAUAUUUCCAGACAUGUAGUUUACAAUGAAAAUGCCCUUUCAGUCUGGCUUCCUCAAUAAAAUAACUGAGUUACAAAAGUCUAAAACCAUCAUUCAUUAUCUACCCUUUCAUGCACCUCUAAACAACAAUCCAACCUGCUCAAUUGAUGAAGCUCAUACUGAUGCAACUCCAACAGCAACACCUUCAGAGUUUGAGCAACCAAAAAUGCUUGAAAACGUGAUGAUCUUUGAGGAGAAUGAAAAUGAAAACAUAGAGAUUGAUGUUGAAGGCACACAAAUGGAAGGACAAGAGAAAAUUGUAAAUCCUCAAUUAUAACAAACUGGAAUAGGUAAUGAGCAAAACUUCAGUACGACGGAUUAGGUGAAUCGUUAUAGAAUAUCCUAUGAUCACCAGAGGCAAAGCUAGUAUAAUUAAAGCAAAGGUGUACUCAACUCAGUGCCAGCAAGAAACAAAGUGAAUUGGAACAUAACAAUGUAGCUGAAGCCUUGAUAAACAAAGAUUGGAGGGAAGCAAUGAAAGAUGAGUACAAUGCACUGAUGAGAAAUGAAACUUGGGAACUAGUACCAUAUUUGAUCUAUCAAAAGGUAAUAGGAAACAAGUGGGUUUUCAGACUCAAACGAGAUGCUGAUGGAAGAAUAUUGAAGCAAAAAACAAGACUUGUUGCCAAGGGAUUCUUGCAAACACUAGGGGUAGAUUAUCGUGAAACCUUUAGCCCAGUCAUAAAGGCAUCUACUCUAAGGAUAAUCCUUACUCUUGCAAUCUCAAAGAGCUGUAGCAUCAGAAAAAUCGACAUCAACAUUGCCUUCCUAAAUGGGAAACUAACUGAGGAAGUUUAUAUGAGGCAGCCAGAGGGUUUUAUUGCCAAAGCAAACCCCACAUUUGUUUGCAAACUGAAGAGGUCUCUUUAUGGACUCAAACAAGGAUCUAGGGCUUGGUAUGAAAAGCUGAAGGAAACUCUUCUCGAUUGGAACUUUUUAAAGUCAAAGAUAGAUAGUUCAUUAUUCUUUUGCAUGAAUCAGAACCAUGUAAUUUUUACCUUAGUAUAUGUUGAUGAUAUAGUGGCCACAGGCAAUGAUCAGAAGGUGUUGUAACGCUUUAUUGAAAAGUUGAAUACACAGUUUGCACUAAAAGAUAUGGGAGAACUACAUCAUUUCUUGGGAAUUGAGGUAAAAAGAGAUGAAUCAGGUGUGUAUCUCACUCAAACCAAUUAUACAAGGGACCUGCUAAGAAUAUUCAAUUUUGAACAUCUCAAACCUUGCUCAACGCCUAUGACAGCAAGCAAGAUUAUCUCCAGAAGUGAAGGUGAAAAGAUGUUUGACCCUUCAUUGUAUAGAAGUACAAUUGGUGGACUUCAAUACUUAGCACACACACGGCUCGACAUAACCUUUGCUGUGAGUAAGAUGAGUCAAUUUUUGCAAAUACCUCAAAUGUUCAUUGGAUAGUAGCUAAGAGAAUCUUCUGAUAUCUAAAAGGGACUAUUGAGCAAGGAUUAUGGAUUCAAAGAAGUUACAAAAUAUGCAUUACUGGUUUUGCUGAUGCAGAUUGGGCAUAAUGCCCUGAUGAUAGGAGGUCAACAGCCAGUUAUUGUAUAUACUUAGGGGUACAUUGGUGGCUUGGUCUUCAAAGAAACAACAUGUUGUGGCUAUAGUGAUGACAAUUUACCUCGCCUCGCCUCGCCCCGCCCCGAAUGGGGCUAAAAAACCCACCUUGUGAAACUUUUUUUUUAAUUAAAAGGUUAGGGUUCAACUUGCUUCAAAUAGAAGGAUGUGACCUAUUUUCUAGUAUCCUCAAUUGUACAAGUCUUAUCAAACUUGACUAAUUCAUAUAUAUCAUUAUGCUACUUUGUCAAAUUGAUAUUAUAUUGAUAAAAAUAAAUAUAAAAAGAUAUAACAUGUUCAACUAAACAAAUUUGAAAAUCUAUAUAUUGUAAUAAAUUAAAGUGUGUAGGGUUACAACUUUUGUGACAAUAUCAAAGGAAAAACCACAAAAAAUCUUGUUCAUCCUAAUAAUCAAUGUUGUGUACCAAUAGCGACCAUUAUAUUUAAGAUUUAUAGUAUUUAUUUUGGAUAUUAACUUUGUCAGCUUGAAUGUUAUCUUUAUUUUAUUGAACUCGAAAUUUGAAAAAAAAAAAAAAUAGGGCAAGAAAUGGGGCAAGCCCAUGCCCCGCCCCGUUGCCAUCACUAUGUGGCUAGGUCCAGCACAUAAUCAAAGUAUAGAGUCUUAGCAGAAGCAACUGCUGAGAUAACUUGGAUUGAGUCACUACUUAAAGAAAUCAACUUGCACUCAGUCUCACGUCCUGUACUGUGGUAUGAUAAUCUUGGUGCUAGUGCCUUGGCUUCAAAUCCUGUUUAUCAUGCUCGAACUAAGCAUAUUGAGUUGGAUAUACAUUUUGUUAGAGACAAGGUUCUUGAAGGCAAACUGAGGAUUCAAUAUGUUCCAUCAUUAGAUCAGAUUGCAGACAUGUUAACUAAACCCCUCUCACAAACCAGAUUCCUCAUUCUUAAGGACAAGCUUGGAGUUAAAGAAUGAACUCCAGUCUGAGGGAGGAUGUUAAAAUGUAUCGUCACACGUCCAUUGCUGAAUUCAACCUCACGUGUUCAUCGCAAGAUCUGAUCAUUGCUAAUGUGCACCUGAGGUGCUAUGCAAAUUAGUUAUAACUGUAUUUAUUCUUUAGAGCCUUCCACAUGUAAUCUGUUUUCCUUCAUUUCUUGCUCACCACUCCAAAGUGGCCAUAAAUAUUGUAUCAUACUCGGUGUAAUUCAUUCUGUGAGUGAAAAUACAAUUAUACCUAUUAUUCUCACUACUACUAUAUCAGUUUGUAAUUCAACAAUAUUCUCAAUUUCAACUUCCAAGAUUUUUUACAUUAUCUAAUUUUAAAGAUACCAAAACGUUGGAAUAUCGAAUUCAGAAUCUUUAAAGCACCAGGGAAUUGAACUACAUGAUGCCCAUCCUGGAACAAAGUCAGUUGAUAGGUAUUCAAGUGCAUUUUCCCAGCCCAAAAACAAAACUGAAAUUCUGGAAAAUACAUGCACGCAAUCCCGAACUUUCCAAACCCAUUAACAAAUCAAAUUCACCUGAAGCCGAUCAGGUUAAGUAGAAAACUAAAAAUUCCAUCGACAGAUGCCCAAAAUUACUUGCGCCUAUUGGAUAUUAUAGGCAAGAAAAUAGGAGGCUUUUUUAAGUUCAGAUAAUCAGAUUCAGAGUAAAUUUAUUGUCAGUCAGGUGCUGCUUGAGCAUAACAGUUCUUUUUUGUCAGUCGAGUCGAGCAUAGGCACAAUGUAGCUUCAUAUAAAGCUUGUACUGGAGCUCUAGCCCCCACUUCGACUAACAACAAAAAACUAUCUUAACUCCAAAAAAACAAUAGAAAAAAUGAAAAGGUAAAAGGAGAGACAAUUCAAACGAAAAAAUCUCGUGUCCUAAAUACAAAUUGGGGAAAUUUAAGUUGACCAUUUUCAGUCAAAAUAUCAAGCGAUAAAUUUAACUUACGUAUCCCAGAAGGCCCAAAGAGCUCUCAUGCUCAUAGAAGCUCAUGUUCUUUCUUCCACUAACAAUCUCUAGCAUCAAAACUCCAAAACUGAAGACAUCAGAUUUUUAUGAAAAUCUUCCUUCCAUUGCAUAUUCAGGGGCCAUGUAUCCAUUGAAACAAUAUCAUGAAAAAAUAUUGAAAUUACUUUUUAAGUUAUUGCAUUAAUCAUUCAAAGCUAAAUGAAAACUCAUGGCAGAAAUAAAUGAAUAUUGGCAACUCAAAUUGACCAAAGGCAAAUAUAUACUUACUAUGUUCCUACCACUCUUACAGUGCUGGCAUGAUCUUGGUUGCCUUCAAAAAUUCUUGCCAUGCCAAAAUCUGAAAUUUUUGGGUUCCAAUCAUUAUCCAGCAAUAUGUUACUUGGCUUCAGAUCUCUAUGAACUAUCCGCAAUCUAGAAUCUCUGUGAAGAUAAAGAGGCCUCGGCCUAUACCUUCAAUAAUGUUGAAACGUAGUCUCCAAUCUAAGAUCUCUUGUGAUGGAUCUACAUGGAGAACACCCAGAGGAAAUGAAUGCAUUAUCUAUAAAUUCUGAACCCACCCCAUUUUAACAUAAAUCUAUGUAGACUGUGUUGUAAUCAAAUUAAUUUUGAAAUUUCAGAGGAAGGGAUGAAUCUUGCGCUGACCAAAGAGAUGUGCAUCCAAGCUUUUAUUAGGCAUGUAUUCAUAGACCAGCAUCUUCUCUCCCCUUUCAACACUGCAUCCCAGCAGUCUAACGAGGUUCCGGUGUUUGAGUUUAGAAAUCAACUUCACUUCAUUCAUAAAUUCUAUCAUCCCUUGUGUAGAUACUUUUGAGAGCCUCUUGAUUGCAAUUUCUCUACCAUUUGCCAAUUGUCCCUAAAUAGAAGCAACAAUUUUAGCACCUCUAAAUUCCAUGAACCGUGAUACUUGAGAUGGAUAAGGAAGAAAAAUAACCUUGUAAACUGGACCAAAACCGCCCUUUCCAAGCUUGUUAGCAUCGUGGAAAUUGUCUGUCACAUUUGCAAGCAACUCAAAUUUAAAUAAUGGUAACUCUUCGAUGCUAGCAUUGCUUAUAUCAUCUUCACGAGAAACAUCAACUGAAUCAGAUAGGCCUAAUCGUGUCAUUGUGUUGCCUGAUUCAGGAGAAAAGUUAUUAAGUGCAGCUGCAUGUAAAUGCCUUGUUGAGUGAAAUUUCUAAACAUUACCUCUUGGUUUAGUCAUCAAUUUCCAGGAAAAGAAUAUGAUAGUGGAUCUGGAAAUCAUACCAACAAUAACCAUAAUUAUUAUGACUAACUUAAAGUCUUUCUUAUGACCUGCAACAAAGAACAACCAUCAUGUUGAAGAAUAAAAUCUUAGUUGUUCUCAGCAGUAAAAGAAGAGUUAAUUGUUCCAAUGGUAACUAAACUUUGAUUCAUGUCUUUGAUUAAUUAUUGAAGCUCACAAUGUCGAGUUUUGAUCACUGAACUUAAGUUAAUAUCUUCAAUUGCUUGCUAAACUUGGGCUCAUGUCUUAAAUUGCUCACUGAAAUUUAAAAUGUCGAGUUUUGACCACUGAACUUUGGAAUAUGCCGUACGUUGAGUUUACAGUUAAUAAUGUAUAGCAUUUUUCAAAAUUCAGUGAGUAAUAUAUAAUAUUUUUCAAAAUUCAGUGAGUAAUAUACAAUAUUUUUCAAAAUUCAGUAGACAAAACUCAGCAUUUUAAACUUUAGUGAACAAUCGAAGACAUGGACCUAAGUUCAAUUACCAAAACUCGACAUUUUAAAUUUCUGUUGGGAAAACACCUCCCAAAGAUAGCCCAAAGAUCAAACAAUGCUUGACAAUUUGAAAAAAAAUCCAAACCACUUGAAGAACAAGAAAAUGAGGAAGAAAUGAUUUCAAUGGAAUAUAUGAAGAACAAUGUAUUUGGAUUACUUGAACAAGCCUCAAGUUAACCCCCAAGAAAGAAAAUAACUUUGAAUUUAUACCCAAGAUGAACAACCUUCAAUCUUGUAAAAUUCUCUCCAAGUUUUCUCUCAAUUUUCUCUCUAAAAUCGGGCUCAAGGGUUAUAUCAUAAUGAAGAGGCAAAAAAUUGGAAGUCUAUAUAUAUAUACCGGGGCGCCUAGGCGCCACUUGAGCCCGAUUUUAGAGAGAAAACUUGGAGAGAAUUUUACAAGAUUGAAGGUUGUUCAUCUUGGGUAUGAAUUCAAAAUUAUUUUCUUUCUUGGGGGUUAACUGAGUGGCGCUUAGACGCCCAGUUUCUUCUUCGGCAGAAACUGGGCAGCGUCUCCAGCGCCUAGGCGCUGCUUCCUCUUCACAGCUUCUUCUUUAGCUUCUCUUUUCACAAUUCUCCACCUCGUACAUCAUUUGAUAGACCUCAAAUUUUGGAUGAACACAAGAAGGAUAAGCAAGCACCAAAAAUUCGGCUGCAUCAUUCAAACCAUGAUUGCCUACGUACCCAAAACUCGGGAUCAAGCCUCUGUAGUUCACCUCCACCUUCAUAUACACUCCACCUCAUUUCAAUCCCGCCCCGAAGGGCCAUGCCCUCUCGGACAUAUCAACACGGACUAAUGUGAAGCAAGUCCAAGCAAUGUUGAAACUUGCUACCCGUUACAACUUUGGUUAACAUGUCAGCUGGGUUCUCAUUUGUGUGUACCUUCGAGAGUGAAAUAUCACCUUCCUCUAUGACAUCACGCACAAAAUGAUACCCGACGUCGAUAUGCUUGGUUCGAGCAUGAUGAACCUGAUUCUAGCCAAGUGAAUUGCACUUUGGCUAUCACACCACAAGUCCACACAAUCCUGCUCAAUCCCCAAAUCAUCUAGAAGACCCCAUAACCACAAUGCUUCCUUCACUCCCUCUGUCAUGGCCAUAUACUCGGCCUCUGUAGUAGAAAGAGCAACUGUAGCCUGUAACAUCGAUCGCUAACUAACUGGGGCACCAUGUAUUCAAAACACAUAUCCAGUAGUAGAUCGUCAUCUAUCAGAUCACCUGCAUAAUCCAAGUCCACAAACCCACUUAUAUGACAUGCAUCUCCACCAAAACAUAAACCCGUAUCCGCGGUACCUUUUAAGUACCUCAGGAUCCACUUCACAGCUUCCCAGUGUGCCUUCCCCGGAUUCGCCAUGAAUCUACUGACCACACUCACUACCUGUGAAAUAUCUGGGCGUGUACACACCAUGGCAUACAUCAAACUGCCAACUGCACUAGCAUAAGGCACACGAUCCAUGCGUCCCUUUUCUUCCGCUGUAGUAGGAGACUGUUUACCAGAGAGCCUGAAAUGUGGAGCCAAUGGAGUCAUCAUCGACUUUGCACCUUGCAACCCGAACCUAGCAAUAACCCGCUCAAUGUAGCCUUUCUGACUCAAGAACAUUCGCCGGUUCGUCCUCUCUCUUCUAAUCUCCAUACCCAGUAUUUUCGUAGCAGCCCCCAUAUCCUUCAUCUCAAACUCUUUACCAAGUUGAGAUUUCAACCUAUCUAUCUCCACCUUGCUUUUGGAAGCGAUAAGCAUGUCAUCCACAUAAAAUAGAAGAUAGAUAUAGUUACCUCCUCGAAAUUUCUGAAUAUAAACACAACAGUCAUACUCACUUCUAGAGAAACCAUGCUUUAGCAUGAAGGAGUCAAAUCGCUUGUACCACUGCCGAGGAGAUUGCUUCAAUCCAUAUAGUGAUUUUCUCAAGCGACAUACCUGACGUUUCUUAUCCUCAACCUUGUAGCCCUCAAGUUGAUGCAUAUAGAUCUCCUCAUCCAAGUCCCCGUGCAAGAAGGCGAUUUUGACAUCGAGUUGUUCCAGCUCAAGAUCAUGAUAAGCAACAAUACUCAAUAGCACUCGAAUGGAAGUGUGCUUAACCACCGGAGAAAAGAUCUCAUUGUAAUCAACUCCCUCUCUUUGUGCAAACCCCUUAGCCACUAACCUUGCUUUGAAUCUUGUACCACCAAGCUUGGUAGGAUCCUCCUUCUUUUUAUACAACCACUUGCAACCAAUAGCUUUCUUACCUAUGGGCAAUGGGAUAACCUCCCAUGUUUGGUUCUUGUGAAGUGAUUCCAUCUCUUCUUCCAUUGCCGCCAACCAACUCUCGCUAUUGUUGUUUAAAAUAGCUUCCUUGAAAGUGGUAGGCUCAUCAUCCUCCACCGAGAGUGCAUACUCAACCAAAUUUGUCUGCCCAUAGUGCCUCAAAGGCUCGUCUGACUGCAACUUUAGAACUUACUUGUAAGUACGGCGUGGCCUAGAGGAAGCCAAGUUAUCUGCAAGCUGCUGCUGUUGCUGUGCCUGUACAUUCUCUUGCUGAACCGCCUCUUGUUCAAGCCCAUCAUCACUCUCAUCUUGAGUGUCUAUAUGAUGCUCCUCUUGAACAUGCCAAGAAUCAGGUUGAUCUCUAGGUUCUAUGUCAACAACUUGAGACAUUGUAGUCUCAACCUCAUCACCACCGGGCGCUGUAGAUUUCAACGAAGCUAUCAUGGAGUUCUCAUCAAAAGUAACAUCUCUGUUGAUUAUGAACUUAGAAUCCUCUACACACCAAAGGCGAUAGCCUGUAACACCUGCCGCAUAUCCCAAGAAUAUAGCCUUCUUGGCCCUCACAUCAAGCUUUCCCUCGUUGACAUGAUAGUAGGCUGUGCAUCCGAAUGUUCUGAGUUUCUCAUAAUCUGCAUGUUCUCCUGUCAAUACCCUAUAAGGUACAUCUCCAUCUAACCUUGAAUGUGCAGAUUAGUUCACUAUGUAGCAAGCAUUUUCAACCAACUCUGCCCACCAUUCUCUGCCCAAACCAGCAUAGGAUCGCAUACACAACGAUUUCUCUUGAAAUGUGCGAUUUAGUCUUUCCGCGACCCCAUUCUAUUACAGUGUAUUUCUAAUUGUCCAGUGUCUCACAAUGCCUUCUUUACCACAGAACUCCUUGAAAGCACCAUCUGUAUACUCAGUACCGUUAUCAGAUCGCAGUGUCUUCAAUUUCUUUCCUGUUCUGUUUUCAACCAUUGCUUUCCACUUCUUGAAAGUGUCGAAUACCUCAUUCUUAUGCUUCAAAAAAUAAAUCCAAGCAUAUCUAGAAUAAUCAUCAACAAAUGUAACAAAAUACCUGGAACUGCCUUUGGAAGUGACAGAAGCCGGACCCUAUACGUCCAUGUGCACAUAGUCAAGAAUGCCUCUACUUCUAUGUUUGCUUGGCUAGAACUAAACUCGGUGGGCUUUAUCGUACACGCAAUGCUCACAAAAAUCCAUGCAAGGCUUCUUCAAGUUCUUUAGCAAACCUUUCUUAACUAGCAAAUCUAGCCCCUUUUCAGACAUAUGCCCAAGCCUCCUAUGCCAUAGCCGAGUGUACUCACAUGGGUCUCUACCACUUCCACUUGUUCCAACUGCUACAUCUUCAGUAACUGUAGUACCCUGAAGAGCAUACAGAUUUCCUUCAUGAAUACCCUUCAUCACAAUCAAAGAACCACGAACAACCUUCUUUACUCCAUUCCAUGUUACAAUCUUGCAACCAUCGAAGUCUAAGGCACCAACAGAGAUAAGGUUCUUCCGCAAAUCAAGAACAUGUCUAACAUCCAUCAAUGUUCUAACCACUCCAUCAUGCAUCUUGAUUCUAAUUGAACCGAGCCCCACCAUUUUACAAGAAUGGUUAUUACCCAUCAACACGGUUCCACCAUCAAUGCUUCUAUAGGCAGUAAACCACUUCCUAUUUGGCCACAUAUGGUAAGAGCAUCCAGAGUCAAGAAUCCACUUACCGGAGGUUUCUUCAUCACAAGAGAUGGUGUAGCACUCAUCGCUUUCCCCUCCCGAGGCAUAGCUUACCUCUUGCUUGACUUGCACUUUUUCGUUGUUGUUGUUCUUGUUGUUCUUCUUCCAACCCUUUUUGUUAUGAUAAUUCGCCUUGAAAUGCCCAAGCUCGUCGCAUUUGAAACAAGACCUUUCCGCAAGAGGUCUAGAACUCAAUCUAGAUUUUUCUCUCUUGCCCUUUGGUCGCACAUUGCUUCUACCCCUUACAAAAAAUCCUUGAACUUGCUCCUUGUUACCAAUGGUAGACAUGACACUAGUUGCAAUCUUUCGAAGAUCAUCCGCUAGAAGUGACGUUCUAGUGUCCUCCAUCACAAGUUUAUCACCCACAAGCAUCAAUGUUUGUACUAGGUUCUCGUAAGACAUUGGCAAUGAAAGAAGUAGUAGAAUUGCUUGAUCCUCAUCAUCUACUUCCACAUCAACGUCCUUCAAGUCCGAUAUGAUCCUAUCAAACUUGUUUACGUACUCCCGGAUUGGUGUACCUUCAUCCAUCUUGCAAGUAUACAAUUUGGAUUUCAAAUAGAUCCGAUUUGUUAGAGUCUUCAUCAUGAAGUUCGCCUCCAACUUUGUCCACACCUCCGCCGCCGUUACCUCACUAUCAACCAAGAAAGCAACAUCUCUUUCAAGGCAAAGAAUGAUAGACGUUCGUGCCUCAAGAUCUAGCUCUUCCCAAUCCUCGUCCGACAUAUCAACGGGUUUCUUCUCCUUUCCCGCCAAUGCCUUGUGCAACUUUUGAGAAAUCAACAAAUUUUUCAUUUGCAUUCUCCAAUAUGAAAAAUCAUUCUUCCUAUUGAAUUUCUCUAUCUCAUACUUUCCAAUCUUCACCAUUCCUCUAGUAGACAUGAUUUAUUCACUUGUUUACCGAAAAUAAACCACAAAAGUUCACUUGGAAAUUUUCACAAACACCUUGUGUGCACAACAAAGUUCAAGCGACUCACCAAAAAUCGAAGCUUAACCACCUUGAUUUAGGAAGAAACUCUGAUACCAAAUUGUUGGGAAAAUACCUCUCAAAGAUAGCCCAAAGAUCAUACAAUGCUUGACAAUGUGAAAAAAAAAUCCAAACCACUUGAAGAACAAAAAAAUGAGGAAGAAAUGAUUUCAAUGGAAUAUAUGAAGAACAAUGUAUUUGGAUUACUUGAACAAGCCUCAAGUUAAUCCCCAAGAAAGAAAAUAACUUUGAAUUUAUACCCAAGAUGAACAACCUUCAAUCUUGUAAAAUUCUCUCCAAGUUUUCUCUCAAUUUUCUAUCUAAAAUCAGGCUCAAGGGUUAUAUCAUAAUGAAGAGGCAAAAAUUGGAAGUCUAUAUAUAUAUACCAGGGCGCCUAGGCGCCAGGUUUCUACCGUGGCUCCUAGGCGCAGAAACUGGGCAGCGCCUAGGCGCUGCUUCCUCUUCACAGCUUCUUCUUCAGCUCCUCUUCUCACAAUUUUAGUGACCAAUAAAAAAUAUGGACCUAAUUUCAAUGACUAUUGGAACAAUUAACUCGUAAAAUAACAAUCAAUAACCUCAUAGGGACAAGAAGAUGAGCACAAAAUUUUAUGCAACAAUUACCAAAUUCCGAAAUUGCCAGUCGAAUGAAAAGAUCCGAGCCUUCAGAGAAUUUCUGAAUGUUAAUUAAGCUUCCAGUCCAGAACAGACAGCCAAUACCAACGUCGUGAACAUAGGCUAUGCAGGAACAAUUCGUCAUGCACAGACCUUCACAUUCAGAUUCCUGAACAGGCUCCCGAUCUCCAUUAUCUGGAACAUUCAUCAUUUCUAGCUUCAAAAACCUAUCUUCUUUGCUCCCACUAUUGGAGCUAUUGUUUGUUUCACACUGCAAAUGUAUCCUCCUCACGCAUCCACUUGUCCAGUUCUCUGCUUUCCAUUCCCCAUCGUCCUUCGGAUAAAACCCUUUCAAACAGGUACAAAUAGGUGAGUUUUGUGGGUCGCACAUCCCAAAUGGCCCACAUGUGCCAUUACCACAAGAAGUAGUAGCCUUCUCAACUAUGGUAAUACUGCGACUUAUUUUCAUUGCUGUCAAGAAUGAGCCCCAAGGUUGCUUAAAACUUUCCCAUAUUUUAAGUCCACUCGAAGAUUCUAUCAAAACAAGAUUUCCAGAAUCCAAUAGCUGGGCAGUCGUAUUCAUCUUAGUAUUUUUAACAUUUGAUGACCAAAGAAUUUCGUUGUCCCUAUUCAUAACCACAAUAUUCCCAUCUUUAUAUAUCUUCACAGUACCAGAAGAAUCAUUCAAAGCUUUAUCCCUAUUCGCUACCCACACCACAGAAGGUUCAGAAAUAUUUUGGUUAUACCAAAUACCUAAAUAACGCCUGGAGUUAUUAAAAGGACUGAAAAAUCCCAAUUUGAAGUGCUUACCCUUAGACACUAGAGUUUCAGGGUCUUUAAUAACUAGAUUUGCUGUAAUGUUGUCUCUUGAUGUGCAAAAUCUUAAAGGGCAAGAGAAAAGCACAACAAGAAUGCAUAGAACAAGAGAAUUCAGACUCUUACCCCUGAUCAUGAUCAAGCCAAUGAUUCUUGAUUCUUGCUCUGAUGAAUCGAUUUCUGAUUACCAAGAGCAGAGAAAUUAUCCACUAUUCAGUUUUGAGGGUCUAGCAGAGUUAGAUAAAUUGGCAGAGUUUCUGUACAGAAAGAGGUAGUUAUAUAUUUCUAAAACUCAUUAACAAUAAAUUAAAAAUAAUGACACUAAUAAUAACUGAAGAAUUACCUAAAGAAAUAAAGGAACAAAUAUUAGAAAAAUUAAUAAUAGAAUCAAUAAAAGAAAAAUAUAUAUAUGAGAAAAUUAUUGAUAUAUAUUUAGAUGAAGAAAUUAAUUUAUAUUAUAAAGAAAUAAAAGUACGAGUACAAGCGAUAAUACACAUCAAAAAUUAAAUAUAUUACUUUUAAAAAUGAAUAAUUUACAAGAAGAAAUAGGAAAUAUAAUGUUAAUACUAGAAGGAAUGAGAAUACCAAAUAAUAGACAAUUAGCAAGAUUAAAAUGUGAAAGACUAAUACUUGAAAGCAGAUAUUUUACUAUAGUAAAAGAAGAAUUAGUUGAUCCAGAGAUAGUUGAGAAAAGAUUUAGAAAAAUAAUAGAUAAAAAUGAAGAUAAAAGAUGCAAAUUAACGUAUGAGUUAGAAAUAAGAAAAAUUAAGAUGUCAAUAAGUGAAUAUAUGGAAGAAUUAAAAUCAUUAAUAAAAAUAUUAAUAAAUGAUGCACUACAACAAGUAAUCGAUUUCGCGACAAAAAAAUGUUGUCUCAAAAAAUGAGAUUUUGUCACAAAAGUAAUUUAGCGACGAUAAUACGUUUGUUGCAGAUUUUGUGGCUCUAUAUGAGUCACGCAAUGUGUUCUGCGACACCUUUCGAUAGUUCAUCGCAUUAACAAAAUCACUACACUAUUUGUCUGACGCAGAAAAUACGAAAUGGCGUCACAAUAUUUGUAGCCAUAUUGUCGUCGUAAUGUAUAUAUGUCGCAAAUAAUUUAAAGGGCGACAAGUUAGUUUGUCACAACGAAUAUUCCAAUAAAGUUUUUACGAGAAAUAUUUUUGUUGCGAAUGUUGAGUCACCGAAUAUAUUUUGAGACAACUUUCAAUCAUUCAUCGCAUUAACAAAAUUGCAACAUUACUCAUUUGCUGCAGAAAAUAUGAAACAACAACAUGAUAGUUAUAAUUAUAAUAUUGUCGCAAUGCGUAUAUGUCGCGAAAAAAUAAAAGGGCAACGUGAUAGUUCGUUGCGAUGAUUAUUCCAAUAAAGUUUUUACGAGAAAAAUAUUUGUUGCAAAUAUUCUUUUAAAUGUGUCACUUUUGCUACCUAUUUUGUUUUGCAACACCACCUGCACGCAGUAAUAUAUUUUCAAUAACAAGUAAUAUUUAUCGUGAAAUAUGUUUUACAAUGUAUUUGAUAUGUCGCAAAAUGUAUUUUAAUAUAUUCAAUAUUUGUAGUACAAUAUUUUAUGUAACAAGUGAUUUAUGUAUUUAAAUAUAUAUUGCAACACAAAUGGUCCGUUGGACCAUCAUUUGUACAAUGAGUAUAGUUGUUGCCAAACUUAUUUCGUAAUUAUUCAUAUAUGUCAUAUAUUUUAUUUAAUGACAUAUAAUAUUAUUACGCAAAGUAUUUUGUGACAAUGAACUAUUUAUAUGUCAAGUUGUGCUCGUAGUUAAAUUUAGUCAGCAACACAAAGGGUUUGUCGCUUCAACGAUGUACAAAUGUCGCCUAAUUGAUUUUAUUUUUAUUUAUCUAUGUCGGAGAUUCUAUUUUAAACACACAAUUUUCGAUUUCUUUCAUCACAAUGGAAUCGUUAUUGUUGUGCACAUUUAUAUGAAAAUAUAACAUAACUAGAAAUAACUAGUGACUUUAUGUAGAGCACACUUCAACAUAUAAUUAUUAAAAUAUAAUUGAUAUAAAAAAAAGAAAUAAAAAAAAUCAUAUCACUAUCAACCAAAUAAAUAUAGAUCAAGGUAUUAUCUACAAACUUGGUUACCUCCAAAAUCAAAACAAAUACAAAUAAACUAUAGUACUAGUAAUUUGAAGGUCGAGCCACUUUCAAUGAUUUGACAAACUUGAAAAUUAAAAAAUAGAACUAGGAAUGUGGAAGAAAUAACAAAAAAACUCACGUGACACCCAAAUAACAUUCUUGACUCAAUAUACGCUUCCAACUCUCUUUGGUUAAAUGAAAAUUCCUGUAAAGAAAAGCUCCACAAAUUUAGUCUAACAGGUACAUAUAGAAAGUAAUUAAUGAAAUAUUAGCUUCAAAAAAACAUUUCAAAUAUCUUACAUUGAAUAUUAGAACAAGAUCAACAACCAUCACAAUAAGUAAUCAAUAUAUUUCAGUAGCUGACUACUCUAACCUUAAAUGUGAAUAAAAUUAUUUUCAACUCUCAGAUGAUACAUCAUCAGUACUCGAAUCUAUAGAGGGAAGGAAAAAAUGUAGAUAGUCAUUAAGAAAAAGAAAAGAAAAACAUUACGCCAAAAAAAAGGCUUAUAUAUAUAUAAAGAAUGUUUUACUUACCAAUAUCACUAUCACCAUCACCGUCAUCAUCUUUACCAUCUAUAGAUUUCUCAUCUUCACUGUAAUAUUCAUUCAAUGUAUCAUCUUCCUCUUCCGAAGUAUCAUAUAUAACAUUAUUCAUAUUUUUAUUUAUUGUUUCCACAUCUAUUUGUAAUGCUUCAUUUUCAAUAAUAUCUAGAUCAAUAUCUCCUCUAUGGCACACUUGAGUGCCAAGAUCUUCCUGCUGUAUUGGCAAGACAAUAUUUGAUGAUUCAUUUUCCUGAAAUAUUACUUGCUCACUACUGCCAUCAUUUUUUUCUGGAAUGUCCCAUAUGCCUCUAUGUUGUACCUUUUCCACUACCUUCCACUGUGGACCCAACAAAAGAUCAUCCAUAUAAAAUAUUUGUUGUGCUUGGAUGCCAAGUAUAUAGGAAUCAUCCAUGUACCAUUUACGAUUCACAUUGAUAGAAGUAAGAUGGUAAUCUAUGAUUGUUCUUUUUUGCUUUGGAUUAUUAUCGUACCAAUUACACUGGAACAAAGUGACGCGGUAGUCGAAAACGUAUACCAACUCAAUAACAUCACACAGUAUACCAAAAAAGUUGGUGUUAUCAUCUCUCGGAACCAUUGCUCCACUAUUUUGCGUUGUACGGCAAUCAUCUUGAUCUUUAACAAGGAAUCUUACCCCAUUAACAAUACAACCAGAAUAAGAAAAUAUUCUAAAAUCUGGUUUACAUGCUAAUGCAUACAAUUCUUUGCAUACAACCGAAUCUUUUUUAUUAUAUAAUCUCGUUAUCUGUGUAAUAAAAACAUAUUAAUUAAUAUACCUUCUGAUACGAAUGUUAUGUUGCAUUAAUAAAUAGAUAAGAUAUAUAUUAUAACUUACAUGUGAAGCAAACCAUCCAGGAAACAAUUCUUCUUGUUUUUUUUCCAAAUUGUCAUGAUUUUGUUGUUCCAAUAACUCCAUGUGCUCACUACAAAAAGAACAUGCAAUUAAAUACUAUAACAUAUUAGUAAUUAAUAGCAAACAUUUUAAAAGUUGAUUAAGAACUUACUCUAAAUAUUGUCGAAUUUCAUCACAAUUAUUUAGGACAUGCCAAUGCGCUCUAUCAAUUUCUUGUUUUGAAAGUAACUUUGGUUCUGCAUGACCUAAUAGCCUAGUAUUUUGAGAGAAGACUGACAAGCUUGUAGAUGUAGUCCCACCAUUGUCAUUGCGCUCAGGUUGAUUAAAUCUUGUUUCAAUGUUAUUGAGAUACAUCGAGCAAAAAUUUAAAGACUCGUUAACAAUAGAUGCUUCAGCAAUUGAUCCUUCGAGUCGAGCUUUAUUCUUAACAUAACUCUUAUAUCGACCUAAUAUUUUGUCAUCAAAUAUUACAUGAAAAGUUUUUGAAAACAAUAAUUCAAUGAACAAGUAUAUAUGCAAGAAAUAUUAUCAAUUACCUUUCAAUUGGAUACAUCCAUCUAAAUGCAACGGGACCUCCAAGUUUUGCUUCUUCAGGUAGGUAAACAGCUAAAUGAACCAUUACAUCAAAAAAUGCCGGUGGGAAAAUUCGUUCUAGUUUACAUAAAAUUAUAACAGUCCCUUCUUCCAAUUUCUCUAAAUCAUUUAUAUUCAAUGUUCUUGAACAUAUUUGUUUAAAAAAACAACAAAGCUCUACAAUUGCAGUACAAACCUCCUUUCGCAAAAAUUUUCGAAUAACAAUGGGAAGAAGUUGUUGCAACAACACAUGACAAUUGUGAGUUUUCAAACCUAAAAUUUUGCCUUCAUUUUCUCGAACACAUUUAGAAAUAUUUAAUGCAUAUCCAUCAGGAAACUUCACAGAUUUCAAGAACUUACAAAAGAUUUUUUUCCCCUAACGUUAAUGUGUAAAAAGCAUGAGGUUUCAAAAAUCCAUUACCAUGUGGUUUUAAAUGCAAUUCUUUUCUAAUGUUCAUAUCUUGCAAAUCCAAUCUAGCCUUAUCUGUAUCUUUUGUCUUCCCUUCAACAUUCAACAAUGUUCCAACAAUAUUAUCGCACACAUUCUUCUCAAUAUGUAUUACAUCUGAAUUGUGUCUUAGUUUCAAUUUAGACCAAUACUCCAACUCGAAGAAAAUGCUUUUUCUUGUCCAGUUUAUCUCAUUUGGAGUUCGUUUCCUUUUCCUAUCUUUAUUACUUGUGUGCUUUCCAGGUUUUCCACACCUCAGAGCCAGUAAUUGCUUUAAAAUAUCAUCUCCUGAUAAUUUUUUGGGUGGUGGUCGUAGUUCCCAUUUAACAUCAUGUAAUUUACUUUUUCUCCAGGGAUGGUUUAGUGGCAAAUAAUGUCGAUGACCCAUAAAGCAUAUUUUAGUACGUAACCUAUUCGAAGAAGUAUUUUCAUUACAUAUUGGACAAGCUUUGUAUCCCAUAGUGCUCUAUCCCGAUAGAUUUCCACAAGCAGGCAAAUCAUUAAUGGUCCACAUUAUAGCAGCACGCAUAGAAAACAUUUGACCACUAUAAGCAUCAAACGUGUCAACACCAACUUCCCAUAAUUCUUUCAACUCAUAUACUAGUGGUCUCAAAUAAACAUCAAUAUCUCUUCCUGGUGCAUGUGGCCCUGGAAUUAGCAAUGACAUCAUAAUAACAGGUUCUUUCAUGCACUUCCACGGUGGCAUAUUGUAUUGUACUAGAACAACAGGCCACAUGCUGUAGGAAUUAUGCAUGUUUCCAAAUGGAUUGAAGCCAUCUGUUGCAAGACCUAACCUAACAUUACGAGGAUCUUGCAUAAAUUCUGGGUAUAACUUGUCAAAUUCUUUCCAUGCCUCACCAUCAGCGGGAUGUCUUAAAACACCUUCUACUUCAACUCGGCCUUCUACAUGCCAUCUCAUAUCUUUAGCAGUAUGUCUGGAUAUGAAUAAUCUCUGUAAUCUUUUUUUCAAUGGAAAAUAUCUCAAUACAUUUUGAGGCACCUUCUUUCCCUUUCCAAAAUUAGGUUUGUAUUGUGGUUCAUCACAUUUCGAGCACCUACUGGCAAAUUCACGCUCUUUCCAAAAUAAUACACAAUCAUGCUUGCAUGCAUGAAUAGUUUCAUAACCCAAUCCCAAUUCACUUAACAUUUUCUUGGCAUCAUAUGUCGAAGUUGGUAAUCCAAUAUCUUCUGGAAAAACCUUUUUUAGUAAUUCCAAUAACAUGUUAAAAGAUUUGUUACUCCACUAAUUCAAAACUUUUAUAUGCAUUAACUUCACCAUAAAGUUCAAUAAUGACAUUUCUGAGCUAGGAAACAAAGCUCGUUGGGCUUCAGUUAUCAUCUCCACAAAUUGGUUGCUCUCUUCAUUAGGCCUUCGAGGCGAAAAAUUAUGAUUUCCACCAUGUUCUUCCUCCUCCCAAGUUUGGUUAGCUUUAGAUGACAUGGGAGCACAUAGAUCGUCUAACAUAUCAUUCAUCUCAUCAACAUUUUCUUCUUCGUCCAAUUCAAAUGUAUUUCUUACAACACCCUCUAUAUUAUUCUCAAGUUCCUCUCCAUGAAAAAUCCAUCUCUCAUAACUUACAGAGAUUCCAAAGUGGUAUAAGUGAGAUUCUACCACAUCUAGUGACUAAAAGAAUGCAUUUUGACAAUUUCGACAUGGACAACGAACCUUAUUGUUCUCAUCCAGACAUUGUUUUGCUACCUCCAUAAAUGAAUUAAUACCAUCUAAAUAUUCUUCACUUAAUCUAUUACGAAGUCGCAUCCAACUCCUAUAUCCAUCAUGUAUAUCACUUGCCUAGACCAUAAAGGAUAUGUAGUUAAUAAUUUUUAGAAAAAUAACAAAUAUACAACUCAGCAAUAAUAAUAGCAGUUUGGCAGAAAAAUAGCAAGUAUUCAGGUUUCUGGAAGAAGUAGCAUACCAUAUAUCUUUAGGACAAACAAUUAUUGUAGAUAAGUGAACAAAAAGAAGAGUAAGAUGCUAGAAGUAAUAGGAAUCUAACUCCUGUUUGGAAAAUGACUUACCUCUCUCCAAUUUGCAGGCAAACAUUUUGAAGAUUUAAAAAGUUUAUGAUGCAUUUUUAGCUGAAUUUCCAUUAUGUUAUGGUUAUUGGAAGAAAUAUGCUGAUCAUGAGGCACGCCUUAGCUCGGUCGACAAAGUUGCAGAGGUUUAUGAAAGAGCUGUUCAAGGAGUUACAUACUCUGUUGACAUGUGGUUGCACUACUGUGUUUUUGCCAUUAGUACCUAUGGGGAUCCUGACACUAUCAGAAGGUAAUUCUCCUUGUUUGUUUUCUUAUUUUUGGCCUUUGUGUGUGUGUUUGUCCUCUAUUUCUUUAUUUUAAUAGCGUUGAAGUGAUCUUAUGUUUCUUUCUAACGCAAUUAAACAUUUAACAAUAGUGAUUACUGACAUGUAAGGCGAAAAGGUUUGUUACAGAAUUCAAUUCAGACAGAUAGUUGUAUGAUGUGAAAACCUUGGUUUUGGUGCUACUAUAUUAGUAGCCAUCUGGGUUUAUACACGGCCUCAUCACCCCUUCAGUUGUACUUAGGGUUAUGUUGUUCGUGUAAUUUUUCAUGAAGUUUUGCCUUUUUAACCAUGGCACCUGAGGAGCAUCAAUAAAUGAUGGUCUGUAAGGAUUCUGUAAGAUUAUGUUGAGGAAGGUAAAUGCAGUGUAUUGGUGCCUUUGUUUGGAAUUGUUUGAGUCUAUCUUUGAGAUACUAGUCCUCUUGUAUGCAUUUAUACAUGACUGAAUGACCUACAUGCCUAUUGGAUUUCAUAAUCGUUAAUCUGGCUGUUUUUCAGGCUAUUUGAAAGAGGAUUAGCUUAUGUUGGAACUGAUUACCAGUGCUUUCCACUUUGGGAUAAAUACAUCGAGUAUGAAAUUUCUCAGCAAGAUUGGCCAUGUGUUGCCAAAAUUUACACACGGUUAUUGGAGAUCCCGAAUCAGCAACUAGAUCGCUAUUUUGAAGGGUAAUUUUCUGGCUUAAUUGUCAAAAUUUUCAUUGAUGAUCGUGCUUUCCUUUUUUCCUGCUUUUCAAAUAUCGUACUGGCUUGGUGGUUGCGGUUUGAAGGAAGAUGAUUUGCUUGUCAAUUCAUCUUUUUAUUCCAGUCUGCAUGUAUGCCUUGGAGGCAGCAAUUUAUAUUGUCUCGUGCCACUUUUAACUAUACAUUACUAGCAAGAGUAGGUCGGUAUCUUUGGUAGUCUGAUUUGAACUCUGUUGGAUAUGCCACUGGUAUUUCCUUACUUAACCCAUAUUAUUGUUCUGAUGAACGAGGAAUUUGUUGCUAUGUGCUGUGAUUCCAGUUCUAGGAUGGGCAUUAACCUUAUAACACUUCUCUGUCAAUCUAUUCAGUUGUUCAUUGUUUAAAGACAAAAACUUAAGAAGUCCAUCUCACUAUAUCUGCAACUGCAAAUGUUCUGAAGAAAAUUUUUCGGUUUUGUUUCCCUUUGUUGUAUUCCUACAUUUAAGUUUUUGUCUCGCUGACCCAGAAGAAAAAAGGGAGAAAUGGGUUGAGGGAAAGGGAUAAAUCCUCCAUUUUUGUUGUUAUUGAAGAGUGACCACUCAUUGCAUGUCUUGGCCACUACUCAACCAUCUAGUUAUGCUUUUAUCUUCUCCUAGAACAGACUGCUUUAGUUGAAUGAUUUAUUAUUUGCGUAGUAUACAUCUAAUUGGUAUUAGUUUCUUUAAACCGUUAUCUUGUUUAUAUGUCUUCUCAUUUUAGAUACAUCAUUUUAGUUUGUCACAUAUUGUUACAGAUUUAAGGAGUUAGUAGCCAGUCGGCCUCUAUCAGAGUUGCGACUCCUGAGGAAGCUGCUGCUACAAAUUCAGAAGCUGAUGAUCAAAAUGCUGAAGGAGAAGAUCCUGCAAAUGGUGCAGAACAGACUUCCUUUCAACACAUCUUGUUACUAAUUUUGCAAAACAAUGUGGCUACAGUUCCUAUUAUUCAUUCACCUUCAGAGGAUGGAUUAUACUCGUAGCUACUACAUCUAGCUGCUCUUUCCGCCGUACUAAAAUGUAAGGAACAUAAUCACACAAUCUUAUAUGUGUAGACUUAAUAUUUUUUGGUACCCUAUAUAGACUUAAUAUUUUUUAGUUAUUGCCAGCACUUUCCAAAUGCUAAUUUCUGAAAUCCCUGUUGGAAUUUGGGUUCCCAGAAUUGAAGAGCCAAAUGUUCAACCAUUGGCUGUGUUGAGGCUGAGUGCUUCCCUUAGUGAUGCAUUGAACUUGUUAACUCAAGGUGUACAUUUAAUUCAUUGGAGAGUUGCAUACCCAAAUUCCUUUUCCAGAAAUUCUUAAUAACUGCCAGCAUUUUCUUGUAUUUGUUUACUAUUAUAUUCCUAAAUUCAAUGCUCUCUGUGUACACCUAUGUAUUUAUACAGUAUUUAUCCAAAAUAUGGUUAACUCAUAUUUAUCUAACUAUAUGAAAUUCAAGAAUUCAGUUUCCUGAAACCUCAAGAAUUCAAUUUCUCGAAACCUCAGGAAUUCAAGAAUUUAAUUUCCAAUGUCAAGAAUUUUAAAUACGUUUGUUUUUGUUAAAAUAAUGUCCAAAUCAAAUUGAUUCCAUUCGAAUUGGUCCAAGGCCCUUUAAAAUAAUGUUUGUUAUUAAGGCCCAAUUUUCUCAAAUAAUGCAUUUUAAUGCCGAUGUUCAUUUAUGCUUUACAGUCUUGAUCCUCUUCAAAUACUAAUUUGUAGAAUUUAAACAUAAUGAUUUUUUUUUAAAUAGAAGUCAAUUAGCGGUCAUAAGUACAUAAUGAUGAAAAAUAAAAUCAAAUUGCUUGGAAUGCCUAUGUCCAUAAGAAAUUUCAGAGCUACUCGUUAUGAGUAAUAGAACUCUACACAAAGUUUUCCCCCAUUAUGAAAAUGACGAAGAAACGUAACUUCAAUUCUUUCAGAAUCUUUAAUCUAUCCCAUUUUUGACAAAGACAAUUGGCAUUUCAUAUGAAAGUGCAGCCCAUUGCUACUCCUUUGUCCAGGCCUAGAUAGAGUUUACAUAAAAUUAAUUUUAAUUCAAAAUUACCCACCAAGUAAAUGAAAAUAUAGAAAAUAUGGAUAUGUAUAUAUCUAUUUCCAAUUCACAACUCCUCUCCUCACGUUUCCUUCUUGAUGAGGUUCGUGUGGAAGAAUAAGCACUUGCAUAUUUGGAACACUUGGAUUGUCGGUGUUCGAAGAAUUGAGCGUAACUUUUGCAUAUGGUGUCCAUUUUGGGCCUAUAAGUACUUUUCGGAAAGGUAGUGACCAUUUUGAAUUGAACUCAUAGUUUUGCUAUGAUGUAUAAGGGAUUUUGGCCGUUUGAGAUCGUUUGUUGGGUCAAAAUCGCGUUUCAUAUUUAUUAGUUCAUUUUUUUUAAUAUUUCUUAUUUUUGCGCUGUAGCCCAGCCCAUUUAGGGGCUGUUGGCCAGUAGUUUACCUAAUUCUUUUCAUAUUUAAACCCCCCCAAAAAAAAUGUGCUUGUUUUCUUGGUUGUUGAAGAAAUAAAAAAGUUAUUGUUUCUUGCAUCAAUCCGUAAUGUUGGCAUAAGCUAAGCACGAUGCUUAGUAGAAAAAUUGUAAAUAUGUAUAGUUAUGUACUUUGUAUCAUAAAAUAUUGUUGCCCUAGUUUGGACUCUUCUAGCAAUGCAAAACAAGGAAUUCAAGCGAUGGGCUUGAAUUCCUACAUCAACUCUAAUCAUGUUAAGGCUAUACCUAGGCUCGAACAACGGAGUAGCAAUUGGUUGUCAGUUUCGUAUGAAAUGUCAAUUGUCCAUGUCAAAAUAGGAUAGAUUAAAGAUUCUGAAAGACCUGAAGUUAUAUCUCUUUGUCAUCUUUAUCACGGGAGAAAACUUUGCACAGAGUUUGAGGGGACAAUUUCUUGGUGGGUAAUUUUCAAGUACAACUUCUUCGAGUGUACCGUUUGAGGGCAUGAUCUACAUUUUUAAAUUAAUAGAGUAUGUAUUUUCAUGAAUCGAGAGUAGCCAAAUUUUCAUGUACAAUUUCUUCGAGUGUACUGUUUGAGGGCAUGAUCUACAUUAAUUUUAAAUUAACUAGACCUAUUUAAUAGGCCUUAAAUUACUAUAGGUUCGUUUGUCUAAAAAUAAUAAUAAUAAUAAUAACUGGAACCGUAAGCUGUGCCUAUCAAAGCCAGCACAUGACAAAGAUUCGAAAUCAAUGGGCUUGAGCACGUACUCUUGCAAAACAUUAUACAUAUCCUUUUCUCAUAAUAAAAAUGGAAAAAAAAAACAAAAAACAAAAUUUAAUUAAAUAUUAUUCAAUUCAUAUUUUUAGACGAAAUAAGUAAUUGCCAUACAAGAGUCUAUAAAGAUCUUGAGUUUGAAAUUUGGGUAACAUAUAUACGCCAUGAAAACACAUAAAAUCUAAUUAAUAUUUAUUGAAAGAAAUAGUUUUGCCAAACGGAUUGCACGGGUUUUGAAUUAAUUUCUAUAACCAUUAUUAUAAGUAAGGUAACAUAUGUACGCCAUUGAUUUCUAAACAUAAAAAACUAUUAUUUUAUAUAUUUAUUCUUUGGUUACAAAAUUUUAUCUUGAAAAGUUUCCCAUAAUUAAAUUCCAACAAAAAGUCCACCUACUUUUUUUUGUUCAAAACAGUUCUAUUAGUUGUAGAUGAUUUUCUUAGGAUAUAAUCUUCUAAUAUAUUUCUUUUUCUUUUUUGGGGGAGAGAAAUAUUCUGUUCCAAUUUUAUAAAUAUCUUUUCAAAUAUAUUUGGACUCUAUAAGAAUCCUUUUAUAUAAAUUUUACUUUUCUUUCCUAAGGGUAGCUAAAUUAGUUGUGUACAAGAUUUUGUUUUCAAUUUUGGCUCUUGUAUUUGGAGGGAAAUUUUCAAGUUCCCACUCUUUUUUUCCCCCACUUUUCGUCAACAUCUUUAUCUUUUUAUAAGAUGUGUUUCUCAUUUUUUAACUCUACAUUCUCAUUUUUUAGUACUCUGUAGACAAGGUAUUUUCAUUCAAUCUCCAAUCUAAUGAUUCUUUUUGUGUGUUUUCAUUUUUUUUAUUUUUGGUUUUUGAAUCUAAUAUAUUUGCAUUUCUUGAUUUCAUGUUGAUUCAUUUCAAAUUUCCAUUGGUCGUUUGUCAAGGAUUGCUGAUAUACGUAUUCACAACCUAGGUAUGUUUAUAUCCCUUUUUUUUCAUCUAAUGUUUUACAGAAAUUCGUAGUUUUUGCUUGUUGUGGAGAUUGUAUAAAUCUUUUGGUGUUCCCUUUUUUUUUUCUAUUACAUGCUUGGUGUUUUGUUUGCAAUAUAAUUUAAUUUACUAGAAAAAUAAAUAUGUGAACUGAAUAUGAAAAACAUUUUUCAAAAGGAACAUAAAAUUUAUCAUCAUUAUUAGUCACAUAUGAAGAAUGUUUUUCCGUGAGUUUCAGAUCCUAAAUCUUCCGAAAAUCCGGUUACAACCCGUUCAAUUAUGGAUUGACCCGACCAUUUCCAACUGGAAAGAGGAAGUAAAUAAUGUUUGCCUCUUUUUCUAUGGAACCUUAUCGACAACUGCUUUCUUUGACCUGUAUAUUAUGUUUAUUAUGACUGUUUUACUAUAUCAAUCUUUAUAGAUUCAUAAAAUUUAAGUUGGUCGCAAUGCUUUGUCACCAAAAUGUUGCCAAUAACCUCUUAGAUGGGCCUAUACCAGAUAAUCUUAGCUCUUGUACAAAUCUGAAUAGCCUGUAAGCAUCUGAUGUAGUCUUGUGUUCUAUUUUCAUUUUUUAUGAAAUUUCACCUUGCUGGAUUACUUGCUGAAUGAUUUGAUGACAGUAAUGUGCAUGGUAACAAAUUGAAUGGAACUAUUCCCCUUGUAUUUCAGAAGCUGGAGAGCAUGACGUAUCUGUGAGCUCCUCGCACAUCUGUGUUUAAAAAAACUUCGUUUGCAUGUAUUCGUUGUUGUGUAUCUGGAGAUUGAUGUUCUCCAAGUAUAAAUUUUGUAUUUCUUGAUGUUGUAUAGGAAUCUAUCCUCCAAUGAUAUUAAGGGCCCCAUUCCAAUUGAACUUGCACGAAUUCGAAAUUUAGAUACUUUGUAAGUAUCUAAAUUCAGAUACUUACAACUAUAAUAGUGACAUUAUAGUUGUGCAAAACAAAUUCAGAUCUACUUGUUUGGUCGGAUGAAUUUUAAUAGAGGGGGAAAUAAUGUCACUUCAAUCCUCGUAGAGAGAACAUUUUAUUCUCCAAAUACCCAAAAAGUAGCAAUCUGUUAUCUAUCUUCCCUCCCACCCCCACCCACUAAAAUAAGCUAUUAUUAUCAAUUUUGUCUCUUGGUAGACAAUGGCUUUUCAAACAAGAAUUGGCAAUAAUGGAGACACACUUUUUUGGUUAAAAAUGAUCUUUCUCUCUCUCUUUUUGGUUUUCCUUUGUAGAUAAUGGCUUCUCAAACAAGAAUUGGCAAGAAAAAUAGAGUUUUUACUACAUCUUAUUAGCCAUCAUCGGAGGUCUUCUCGUUAAAGGCAUCAUGCAAGGGUCCAUUAACCCAAACUACUCUUCAAGCUAAUAUCUCUUCCUCAUUGUCUAAGACUAGUAAUGUUCAAGUUCCUACUCCAUUAUCUCGACCUCUCCGAGUUCCUGUCCCAUUUUCUCAGUCCCAGCCUCAACUUAAUUCAUCACAAGCAACCACAUUGACACAUGAGAACAUCCUCAAUUCCAACGGUAAUAAUUAAUCUUUAUGUUUAUGGUAUAAAAUCAUCCUAAUGUAUAUAUUUAAUUGAUAGGAUCUCAUUUUUUGUUUUAUAUAUUCUCAUCAUUUGAGCAAUUUAUUUCAUAGAUUCUCAUUCUUUGAAGUGGAAGGGACGUGGUCCUACAAGAGGCAAGGGCACUGAUGAAAUCGUGAGUGCAGCUGGAAAAAUAUCAUUGGAAAUUUCUAAAAAGAUGGGAAGAGCUAUUGGAAAUCAGCAAGCACGUUUGUCUAGUGAGUGUGGCUACGUCGUUCGAUCAUUUGCUCCACUUUGUUACAAAAGGUAGAUUGACAUAUCCAAUGAAAAGAAAAAUAAAUUAUAUGAUCGAGUUUUGGUAAGUCAUAAAUUUUGUAGAAUAGUUAUUAGUUUCCCGUACUUAAAUAAAUAUUAUACACAUUUCAUUUUUGGUAGGCAAAAUUCAAGCUUGAUUUGACAGUUCAGCAUGUCCAUAAAUGUGUGAACGAUACUUUAGCGAGAAGAUAUCAUGAUUAUAGAUGUAGACUCAAAGAGAAAUAUUUCAAUGGAAAAACAUUAGAUGAUGCAAUGAAGAAUUGUCCAACUGACAUAAAGCAAGAUGAUUGGGACUGGUUGUGUCAAUAUUGGUCUACUCCUGAAUUUCAGGUAACUUUUAUUAAAAAUACAGAUACUUGUAAAUAUUUAGAAUAACGUAAUUUAGAUGUUAUCUUAAUAGAAUUAAAAAUGAUAAAUUAUAAUAAGGAGUUAAUUAUAUUUAUAUAUAAUUAAUUGCAGGCACUAUCUACAUGCAAUUUAGCUAGCCACUACUACAUUAAAUAUAAUCAUCGUAGUGGAUCAAAAUCAUUUGUUGCACGCCUUGACGAAAAUGUGAUAUUUUCUUUUCUUUUAUUAAAAAAUAAUAGAUUUGUGUAACAUGAUAUAUAUUAUUUCAAACAGAGAUCAAUUACUAAAGACAACACACAAGGAGAAAUAGAACUUUAUUAUGACACUCAUUACAGUGAGAAGAAAGGGUGGGUAAACGAUGAAGCACUAACAAGAUAUGUAAGUAUAUUAACAAUUUAUUCAUUGUUAUUGACAUUUUAUAUAUAUUCUAUUAUUAACAUAUAUUCCCUCUUCUUUCUCUUUACUCAUAUAUAGGAGAGGAUGCUUCAAAUUAAAGAGCAACUUGUUCCAGAAGGAUCUGAGGCCCCCACUGAACUUGAGAUUUUGCAAGAAGUUUUAGGAAAAUCUAGAGGUUACAUUAGAGGACUUGGACAUGGUCCAAAACCUGCCACAAGCUACUCUGCUCAUUUGACAUUGGUUGAUAUUGAAUCAAUAGCCCUUCGAGAGCAAAUACAAAAGCAGGAGCAAGAACUAUUGGAUAUGCGUGCCAGGCUUUCUCAAAUUGAGGCACUAAUGCAUAAGUUCGUAUCGAAUCAAGUCGACAUAUCUCCACAACAAGCCGAACCAGCAACAAUGUUUAGCAUGCCAACGCCUACUAAUAAUAUAUGAACUAUAAUUUAUUUAUUUAUUUGCUUUAAUUGUUGAGACAUUUAUUUUUCUUUAUGGAUUGGUUCAGUCUAGUAUUUCUAUUUUUUAUAAGUUAUUAUGUGAUUGAAAGUUUAAUAGUCUAAUGCAUUUUUCUUAAAUUUUUUGGGAAUAAAUUUUUUUAGAAAUUUUAUACAGCUUUUAUUAUAAAAAUUUUGUUCUUCAUAAGAAAUAAUCAAAAAAUUUAAAAAUUUAUAUUACAUAUUAAAAUUUAGCUAGACGAAAAAACAAACACUUAUUACAAAAAAAGAUAAUAAUAAUAAUAACAGUAGAAAAAAGUUACAAAAUAAAAUAAAAAAGACAGCAAGUAAAUAAUGUUACAAAAUAAAAUAAAAUAAAUGGAUGAAGUACAUCGUAAAAAUUUUACAACAACGUAUAUUUGAGGAUUUUUGCAGCAUGCAUUGCACGUUGCAGUAUUCUUCAACUCUACGGAAAUAUUAGAGUCUACAAUAUAUGGGUGAGCAUUGUAAAAAAUCAACUGCAAUAUCUUUUGUCUGUUGCAAAAAAAUUAUUUUCUUGUAGCCUUUUUUCCUCCAACUAUAGAAUUUUUAGCAACGAAUAUUUUUUUAUCCCCAAAAGGAGACCCUAUUGCAUCACAAGCAUUUUGUUGCAAGAAAGAAAUGUUUGUUGCCAUAAAUUUCCCACCAAAAAUAUUUUGGCGCCUUACUUCCCUCAUAUUUUUGGCGACAUUAUUUAUUAUUUGUCGCAACUUCCCACAUUUCACGACAACUUUUUAUAUCGUCUUAUAAUUUUUGAUACUUAUUUUUUUCAUCACAUUCUUUGUGACAAACUUUAAAAAUGUGUCGCGUUAAAUCACUUAUUGCAAGAACUUUUUGUAUGUCGCAAAAAAACUUAUCGCGAAAUCAUAGUUUUGUUGUAGUGAUGUAAAAGAUUUGAGAAAUGAAGUAAAAGAAAUAAGAAACGAUAUAAAUAUAUUAAAAAUUGAGAUUAGAGAAUUAAAAGAAAAUAAUAAGAAUAAAGAUAAGAAAAUAGAUAAAAAAAACUUAUAGAAAAAGAAAUGACUCGGAUAGGAAAGAAAUAUAUAGAAAAAGAAAAUAUAGUAAUAGAAACAGGAAGUAUGGAUGAUGAAUUUAGAAAAUAUAUAUUACCAAAGAUAUUAGAAAAAGAAGAAACUAGAGAAAAAUCCUUAGGAAAAUUAAAUGUAGAAGAAAAAGAAGAUAAAUAAAGAGUUAGAAUUGUUAAUAGAAAAUUUUGAUCAAUUAAGCUUAACUGAUAUAAGUGAAUACCAAGUUUUAAUGAAUACUGGAGGAGGACUUAAUCCAGCAGGAACCUCUAAACAGGAAUUACAUGAUACAAAUAAAAGUUAUGCACCUAUAUAUAAUAAAUCAUAUAGAUAAUUUUAUGACAAAGUAAGAGAUAGAUAAUCACCCAAAGGAAAUAAAUAUCAGAAUAGAAUUGAACUAAAUGAUAAUUAUGAUAAACCAAUCAAUCAUGGAGGAACAAAACUAGAUUUAAAUUGCAAAAUAGAUACUAAAAAAGCCUUAUUAACUUGGGUAGAUUCGAUGAUAUUAUUCUUUUUAUAUAACAAAGAUGAUACAUGGGAAAAUACUGAAAGAAGAAUAGAUUUCUUAAUAGCAUCCUUUGAAGGAGAUGUUAGAAAUUGGUGGGAAGAAAUAAGAAAUGAUACAAAAACAUUAAUAAAAAAAAUGUACAAACAGAAAUAAUCAAAUCAGAUAGAUAAGGUAUAGAAAAAUUAGUGGAAUAUAUUUCAGAUGAGUUUUUAGGAGAAAAUUGGAUAAGAAAUGCUGACGAGGAAUCAAUAAGAGAAAAAUAUAAUGCUAGAAUAAAAUUAAUAAAUUUAACAAUAUGUGAUAUGUGUAAAAUUAAAGAAUAUACUUGUGAAUUUAGAAAUUACUAUUAUGUUCAAUUUCAUAGUAAUGAGAAUCAAGAAGUAUACCAAGACAUGUAUUAUAAUAAGUUACCAGGUUCAUGGGGAAUAUAUUUUAAAAUAAAAUUUGAAAAAUAUGUUAGAGAUAAUACUGGAAUACCUAGGACUUUAGGUUCAAGAAUAAAAUUUUUAUUUGAAAGACUUGCAUAUAUAUGUCAACAAUGGCAAUUAAUGAAAAAAUCAGGAAAACUAACUAAAAUAUGUUGUGAAGAUAUGGAAAGUCCUGUGCAAUGGAGAUGUAAUCUUGAAAAAAGAAUUAAUAAAAGAAAAUAUAAAAAUAACAAAUUUAGAAAUUUUAAUAAAAAAUAUAUAAAACCUAAAAGAAGGUAUUAUAAAAGAAAAAAUAACCCUUAUAAUCAACAGAAAAAUAAGAAUUAUAAGAAAAAUAAAAGCCAAUGUAAAUGUUGGAAUUGUGGAGAGAUAGAUCAUAUAAGCCCUAAUUGUGAUAAAAAGAAAGUAAGAAUAUUACAAAAAGAAUAUUUAAAAAUAAAAGAUGAAUUAAGUGAAAUAUCAAAUAUUGAAGAAUAUUAUGAUCAGUAAGUAUAUAUAAGUGAAACAGAAAAAGAUGGAUCAGGAUCCGAAUAAAGAAAUUGAAGAAAUAGAUGGUAAUAAUAUAAAUAUACAAGAAUAUGAAAGAAUAGAAAGAUAUGGAUUAAAAGUCACUUUUGACAAUAACGAGUUUAGAAAAUUGCAAAAAUUAUCGUUAGACUUAAAAAUAGGAAAAUGAGAAGUCUUUGGUAGGAUUUGGAAAAGAGAAAGAAUAGCAAUAAACGAAUAUCACAAAAUAGAAAAAACCAUAGAUGUAAGAACAACUUAUGGGCAACAUAAAUUAAAUCUUUUAACAAGAAAUACAAUUGAUGAACUAUUAACAAAGAUUAGUAAAAAACAAAGUGAAAAAAUUCAAUAUGUUUAUUUAGCAGGAAUACAAAUAAUGUUUAAAUCACUAUUUAGAGAAGGGAUAGACUCACCCUUAACUAUAACUUUACAUGAUGGAAGAAUAAUAAAUUUAAAAGAUAGUCAUUUAGGAACAAUAGAAGGAAAUUUAGCAUAUCAAAAAAUUAUGUUUACAUGUUACCCAAAAUAUUGUGUAUCAUUGAAAGAUAGAAACUUUAAUUAAGUUUUAGGACUACAUUUCAAGUUUCAUAGAGAUGAUAUUAUGCAACCAGGUGAUCAAAUUAUGACUAUAGAAUAUAGAGUUUUAUGCACAUUUACUAAUUCUAAUUAUGGGAAUAUUUAUUCUAAUAAACAAUAUAUUGAAGUUCAUAAAGAAUGUAAAGAUAUUAGUAAAAUAAUAAAACCAAAUAAACAAAUAAGUUUAAUUCCAGAAGAAUAUGAAUUUAGCAUAGCAAAAAAUAAACCUGAAAUAAUAGAAUUAAAUGAAGGAGAAUGUUCUAAUAAUAUAACAUUUAAAGAUGGAAAAUUAAUCAAAAGAUCAAAAAGUCUUAAAAUGCCUAAUAAAAACCAGUUAGAAGAAAUCAAAAAAAUAAAAGAAAUAAAAUUAUAUAGGAAUGCUGGAAACAUUAAAAUAGAAGGAGAAUAUUAUAAUGGAAGAGAAAAUAUAAAUGGACCAAAUAUAUUAAUAGAUACAGGAGCCAGUGAAUGUCAUAUAGCUUCGAUUAGAAACAAAUGACUAAUAACUCAUAAAAUUGAACCAUAUAAGUAUGUAAAUUUUGAUGGAUAAGUACAUAUAACAGAUUUAGAAGUUAAGGUACCAAUAGAAAUAGGAGGAAUAGAUCUCUUAGUACUAUGUUAUAUAGAUAGAAGUAUGGAUAUAAACCCUCAUAUACUUUUAGGAAUGAGUUUUCUAAAUGGAUUAGAAGAUUAUAGUAUAAAAAGAGAAGGAUUAUAUAUUGUUCAUAAUGGACAGACUACAUUAUGUAAAAAAUAUUAGAUGAAUAAUCAGAUAAGUUUCCCAUUAGCUGUGUAUAUACAAAUUACUAUUGCAAAAACAAAUAUAACAACUCGUGCUUUGAUAGAUACAGGAAGUGAUAUAACAAUAUUUAAAUUUUUUUUAAUAAAAUCACGGAAUAAUAAAUAGCAAUAUAAAAAUAACUGGCGCUACUGGAGAAAGUACUCAAAUAAUUAAUAGUGCUGAUAAAGUUAAUAUAAUUCUUGGAAGUAAACAAGUAAUAAUAAACAAAAUUUAUAAAUACGAUAAAUUAUAAUGUGAUAUAUUAUUAGGAAAUGAUUUCAUACAACAAUUUCAAUAUUAUAAACAGAAUAAUUAUAUGAUAAUGUUACAAACACUUUGUGGACACUUAUUAAAAAUUCCUAAAGAAUUUAAACCUUAUAGAGUUCAGUCAACCCAAUGUGGUGAUAAAUGGGAGAAAAAAUCAAUUCUUAAUAAUGAAACAAAAAAUAAAAGAAUAUUAUAUACGAAAGUUCUAAAGACAGGAAUAGAAAUGAAUAUAAAAAAAAUCAUUGAACAAUUAGAAAAAGUUUAUGGAGAAAAUUCAUUAUUAUUUUGGAAAUCAUAUCACCCAAAAGUCAAAAUAGAAUUAACAGAAAACGUUAUAAUAAGAGUAAGACCAAUGAUUUAUACAAUAGAAGAUACACAAGAGUUUAAAAAACAAAUAAAAGAAUUAUUAGAACAAAAACUUAUUAGACCUAGUAAUGGACCUCAUAGUAGUCCAGCCUUUAUGUUAUGAAACACUCUGAACAAAUUAGAGGAAAAGCUAGAAUGGUUAUAAAUUAUAAAAAAUUAAAUAAAUAUACUAAAUUUGAUAGUUGCUUUCUACCAAAUAAAGAAGUACUAAUAAAUAUUGCAAGAGGAAAACAAUACUAUUUUAAAUUUGAUUGUAAAUCAAGAUUUUGGCAAGUAAAAAUGGAAGAAGAUAGUAUACAAUAUACUGCAUUUAGCACACCUCAAGGAAAAUAUGAAUGGUUAGUUAUGUCAUUUGGUUUAAAAAAUGCACCAUAAAUAUAUCAAAAAAAGAUGGAUAAUAUAUUUAAAAAGUUUAAUGAAUUUCUAAUAGUUUAUAUUGAUGAUAUAUUAAUAUGUUCUAAUAAUAAAGAACAUAGAAAUCAUUUAAUCCAAUUUAUUAAUGAAUGUAAAAAAGAAGGAAUUGUACUAUCUAAAAAGAAAUCUAUAAUAGAAAAACAAGAGAUAGACUCUCUUGUAUUAUCAAUAGGUAAAAGAGGGAUAAAAUUACAAACUCAUAUAUCCAAAAAGAUAGAAAGUUUUUCAGAUAAAUUAGAAUCCAAGGAACAAAUUCAAAAAUUCUUAGGAUGUUUAAAUUAUGCAGAAGAAUUCAUUGAGAAUCUUUCUAAGAAAAGACAUAAAAUCCAAGUUUUAUUUAGAAAAACAAAUACUAAGGGAUAAAAUGAAGAACAUACAGAAAUAGUUAGAUCAUUAAAAGAAAAAUGCAAAAAUCUACCAAAAUUAAGAUUAUCAGAUGAAAAAGAUAAUUUAAUUAUUAAUACUGAUGACUCAGAUAAAUAUUGGACAUCAAUAUUAAAAACAGAUCUUAAUGAAAUUUGUAAAUACUCGAGUGAAACUUUUAAUCAAACAGAAAUAAAUUAUACUACUCAUGAAAGGAAUUAUUAGCGAUUAUUAGAGGAAUAAAAAGUUCUCGUUGUUUUUAUUAUCCAAGAAAUUUAUUGUUGAACCUGAUAAUUCUCAAGUUGCAGGAUUAGUCAGGAAUAAGUUACCCUCAGAACCACAAUAUAGAAGGUUUCAUAGAUGACAAGCUUAUUUAGCAUUCUAUAACUUCGAUGUAAUCCAUAUUAAAGGAGUUAAUAAUUUUCUUGCAGAUUUUCUCAGUAGAAAGAUAAAAUUUGCUAAUGGAUAAAGUCAAUGCCAUGGAGUUAUACUAAUCCAUUCUACAUAUAUAAGAAAGGACAAACUUUCUUAAAAAAGAAUCUGAAGAUGUAAGUUCUGGAACAACCCAGAUUUCAGAGAUGUUCAACUCAAAUAUGAAUAUAUUAUUGAAUAUCAUUGCUGAACAUCAUAAAUAUGCCAUUGAACUUAAAAAUCAAGUUGAUGCUAUUGCAGCACAACUGAAAAAUAUACUGUUUCAAACAGAUAUACCAAAGAGCUCAGAAAUGAGUUUUUCAAAUCAAUACCAAACAGGGACAGCUGAAAAUAGCAGUGGACCUAGACGUGAUAACAUACCAACUGAUAAUAAAGGAGAUUCCAUUUCUGUAUCAUCAACCAAGAAAGUUAUGAUACAUGGAGAUAAAAAAGAUAUCAAAACAAUCAGUAUCAUAGAUCAAGAAGAUAAAAUCCCUUUAGAUCCAAACGAAGAAAAAUAUGCUGAUGAAAUAAAAAUAAGUGAUUCAUAUUUCAUUUCUCCGGGAAAUAAUGUUUAUCCCAAAAUAACAGCCAUGGAAGGAGGUGACUCUUCAUUCAUAAAAAUCAUGACAGACUAUGGAUUCAUGUAUUUGAUUUAUCCAGGAAAAGAUUUUAUUGAAAUCUCAAAGUUCGAUGAGAUAUUCAUUAAAGAAGUUUCAAGAUUUGCCAAAGGAAGGAAGAUAUUUUUAAAAUUCUAUUCAAUCAGUCCAGAAUAUGAUGGAGUUGUUUACUAUCUAGUUGAACACAUAAUCUCAAUUGGCUAUGUUGCAGCCAAUUUCCAAAUUGAUGUUACGGAGAAUAACAGAAAAGUCCCAAAAGUAACAAAAUCAUGGAUCAGACAUAGAAGAGCAUUUGGAAUUAAAGCCAUCUACAACAUUGCCAAAAACUUGUUUGAUAAAAAAUUCUCAUACCUAUGCGAAUAUGAGAAUUGGAUGCUGGUAUCCAAUGGAGGAUAUGCAAAAUCAGAAAUUUUAAAAGACUAUAUUACAAGAUUUGAUAUACAUCAAUUUUCAGGAUGUCCUACCACUAUAAAAGAAUCCUGCCAGUUAAGGGAGUGCCCCAACUGCAUGUGAAGAAAUGUAAGAAGAGGACAAAGCACCUUUUGACAAAGGUGUAUGAAGGGCAAUAAUACUACAUGUGAAGACAUUCAAGAUAAGGAGCAAUAAUAGAAAAAGAUGCUCUUUGGAUAGAAAAGUUGGACCAACAUGUGAAGAUGUAGGCCCAAGGGGAAGAAAAUAGAAAGGCAAAUGUACCUUGCUGAUGUAUUCAAUGAUGUAAUAGAGUUUCAAAAACUUGUAUAAAUAGAGACAUUACCAUAGAAGAAAAGCAUCUCAUUCUAUCUUGAAUUCUCGAGCUGUAAAGCAAUAGCCUAUUCUCAGUUUUAUAAACCAGUUUUUUUGGAAACUCCUUGUGCCAAAAUAAAAGUCUUGUAUCAAUCCUAAUAGAAAUAAAAUUCCAAUAUCUUGAUAUCAAUAUGAGUUUCUAAAUCUUUUUCCCAUAGAUUCUUGAAAGAUCAAAUAGAAAUUUUCCUUCUUAUUUUAGCAAAAAGAGAGUUUUCCUUAACAGAAGUCUAGAGUUUUAUUCUUUAAAAGUUGAUAUAGUGAGAGCAAGUAGCUGAAACAGUUACAAUUCCGUGAAGGUAGGAGGCCGUUGAAGAAAGCAAUUUACAAAUUUAGAGCUCGAAGGUCACUCGAUUCUAAGAAUACAGAUCUAAAUCAAACCUAAGGUAAAACUAUUAAACUUUUGCUAAAAUUACAAUGAAUCUUUUAAAGGUCUUAGAAGAAUCGCACGGACAAUUGCAUGAUGAUUAUUUUGAUAAAUGUCAGGAUAUACAAUUGAAGGAUUAGAUAAUUUAUUAGAAAUGAUGUUAGAAGAAAUAAAGAAUAUUAUAUCUCAAUUAAAAAAUCCAAAUUUACCAUUUGAAAAAUAUAGUGCUUUAAUUAGAAAAUAUGAGAUGAAUGUUUCAGAUUAUUCUUAUUUAUUAGAUCAUAGAAUGAUUUUAUAUUCAAAUAUCCAAAAUAGAGAAAACAAAGGAUAAAAUGUUUAAAAGAUUUGGACAUAUGUUGCAAUAUAGAAAGAAUCAUUUCAUUAAGGGUAAUAUAGACAUUUCCAUAAAAAAGAAUAGUAAUAGGCCAAAUAGAAAAAUGUCCCAUUAGUUCGGUGCCUUAAAAUUAAUUAGAAUUAAAAUUCUCGUAUUAAUUACGUCUAAUACAUCGAAAGUCCAAAGAAGCCCACAAAUUGAUUUUGUCAUUUUUAUUUUUAUUUUUUGCUUUUUGUGUUAAUUUUGAGUUUUUUUGUCAUUAUUUUGAAUAUUUGUGACAUUUUUAAAUUUCUAUCACUUUUCGUUUAAUAAUCUUUCUUUUCUUUUUUUUUGCAAGACUGAGUUAAUUAUAGCAUAGAAAUACUCGGUUCAAGAGCUAUAACAUGUCACUUUUUUACAUGAUACUUUUUUGCUUUGAUAUAUCUUUCAUCCUUCAAAAAAGUGACUGCCAUGUAAUCAUUAUGGCACUUUGUUGGAUAAGGCAUAACAAAUUUCACAGUAAUAACAAAUUUCACAGUAAAGAUAAGGGUAUUAAAUUAGUAGUUAUCAUUGAAAAACACAAAAUUAACCAUGGAGAAAUCAAAAUAAAAUAAAAAUUUCACCCCUAUUUGAAGGGAAUUAAAAUCAUAUUUUUAGUAAAUUUUGAUAAAAGUUGAUGUAAUAUAUAAUUGAAAAAUUGUCGAUCUUAUAAAAUGUGUUGUUAAAAUUAAUUAUUGAUUUUGGUUUAAAUUAAAAUAUGAAAAUUAAUUUUCACAUAUUAGGGGCUUCAUGAGAGAGAAGAAAAAAAUGGAAAAGAAUCCCUUUGCGAUUCAAAGAGUUGUCGUUCUUAUUGAUGAACCCCACUAAACACUAAUGAUACAUCCCUAAAAAUUAGAAUGAAAGAUUCCUUGCUUUCUUCCCUUUGUUUAGAGUCUACGUAAUUAUUGAUGCAAGUCCAGAACAUCCAUUUUUAUGGCAUAAAACUUAUUCAGAUUUCCUUUUACCCGUAAUUAAAGCAUGAUUAAUUAUGAUAUUUCACAAUUAUCCAAAUUUUGAGGGUACAAGUAGCAAGCACGUUCAUUGCACGUCUUAUAUAUCAGAUGAAUGAUAUGUAUAAUGAUUUUGAAGCAUUAAUACUUUUUUUAAGGUAAUUGAUGUAAUUGAUAUAAAGGAAAAAUUAAAAUUGUUAAAAACCAGCUAUGAGUUGACUCCGAAAAAUGUACCUUCAUCGUUGCCAACAGAUCCUACCUCCUAUCACGUCCACAUAGCUCCUUCCUGCACAUUUGGAAUGACACAAAGUGUGAGCUUUUAUAGUAGAUUAGGGUGAGUAAGAGCUAUUGGAUGAAGAGACACAUAGCAUUAUCUUGGCGGCUGGAGCCUCUUGUUAUAGGCAUCAAUCAGUCAAACUUAGGCUCAAGUGCAUUUAAUGUUAUGAUCACUUAUAGUCCUAGGAUUUGAAAGACUAGACUUGACUUGUUGAUUGAGCUAAGCCGCCUAUACAGCGAGUUGUCAUAUCACCCAAGAUAAGUGUGUUUUUGCACAUUUAUUUAAUACCUAAAUAUGCUUAUAAUUAACUAAAUGAAUGAAAUUCUACAUACAAUUAAGUAAUAUUUGCUUUUGUGGGCUAAAAAUCACCCAUGUAAAGAUAACAACGCAAAAGGGGGUGGAAUGGACCAAAAUUAAUGCAAAAUUGUAAAGUUGGGGACCAAAAUGUACAAAGGUAGAAAGUGAAGGAUUUAGGAUGUAAUUUAUGGAUGGCAAAAUUGAAAUGAAGUCAAAAUCUGAGGACCAAAUUGUACAAAAUCAAAGUUGAGGGCCUUGAGGGUACAACUAUCUCAGGGCUAAGCUGCAAAUGAUACUAAAAUCUAUUUUUUUGGGUUGUUGGAUAGAGACUCGACACAUAGGUGCAACUGUUCCAGUGCCUAGGCACUAUCUUUAAUUAAACCCCUGUUUGAUGCCUAUUACUUGAAAAUGAAAAUGGGGGGAAUAGUAUUUUUUAGAAAAAUGAGUGAUUGAAAAAAAAAAGUUUUCAAUUUACGUGUAAUAUUAUUUUAUGGAAGAUUGUGUGGUUGAAAAUAGGAGAGAGAAAAAUGAAAUGUAAUGUAAUUUAAUUUAAUGGAGAUCAAACAGGGGUUAAAAAAGGGUUGGGACCUUUUUGCACUUUUUUUAACUUCAGGGACUUGAGCUAUAAUUUAUCUAGGGUUUUUAAAAUAAAACCAAGUCUGCUGGACUUGUCUUCUACUUCUUCCUAGCCGGUUUCUGCUUCUUAAAUUUAUUUUCCUUUCUUUCUUUUUAUUUUCUUUCUCUUUCUUUACAUUUCAUUUCUUUUUUUUUUUCUUUAAUUUUUCUUGGCAUUUUGAAAGUGAAAUCAAGAGCACAAAGGGGAAUACAUCCAAGGAUUUGGAGAUAUAUUUGGAAAAGUCAUAGCCAAGCUUUAAAAAUGGUUGUAUCUAUAAUUUUUAAUUUUCUCAAUUAUUUUGCCAUAUUUGUAAUGUGUUGUGUAAAAUAUUCUCAUUUGAUUGAUUUAUAUAAUAUGGGCUAAGUAAUUAUGAUAAUAUUUAUGGUAGUAAUUUAAUCUAACUUUAAUUAAUUUCAACGUUCGCUCUUUAAUGUUAAGUUAUUUAUUUUCAUGUGCUUUUACUAUUGUUAUUAUUGUAUUUUCAAUUAUGUGGCCAAUGAAUGAUUUUGUUUAGUGAAUUGUACAUCGUUCGAGAGAAGAUUGUACACUUUAGAUCAAAUAGUAAAAAUCUUAGGUUUGUUUAGAGGAUAGAUACAUACCGCUAACCCUAGGUGAUCCUUUGAGUUAUUUUUUACAAAUAUUUAAUAAGAUUGUUUGAUUUUAAUCGACAUAGAGAUAUAGUAGGUUAGACCAACCAAUUAGGAUUAAUUUCGCUCGAAAGAGGUAAUUAAGCCCUCGUUUGCCCCCUCCCCCCACAUUAAUUUUCAAUCUAUUACACUUUAUUUUUUUCUCUCCCAUUUUUAACUACACAAUCUUUCACAAAAUAAUAUUACAUGUAAAUCAAAAAAAAUUUCUUCUUUUUCAACCACAUUUAAAAAAAAUAUUAUUCAACUCAUUAAUUUUUCCACGUAAUGGGGGCCAAACAGGAGCUAACUAAAAUUGAAAAAUUGAGUAUAAUAUCAUAAAUGAGUGGCUUGUUAAUUGGCUUAUGGAGAAAUUAAUUAGGCGACGGUUAAAUGAAAUCAUGAAUUCCAAUCACGUUUUCUUCCGAAAUUUCCAAGAUUUUUAUAUUUUCUAAUUUUCUAGAUUUUUAGUUAUUUUCCUAAACCAAAUAUUUAUUGUGUGUUUAUUUUAUUAUUAGAAUUAAAUUAAUUAAAGUUGUGUAAUAAAAAGUAUGCGUUCAUCAAGUGAUCAAUAACCUUGAUUCAAAAAGUUUAUUUUAUUACUUGAACGCGACCCGUGCACUUGCGGUGUAUGAUUUUAGUGAACAAAUUUUUAGCGUCGGUACUGGGUAAUGUAUUUACUUUGAUUACCACUUUAGUUAAUUUUAGUUUUAACAAUUUCUUUUUAUUUAUUUUUAAGUGCUUUUUUUUUUCUAUAUUUUGGCUAACCCCUACAAUUUUAAUCUAUCUUGUAUUUGUAUUUCCUACCUAUACUUUUCAGAUAUUUGCAUGAUUCUAACUUGGUGAAACAUCGAAACUUUUGCAAUGGAUAAUAUUUAUUUUGACUAUGGAUAUAAGCUUGGAGGUCUAUGAUAUGAAAUUUGACAAGCGAUGCAUUGUACAAGGCAAUGCUUGUUUUCGUGCACCGAUACCUCAAUGUCUAAGCUUCUUUGGUUAAAAUAAUAUUUGAAAUGUCGAAAACUAGCACUGGACAAUUUCAAUGGUAGUUACAUGCUCAUUGGAGAUUAUGUACCUGAUGAUUGGGAUGAGGACAUCAAAGUUUCGAAAGAUGGUCCUCCAUGUUUGAACGAGGGGAUACUUGCAAAGUAUUACAAUGAACUUGCCAAGUUGGAUAAAGAAGACAUGUUUGUGAGAGAUUACAAAUAUUGGGAUAGAUUUCAAAAGUGGGGGUAUAAUCCACUCAACAGGGUUAAUAGGAAAGACUUGCCAUUGACCGUGGAGUUUGAAGGUGGACGGGGCAUUCAAUCCGAUGAAAUAUCAACCAUUGAAGGAGAGCUUGAGGAGAAUGAAAAAUCAGUCAGACUUAGGCUAAACGAAGAUGUGGCAAUCAAUGAGGAGAAAACCGACUUACAUACCUUUGACUUGGUUUAUUGCCAAGAUAUUGAUUUUGUGAAUAAACCCGAUGAGGAAGUAGAGAUCUUCAUAGGUAAAUUUGAAUUGGAUGGAAUGGGCAAGUCAUAUUAUAUUCUGGAGAUCAAAUGAAGAGUAAAGUAAAGCCAAAAGAAGAAAAAUGGGCAUGCCAUAUAAAGCCUUCUUUAGGUGCUAGUGAUUUAAUUGUCAAAGUCGAGUUAAAAACUAUAAAAGGUGCUUGUUGGGAGACAACCAACUUUUUAAUUUUAAAUAUUUUUAUUUAAUUUUAUGCAUUUUCUUAAUUUUAUUUGAUUAGCUAUACUUUUUUUUUUUUUUGUAGGUAAUUUCUGAAGGCCCACAUAUUUGUGGCUUCUCAUAAGUUUGGGGAUAAAUUGUGUACAGAAAGAUCACUUGUCCAUGCUCAUUGAAAGCAUUGUAAAUCCAAUUCAGGCGUUGGUACCUCUUCACAAAUGUUUAAUCGGAGAAGUCUCGUUAACCUCCCUCUUCUUUUUUAUCUUGUUCUUUACACAUUGAGGACAAUGUGGGAUUUAAGUUUGGAGGUGGUUGUGCUUAAAUUGGUGAUGUUGUGUCGACAUGUUAGAUAGCCUUGCCGACUUAGGAUUUCUUGAUGUUUGAAAUUGUUAUGGAUUCAUGAGCUAUGCAUGACCAUAUAUGCUAUUUUUGCCAAAAAAAUUGCUUAUCCAUUAUAAGAUCUUGAAUUUCUUUAAGCACAAUAGUCAUGAUUAAUUGUUAUCUAGAUGCAGAAAUUUUUUUAUUGAUAGAGAGACUUUUGAAUUGGUAAGAACUAGAUUGUGAGUUGCUUGAAAAUUUAUAUCAACCUAUAUCAAUUUCUCUUUCACUUAACCAUAUUGUGAGAUAAGUUUUUGGGUGGUCAAGCCAGUGAAGGAAAAUAUCUAGAAGUGUAUGAUUCCGUGCAUGUUGAAAAAUAUUUGUAUGGAGUGUCUUUUGCUAAGUAUAAGCUAGGUAAUGACCAUAUGCUAGGAAUCUAAGCCCCAUUUUUCUUGUACUUAAAACAAAAACAAAAAAAAUAAAUUGUUAUUGCACUUGUUGAAUCCUAGGCCUCACUUCGUAUCCUUCUUUACUCGAGUUAUUAAGUCCGUAGGGGUAUCUUAAAAUCUAGUACCCUUUGGCCUAAACAAUCGAGAAAUUAUCGAUCUAAAACUCGCUACAAGGGUUAAGAAGAAAGCUUAAGGGAGUGAGGUAAAACAUGAGAUUUGGCUAAAAAAGAAUUGUUGCUGUGCAAUUGUAUUUGAUAUUUGAGCUUAGAUAACUAGUGGGUUUGAAUUACUUAGUAUAAGCUUAAAUGUCGAAGCACUCAUGUAGUAGAGAAUCAUCACAUUACUGGAGAUUGAUAUUGCUGAUUAGGCUCAACCGAAGAAGAGUAGGAAAAAAAGAGUGAGAACAACCUCUAGAUUUACACCCGAGGAAAGAAAAUGAAAUAUGAAAGAAAAUGAAAUAUCUAUUUUAGUGUGUGAAUCUCACAAGUGAAAGGAAAUAUUUGACCACAAGGGUUCGGGUUGGAGCCAAUUUGAAAAAUUUUCCGCGUUGACAACUUUUUCCUAAUUUAGAUAAUGAUUGAAAAUGACUUUGCACACACACAUUGAUCGAACAUGGAUAAGCUUAAAUUUAUUUUAUUAGAAUUAUUUAGAGCAUAUUUGUGAAUUGAUUAUACAAUUUCACACUCAUUGAUAUUUUUGGCAAGCUAUCUAAUGCGUUGAUCUUUAUCUUACGUUACACGAUUGUGGUAGUUAAUCUUGCUUGGGACAAGCAAGAGCUUAAGUUUGGGGAUAUUUGAUAUCUGUGUUUUUGUACAUUUAUUUAAUACCUAAAUAUUCUUAAAAUUGAUUAAAUGAAUGGAAUUCAACUCACAAUUGGGUAAAAAUAGUCUAAAAAUCACCCAAGUAAAGAAAACAAUGCAAAAGGGGUGAAAAUGGACCAAAAUUGUAAAGUUGGGGACUAAAAUGCACAAGGCAAAAAGUGGAGGAUUUGGGAUGCAAUUUAUGGAGGGAAAAAGUGAAAUGAAAGUCAAAAUCUAAGGACCAAAUUGUACAAAAUCAAAAUUGAGGAACCUGACGUGCAAUUAUUUCAAGCACUAAGUUGGAAAUGAUACUAAAAUCUAUUUUUUUUGGGUUGCUCGACAGAGACUCGGCGCCUAGGUGCCAUUGUUCCGGCACUUAGGCCCCACUAUUCUGACAACUAGGCACUACCUUUAAUUAAAAAAAGCGUUGGGACCUUUUUGCACGUUUUUUGAAAUUUCAGGGACUAGAGUUGCAAUUUCUCUAGAUUUUUUGAAAAAUAAAACCUAGUCCGCUGGACUUGUCUUCUGCCUCUUCCCGGCCAAUUUUUGCUUCUUAAAUUUAUUUUAUUUUCAUUCUUUUUAUUUUCUUUACUCUUCAUUUCUUUUUCUUCCUUUAAUUUUUCUUGGCACUUUGAAAUUGAAAUCAAGAGCACAAAUGGGAAUACAUCCAAGGAUUUGAAGAAAUAUUUGGGAAAGUCAUAGCCAAGCUUUAAAAGGGUUGUAUCUAUAACUUUGUAUUUUUUUUUUCAAUUAUUUUGUUAUAUUUAUAAUGUGUUGUGUAAAAUAUUCUCCUUUUAUUCAUUUAUAUAAUAUGGGCUAAGUUAUUGUUAUGGGAUUUAUGGUAAUAGCUUAAUUUAACUUUAACUAAUUUCAAUGUUUUCUCUUUAAUGUUAAGUUAUUUAUUUUCAUGUGUUUUUACUAUUGUUAUUAUUACAUUUUCACUUAUGUGGCCAAUGAAUGAUUUUGUUUAGUUAAUUGUACAUCGUUCAAGAAAAGAUUAUGUACUUUAGACCAAAUAGUAAAAAUCCUAGGUAUGUUUAGAGGAUAGAGAUAUACUGUUAACCCUAGGUGAUCCUUUGAGUUAUUUUCACAAAUAUUUAAUCUGAUUGUUUGAUUUUAAUCGACAUAGAGACAAGUAGAUUAAACCAAUCAAUUAGGGUUAAUUUAGCUCGAGAGAGGGGACUAAAAUUGGAAAAUAGUGUCUAAUAUCGCAAAUGAGUGGCUUGUUAAUUGGCUUGUGGAGAAAUUAAUUAGGUGACAAUUAAGCGAAACCAUGAAUCCCAACCAAGUUUUCUUCCAAAUUUUUUAUAUUUUCUAGAUUUUUAGUUAUUUUCCAAAACCAAAUAUUUAAUGUUCGUUUAUUUUUAUUGUUAUAAUUAAAUUAAUUAAAGUAGUGUAAUCUAAAGUAUAUAUUCCUCGAGUGAUCGACAACUCGAACUCAAAAGGUUCACUUUAUUACUUGAACAUGACCCGUGCACUUGCUAUGUAUGAUUUUAGCAAACAACCCACUUGUUACAAAAUCUUGUAUUAAGAUCUUCCCUAAAGAUGCCUCUACUUUCCUCACCUAAUUCAUGGGAGCUUGGCUCCCCAUUGGGGUUCAGUUAAUAGGGGUCGACCAUGGGUGCUCGGCUAUGGGGGCUCUACUAAAUUGAUACACGUGCAGAAUGAUGUGGAUUAUGUGCCUAAGUUCUCUUGUAGUGCAGUUACCAUUUGACAAUGCUUGGAGUCUCAUUGGAAAAUGAUGUGAUCCAAGAAUCAAGCUCGAAGAAGACCAGUGUGGAACAUGACUCGUUGAUAAUCGGAGGCAGGCCGAUGACGCGAUCACGGGUAAAACAAGCGAUGAGAUUGUUUGUUCAAAAAACAAUUGACAAAACAUUGUUCAGGAUGCAAAACGAGGCAACUUUCUUGUUGGGGUCGAGAGUCGAAAUGAAUUGGAUCAACAUGAUACAAGGAACAAAAGUCGAAGACCAAAAUAACAACUAUGCGAUCACAUAGUUGGCGAGCAGUUUCCUUUUUUGGCACGAACUUUCCUUAUUUCAUUAGAAUUCUAUUACAGACAAUAUUCUUGUAAUCUUUAAUUUUGUUUUAACCUAGGAUUAAAGUUUUAUUCCUAUUAGAAUUAGUUUCUAGAUUUUCAGUAGAGUUUUAUCCCUAUUAAAAUUAGUUUCUAGAUUUUCUACAUAUAAACAGGUUUAUUUUCAUUCUAAAACACUACACAACAUUUUUUUUGGAGAGAAUUCAAUAAAGAGAGGCAAUUUGCUUUGUUCAAAUCGUUCUUCAUUGAACAAUUGGAACUUAUCAAGAGUUACAAUCUUGUGGCGUUCUACAAUCCGGGUGGGGGUCUUAAUCGUGUAAUCAAGGGGUCUUUCAAGCUUUGAUCUUGUUGGGUUUUUUUGUUUAUUGAUUCGAGUUCGAACUCUCAAACCUCUUAAUUGGCUUUUCUAGGGUUUUAACAAUAUAGUUGUGGGUUUUCGUAGUCAAUGUUGCUACGGGGUUUGCAACAGUUGGUAUCAGAGCAUAGCUCCAAUUUAACAGAUUAUAUCCUUAGUUUUCUUUGUUGAGUCUUUGUUAUUUGUUUUUUCGCAUUUUUGUUAGUUUUCAUUCCGGUGUUCUUUGUUUCUUCGUCGUUCGAGUCUUCAAUCCAUAAAAUUAUCUUCAAAUUUUGUCAAGGUUGUUUCGGGUUAUUCUAGCGUCCAAAAUCAUCUUGUUUAAUUUGUUGGUAGUUUAAUUCAUUGUUUUUGUUCCAAAAAAAAAAAAAAAGAAGAAGCUACUGUUCCAAUACUGUUCCAGAAACUAAAAAAAAAGGUGGAAAAAAAUUGUUCACGGUACUAUUAAAAAAAAAUUCUAUUAUUUUUUUUAUUGUUCAAUUUACUACCAACAAUCUUUAUUUGGUCGAGUCACAUUAGUUUCUUUCAUUCAAUCAAAGUCGGGUCAAUUUUAUUAAAAAUUCUUUGAGUCCUUUUGUUUCACAAUCUUCGGUUCACAUUUGGUUGGGAAUUCCAUGGGUUUAAAAUUCUUUGAAUUCAUUUUGUUCUUUGAAGUUAUUUUUUUUUUUCCAAAAAAAAAAAAAAAGAAGAAGCUACUGUUCCAAUACUGUUCCAGAAACUAAAAAAAAAGGUGGAAAAAAAUUGUUCACGGUACUAUUAAAAAAAAAUUCUAUUAUUUUUUUUAUUGUUCAAUUUACUACCAACAAUCUUUAUUUGGUCGAGUCACAUUAGUUUCUUUCAUUCAAUCAAAGUCGGGUCAAUUUUAUUAAAAAUUCUUUGAGUCCUUUUGUUUCACAAUCUUCGGUUCACAUUUGGUUGGGAAUUCCAUGGGUUUAAAAUUCUUUGAAUUCAUUUUGUUCUUUGAAGCGCUUGGAAGAAAGCAUUGAGUGGUAAAAGGCAUAGUAGUGAGACUAACAGAGAAAAAAAGCCAUAUUGUGUGAUUUCCAAGUGAAUACUGAUGAGGCUGAUAAAAUCUCUAGUUUUAGGAUGUUUGAACUGCAACGGAUGAUUUUAUACAGCAAUUUGAAAGUACGUUUGGGGAUGUGAGAGAUAGGUUGGAUACACAAGAAGUUUGGAGGAUAAAACAGGAAGCUUGGAUGACAAGGUUAGAUAUCUCGGUGGCUAACCUUAGUAGGGAACAACUAGUAGAGGUGUCGAAUGCUUGGGGAUUGGGUAAGCGAUAACCUAGGAAGGUAAGGGUUGAGGAAUAUGAUAAUGAUCUGGAUGAGUAUGAGGCUAAUGACGUUGAUUUCAACUGCCUCAAUGCCCAAUAUGCUUUGUGCUCAAACUCCAUUGGUAGGUGCUAUACUUUUCCAAAGACUAGUCGGUAUGUUGACAUCCAAUUGGCGUCUUGUACACGGUGCGAUAGGCCCACAAGGCAUCAUCCAAUUUUUUGGACCAAUCUUUUUUAGAUGAAUUCAUUGUGAGCUCCAAAAUUCUUUUCAAUUGUCGAUUAGAAGUUUCAACCUGUCCACUUGUUUGAGGAUGAUAUGGUAUGGCUAUUCGAUGUUGUACCCCCUAUUUAUACAGUACUACCUGGAAUAAUCAAUUGCGAAAGUAAGUUCUACCAUCACUUAUAAUGGCCUUUGGUGAUCCAUAGCAGUUUUGCAUCAUUUGUAAGCAAUACUUUGGCUUCCAUCCAUUUGGAGACGUAGUCCACUACUACUAAGAUAUACUAGUUGUCGUAAGAAGAUGGAAAAGAUCCCAUAAAAUCAACCCUUCAGAAAUCAAAUAUUUCCACCUCCAGAAUGUUUUUAAGUGGCAUCUCAUAACAGGUUGAUAAGUUACCUAUUCUUAGAUACUUAUUACAUGAUCUGUAGAAAAACUGUGGCAAUCCUUAAACAGUAUUGGCCAAAAGAACUAGCACUGAAGCACCUUUGCUAUUGUUUGGUGGGGCCAAAAAGUCCUCCAUAUGCUAAAGCAUGAAACAUUGAAAGGAUAGGUUUCAUCUCAUUCUCUGGUAUACAUCUUUUGAUAAUUUGGUCCGCAUCUCUUCUGUAUAAGUUUAUGGCAUCCCAAUAAUAGAAUUUGGCUUCAUUUAGCAGCUUUUUCUUCUGAUGGUAGGUGAGGUCUAGAUCCAUAUAGCCAUUAGCUAAGUAAUUGACAAUGGCUACAUACCAUGGUGCUUUAUCCACUUGCAAUAACUGUUUGUUUGGAAAUAUCUCAUUGAUGAUCAUCUCAUCUAACUUUUGUGAUUGCUCUAACUUCGUUAAGCGAUCUGCUACCUGAUUUUUUGUUUACUUCUUAUCACAAAUCUCGAUAUCAAACUCUUGCAGUAACAUAACCUAUCGAAUCAACCUAGGUUUCACAUCAUUCUUCUCAAACAAAUGCUUCAAAGCAACAUGGUCUUUAUAAAUUAUCACAUUUGAACCAAUCGAAUAAGAACAAAUUUGUCAAACGCAAAAACCACUGCUAGCAUUUCCUUUUCAGUUGUUGCAUAGUUGAUCUAAGCAUCUGUCAAUAUUUUGCUGGCAUAGUAGAUAGCAUACAAUACUUUUCCCUUACGUUGCUCUAGCACUGCCCCACUGCAAAAUCACUCGCAUCACACAUGAGCUCGAAAGGUAAUUCCUAAUCUGGUGCCACUAUUAUAGGUACUUAUGUCAAUUUUUCCUUCAAAGUGUUAAAAGCUUUUAAACACUCAUUAGAAAAAAUCAAAUGGCACAUCCUUCUACUGCAGGUUGCACAGCAAUUUUGUAAUCUUUGAAAACUCUUGAAUAAAUGUUUUGUAAAAUCCUGCAUGCUUCUAAUGCCCUUUACUGAAUUAGGUGGCUGUAAUUUCUUAAUCACAUGUAUCCUAGCUUUGUCCACCUCAAUAUCAUCUACAGAAAUUCUAUGUCCUAAUACUAUUGCCUCUUUUAACAUGAAAUGACAUUUUUCCCAAUUUAGCAUCAGGUUUUUCUCUUCACACCUUUGCAUCACGAGAGCUAGCCAAUCCAAAUAGUCAUUGAAGAAAUCUCCAAAUACUGAAAAAUCAUCCAUGAAUACCUCGAUAUACUUUUCCACCAUGUCAGAAAAUAUGAUCAUCAUGCACCGUUAAAAGGCUGCAGGUGCGUUGCAUAAACUAAACUGCAUCAUUCAAAAUCUCAAAGUGUUGUAGGGGCAUGUGAAGGUUGUUUUCUCUUGGUCUUUUGAAGCAAUAACUAUCUGAUUGUACCCUGAAUACCCGUCCACAAAGUAGUAAUGAGAAUGACCUGCCAACCUCUCCAACAUGUGAUCAAUGAAAGUCAAUGAAAAAUGUUCCUUUUUGUUGGCAUUGUUUAGCUUCAUAUAAUCUAUACACACUCUUUACCCUAUCACUAAUCGUGUUGGUAUCAGCUUGUUGUUCUCAUUUUUCUCCAUUGUGAUUCUACUAUUUUUAGGGUAAAUUAUUCAUGCAUCCAGCAAUUCAGCACUUCUUUUCUCACCACUUCUUUCAAGGUUGGAUUUAAUCUGUGCUGUCCUUCCACCGAUAGUUUAGACUUGUCCUCCAUUAAAAUUUUGUGCAUGCAAAGAGUCGGAGUGAUUCUUCUGAUGUUAGCUUUUGUUCAUCCAAUUUCCAUUUUAUGCUUUAUGAGUACCUCCAAUAACUUAUUCUCUUCUUUCUUUGUCAUAUCAUUUGCUAUAAUUACAGAAAGUGUUGUAGAGUCUCUCAAAUAUGCAUAACGGAGAUGUGAUGGCAAUGGGUUUAAUUCAAAAGUGGGAGCCUUUUUUACCGAAGGUGCCAGUGAUGAAGGAUUGUCACCAAGAGACUCAUAUUACUAAUGUCUCAUUCCUAUUAGUUGUUUGGCCAAGUUUACAUCACAGUUAGUUCUUUCUGUACUUGCUGCCUCCGAUUGUGCAAUAUCUUCUUCACAUAGAAUUGUUUGAUGUUAGUCUCAAAUGUAUGUACCACAAUCUCUUCAAGAACAUCCACUUGGAAACAGGUGUCUGAGAGUAAUGGAUGUUUCAUCGCCUUGAGCACGUUGAAGGUGACUUGCUCAUUGUCCACUUGAAGAAUUAUCUUUCCAUUAUAAACAUCUAUCAACGCUCUUUUGGUAUCCAAGAGGGGACUUCCCAAGAUCAGAGAGAUGUUUGAGUGCUCCUCCGUACCCAAAAUGAUGAAGUCAGUUGGAAAAUGAAUUUUUAUCAACUUUGACAAGCGAAUCUUCAAUAAUCCCAUGCGAUCGUUUGAUUGAUCUGUCAGCUAGUUGCAAAGAGAUUGUUGUAGGUUCUACUUCUCCCAAUCCAAGAGACCUGUAAACAAAGAGAGGCAUCAAAUUAAAAUUCGCACCUAAUCACAUAAAAAAUGCUCAAAAUAUUUAGAACCAAUGGUACAAAGUAUUGUGAAACUCCCUGGGUCCUUUAACCUAGGAGGUAGCUUUUUCAAGAGAAUUUCACUGUACUCCUUAUUUUGGCAUAUAGUCUCACGUUUUUCCAAUUUCCAUUUGUUAGACAGGAUCUCCUUCAAAAAUUUUGCAUACAUGGACAUUUGGGUUAUUGAAUCUACAAACGGGAUAUUUAUGUGCAGGUUCUUGAAUAUUUCCACAAAUUUAGCAAAUUGCUUGUCUAACUUCUUUCUCUGUAGCCUUUGUGGAAAGAAAAUUGGAGGUACGUAAGCUUUCAUGGGGCUUGGUACUCUCACUAUGGAUGUUUCUUUCUAUUCUUUCUCCUCAUUAGUGUUUGGUACAUACUCUUUUUCUUUAUCGACUUCUUCAACCAUUAUCUUUCUGUCUUUUCUUUCUGAUCUCUUUCCAUGUAUCUCUAGAAGUUGUACUCCACUUUUUGUUGUAAUAACUUGCACUUGCUCUUUUGGCUUGACCACUGUGUUGCCUGGUAAUGUUCCUUGUGGGCGUUCUGCAAGUUGUUGAGUUAUCUGAUCAAUUUGUAUUUUCAGAUUCUUAAUGGAUGAUUGUUGAUUCUGAAAGUUAGUGUUAAUUUGCUGGAACACCUUGAUUGUCUUCUGCAUAUACUAGUUGAAUAGUUUCCUAAACUUGAUUUUUUUCUCAUGUUGGGCAUUGUUUGAAUUGUUUCCUUGUUGAUUAUCGGACAUUCUGAAGUUUGGGUGUUAUCGCCAUCCUGGGUUGUAUGUUUGAGCAAAUGGAUUAAAAUUACGAGAGCCAUUCUAAAUGAAGUUAACUUGUUUCUCUAGAAAGCUCAUAGAUGUGCAAUUUUCUGUCAGAUGAUUAGCCCAACAGUUUUUGUGUGAUGGCCCUACCAUCACUGCAUGUGCUCAUUUUGUUUGUGACUUCACCAAUAACUCUACUUAUUUUGUCAAUGUUGUGAUCUACGCAUUGGUGGAUGCUGUGCUGUCUACUUCAUACAUUCCCCUUACAUUUGGUGGUACCAUUCUUUCUGAUGAGAACAUUGAAUACGUGGCGACAAUCAACUCAAACAAGUCCAUGGUUUGUUGAACUGAUUUUCCUAUAAUUGACCCACCAGCAGAGGCAUCUGCUUGAGAUUUUGACAGUGGUGUAAGUUCGGUGUAGAAGUACUACACCUGAUCGCCUGUAGUAGUCCCAUGGUUUGGAUAAUUUCUCAUCAGCUCAUUAAAUCUAUUCUAUGCCUAGUGGUAGCUUUCUCCCUCUUUCUGUUGAAAUGUUUGAAUCUCCAAUAUGAUUUUAGCUACUCUUCCCGGUGGGAAGAAUUUGUUGCAAUACUCCAAUGUAGCAUGAGGCUCAGCAUCCAACACUGGUCAGUUUUCUGGUCAGUUUUUCCAUGUAGUAAUACUCCCAUGAGGCUCAGCAUCCAACACUCCAAUGUAGCAUCUCUAAGUGUAAAUGGGAAUAAUCACAAUUUAAUAGCAUCUUUAUUAACUCUCGAAGCAUGGAAGUUCUGACAGUUCCUAGGAAAUCUGGAGAUAUGGGUGUUUCAUAAGGUAACCCGUAGAAUUGGAGAGUGUUGCUCAUCAAGUUAAUCCAAUUGGCCUGAUCUGAAAAUUAUUCAUCCUAAAAUCUGGAUACACAAUACUGGAGCACGUGGGUGUUGCUAUAGGUGUCAGGAACAUUGCGACUGGCAAAUCUCCUUCAUUUAUUUCUUCUCACUCAUGUUGCUAUUCCUGUUGUGUUGCUAUUCUUGCGGCCACUUGUCUAAUUGGCUGAAUAGGAAUAGGAAUAUGUUGAUCAUUAGCCAUUUGAUGUCGCUAUUUUUGUUUGUGGUCUUUGCGUUUUCAUUUGAAAGUACAUUUUAUCUUCGAAUCUAACGGUUCAAGAUUGUCGUUUUUGGCACAUACAUGCAACGAACACAAUUUUCUGUAAAUAAAAGAAAAUAAAAAAAUAAAUAACAAUAAAAAAAUAAAAUAAAUUAAGAUUAAAAGUAAUAGUUCUUGGUAAUGGUGCCAAAAACUUAUUAUCGAUUUUAUUUCUGCAAGUGUACGGACUGUAAAAAGUGGACCUAAGAGUCCGGAUUGUCGAUCCCUCGAGGACUAUACUGUAGCACUUAAUUCAAUUUUUCUUUAACCUCUAUUUGAUUAAAACAAAUAAAGAUUUUUAUAUUUGAGUUUUAAUCUAAAUACUAGAAAAUAAAUAGAUGCAUGAACGAUUGGUUUAAAAAUCAAAUAAUGAAUGGAUGUUAGGGCAGAAUAAUUUCACCUAUUGAUCAUCUUUACAUCAUAAAUUAAGACUUGUAGAAAAUAGGGUUUUCGUCUGGACUCCAAAAAAGGCAAAAAUUGCGCCAUAUUCUUUUUGUAGGCCGUGCCGUGGCACCUGGGAUGCGGCACAGUAGCACUGCAUCGAAUUCGGGUGAUACCAACUCACUUAUGCUCCUUCGCGCUGCAGCGCCGUGAACCUGGUGCUGAGGCUCAGUUGUUUUGGACAUCUCAGUGCCCUAAAUGUGGCACCAUAGUGCAAACACUCUGUUCCUCUUUUAUAUUUUGGGCAUCUUGGUGCCACUAUUUCGUUGCCGAGGCGCUACUCAUCCAACAUUUGUGCUUUUCCUCUUUUGCCCUUAUAUUACUAAUUUCUUGUCGAUCAUGCCACUAACUUUAUUUGAUGAACUUUGUCGCGUGUUUCAUCAUCUCAACAAUCCUACAAAACAACAUUCACAACACGUCAAAACAUUCAAUGCUUGAAAAAUCUAGCUUACAAUCUAUUGAUAAAUAUUUCAUUAAUGAAAUGAUAUGAUAAAAUAUGACAUGUAUGGCCACCGGUACAAAUGAUAUGAUAUGAUAUGAGCUCUUACCGGUUUAAAGAUAUGAUAUGACGGUACCAUUUAUUUUGAUAUAUGAAUGAUAAAUGUUAUUCGGGAUUGUACAAAUAUUUGUAUCCUACUGAGUAUUCCCCAUACUCACCCUUUUUUCCGUACCUUACACGUUAGUAUGGGUCGUGUCGGAGUGCGGCGGUUCAAUGGUGUGUUUGUGCCUCAUUUAUGGAACAAAACUCUAAAAUCUAGCACGUAACUUUGUUUAUUUUAUUUUAGUUGUCAUGGACUUUUGUUUACAAUUAAAUUAUCGUGAAUAUUUAUUUUUAUAUGGACAUGUUUAAAUGGGCACUUUUAAUUAGAUGUUGUAAUUAAAUUGUUUGAUUUCUCUUUAGCACUAUUUUACAUUGUUGAUAACAAAAUUUUAUAUGCCAUUAAUUAUGUAGGACAGAAACGUAACUUAUGCAUGUAACAUUUAUUGCGAGAAUGUGGUGAAAUUGGCCAUAUACUAUAUUCCCAAAGCCUCUACUGUCCCUGCAAUAAUGGUCUAAUUCAUCAUGCAAGUGAUCCAACAUUUUCUAUGAAUAUAUAUGAUUAUGCCAUCUACGUUUCGCAUUAAUUUUCAUGAUUAAGGAAUAAUUAGUCAUAUUAUAACGGCAAAUUCGUCCCCUUCUUAUCAAAUAAAUUGUGCACAUUAGUUUUCACGUUUCUGCAUGGUUAUAUGGAGUAAUUUAGCACUAAAGUUGAACUACAUACAAUCUAGAUAUUAUACGGUAAUUAUACUUUAAUUAAGGGAUAACAUUAUUAUAGACCCAUUUUUUUAAAAGAAACGUUUGGUAGCGACUUAAAUUUUAUGAAAAGAUUUGGGACGCUACAUAUGUGGCAGCCAUUUUUAACCCUUUUGAAUUAAAAAAAAAAUUAACCUAAAUGAAAAAUUUAUUAAUAACAACUUUUUUAAAGUGCAAUAACUUAGAUUUCGUUUAUCCGAAUCAAAUUUUUCUUGAGCCUAAUAGGUGUAAUUAAUUAUGAGCUUUCCAUGAGCCCAAUGUUGAUAUACUUAUAUUAGUCCUACCAAAAUUUAAUUAUUUGACCCAAAAAAAUAUGAAUUUAAAGCACAUUUCAUUUCAUUCCUCAGUUUUUCAAAAUAUAAAAACAAAUACAUUUUCAUUCUAAAAUUUUCGGGACGUUACCAUAUGUGUUCACCAUUGAAAGAUGCGUCAUUAGUUGAAAGGCUACUUUAUAAAAUAUAGUAGCAUUGUUUGAACAAAGACAGAGCACAGGACUAUUACAGAAGCAUGUAUGUAGGCUAUGUGGUUGAGGGCUUUGAUUGGUAAAAUUAGUAAAGACUUACAAAUUUGUACUGCCUAUUGUCAUAGUCAAGAUGUUAUCUUUUUGACAAAGGAUUAGAUGUUUCACAGGAGGACAAAGUACAUUGAUAUGAGGUAUCACUUUGUGCGUAAAGUAAUUGCUUAUAGAGAUAUUAUAGUAAGCAAUUUUAAUACCAAGGAGAAUCUCGCUGAUAUAAUGACAAAACAACUUCUUAUUGCUAAGUUUGAGCACUAUUUGAACUUAGUUGGUAUUUGUUAUUGAUUUAGCCCUCGGGCCUUCUUGGGAAGAGGUGGAGUAGUUGUUUGGUAAUUUAUGGAAGAGAGUGGUACAGUUCUUUGCAUUAGAGUUUGGUCCAAGGUAGAGAAUUAUUGAAGUGUGACCCAAAUUCUACUAGGUAUUGGUAUUUUGGUUGAAGAAGACUUCAAGAUGUCAAAUUAUGGACCAAGGAAAAAGUCUCAGCGUAUUCUCACUCGCUAAGCAACUGUCUUCACCUCGAGCACUCAAAACAGAAGAGCUAGUACUCGCUUGGUGCCAACUUACUUCUCAAGUGAUGGGUCAUUUAGGCCAAGGCCUAUUUCAUCUUUUAAUGCGAUUUAUAGAAUUUUAAUCAUUCUAUAACUCUAUUUUUAGGGUUUAUAUGAAGCACUCACAGCUUGUAAACCUAACACAACAUUGUUAUAAUCUUAAGAGAGCUUUAGAUAUUGAUUGAGAGCAUUGAGAUCUAGUGUAAACAAUGUUCAUUAUUGACUAUAAUGAAAUACUCCUCCUCUACUGUGGUUUUUUUUGAGUCUUGGAUUUCCAUAUAAAAUAUUGGUGUUCUUGUCUUGAUUUAUUUCAUUAUUGCCUUUUAUCUUGCGCUUAUUUCGUAAUAGAAUACUAUAAAAAACUGAUCUAAAUAUUGUUGAAAAUCCUAUCUUGAAUGUUUUCAUUAGAAUGUCACAUUACUUAAUCUUGAUAAUAUCCUAACCUUAUGUCAAUCUUGGAAAAUAUCAUAGCUUCCUUCAAUUGAUCGAACAAAUCUUCAAUUCUUGAAAGACGAUACUUGUUUUUGAUGGUCAAAUGAUUUAACUCCGAAUAAUCUAUGUACAUCCUCAUUGAUCUUUCUUUUUUCUUCACAAAAAUUAUUGGAGCACCCCAUAGAGAAAUGCUUGGUUGGAUAAAACCCAUAUCCAACAACUCUUCCAGUUAUAGUUUCAACUUUUGCAAUUCUCUUCGCGCCAUUCUAUAAAGAGUCUUGGAUACUGGGCUUGCUCCUAGUACUCAAUCAAUUGGAAAUCUAAUUCCGAAAACUCUUGCUUGUUGACUAAUUAUAGGUCCCGUUUAUCCAACUAGACUCAUAAAGUUACAAUUACGAAGUGGUCUCACCAUUAAAAAAUGUCCUAAAAGUCCAUAUUUAAAUCCAAAGUUUCUGCUUCAAUUUGUAAAAAGAUUUUAAAGUGAAUCUCCCUUGAAGGAAAGAUAAUGGGUUUGAAUUCUGGGGGCUCAACAGAAAUCCACAAGGGGUAAGAUUGGCUAGGUUCUUCCAAAGUGGAAAGUACAUAUGAUGUAAAGACUUGAGCACAAAUGCUUGUGUCAUUACAAAAAAGCACGUUUUUUGUAAUGACUCAACCUCUAUGUUCAAGUAUUGGUACCAGGAUUCAACUUAAGUCACUAUUAAGAGAAAGGUCAUAGGUUCGAAUCCUAAGACACUAUAGAAGGUUAUGAGAGGUAAGAUGGAUUUAAACUCUCCAAAAGUGAAUAGUAUGCGAAAGGAUGAAUGACUUCUGCUAUAGCAGUAGUGGAUCACUUCACGAAAUGAGCAAAAGUCGAAUCCUUAGCAAAAAUUAUAGAGCAAAAGAUCACUGAGUUCAUCUGAAACUCUAUCAUUUGUAGGUUUGGUAUACCCCAUUUGAUCAUCACAUACAACAAUAAACAAUUCAAUAAUUCAAGGAAUAGGUCUUUUUGUAAUGAGUUAAAAAUAAGAAAAUACUUCUCGACCUUAACCAUCCCCCGGCCAAUGGUCAAGUAAAGCAGUCAACAAAAUAAUUAAGCAUAUUUUGAAAGUUAGUCUAGACGAAUUAAAAGGAGCAUGGGCACCAAAUAAACUUGGUUCAUAAAUGCUAUUCCCCUUGGCUUUUGGAGUGGAUACAAAGAUCUCCAUCGAGAUAGAGGCCCCUUCAUUUCGAACUAUGUACCACAUCAAAGAAUGGAGACACGAGGCUUUACGAGUAGGAUUGGAUCUGCCUGAAGAAAGGAAGAAUAACGUCGACCUAAACACUAUUAUAUACAACCAAAAAAAUGCCAGAUAUUACAACCAGAAAGUACACCAAGGAGAAUUUGAAGUUGAUGAACUUAUGUUAAGACACGUGCUCCUUACCACUAGACGACCCAACUCUCGGUCAUUAGGCCAAAAUAGGGAAUGCACAUAUAAAAUAACCAAAAUCCUCACAAAAGCUCGCACAAGCUUGUAGACAUGCAAGGUAGGCUACUCAUACAUCCAAGGAAUGGGAAAUAUCUUAAAAAAUAUUAUUAGUAGAUAUCAUGACAAUGAUCAUGCAUGAUAACUAUAUUGUCUCCCUUUUAAUGAAAUAUCAAAAUCCUGAUAACAAUUAGCUAAAAUUUGGAAAGGAAUUCAAAAAAUUAAACAAAGAUUUCCUGAUAAGGACUACUCACAAGUAGCUAGCCACAGUUUAGAAAAGGAAUUCCAAAAUAAGAACUAUUCCAAAGUAGUCCAGAGCUGAUGUCUAUGUACUGCAACAUUUGGCUGGUUUUUCAAAGGAAAUUCAAAAGGGACCGUGAGUUUAACAUAUUAACUACAUAGAUCAAAACAGAAAAAAAAUAGAGUAAGAGCUAGUCAUAAUCAACAAAAGGCAAAAGUAACUCAAGGAAAAUGAAAAUAACUUCAUUUCAUUAAAAAGAUAAUAAAGAAAUAAAUCAUAAAUAAAUAAAAUAAAGGGUAUAAUGAAAAUACAACAAUACUAGGUAAGUGGAAGAUCUCCUUGAGUAAGAACAACGAUAUUGGGGUAAGGUUCGAUGUUUGAAGUAGGCUCAUCAGAGGUCUCAGUUGACAUUUGGGCCAAAAUUUUCUUCUAGUCAGCUAAUGCUUCAAGGAGGAAACCAACGUCAAAACCCUGAUCUCAUCUUCUCUAUAUGUUUGAACAUCUUGACCAGCUCAAUUACAUAGGCAUCUUAGGCUAAAUCAUCAAAUAUUGUAGACUUCUUUCCACUCUUUGACCGUCGUGUCAGCUGACCACCUUUUUAUCAGCUCAUUUUUGUCUCCGAAGCCUUCUUUUUCUCUAAUUUGGCAUGGUCAUUGUCCCUCUCUCCUAGAUCUUUAUAGCCUCAAGUUUUAGCUUGAGGUCUACUUUAGAACGUUCCUUGCUAGCCAAGGUAUUUUCCAACUCCUUCAUUCUCUUAAACCGCAUCUCACUUUUGUUCGUAUGAUUAGCUUGCUUAGCUUUAAUAGCUAGCUAUGUGGCACCAUCUCCAAUUCCAAUUUUAGCUGCAACAAGGAUUGAAACGGUAAAAAAAGAUAUGAAGGUAAGGAAUGGUUGAGUAAAGAAAGAAUACCUUAUCGAAAAAUCUCAUCAUAUAUAGAAUGGAUCUAUGAUUCAGCACCCUCAGCAUUAAUGCAAGCUUAGCGAGGACUCAUCUGGUCUAAGAAAGAUUGCUUAUUCCCAUCCAGCACUUCAUCUUCAUCACUAAGAUGGUAGAAUUACUCUAUAGAAGUGGAAGAAAUUUUUUAUUUUACCUCUUGAAGAUAGGGUUGUAAAAUGAUAAAGGUGAAAGAAAAGUUGAAUUUUGCCUUUUUAACGGGUAAGUCAUGGUUAACAAAUUAUUCUUUGCUGCUAAGAAGAGAAUUCGAGCAAGUAAAUCUACGAAGUCAAGUAAGGAAAGAAAGCCUAUUGGUUGAUCAAGUUCAAGUUUGAUUUUUCAACUUCUAAAGGAGGAAUUGAAGUUGUAUUUCUCAAAUGACAAACCGCAUUACAAAAUCUAUAAAUAGGCGUUAGGAUAUGUGCAUUCAAUGAGUGUGUGUGCUAAAAACAAUUGAGCACUAAGUGAAGACUUGAGAAAGAUAGAGUUUAUUAUUGAGAGAGAUUGAGAAUUUCAAAUACAUUGUAACUCCUCUCUGAAACUCGUCUUGUAAUCCUUUGCUUUUGUUUUAUAGUAAAGCCACAUUAUUUCUUGAGUGAAAUCUUUGUCCAAGUUUUACUUUAUCUUGGGCAAUCUUCCUUAAAAAUUAGUGUUAGAGCACUAGGUUAUAGCAAAAUUAGUGAAGCCUGUGAAGCUAUCAAUGGCAGUUGUGUUCAAUAGUAGCUGAAUUGUAAUAAUAUCAACGAUGGCAGAAAACAGAAAGUUAAGAUAAAAAAAAAAAUUCAAUAGAUCGAACCUCAGAUUGUGAGUGAUGCAGAUAGCAGAUUAUCUCUACUAAAAAGAUCUUUACCUUUCUUUUGAAAAAAGCAUAAAUAUUAGAAAUGUCAGAAAUGACAUUUGUUGGGAGCUUUAUCAUAAAUGUAUGAAAAGUGCUUGCAACAUAUAAAGUCCAUCUUAUCAAGAAACUGUUCAACUAGUAGAUGUCCGUAGGAGAAGUUGCAAUAGAGCAUAUCAAUGAUUUUAUUGCACUUAUAAGUCAAUUAGAAUUAGUUGAUAUCUCAUUUGACGAUGAGGUCAAAGCAUUGGCACUGUUAUCAAGUUUUCCAGAGAGCUAGGAUCCUUUGAUUGUAGUAGCAAGCAAUUCCAAUGGGUCGGAAAAGUUGAAACCAGAUCAUGCUGUAGAUUUGGUUCUUAGUGAGGAUACACGCAUAAAAGAUGGUAGAGAAACCUUGGGUUUAGUGUUAGUGACUAACGAUAGAGGUAGAAAGCCAAACACAUGUGGCAACCACAAGCAAAACACAAGUUGGUUGAGAAAUGGUUGAUUACCAUCUCAACCAAAAUUCAAAGGCAAAUGUUGGAAUUGUGAAAUAUCUGGUCAUAUAAAAUAAGAUUACAGAGCAAUAAAGAAGCAAAAAACAACAAGGGAGACAAAAACUUUGUUAAUGUUUUGGAUCUUGAAAAUUCUGAUGCAUUGUUGUUAGUUGUGGAUGCUCAUGGAGAAACAUGGGUAAUUUAAUUCGGCUGUGCCGUUUCAUGCUAUUUCAUGCAAGGAGCUGCUCUAGGCAACCUCGUAAAAUGUAUCUUGGAAAUGAUGAGAUUUGCAACAUAGUUGACAAAGCUGAUGUUUAGAUAUUUCAGCUUAAUGGAACCAUUCUAAGAAUCAAAGAUGUCAGACUUCAACAUAUACUCAUCAUAAAUGAAAUGGAAAGCUUCAUUUCAUUAAUAUAAUUUUAAUCAUUUUAAAGGAGUACUUCAUGAAAUUAAAAAGAAAGCAACUAAAUAAAGUAACUAUCUCUAACUUUGAUCAACCCUAAACUCUACUAGCUCCAUCGCUGUCCUCAUCUUGAGAUUGUAAAUCUUCAACCAUUAUGAAAAAUCACUAUCGUCGUUCAAAUGAUGGUGUCUAACUUGUGCUUUCCACAUUUAGCUCGACCUCUUUAUGAAUACUUGAAUUGGAACCUUUUCUAUACCCCUGUGGAAGCCCUAGAUCUCAUCUCUAGGUUAGUUGCAAUUCUAGCCUCGUAAAAGGCAAUGUCAAAAUAAGGUGAUCAACUCUCUUAUGUUGACUGAUUAAGUACAUCCAACCUCAACCCAUAAUAUAUGAUCUUUAUGAAUGUGCUGGCCAAGGUAGUGCGAAGUGUUUUUUAAGUAGCGUGAGUAUUCUCGAAUAAAUAUUUUCCUAUGACUUGGGUUACUGACAUAUCCCAUCACCUUUGUAGCAAAUCUUAACAUCCUAAUCAUCUGUAAUAUGAAGCCCACCAAAUCAUGUUCAUUUCAUUUGGUUUAGUUCGAUUUUUUUUCAAGCUCUUUGCACUAAAACAUACUUUAAUUCUUCUCUUGAAGUAAGGGACAUUUACAUGUGAAGAAAAUUUCAAGCAUGCUUGCGAACUCUGAUGACAUUUCAUGCUUCAAAUUUAAAUAGGAUAGUCGUAUUCAUUACAGGUGUAACACAGGAAAACCAUGGUCGAGCAGCCACCUUCCAACCCUCUAAACUCCGGCCAACCUCCCCUAAAACUACCGGAUUUACAUACCAUUGUGAAGCCCUCAAUUCCUUCUUCAACUACCAUACAAACGCCAACCCAAAACUCAACCAAAAUCGAUAAAAAAUUUGCCUCAAAACUAGAUCUGCCACAAACUGCUUCGGUCGACACUUCCACCUCCGACGACACCCUCGGUCGUGCACUGCCACUGGUCGACUAUCCACCCUGAAAUGACUCCCGCCAUGGUUCCAAUUUAACCAAAAUAACACUCCAUAAUUCUGAUUUGAUCUAUGAAAUCCCGCCAGCCGCGAAGUCUGCCCCAACAGGCGCCAAAAAUUGGAAAAUCUGACGCCGUCUAGUUGAACCAAUGUGGCUAACCAACUGGGCUGUCCUCCUCUCCCUAUGGCAUACCUUGCCCAACCAUGGGUCAAGGCCAAUUUCAACCAAAUGUCGUUGAAUUCAUGGAUGAAUUUAGGGCUCUAAGCGAAAAAUUUGGGACAAAAGAAUUUGAUGAAUCAAUGUUGCUUCAAAUAAUAAAUUCGGGAUGCAGAACUUCAAUUCAAGAUGGAGAAACUAUGGGUCAACAAUAAAUUGUGCUAAUUAAGAACAACAAAAUUGAUUUGAAUCCCUUAACAGCUCAUGCGCAUGAAACUAUUUUGUGUGAUCCGAUUGAUGUUGUUUCUGAGGUUAUUGCUCCAAUACUUACCUACAAAUGAGGGUCACAAGAUCAUGGGUAACCUGACAAUUGAUAUGAGUGAUGACCAAUUGAAUCCUAAUUUGAUCUCCCAAGUUAAGAUAGUUGAGCCCUCUUCAAAUCCAAAUACCAUUGAUUUGGUUGCUACCCAUGACAAGGUACCACAACAAAUGAAUUCUACUAAUUCUAAUGCACCUUCGGUGCCCAUGCCUUAUAUCAAUAGCUUGGCAAACCAGACAGCCAGUUUUCAGCCAUCUUCAUGGAUUAAAAUCAGAGCAGAUUUUACAGCCUCACUUCAUUCAAACGCAUCUGAAAAUUGCCCUCAGUAGGCCCAAAAUAUUGGGACCCAUCCUAGUCAAUGCUCUUCCGGUGCUUCGAGCACUACUCAGGGUUCUCGCUCUUAUGUUGUAGGUGUCAAUAACAGACCAACUAUUACUCAAGUAGAAAGGAGUAGAGAAAAUAUUUUGCUAAUGUACUUCAUGCUUCCCAAGAAUCUAGAGAUCAUAGCUUGAUUUCCAAGGAACCAUACAUCCAUCAUAGAGAGCUUGCUAUAUUCUUUGAUGAGUAAGAGGAACAAUUUUUGGCAGAGGCCUACAGGUUUAUGCUUGUAGGUAAAUUUGUGCAUUGCAAACCUUCUACGAUCAAGGUACGUGAGAAUUUUAUACGCUUUGGUUUCACUGGUAAUUAUGAGAUUGGACACUCGAGCCGAGCCCGAGCCCAAAAUUUCGGCUCGCGAGCCGGCUCGGCUCGGCUCGUUUACAUCCCUAUAUACACAUUAUUAUUCACAUGGCAUAUGAGGAUGAUUAUUCACGAUUGUUUCUGAAACCUGCUUGAUAUAUUGAUGGAUGUCCUAUCCGGGUCUUUAAGUAGACCCCUGUUUUAACCUACGACAUGAGGUUCCUAUUACUUCUGUCUAGGUUUCAUUUCCUUUAUUGCCUAUUCAUUUUCGAGUCAAGAGUGCACUUUUUGCUAUAACUAAGUCAAUUGGGCCCCCUCUUUGUAUUGACGAAGCAACUUUUGACCUUGGAAGACGUAGUGAGGCACGACUAUGUAUUAAGGUAGAUUUGGAAUGUAAACUUCCCAAUAGAGUAUGGUUAGAGAGGGAGAAAAGGGAAGGAUAUUGGUAGCCUAUUAUAUAUGAAAAGGUUCAUAUCUUUUGCUUUCAAUGUAAGCACUUUGGACAUUCGAAUGAGAGUUGUUCUAGUGGUUCACAUCCUAUACCUCAUGCUGUGGGCACAAUUGUCAGUGAAUCGAAUACUAGGCCUAUUCCAGUUAUGGCCAAGGAUAAAGGUAAGGUGAAGGACGUUGGAAUUGGGCCUCGUCAGAGAUGGACUCCGAUUAAGAGGAAUCAGAAAAGUCAAGAAAGUACAUUAGACGUUAUCCCUCAUCCCAACCAGAAGAAUGCUCACUCUAUUGCUUCCAGUGUCCCUAUCACUAUAGUUAGUACAUCAUAGGCUAUGUCCACACAUAAGGCUCUUCUUUACUUUAUAGCUCUAUCAAUUAUUAGCUGAUGCAGGAGGAUCCGAGUCAAGUGAUGCUGAUUUGUCAGAUUGCACGAUGAUGGCGCUAAGAUACCAUGAGAUGGCGGAUCGGCGCAAAGAUGGAAAGUAAAUCACCAUUAUUUCCUUAAUUGGGAGAUUUUGACGCGUCUUUGGUAAUUUGGCCAUAACUUUGGCUACGAUUAUCGGAAUCGCUAUUAUGACCCCAAUUCGGAAAGCUCUCUUCGGCGCGCACGUCGUGACCACCGAGCUUUGCUCGGUGGAAGUCAAUUUCAAGCCCAAAAUCCACUGUUUUCCUUUUCAAAAUUCAAUUUUAAGUUAUUUUUUACUAUUUAUGGUAAUAUUUAGUUUCCUUUUUUCUAUAUGUUAGAAAACUCGAAUUAAGCCAAAUUUUUGGCAACUUACUUCUUUUACUUAAUAUUUUAUUUUGGUAUAAUUUCGGGAUUUUGCCAUUUUUGGUAAUUUUCCAAUAAUUUCGUAUUUCGCAGCUAUUUAACUCGGCUUGUGGGUUCGUUUUCAGCAUUCUGCGUUAUUAAUAAUAUUGAGUUGAAUUGAGAGUAUUUUCUCUUUUUUUUGGGCAUUUUCUAUCGUUCUUUUCUUGCGAAUCAUCUGCUACAACAAGCCAAUAGGAUAAUCAUUAUCCUAUCCGGCGUCAUUAGCACUACCGCUCUACAGAUUACUACUUCCCUACCAUUUGAACAAUUAACAGUUGCUCCCAUAAUACUUAGAGUUCUCUUGCUUUUACAUCAGUUAUUCAUUCUGGUAUUUAGACUUCGGUCCCCAUGAAUAGUGCUUCUAAGAAUGUGGGUUCUACUUACUUUGAUCCUAUCUUGGUGGAUAUGUUAGAGAGGCCACAAAGUUCUACUGGUUUAGAUGGCUCGUAAUCUCCACACAAGGUCAGUAGAAUUCAAAGGAUUUAUCUCAUAUUGAAGUCCAUUAGCAGGGUCCUUAUCGUAGAUCUUCUUUAAUGACUUGGCAGAUAUGGUUCAUAGGAUAGAGAGGGAUGGCUUUAUCCCAGUUGGUCGGAAGUGAGAUUCAAGAAUCACUAACAUUUCAAUUCCUAAGAUGGUGAUUAAGAGUCAGUCAUAGGAUACCUCUUCACGAACAUUUCGAUGAGAGCCAUCAUUUGGAAUGUAAGAGGUGUAGCUAGUAUAGCUGCUUGCAGACACCUGAAGAAACUUAUCCAACUUUAUCAAGUACAUAUUUUGAUCAUUUUAGAGCCUAUGGUCUUGGAGAGGAUUUUGAUUUUUUUCAUCACCAUUUGCACUUCAACUCCGGGGUUCAGAAUGAGUCGAAUAAGAUUUGGAUUUUCUGGAAUGUGGGUAAUACCAUUACUGUUAUUUAUGAUCAGAUUCAGUUAUUACACGUUAGAGUUGAGGAUUCCAGAUUAGCGCGACCUAUUUAUUAGACACUUGUAUAUACAUCUUGUAAGGCCUCUAUUAGGAGGGACUUGUGGGGGUCUUCACCAAAUUUCCCUCUCCAUAGAUGAUCCUUGGUUGAUUGGAGGAGACUUUAAUGUUAUUGCUCAUAAGGGUGAACGUACUGGUCAUAGUAGGCGAGAUUGGGGCUUUAAUUCCUUCUUUGAUAUGAUGUUGGACUGUGGAUUAGAGGAUGUAGGUUUUCUGGGUCUCAGUUUACUUUGACAAAUGGUAGGGUCAGUAAGAGAUUAGAUAGAGUUUUGAUAAACUCUACAGCUGCAGAUUUUUGUAAACAACUUAUUGUGACGUAUCUCAAUUGGACUUCAUCUGAUCAUUCACCGCUACUUCUACAUUGGCUUUCUGAUGAUGAUUUGGGACCUAGACCAUUUCCAUUCCUCAAUGUUUGGACCAAGCAUCAUGACUUCUUAGCUUUUAUUUCUCAGAAGGGGUUACUUUUUACUCAUCUUACAACGAUGGUUGCUUUUAGGUAAAAGAUUUUCAGGCUGAAACAAGGAUUAUGGUGGUGGAAUCGAUGAGUAUUUGGUAGUGUUUCAGUGAGUAAGGGAUGCUGAAGCUAGGAUCGACCAAGCAGGGAUAGAUUUUGAGGGGGACCCUACACCAAAACUCCGUGAUUUACUUCAUCAUACACAGGCUGAUUUGAAUCGGACUUUAGCUGUUGAGAACGGUUAUUGGAAGUAAAAGGCCUGUUCUCGUUGUGUGUGUGAGGGGGAUCACAACACCCAAUAUUUUCAUGCGAUGGUGCAAUGACGACGAAUUAGAUCUCGAAUCAGGACUAUCAUGACUCAGGGAGGGAAAAGCUUGGGGAUCUUUUUUUUAGGAUUUAUUAUCUGCUCCAUCACAUUCAUUGAAGCCCAUCCGUCUUGAUAUGGGAUACCCAAAAUAUUAAUAGAGGUAGAUAAUAAGAUACUGAACUACCUCCCUUUGAUUGAUGAAAUGCGGGAGGCAAUUUUUAGCAUUGAUGUUGAUAGUGCCGUUGGCCCAGAUGGAUUUUCAUCCUUGUUCUACCAGAACUGUUGGAAUAUUAUACACGAUGAUGUGUACAAUGCAGCUAUUGAAUUUUUUUGGGUGGCCACUUACCACGGAUUUUUUCUGCUACAUCUAUUGUUUUGCUCCCGAAGAGGGAUAAUGCUUGUCAAUGGAUAGAUUACUGACCUAUAAGCCUAUGCAUGGUGUUUAAAAAGCUUAUUAUAAAACUGUUAAACACUAGAUUGAGUUUAUUACUACCACAUAUUAUUUCUCCUUAACAGAGUGUUUUGUCCUUGGUCAUCUUAUUGGAGAUAAUGUAUUACUGAAUUAGGAGCUUCUACACACAUUGGAUAAUAGAGUACAUGGAGGAAAUACUAUGCUAAAGCUUGAUAUGGCUAAAUCAUAUGAUCGUAUGGAUUGGGAUUUUAUUUAUGCUAUUCUAGAAGCAUUUGGUUUUAAUCAGUUGUAGAUACACAGGAUCAAAUGGUGUAUCUUGGAAUGUCAUUUUUCAGUGCUUCACGUGGACUCAGGUAGGGAGACCCUAUCUCUCCCUCCUUAUUCAUUAUUGCUACGGAUUAUUUCUCUCGUCUGCUUACUCAAAGGUUUCAUGCAUACCCUAGUAUGCAAUAUCGCUACUGUGGUAAUACUCUUGUCUCUCAUCUUGCUUUUGCUGAUGAUAUAAUUAUAUUUGCCAAUGGUUAGAAAACGUCUAUUAGAAGGAUCAUCGACUAUUUGGAGUACUAUGAAUGGGUCUCUAGCCAAUUGGUAAAUAGAGAUAAGAGUGACCUUAUAUUGCCCAGAAGGGCAUUGAAUAUUCAGAUACGGAGACUAGUAAUAUUAAUAGAGUUUUCUCAUCAACAACUACCAUUCAUAUAUUUAGAAGUUCCUUUUGUUUAAAGGGGCUAAGAGAAGCAUUCUUUAUGAUGAUCUCAUCAUGAAGAUCAGGAGUAGGAUUUCAGGAUGGGAUUCAAGAAUACUUUCGUAUGGUGGUAGAAUCACUUUGCUAAGAUCAGUUCUAUCCUCCUUACCACUGUACCUUUUUCAGAUUCUGCGACCUCACAAAGUCGUACUGAAAAAGUUGGAGAGUAUAUUAGCUAGAUUUUUAUAGAAUUCUAAGGAUCAGGAACAGCGGUUACAUUGGUGGAGUUGGAAAGUGAUUUGCAUCACAAAUGACGAGGGUAGAUUGGGCUUUAGAAGACUACAAUAUACAGUAGACACAUUCUCCAUGAAGCUUUGGUGGCCAUUCAGGUCACAAAGUUUCCCUUGGACUCAAUUUUUUUUAGGCAAAUACUGUAAAUGGACACAUCCAUCACUUGCAGCUGUUCCUAAUUCAGCCUCUCAUGUACGGAAGAGAUUUGGACAACGCGCCGACCCACAUAUUGCAUGGCACCUUGGGAUAAGUUAGAUUUUUUGGCAUGAUUGUUGGAUGGGAGAUACUUCUUUGGCGUCCAUCUUCCCAAACAGGCAGCACACAUUUGUAAAGGUGCAGAAUUUCUUCAAUGACGAUGGAUGGGACUUUGAAUGAUUAUUACAGGCUAUUCUACCAAUUAUGGUAGAGCAGAUUGCAAACAUUCCAUUAUGUGUUGAUGCCCCAGAUCGCAUUUUUUGGAAAGCUAUAUCAGGUAGUAGAUUUACCACCAAAUCAGCAUGACAGUUGAUCCGUUCUAGCAGACCAAUGUAGGAUUCAUUUCACCUACUUUGGAGCCUUAUCAUACCUACCACAGUAUCGUUCUUCUGUUGGAGAUUAUGACAGAAUUCAGAAGAUGAUUGGUAGUCAGCUGGCUUCUCGGUGUCAAUGCUGUUCGGAGAUUGAGACCAUCACUCAUUACUGGUAGUGAUAUAUCAAAUAAAGUCUGGCAAUAUUUUUUGGAAUGUAUUUCAGAUUUCUAUGAUUACGGGUGAUAGCGUCGGACAAAGAUUUUUGAGAUGGUGAUAUUCUGGUCAGUUUGUUGGGAGAGGACGCAUUCGCAUCAUUAUUCCUCUUCUAGUUUUAUGGUUUCUAUGGACCGAAAGAUAUGAAGCAAAUCAUAGUGAUGUUUGCAUGAGAUCAAGAAGAAUCAUUAGGAUGGUAUACUGUAUGAUCUCACUCCUUCACAAUGGAGGAUUAUUUCGACCAUUAAAUUGGCAUUAUGAUAUAUAGCUUGCUCCACUCUUUGGGAUUACUAUGACCCUCCCUCUAUCUCUUCUCCCUAUUAUGGUGUGGCAGCGUACUCCAUCGGUCGGAUUUGUCAAGAUCAAUACUGAUAGAUGCAUUAGAGAUGGCUUCGCGAGCGGGGGAGGCAUUAUAAGAGACUACGACGGAAAUUCAUAAAGGCAUUCUCAACAUCAUAUGGAUAGUGUAUGAUAUUAGAAGUAGAACUCAAAGCUAUUCUUGAUGGGAUAUUACUAGCAAAAGGGUUUGGAUUUUCAAACAUUUGGGUUGAGGUAGACUCUAAUGUAGCCAUUCAUUGUAUCAUCAAAGGUGGAGGACCAUGGGCUAUUUAGGGCAUACUGAGAAAGAUUACAGAAAACACUCCUUUGAUAGAGAUAUAGUUUUCCACAUCUUCAGAGAGGGAAACCAGGUUGUAGGUGCUCUUACUAUAGAACGAUGGAAUCACCGACAAUAUCCGGUAUACUGACCAUCUGACCUACCACGACAAAUUAGGGCACUCGUACAGAUAGAUAAACAUGGACUGCCCAACAUUAUAACAUGAUUUAUAAGUUUAAUUUUAUUCUUAUAUUAUUCUUUCUUUUGUAUUUAAUUGCAUAAUUUCUUAUUGUAAGGGAAGCGGAACUUCCUCUUUUAUAACUUUACAUUUAUUUUGCUUUUAGCAUUCAUUCCCAUUGUAAGGGAUACUUCCUCAUUUACUUCUUUUUGCAUUUUCACAUGUAACCACGGUAUUCCUCCGCCACAAGUGAGGGUAUAUUAAUAAAAUCUCGAAGGUACCGCCCUCCUUUAACCAAAAAUAAAAAAAUAAAAUUUAAAUAGGAUAGCUAACAUGCAAGACAAAUUCUUAAUUAAACAUUUUCAAAAAUAAACUUUGGCUAAUAAAUUUGAUCAUGCUAUGCACAAUACUAUAAAGUCUAAUACACAAGAUCAAAUUUAUUUUUUUACAUACCUUUGAAUUGGCAGAAGAAAGUCAAUUGCUGUGCAUUAGUAAUCAAGGAUCGAUCUCUUAUUCAUCCUUUUUUAAUAUCUUAAAUCAUUUAAAUCAUGUUUGUAACAAAAAAAACAUAUAAAAGAUACGUUGUAUAUAUGUUCAUGCUUGAUUAGUUUCAUAAAACAAUAAUGUUUGGCUUUCAAAAAAGGAAAAUCAAGUUCAAAUCUCAUAGUGAGAAAUGUUGAAAUUUAAUACCCUACAAAAUUCGGUGCAUAAAUAAUAUUGUUGAGAGGGUUAUAUAUUUAGAAAUUAGACCUAAAAUACUUUAUAUUUCUCAAGCUCUUGUUCCGACGAUUAGAGUCCCUAAUUCUCAUCUCAAACAGGAUCUAAAUCUGGGGAAAAAAGGUGCAGGCAGCCUACUUUCAUAGACUAUAAAAUGUCACUCAUUGGUCAUCUUGGAGAGUCCUCAAUGUGUCUCCUAUGAGUUGAAUAAGCCACAAAAUUUUUUAUUAACCCUAAAGGUUUAAAAUAGAACAAUGCCCUGUGUACAGGGCUUUGUUUUAUAGGGGUCUUACCGACCACUCACAUGGGGGGCCUCGAUGCCAUAAAAAAUGAAAAAAAAAAAAAAUCGACCCCACCCUUGUGAGGGAUCGAUAAGACCCUUCUAAGUGUUAGGCAUGUACACCCAACACUACUCUUUAAAAUAAGUUCAAAACACAGACUACUUCAGCCUUUUUUGAGAUUAGAUAGUUCCAGCAAUCUUAUGCAAAAAUGCAUUUCACAGAAAAUAUAACUCCAUUUAUGAACCGAAAAAUUAUGAUAAAGCUAGACUCAUAAAUGUACAAUAACAUAUGGUCUCACCAUUAAAAAAUGUCCUAAAAAUUCCAUAUUUUAAAUUCAAAGUUUAAUGAUGAAUCAAUGUUUUGAAAGCCAGCACAACCAUUGACUUGAUAAAGUUAAAGGGUCAUGGGUCAAACAGUUGAAUCUAGAUUGAAGUGAGGUCGAGAUGAUAAUUAAAAUAAUUGAAUAAUUUAUAUAAUUAAAAUUUUCUAUUAGUGUUUUAAUUCUAAAGUUCAUUAAAUAAUCCAUAUAAUAUAUAAUUAAAGUGAGAAUUAAAUGGACCAAAAAUAUUACUUUAAGAUGCAAAAGAGCACAUAUUUUAAAAUCUAAAUCCUGCCAUCUUCCAUUUAAUCUAGGGCUAUGUUAGUUUCAUUUCAUUCCAAUUGUACAAUGCGAUUUCCUCUCAGUUUUCCUACAGCGGAGGCUGAGACUCUCUCUCAUCCAUCGAUUUCUGUAUAGUUUUGGUGGAUUUCCCAUUUGCUACUUCAUUUGUAUAAUAUAUAUUUUCAUUUCUUUGUAAGAUUAGUUUGGGUUUUGAAUAUUUUGACUGAAAUGGAAUACAAAGACUUCACCAUAGAGAUGGAGAGGACUCUGAUAACCAUUGGUCGACCAGAGACAUAGCAGUGAAGCUUUGUUAUGUGCCUCACCCCUUUUUUCUUUUUACAAAAUAUCAACUUCAGCACCUAAAAAAACAUAUUGGUUUCUCGGUUCCAGUUGAACAAGAUAGUUCACCGGAUUUUGUGCUGGUUUCAUUUUAUCCAGCUUUUACUCCAUGACCGAACUUGAAUUUCGGCCCGAUUCUUGGGUUUUCUGGUUGAACCGGUCGGUCCAGUCCAAUUUUCAUUACACUGGGAUGAAUAGAAUAUUUCCAUGACUAGUUUUAAAUUGUACUAGCAUACUUCAAAUGGAGAGUGAGUAGGCCUGGGCAUAAAAUCGAAAAAUCGAUUGAAAAGAACAUAUUCGAGUCAGUUUGGCCUAGCAAAUAGAUUCUAAUUGGUUGAUAUAAAACCACUAACAUGAUGGGUUGGGUCGAUUAACAGUUAAGGCUCCAACCUAAACCAAUUAUAAAUGUUGAACAUGACUAAAUCUUCAAUAACCUCUAGCGUCAAUUUUCCUUGGACAUCAAUCAAAGCUCUCCCAGUUGCCAUGAAAAGGCCAACUAAGAAUUAAUGAUUAUUGUCGAUCUUCUUCCGUAUCCAAAACCACAAAAUCCGCCAGAAAGAUCAAAAUAUCAACUUUAACCAACACAUCUUCAAUGAUUUUCUCAGGGUAUGUAAUGGACCUAUCAGCUAGUUACGAAGUGAUUUUUAUUGGUUUCAUUUCUCCAAGGCCCAACUUCUUGAAUAUAGAUAGUGGCAUCAAAUUGAUGAUAUCUCCCAAGUCACAUAAUGCCUUAUCAAAAGUAGAGCUGCCAAUUGUGUAUAGAAUAAUGAAGCUCCACGAAUCUUUUAGUUUCUGAGGGAGCUUCUUCUGGAGAAUGGUACUAUAUUCUUUUGUCAUAUUGAAUGUCUCAAAUUCCACCAACUUUCUUUUAUUUGUCAUCACUUCGUUAAUAAAUUUGGCAUAAUUUGGCUUUUGUACCAAAGGAUUAGUAAAAGGAAUAUUGAUGCAAAUAUUCUUAAAGACUUCCAAGAAUUUUUGAUAUAUACAUAUAUACAUAAGGCAUUCUCCGGAUAAUUCAAAUCGAAGCAAUUGGAUGUCCAACUCGGGCCGAUCAAUAGAAAUACUCCACCCUUGUCAUAUAUUCCAUACAUCACACUAGAUAGAUAUCAUAUUCAUGGAAUAGGAUUCACUUUCAAGAUGCCUUGGUGGUGAAAUGGUAGACACGCGAGACUCAAAAUCUCGUGCUAAAGAGCGUGGAGGUUCGAGUCCUCUUCAAGGCAUAAUAUUGAGAAUGCUCAUUGAAUGAGGGCUUCAAAAUGGAAGGAAAUCUGGAAUAAGAUUAAGUUAGGCCGAUAUUUACUCUCUGUUGCCUCUACCUCAAUUUUUUGCUCUUCAACAUGAUUUGAAGCAAGUGUAGGACCCAUAGUCUCUGUAGGCUUGCUCUCUUCAAUCUUUUUACCACUCUUCAAUGUGAUGGCAUUGCUGUGCUCUCUUGGUUUGACCUCAGUGUUGAGAAUUUAUUGCAGCUACUAAUUGACCAAUUGUACCUCUAGAUUCUUUACUGUGGUCCCCACGUUGAUCAUGUGAAUUUCGAUGUUGUUGAGUCUUGGCUCGUCCUUGUUGAACCUUGCACUAGUCUCUGAAAUUGAAGUUCCUAAAUUAUCCUCUAGUGAUAGCUUUCCUUUAGAAGCCUGAUUAUUGAACCCAAGUCGAGGUUGUAGCACAUUCCUAGUGACACCAUAGGAUAAAUUCUCAUGGCUUUUCAAUCUUGGAUGAUAGUUAUUUGUUGAGUAAUUUCCUCUUUGGUCGAAGUUCCGGCCAUUCACAAAUUGAACUUGAUCAUUCUCCAUCUCAGUCUCUUGGUAUAGAGUAGAAACAUCCAUAAUGGAAUCUACUUUCUGCUUAGUCCCCUAUGAAGUUAAUGCAGCCAUAUGAUUUGUGAGUAAAGGCAUCUGAGCUAUAAAGGUUGUAAUGGGAUACUCCUAUCCCUCAUAUUAUUUUUAGUUGUUUGUAUUUCCUUUUUUUUAGAAGUGAUCUAAAGAAUAUAGAUUUCUAUACUCUAUUUAUAUAGAGUGUGGCGAUUCUAUUAUUGGCAAGUAACUUUCUUUGCACUUGAAUGCUCACUUGGUCAUUGGUAGCUGUUGGUCGCUAUAUCAUCCAGCAAGAAGCAAAGAACAUCUACUAUCUUGGACAUCAAAGUACCUUCUAUUACAGCAUCAACUACUGUCCUUAUCAGACCAUUCAACCCAUUGUAGAAUAUUUCAGUUUGCAUGCAGUUUGAUAACCAUGCUAAUAGUAUCUGCUAAGUAGAUCUUUGAAUCUCUCCCAAGUUUUAUAGAAUGGUUCUAAGUUUUCUUGUUUAGCCAAUUUCACUCCGUAAUUGAGCCGUCUGGGAAGGGAGAAAAAACUGUGAGGAAUUUUUUAGCUAAACCCUCCUAAGUUGUGAUGGAUCCAUUUGGCAAUGAUUGAAACCAUGCUUUAGCUUUAUCCCUCAUGGAAAGGAAAAAUAGAUGAGGUCUGAUGGCAUCUUCAGUAAACACCAUUCAUCUUCACGGUAUUGGAAAUCUCAAGAAAAUAACCAAGAUGAGCUUUUGGAUCAUCUGAUGAAGUUCUUCAAAAAUGAUUUUGUUGCACCAUAUAUAUUAAUCCUGGCUUUAGUUCGAAGUUAUUUGUAGCCACUACCUGGCGUGCAAUCCCAUAGUAGUUGUCAUUGUCAAUUGGUCUGACAUAAUCCCUUAUAGCCCAUUGUUCAUUAACUGCUUGUGCUUCCUGCUCUACCAUUGUUUCAUUUUCGUUCCUUUGUUAGCCCCUUAGAUAAUGGAAAGUGCAUUUAGGUUCAGGAUCAAUGGGUAGUAGUUCGAGAAUCCUAAUGUAAUUUUACUCUUUUCUUGAGCACCAAGUAAAAAUUAAUCCCAUAUUUCAAUUCCAAUAGCUUAAUUCUGAAUUAAAAUCUAGAAAUUAUCGAGUUUGUGGUUCUUAAGUGGAACAUGCUUCAAAGGUAUUAUACUUUUUCUUGAAACUAUAAUUUUUUAGGUUAUGUUAUUCUAAUAUCAUGAAUAAAUUUCCUUCUCUUGAGUGUUAAGAUUAACUAGCAUUAAAUCAUUCAAUUAGUGACCAAUUAACUGAAAGCAUUAAACCAAUAAUACACAUAAACGGAAUUGGAAAAUCUCAUUGAAAUAACUAAAGUAAAUCAAACUAUAUACUCAAGUUUAGGUUAGAUCAAACCCUAGAUGAUGAAUUUAGUUAAUGGUAGAAGAUAGAAUUCUAUCAUGACUAAUAACAUAAAAACUCUUUUGAAACUUGAAUUAAUUUCCCUUCUUGAUUAAUUUUUUUUCCUUCUUUCCAGGUUGAAUUAUUCAUAAAAAGCCUCUUUCAGAUUGGUAUUUAUGCCUUCUUGAAGCCCUUGGAAGAGUUGGAUUAAAAUUGGGCUUUAAAAUGAAAUUAAACUUGAAAAACCCUAAUUGUAUGUAGUGUGGCACCUAGGCGCUGACUUUCAGGAAAAAUCAAUAAUGCAGCACCUAGGCACUCAUGUCAUCUUCGGUUGUACUACACAGCUUUCAAUAAUUUUAUCAUAAAUUUUUUUCUCUCGACAUCUGAUUGAGAUAAUUUAAAGUGCAUUGAAAAGAUAACUCAAAGGGAUACAAAUUUACUUUAAAUAGCCUUUUCCAAUUCAGACUUUUACUAUAUCAAAAAUUAGUCUCAAUCUCUCCUAAAAAUCUAGAACAUACUUGUGCGGUAUAUAUAUAUAUAUAUUUCACUCAUUUUUGAAUUUAAAUUGCAUCCUCUUGACUCCUAACACUCUUCAAUUAUCAUUUUUGGUUCAUAUCAACUACUAAAAAGUUGUAAUUGAGUCCUCAAACUUUAGAUUUUACCAUUUUUUGUCAUUAUUCAAAUUUUUCUUUCAAUUUACCCUCCAAUCAUCAAGUUUCAACAAAUCAACGUCACUUUCCCUUUGUUCAUGUCAAAAUCGCUCUUUUCUCCUAUUUUCUCCAAGUUUUAAAGUAUCAAAAUUAAUUUACCUAACCUAUUAGACAACACAAAAACACAUAUCAAUUGAAACUCUAAGAAUAAAACGAAAUAUCAUGAUUAAGUAGCAUUAAUAUGAUGAAUGAAACAUACUAAUCACUUUCCACAUCAUGUUUGACUAAAACCAUAAUUGGGAUGAACAACAUAAUCUAGCUAUGGGUUUUUAAUUUCAACCUUCAAGAGUUUUGUAUUUAAUUGUCUUAUGUGUUGAUUUUACUUAUAUUUUUAAUGUUUUCAAUUACUUGAUCACUAAUUCAUUAAUUUGUAAAUUUUUAAAGAAUCAAGAGCUAAGUUAGAAAUUUAAAUCACGUAAUAAAAUCUAUUAAUUGGAUAAAAGGCAGAGAUACACUUACAUUAUUGUCGCGGUCAAUUAUUGAAUAAUUAGGUGAUUGAAUACAAUUAGUUGAGGCUCAUUCAGUUUUACAUAGAGAUAUAGUUAGCUGACUUGACUAGAUAUUAUUGUUUAAACUUGAGAAACAUAAACUGAUUAAGCUAGUGAAUUAGACAAAAUACAACCUUACGAAUGAGUCUGGAGAGGAGGAAUUAAAGAGAAUAACCAUAAUGGAAUCAAGAGUCCUAACAUUCUUUAUUCAUACGUAGAAGCCCUAGUUUUUUAUUAAUUGCAUACUUUAGAGAUUUACCUUUCUCUACUAACAACCAAACCAACCUACUCCAAUCUACAACCAAUAUAUUCACCUCGGUUGCUUUUCAAUUUUACCCACAAAGGACAAGAAAAUGAUGAUAAUUUUUGGCCACAAAGGCAAGAAGAAAACUUCGCAAAGGUAGGCUAUAAAGAGACCACAAAGUACACAAAGUAAUCAACUGAUUUUGGACACAAAGGGGGCAGCCGAAUUUCCUUUAUGUUUUCUCACAAAUCACACACUAGAAAAUAUCUAGGGUUGUUGCCUUAUAAGUAGGCUAGGAUAGGCUUUUGGUUGGACCAAUAGGAAAGUUAAACGAUCCAAGAUUCAAGCCACCCAAGAGGGAAUACAAUUGGACGGGUAGAGCCUUUGGAAUUGGUUGUUGGUACUUAUUUCAUUCAUCAGCCUUGGCCUAUGAAAUAUAUUGUCCCACGUUAACAUCAUAGCUCAAGAUUUAUUGGGUAUAAAAAAUCCAACAAAUCUCCACCUUAAUGCUCAAUAAAUCUGCAAGCAAUCAAAACACAGAGCUUAUACUUGCAUAAUCAAGGUAACCAAUUAAAUUGGAUCACAGACCUUAUCUCAUGUUUCCUACCAGAAAUACAUACUAUACAUGCUCCAUAUACUCACCAGGGUUAAGGUAAAAAUAUCCAAGUAGAAGCAAAUAAUCACACAAAUCCAUCAAGAACAAUUAAACAUGUAAAGAAGAUAUAAUAUAGGAUAACACGUAUAGAUGCUUUUAAAAACACGUUGACACAUAACUAUAGAUUAACACUAAGUUCAUCAACAAACAGCCAAGAUAUAUGCAACAAAUGCAUAAAUGAUCCAUAAAAAAAAAUCUCACUAGACUUAUCCUAUCUUAUUCUAUAUUGCUCAUACCUCGAGAAUAUAUAUCUCCUCUCAUUGCCCACCAUACUCACUAGACUGAUCACAUAACUCAUGUCUAACUUGUAAGUCACAAUAGAUCCUAAGUUCUCGGGAUAAUUCUCUAUCACCACAUCACUUCUUCCGACCUAAGUGGAUAAUAGGUCUCUACCUAAUAGAUGUGAUAGAUGUGCCUCUCACACACUCCACCUGAUCAGGGUCUCUUUACAAAUAGAUGAUUCAAGACAUUUAAUCACCUCACUACUCGUGAUCCAAAUGUCACACUCCAUAUCCCCGGUACAAAUUACAAUGUAACCUUAGGCAUCUAUGCUCCACCUCACCAAAAGACACACAACUUACUGUUAAUGCAUCCUAACCCACUAUGCAUGCCAACAUUACACCAAGUAAUCAUAUUACCUCAAAUUCAAGCAAAUACGCAUAUUAAACACAUUGAAAUGCAGCACAAGAUUAUGCAACAAAAAAUUAGACAAUCACACACAUGCAGAAAAUGAUCACACAUAGAUGCACAUGCAGUAGAGUGAUUUACUCAAUAAACUUUGCUAGGGUCAUCAUGAUCCAAUGACAACAUUCGCUCCACCUCUCUCCUUAUCUUUCCUUUUCCAAUUUUACCAAAGUUAAAACAUAUUUUAUUUUUCGCACUUACCUUAGACCUACGCAUGCCAUCAAUACCAAAUAAUGACCACAAGUAAAGUAUAGACAUAAUUCACAAAGAUAGUCAAAUAAAUUUUUCUAAGGUCACAUGCAAUUCUAAUAGAGUAGACAAGGUUGACAACAAAUUCACAAUGAAUUUAAGGAAAAUAAUUCCUAGGUCUAACAACAGGGAAUCGUUACCCCUUCACGGUAACUUCAAACCUAACGUCAUCCAACACAAUAACUUCUAACGUGAAAAAUAAAUAAUUACCCUACACAAUAUUUUUGUAAGAUUAGUUUGGGUUUUGAAUAAUUUUAAAGAACACAAUAUUAAGGGAACCACAUCUGUAGGUCCGUAAAUUAUGAGAGAUGCGAAUUUAUCAUCUUAGGAUCGCCACUGUUCAUCCCAAAGCUUCCAACAAUUAUAGCAACAUAAAAUGGCACCCAGCACCCGAACGACCAAGGGCAAAAUCAUCCAACUUUCACCGUAUUUUUUAAAACUGAAAUCCGACAGCACUGCAAUGUCUACCUCAUUACCUGGAAAAAAUUAUCUAAAGGAGCCACCUUAAGAUUCAGCCUUACGUGCCGCACAACUUCUCUGCUCGUGCGCUUCAUGCACCAUCGGAGAAUCUCACACACGGGUCACUUGGUACAUCUCUAUCUGCACGUCACGCCGAUGGUCUCCGUUUCUCCAAAUUCUUUCUGGAUCGUUCGAAAAUUGCACAAACAUAUCCAAUUUUUGGGCAAUUUCUGGAUAGUUUCUUUGACCGAAUUUUUGCUUCAUUUCAACUUGUUUUCUGGACAUUUUCUGGUAUGUUUAAAAGCCAAAACCACCAUCUUAAAGUUCUAAUACCAAUUGUCGAAGAAGCUCUCUUCAAAGAUCUUCAAAUCAGUUUUUUUUGGGGCUCUAAUUUUGUAAGAUUAGUUUGGGUUUUGAAUAAUUUUAAAGAACACGAUACUAAGCGAACCACAUCUGAAGGUUCGUAAAUUAUGAGAGAUGUGAAUUUAUCACUUUAGGAUCGCCAAAGUUCAUCUCAAAGCUUCCAACAAUCAUAGCAACACAAAAUGGCACCCGACACCCGAACGACUAAGGGCUAAAUUUUCCAACAUUCACCAUAUUUUUCAAAACUGAAAUUCGACAGCACUGCAGGGUCCAACUGAUUACAUGGAAAAAACUACCUAAAGGGAUCACCUCAAAAUUCGCCUUACACGCCGCCCAACCUCUCUGCUCGUAGGCUUCAUGCUCCGUUGAAGAAUCUCACACACUGGUCACCCUAGUGCGCUUCUAUCUAUACGUCAUGCCGAUGGUCUCUGUUUCUCCAAACUCUUUCUAGAUUGUCCGAAAAUUGUGCAAACAAAUCCAAUUUUUGGGUAGUUUCUGGAUAGCUUCUUCAAUCGAAUUUUUGCUUAGUUUCAAUCGAUUUUCUGGAUGUUUUCUAGUAUGUUUACAAGCCAAAACCACCAUCUUAAAGCUCUAAUACCAAUUGUCGCAGAAGCUCUCUCCAAAGACCUUUAAAUUGAUGUUUUUUCGAGUUCAGUCUAACGUUAUCUUUCUCUACUAACAACCAAACCAAUCGGCUCUGAUCCAUAACCAAUAUAUUAACCUUGGUUUCUUUUCAAUUUUACCCACAAAAGGACAAGAAAAUGGUGAUGAUUUUGUGGUCACAAAGGCAAGAAGAAAACACUGCAAAGGUAAGCUAUGAAGAGACCACAAAGUAUACAAAUUAAUCAAAUGGUUUUUUGACAGAGGGGUCGAUUUCUUCUCUUCAAAGGGGGGUAGUUGGAUUUCCUCUAUGUUUUCUUACCUUAUAAGUAGGCUAGGUUAGGCUUUCAGUUGGACUAAUAGAAAAGCUAAACGGGCUAAGAUUAAAGCCAUCCAAAAUGGAACAUAAUUGAACUGGGUAGAGCCUUUAGAUUUGGUUGUUUGGUACUUAUUUCAUUCAUCAAUCUAGGUCUAUGAAAUAUAUUAUCCCACGUUAACAUCAUAACCCGAGAUUUAUUGGGUAUCAAAAACCCAACAUGUUCUAUUAAUUAAAUAGAGAAUUUGUUAAUUAAAUAUAUUAAGGUCAUAAUUCCAUACUAUUUGAUCACCAAUUAUCGAAUUAAUUGAUCAUGAUUUAUUUCUCGGUCAUGAAUAAAAAAUAUUAUAAGUCACAAAUUAUUUUAUGGUUACAAAUCCAAAAAAAUUAUCGGUUGCAACUUAUUCAUUGGUCACAAAUCACAAGUUUUAUAAAUCACUUUUCAAUUUUUUAGGUUACAUAUUAUUUAUUAGUCAUAAGUUAUCGAUCAUAUUGGUCACAAAAUAUUCAAUUUAUUGAUUAUAGUCUCAAUAAUUGGUAUCAAAUUAACUAAUUUAUUGGUCACAAUCAACCAAAUAAUUGGUUACAAAUCCCAUCCUUCAAAACCACCACACCACCUCCACAACCGCAACUAUAGCCACGAAACCACCUCCACCACAACCAACAUUACAAUUACCACCACCCAACCAUCAAAUCAUCACAACCACUGCCAAUUUGGUGGGGUCAAGUAGAUGGAGGUAGGUUUGGUAUAUAAAUUAAUUUAAUUUUAUAAUUUUAUUAUUAAUAUUGAAUUCAUAUCUAAUUUUAUAUAAAUGAACUUCAAAUCUAAUUUUUGAAAUGGCAACUUAAAAAAUCUGGUUACGUAUAAUCUUCACAAUUUAUUUUCUCUUACCACCUGGGUUGGGGGCAGGACUGUGCUCCUUCUGCUAGAUCCAUCUCUGGAACGCAGUAUUGGUAUGAGAGUCCAUGCAAUAGCUUAAAGUUGUCGUUUUGAUCAUACUAAAGCAGGUACAAAGGAAUUUCAAUGUGGUUUCUAUUGGCCAACACUAUUUAAAGAUGCUCGAAGUUUUUGCGAUCAUAUAAUAGAAGUCAAUGUACCGGUAAUAUUUAGAUUGACAUGAGAUGCUGAUGAAUAACAUUUUGAAAGUUGAACUUUUUGAUGUUUUGGGCAUUGACUUCAUGGGGCAACUUCUCCCAUCUUACUCAAAUAGGUACACCAUUGUGUCAGUGGACUAUGUAAAGGCAAGGAUGGUCAUAUGGUUUAUAAAAAAACGGAAGAUAUGAAGCACCCUGGACCAUGAUUAGCAAUGUUUUGGGCAUUGACUUUAUGGGGCAACUUCUUCCGUCUUACUCAAAUAGGUACAUCACUUUUGCAAUUGUUUAUUUUAGUCAAUACUACAUAUAUAUAUAUGGUGCGCAUGUGGGAAAGGUCAAAACAUCGUAAAGCCACUUGAAGUGGAUCUGGGAACUAACAGUAUAUUCAAACAUUAUGAAUAAAUCAGUUAUUCAAACAUCAAAAAUUAUUACAAAGACGCAUUUUAUGUUCUCAUGAUAUCAAGCAGUUUCGAAGAAAGUGGAAGCUUUACAUGAAUUAGACAACACAUCGAUCACAAAUGCUUAUAUUAAUGCUCUAACGAAUUGCAAUGCUAGGUUGGGAAAUUGUCGAUUUGCCUAUGCUGGAGCAACCGAUUUUUGUAGAGAAGUGGAAAUUUCUCAUGUCACCUUAUCUAGGAUUGGAGUCUCCAUUAACGAUGCCACUCUUACAAUGCUCGGUGGACGAUGAUUUGGGACUUCUUUCACACUACUUUAAUAAAACCCUCAAAGUUACUUUUAAUAUUUAUGAAAAUAAGGAAAAACAUAUCGUCCAAUUAUAUAUGAAAAUGAGAUGGGGUUACUUGCAUUUUAUAGAAGACUAAUUCAAUGUUCAUCGAAUGCAGUUUGAAAAUAUAUAUUUUUUUCAUCCAACUUGUUCACUUUUGUUAUUCAAUCACCAUAAUGGAAUAUUAUAUUUAAUGUUUAUAUAAAUCAACCAUGAUAAAAUACAAACUUGGAAGGGAGGUGAUCUAACCUCCAAAUAAAUUUAACUAGUCCAACUAACUGCGAAUCAAACAAUUAGAAAAUUCAAAUUUUUAAGUUUUUUAUGCCUUGUUACCGUCUUUAUCAUAAACGAUGCAAAAAUGAGAUAUUUUAGUGACUCGGCUCAUGAUUACUUUCGUACUCACUCUCCGUUUGAAGUUUGCUAACGUAGGUUAAAACUAGAAAAUAUUCUGUUCAUCCUUAAAUGCUACUUUAUGUACAUAUCUUCUGUAAUUUGUUUAUUAUUUUCAAAUUUGUUUAAAUAUGUUACUUAUUUAAAUAAAAAUAAUUUUGCUAUAGUAAGAAUUCACCCAAAUCCUUCUAAUUCAGGGCACGUCUUUAGUGUGAAUAUGAAUCUAUAAAUUCCCAUUGAUGACUCAUUGGCUAGCAAGUCUUUGAACAAAAUGAAGAUGAUUUGUUCAUCAUCCACUUUGAGAAGCAUCUUUUCUACAUAGACAUCAAUGCAAGGGCCGAUAGCCAGAAAAGGUCAAUCCAAUAUUAUGGGAAUAACUACAUCCUGCAAGAACAGUCGAAAUUGUAGGCCGUUUAUUAAAGAAUUCUUGUAUGCACAAUAGUGCAAUGUGAAUGCACCUCACCAUCUCUUCUUGGAAUCCGGCUUUGUAUAUUGUUUGAUCUAUGAUGGUCAAACCGUUGUCUUCACUCCAUAAUUUCCAUGCCUAAUGCAAAUUUUCAUAUAUAAGAUCCUGAGGAAUGUUUGAAAACACAAUUAAAAAAAUAGGGAAUAUUACAAGUGGCUUAACCAACCCAAAAAGGCUAAAUGAACAUUUGUGAUUGUAGAAGUUGCUGUUCUUUUUUCCACUCACGAUUUCUAGCAUCAAAAUGCCAAAACUAUAGACGUCAGAUUUUUCAAAAAAUCUUCCUUCAAAUUGCAUAUUCUAGCGCCAUAUAUCCGCUGCAACAUAUGAUAAAUUCAUGUAAGUUUGAAUCAGCCGAUAUUAAAAACAAAUGGAAUGUUCACAGUAUUAUUUACCAAACAUGCUUUUAAGGGGAAGAAUACUUUCGUCAAUUCAACAAUUGCUUACUAAGUUCCUACGACUCUCCUAGUGUUGGCUUGAUCUUGGUUGCCUCCAAAUAUUCUUGCCAUUCCAAAGUCAGAAAUCUUUAGAUUAUAGUCGUCAUCCAUCAAUACGUGACUCGGUUUCAAAUCUCUAUGGAUUAUCUUCAAUAUAGAAUCCCUAUGAAGAUAGAGAAGGCCUCGCCCAAUACCUUUAAUGAUACUAAAACAUUUCUUCCAAUCAAGAAUCUUUUGCUAUGAUGUGAAGAAUAUACAUGAAUAAAAGCAAAUUAUAAAAAAACUAAUAGUAGAAGAUGUUUUGAAAGGAUGGAGAACAGAGUUAAAUUUAAACUAACCAAACAGAAACUCAUCUAAGCCCCCGUUUGUUUCUCAUUGUUUGCCCAUUAAAAUGAAAAAUAUGACCGUUAUCCAUCACAACAAGCCUCCAUAUUUGACUCUAUUGUGUGGAGUCCGUAACGACUAUAUUUUUCAUUUUCAUUUUCAUUUUUAUAAAUGAGAAUUUUCUCUCCUUUCUCGACACAACAUCCUAGUAAUUUUACAAGAUUUCGAUGUUGGAGCUAGGACUCACGUCCACUUCAUUCGUAAAUUCUUCCAUUCCUUGUCCAGAUGCUGCUGAAGCCUCUUAACUGCAAUUUCUUUUCCAUGUACCAAUUCACCCUGCAUUCACAUUAACAGCAAUUUCAGCACGAGAACUAUAUAAAAUGCAGUAAUCAGCGCCCUUGGUUACAAAAAAUUACCUUAUAAACAGGACCAAAACCACCCUUUACAAACAUAUUGUCAUCAUGGAAUCGGUCUGUGGCAUUUGCAAGUGUCUCGAACGUGAAUAAUGGAAACUCUUCAAGAUUAAUUUUAUCCAUAUCAUCUUUAAUCAGUAUCCCGGCAGAAUCUGAUGGAUAUGUUUGCCCAGCUUCAUAUAACUUCGCAUCAAUUUUUCCUUUGGCUCCUGGUUCCACAAGGAAAAUCAAUAUCUUUAACUGACAGAUACAUAUAUACAUAUGUAAAUCAGCUUUUUGUCUUUGUGCCCAUCUGGACAACCCAAAUAUCAAAUGACUUAGCUUAAUCAAUAACGAGUUCAUAAACAUUAUAAGGCAAUUUAUCAACAGAACUCGAAGUACCUAGUUCUGAAGAAGCUAGAUGAAUGUAAAGAUCUUCACCAACGUUAGAAAAUCGCUGAAUGUCAAUCAGUCCUCGGCUCCAGAACAUACGACCCAGAUUUGUGUCGUGUGCAUUGGCUAUGCAUGAACAGUUCAUCGAGCAGAGACUUCUACAUUCCUCAACCGUCCUAGAUGGUCCCCGUUCAGUAAAAUCUGGCACUUUCAUAUACAGGAGUCUCAAGAAUCCGUCUUCUUUGCCACCAUCACUUGUAUUAUUAUGUUGAUCACAGAGCAAUGGUUUCCUCCGCACACAUCCGCCAGACCAAUUUCCUCUUCCCCAUUCCUGGGAAUUCUUUGGGUCAAACCCUCUCAGACAAGAACAAAUAGGUGAACUCAGAGCAUUACAACUCCCAAUUGGCCCGCACGUCCCAUAAACAUCACAUUCUUGACCAGGAGGCAACCAUGUAAUAUCCUAUUUCUCUGUCCUAUCAUUCCACAAUCUUUGAACCAAACUCCCCGUUGAAUUCAAAGUAAUUCUCAUCAAGAAUUUUCCCUCUGGCGUAGUGAAAUUGUAAGUUCCUGGAAGAACAUUUCCCACAGUGAAUCCAUCAUUGUAUACAGAAUAUAAAUCAUGUACACCAAUUAGAAUCUGACCAUUCCAUGGACCACUUCGCCAGUGUGGACGGUUCCCAUUCCAAGUACAGAUUAGAGGAAUAUUCAGAGCCAGGAGACCCGUUGAGAAAUUUCCAACUUCUGGAUCCGUCGGGGUUACCCUGCAUUUAUGUUGUCAACUAACCACAAUAUAGGCAAAAAAGUAUCGGACGGAUGUCCAAAACAUUCCCACAAUGUACGCCCACUUGAAUUAUCUCGCAGAACAAUAUUUCCAGUGCUCUAAAGCUGGGCAAUGGCAUUAACCAAAGAGGUUGUAACAUUUGAUGAUCAAACAAUCUCACUUUCUCCAUUCUUUAGUACAACAUUCCCAUCUCGGGAUAUCGUUACACUGCCGGAAGAACUUGGAAUAGGCUUGUCCCUGUUGGCAACCCAUAUCACUGUUGAUUCAGAAACGCUGUAAAAUACACCAAAGUAGCGGUCCUUGGUGGUGUUAUCGGGGGAGACGAAUCCCAAUUUGGAGACGUUGCCUCUUGAUGAUAUGGUGUCGGGGUCUUUUAGGACAAGAUUUCUUGUAAUAGUGUCUGUCUCUGCACAAAAUCCUAAACGAGGAAGACAGAGGAGUGUGAAUAGGGACUGAAGAACAAAAAGUGUAAGGAUUUGGCUAUUGAUGGUUAAUUCAACGAUAUUUGUGGGACAAAAACCCAUUCUUUGAGAAGUUUGAAGUUUUCCAAGCAAAUUAUCGCUGCUGGUUUUUUUGGGUAAAAUCUAUAUUGAUUCUCGUUAUAUAUAAGACCAUUGAGAGAACUUGAAGUCAAAUCUCAGUAAUUAGACCCGGAUGUCAAGAUAUUCCGUCAAUGGUUAUGACAUGCUUUUCCCUUUCCUCAAUUUCCUCAGUAGGAUAAACUACACGGUGGUUCCAUGGUCGGGCAACAUCGGGGCAUGUUACUCGACGGCAAAUGGAAUAAAUAAAUACAAGUGUUUAUUUUUCAAAAUUAGUCAAAUUCCCACUGAUUUAUGAUUGUGAAAAACUUAUGUAGGCUAUGUUGAACAUCACAUCUGAUUAAUAACCUUGACUCUUUUAAAAAAUUCUCACCAUUUGGCUCUGUUUGGUAAAAUUUAUUAUUUGAUCCUUUUUUCCUUUUGUACAAUGCAAAGUUAUUUGAUUUAUGAGUAAAUUAGCUUUAACUUGAUCUGUUGAUUUGGACAUUAAAAUAGUGGAGGGAUGCGUGUAUAAAAAAUGAAAAAUUAUUGACUGUUAAUGUUUUCUCUUUCUUAAAAUAUGUUGUUUAAUAAGCCAGCGAAGGUUCUUUUCUAAUUUGCGCAAAUUAGAAAAUUAUGUUUUAAUGUAGGUGAUAAUAAGUAAAAUUUUGCACUUAUUCGAGCCACCAGAAGCAAACAUUAGAGUGCUUUUAUAGUUUAAAUACUUAGUUAUGUGCAAUUAUUGAUUUUUUACGAGAAACUCGGUAUUUGAUUUUGAAAAUAUGAAAAUAAACGAAAAUUGACCAAUUAGGACUGAAGGAGGACGAAUUUGAAAGUUAGGGACUAAAGUGUUGAGAUUGGAAGUUAAAGGACAUAUAUUAUGAUAAUGAAUGACUUGGGCUAGAGAAGAAAAUGGAUCCAGGGAUUGAGUUGUAUAGGUAUUGUAAAUUGACCCUUGAGACCGCAAGGAUCUAUAGCCACGAUCACAAGAGGUUCAAUUAAUGAGCCAACAGCCAGAUAGAUCCUACCAUGUGAUUGAAGAGUGAAUUACCAAAAUGGUCAUUGAACUUUGCAAAUAAAUUUUUACAGGGUCACUGAACUUUAAAAAUCAUCCAAUUCAUCACUGAAUUUUGCAAAAGGCUUCCUAAAAAUCAUCCAAUUCAUAACUGAAUUUUGCAAAAGGUUUUCACGAGGUCACUGAACUUUAAAAAUCACCACAUUUAUCACUGACCCCUAGGAAACUUUUUUGCAAAGUUCAAUGAUAAAUUGGAUAAUUUUUAAAAUUCAGUGACCAGUUGGGUAAUUGACUCUGUGAUUGCACCUCUUAACAGUGAAGUCACAUGGUCAAAACGAGACCCCAGAAACUGAUCUCCUAAUUUGACUAAACUUCUAAUUCAAGACAUCUAGGGGUUUGAUUAUAGACUAAUUAUAAGGAUAUAAAUAGUACUCCUUUUGUCCCAUAAAGAUAGUCUUAUUUUCUAUUUUUCUCCCUCCUAAAUUAUAGUACUAUUUAUUAUUUGCAAGUAUAGUAAACAUAUUAGUUUCUUAAUAUACCCCUAUUUAAUAUGCUUUGUUACCAGAAAUAUAAUUUAAUUACCAUGAAUAUUGAUUGCAUUAACGUAGGGGUAUAUUAGGAAAAAUGUUAGUAAAAUUUAUUAUUUCAACAAUAUUAAUUGAAUCUUCUUAAUGUUUGUGAAAAAAGAUAUAGGACUAUCUUUAUGGAAUGGAGGGAAUACAUUUAUUCUUCUCAAAGGAAGAUGCAUUAUCGAGGCACAAUACAUAAUUGCAUUUGUAAAUUUCAAGAUUCUUGGCGAGAAGUCAUAUUUGAAGAUGGAAUAUUGUCUAUUUGUCGGGAUAUUUGCAACAAUCAAGCAAAUGCAUAAGAUCUGUACAAGUUUGUGCCGCGAAGAUCAAUAACUGUUCGAAUAUCUUUUCUCUUUAUUUAUUGCAAUUGAACCAGACAGAGGUAGACCAAGGAAAUGAUGUGGGGUCUAAAAUUUAAAAAUUCUAAAUAAGUUCAUGGUACAAGAGAACGAGUUUACGAGAUUACGCUCAUUACAUUCAUGACAAAUAAUAUCAGACACUCAAUGAAAUACAAGCGUAAUUCUCACCAUAUGAUGUCUCACUAGAUAUUCGUAUUUUUCUUGCAAGAUACAAAAUCAACGCUCACCUUAGAAAAUAUAAAUUGAUAGAAGCAUAUAAUCAUAGGCAAACGACAUAUCCACCAAUCAAAACUAAACAAAAUACUUAAGGAAUUUUACAACUAUUUGUUCAAAAUAACUAAAAGUUUUUGUCUAAAAAGCAACUGAAAAUAUAUUAUUGUACGUCACCAUUCUCAAAAUACUAUUUGAUGUGGGUAUAAGUCUUUUAUACCAACACAUCCCAUAGUGAGUGAAGAAUCCACCCAAAGUUGGGGGUCGGGGGGGGGGGGGGGGGGGGGGGGGGGGGGGAAGGAAUUUCGAGUGUAAAACAAAUUAGUUUUUUUCAUGUCCAUGUUUGAUUCAACUUCUAUAAUAUAUAUGUAAUUUUAUUACUCAUAAAUAAGUUCUUAUAUAUAUAUAUAUAUAUAAUUUUUUUUUAUUAUAAGAUUAAAUGUAAAGUAAGUUACUUAUUUUGAUAGUAACAUCAAUUUCAUGAUCAAAAUAUGUAAGUUUCUUUUCUUAUAAGUAUGAAAAUAAGUUAUAUGUGAAAAUAUUUUAAAACUAAAAAAUCUAAUUACUUUAAGCUUAGCCAAACAUUAAAUGUUGCUUACUAUUAAAAUAAGUAAUUUAUUUUAACUCUAAUCAAUACAAUUUUGUUAUUAUAAAGUUUUUAUAUAAUUGUAAGAAAGCAUUAAAUAAAAACCUAGUUUGGUAAUAAAAUUGUUCACAUUUCAUUAAUAUCAUGAAAUAACAUUUGGAUAAUUGGACUUGGGUUGGGACUCAAUAUGAAAUUACACUAAACAUAGAUAUUUGGACCAAUUUAAUCAUAAAAUUUGUUUGUAAAAUUUUCAUAUCUAAGAAAUUAAGCAUGAUCCAUUUAAAAAUUAAGAAACAACAUUCAAAUUUCAAAAGUCAUAUACUAAUUAAAUUUUAUUUAUUAAAUAAUUAAUUAAAAAUAUUUCUUUAUUAAGUAAACAUAUUUUUAUUAAUUAAAUAUAUUAAAAUCACAAUUCUAUACUAUUUGAUCACAAAUUAUUUCCUCAUCAUAAAUAAAAAAUUAUAUAUAGGUCACAAAUCAUAAAUAUUAUAAAUAAUUAUUGAAAUUUUUAGGUCACAUUACAUAUUAGUCACAAGUUAUCGGUAACAUUGAUCACAAAAUAUCCAAUUUAUUGAUCAUAAUCUCAAAUAAUUGAUCACAAAUUAACUAAUUUAUUAGUCACAAUCAAACAAAUAAAGUUACAAACCCAAUCCCACAACCGCCGCACCACCAUUACAACCACGACCAUUGCCUCGACCACUGCCACUGCAACAAACAUCACAACCACCACUGCCCAACAACCACCUCAUCGCCACCACCGUCACUAUCAGCUCCAAUCUGAAAUUGACAAAUAGAAACAGAUAAAGAACUCCAAAAGUCAGCCUCAUCGCACCAUCACCACCACCAACACCAACACCACCUCACAAUCUGAAAACAUACAAAAAGAAAUAGAAACCAAAAGCCACAUCACCUCGUCGCCAUAUUGCCGCCACCACUAAUACGACCUCUCAAACAGAAACAGAAACAAAAACCAAGUAGCUGGCACAACUCACUGCCACCACCACCAACACUAUCUCACAAAUAGAAACAAAAACCAAAAAGCCAGCACCAUCUCAUUGUCACUAUAAGUAUUAUGCCCUAGGUCCAAUCUACUUUGGACAUAAAUACUUUUAUAUAUAAUUAAUGCAAUUAAAUGGCAGAUCUAUUAUUUAAUUAAUAGACAAUUAAAUAAAUAAUAGAGUCCGUAGAUUCAAAUUUUCGUAAUUUGUUAAUUACAAGGAGUUGUAAUUGUGAGAUACAAAUUACAUCUGAUUGAAUCUUAAAUCAUCUGUGGUUGUAAGUAAUAACGAGAUACGGAUAUCGUUAUUACGGAUAGACCAUCACGUGUGGCAUUUCUUACUUGUGAAGUAAGUAGCCGAUCUCACAAGUUAAAAGUGUGGUGACACUUAAAUGAACACGUGGAUGUUUUGUUAGAGAACAAAACAUUGGAGACCCGUCGAGAGAUUCCACAUGGAUAACUAUCUGAGUGUCAGUGGUUAAUCUCAAACGUUCGGUAGUGGAAUUGAUCCUUUGACUUGAGGUCGUCAUGGUACCUUAUAUGAGGACAGUCAUACUUUGGCGGUGUUGGAUGUUUCUCUGAAAAGGGCCGCUAAUACGACAUCGUUCGAGUACGUCAAGAAUCGUAUGAAGGUUGUGAUUGAUCAAUAAAGGAUUCGUCACUCUUAGAUAAUAGAAGAUUAUGAUCUGCGUUUCAUUCAAUUAAGUCGAUGAUGAAAUCCUUGGCCAAGGUGUACUCAUAAGUCGAAAAGGAGUUUUCGAUUUAUAUUGACUUAAUAGUGGAGUGAAAGAUAUGAUCGAUAAUCGAGAUUGACACAAUUCCAUAUCUCGUAAUUGAUUGGAUCAUAUUGACGAAGGGAUUAUAGUUUCACGGUAAACUAACGAAUUUGGUUUUGUCAUACCACGUGACAUUUUCCGUCACAUGUAUUGCCCUGACACAUUGCUGGAUGUUAAUCAGGGACGGCGAGUGUGAAUUGACGAUAAAUUAAAAGGAUGUUUUAAUAUAUCAAUUUUGAUUAGAUCAAAAUAAUAUUUCACGUCGUUAGGCAUCGUGGUUGGGAACCUAAUGGAUCGCACACAAAAGAGAAUUGGAAGAUUGUAAAUUGUCAAUUGGUUAAUUUAACAAUCGUUGGAUAAAUUAAUUAAUUGGAUUUGUUAUUUAUAUUCCCGAAUUAAUUAAUUGGAUUAAUUAAUUCACGGACCAGGUUUAAUUAAUUGGAUUAAUUAAAUAUUGGACUGGACCGGGCCGAGUCCGUUUGGGUUUAUAUAAGUACAUAACUAAGGUUUGAGGUCCAUAUGAUUUUCAUUAUUCUUGCUGGUACAAGAGAAAACCCUAGAAGCUGCAAUCUUAUUCUCUGUGUGGAUCACCAUUGGAGGCUGGACAAUUGGACAGCUGUGGUGGCGAAUCAAGGUUGUGGAACGAAAGGAAAAGCAAAAGGAUUGUAGAUCUGAAAAAAGGUACAAUCUUAUCACAAUUUCUAUCUAAACACAAAGGCGAUUCUUGGUGGGAAUUGAAAAUUAUUUUAAAUUCCGCUGUGCAUGUAUAAGUAGAUUCCCAACAGCCACACCGUCACAAUUACCUCACAAUCUGAAAUAGUAGCAGAAACAAAACACCAAUUGGUGUGGCUUCUCUGUGCUUGGCAACGAGAGAGCGGCGGCACAGCGUGCACUGAAGAUAGGAUGGGAGAGUGGCGACGUACGGCGUGGCUUGGCUUUGCUUUGCUUCACAGCAGUGAGCACGGUGCUUGGAGGUUGUCCACCACGACGACGAUUUACAUUUGAAGAAGAAGAGAGAGAAUGGAUUGAUGUGGAGAAAGCAUGUAAAGUGGAAACUAAUUAGGAUUUACAUUGAAAUUUGGUGGGUAGAGUAGAUGGAGGUAGGUUUGGUAUAUAAAUUAAUUUAGUUUUAGAAUAAUAUUAUUAAAAUUGAAUUCAUAUCUAAUUUUUAUAUAAACAAACUUUAAAUUUGAUUUUUGAAAUUGUAACUUAAAAAAAUCUGGUUACAUGCAAUUUCCACAAUUUCUUCUCUUACCAUGUGGGUUGGGACAAGACUGUGCUCCCCCUGCUAGAUCUACCUCUGGAACCUAGUGAUAUUCUUUAUCUUUUCUUUGUAUUUUUAUCACAAUCAUGAAGGGCUAAUUGUUUAUCUUUUUAGGAUGAAUGGUGUAGUUCAGGUUAUUUAUAUUUAUUUAAUUUUAAGAUUUCAUGUCCAUAUUAUCUUGUGCUAAUUGCUUAUUUUGUACAAGAGACAGCAUAUUACAUUACUUAGACUCACAACUAUAGAUAGAGUGACUACAGUUAGAACCAAAUCAAGUUGAAUGACCUGAUUGCUCAAAAUUAGAAUUUAGAGUCCAAUUGCACGUUUGUUUAUUAUUUGACAAUUUAUCAACUCCCAUGUCUUCACCCAAUGUUUGUUUAUAAUCAUAAUGAAGCAGCCCUUCUCAAUUAGUUUACGACAUGGUCUCACUUAAAAGAAGGCAAUAUGCAUCAUAUGUAUUAUACCUAAAUAAGCAUUGAAAUAGUGUUUUUAAGUCGGAAGUUUUUCUAUUUAUUUAUAUCACACAUGCCGUACAUAAAUUCUCUCAUCUUUUGGUACAAAUUUCACCAUUUCUCGUAUAACUCAAUGCAUUCUAUUACCAUUUUUGUGUUUGAGGAUAUCUGACAUUUCAAAGUUAGAAACUGAUAAAACAAUGAAAUACAACAUAAUGACAUGGGGGAAAAUGUAGUAUCUUUCGUCUUUCAAGCAUUGCAGUGAUACUAAAAUGUUGGAACAGCCCCUCGUACUCAUAUGGCUUUGGGAAGAGGAGGAGGAGGAGAAGAAGAAGAACACUUCAACUUUUGCGUAAAUGCAGGUUGCUCUGGCCAAGGUAACUUAUCAACAUAACAGUUGAUAUAUUCAGUCUGUUAAAAGGGAAUUUUUGAACACACAAUAAUCCAUUAGGUAUGCUUCUCAAAAUCUCUUUCAAGAAUCUUGGCAUUGUUGGGUAUUAUUGCUAACAAGUAUUUGACUAAGAUUGUGAUAAAAAAGGAGGCAGAAAUCAUGUGGCGAACAUUCAUUUAGGCUCGAGCAAACAGAGGAGGCGCUUUGUAGGAAAUAGAAGUGGAAUUAGGAGGAGGAAAUGAUUUUCUAUUCAAUUGUGGACUUACCUUCAACUCAAGAUUAUAUAGGUAUUUAUAGGACUUCCUAUCACAUAAGUUCAUCCCCUCAAUUUAAUUCUACUAAUUGCACCACAAUUUACUAGGUACACAUUAAUUAAUAAUACAUGCAUACAUGAACCACAAUUAACUAGGUGCAUAUUAAUUAAUAAUACAUGUAUUUCAAACUCCUAAAUUCAUGAAACUAAAUUAAAUAUGUUAAAUGCAUGUUUAUUUUUCUAACCCCCCCCCCCCCUUAAACAUGAAUUUUGCAUACUCCAAGCAAGCUUCUUAAUGCCUUGAAAGUAUUGAACUUGAGAGCUUUGGUGAGAAUAUCUCCAAUUUGGUCUUGAGACUUCACAAAAUUAAUCUUCACUACCUUGUUUGCAACGCAUUCACACACAAAGUGAUAUUUGGUAUCUAUAUCCUUGCUACAUUCAUGAAACAACGGAUUCUUUGCUAAAGCAAAUGGCUAAUUUGUUAUCCACACUUACUUCAGUAGGCUAUCUUUGUGCAAAAUGAAACUCAUUCAACAAAUUCCUUAGCCAAACUGUUUGUGUAACACAAGAACUGACAGCAACAUACUCAGCUUCACAAGUUGACAGAGUAACAAUUAGUUGCUUCUAUGAGCUCCAAAUAAAAGCUGUGUUACCCAUGUAAAAUACAAAUCCACUGGUAUUCUUUCGAUCAUCAAUGUCGCCACCCCAAUCACUAUCACCGAAACCUCUAAGUCUGAAAACAUUAGAGGCAUAAUAAUGUAACCCGAAAUCAAGAGUAUCUUUGAUGUAACGUAAAAUUCUCUUCGCAGCUUUCAAAUGUGCUGUCGUUGGAGCCUCUAUAUAACAACUAACCAGUCCUACUCCAAAUAAUAUAUCCGGCCUUGUACAAGUUAAAUAUUUCAGGCUUCCAACUAAGCUUCGAAACAAGGUUGGAUCUACCUUUGCACCAUCAUCAUAUCUAAAAAGUUUGAUGUUACAUUCUACUGGAGUGUUAACUGGAUUGCAAUUACUCAUGCUGAAUUUCUGUAUAACUUCUUUUGCAUAAUUUUCUUGUACGAUGAAAAUGCCUUCCUUUGUCUGCUUCACUUCUAUCCCAAGAUAAUAGGACAUAAGUCCUAAAUCUAUCAUCUCGAAUUCACAGCACAUUUUUCUCUUGAAUUCUUCAAACGUCUUUGGAUUGUUGCCUGUAAAAAUUAGAUCAUCGACAUACAGACAAACAAUCAGAACACCAUUAACAUUCACUUUAAUGUAGAGAGCAUGCUCAUAAGGACACUUGGUAAAGCCAUUUUCCUGAAAAUAUUUAUCAAUUCUACAAUUCCAAACCCUUGGUGCUUGCUUUAGGCCGUAAAGAGCUUUCUUUAAUUUCAACACUUUGUCCUCAUUUCCUUUUACUACAAAGCUAGGGGGUUGUUGCACAUAGACCUCCUCUUCAAGAUAGCCAUUGAGAAAAGCUGACUUGACAUCCAUUUGAAAAAUCUUCCACUUGUUUUGAGCAGCCAAAGAAAUUAUCAGUCGUAUGGUCUCUAACCGAGCUACUGGAGCGAAAACUUCUUCAUAAUCGAUGCCUUGAUGCUGUUUGUAUCCUUUCAUCACGAGUAUUGCUUUGUAUCUUUCCACCUCUCCUUUUGAAGUUUUCUUAGUUUUGUACACCCAUUUAACUCCGAUGGCAGCAUGUCUCAUGGGAAGAGUUGUUAAUUUCCAAGUAUUGUUAUUCUCAAUUGCUCCGAUUUCUUCAUUCAUGGCUUUUCUCCAUUUCUCAUCCUCAACAACUUCAUUAAAACUUAUGGGCUCAAUAUUUGCAAAUAGAUAGAAGAAAGUAAUAUCAUCAAUUCUCUCGAUUUCUCGAUAUUUAUCAUCAAGUCUUCUUGUACGCAAAGGCCUUUUACUUGAACCUCCUUCAAAAACAUCAAUUUCACCACGUGAUGGUGAUGUUGGAGGAGUGGUAGUCUCGUGUAUUUCUUCAUUGUCAUCUUCUUCCUCCAAGAAAGGAAGAAAGUCAUAGUAAUCUUCAUCAACAUGUCAAUUCCAUAUUGCUUCCUCAUCAAAAUCCACAUCUCUACUAAUAAACAACCUCCCAUAACUUGGAUAUAGAACUUGUAGCCUUUUGUUUUUGAAUCAUAGCCAACGAACACACUUUUUACUCUUGUCAUCAAGUUUCAAACGCUUUUCAUCAAGAACAUGGACAUAUGCAAUGCAUCCAAAUACCUCCAAAUGAGAUACUGCUGGUUUUCCCCAUUCCAUGCUUCAAGUGGAGUCUUGUGGGCUAAAGCCUUUGUGGCACACCGGUUCAACAAGUAGACAGCACAAUCAACAGCUUCUGCCCAAAAUUCGUUUGGCAUUUUCUUUGUCUUCAUUAUGCUUGUUGCCAUAUUGAGAAUUGUUCAGUUCUUUCAUUCAACAACUCCGUUCUGCUGUGGAGAUCUUGGAGCGGUUAGGAACCGACGAAUUCUGUUAGCAUCACAGAAGUCUUGAAAAUUUCUGGAAGUGAAUUCACCUCCUCUAUCUGAUCUCACAGCCUGAAUUUUAAAUCCACUUUUUUUUUCCUACAAGAGCUUUAAAAUUCUAAAAGCAUUUAAACACCUCCAAUUUUUCUUUUAGAAAAUACACCCAUGUUUUUCUACUGAAAUGAUCAAUAAACAAAAGAAAAUAUUUGUUCUUACCAAAAGAACAUAGAGUGAUUGGCCCACAUACAUCAGUGUUUAUCAAUUGUAGUUGCCUUGAAACUCUUGAUUGAGAUACUUUUGGAAAGACCUUUCUUGACUGCUUACCAAAAAGACACCCUUCACAAAGCUGAUUAGGCUGAUGUAUUGGAGGCAAACCUUUCACCAUUCCAUUGCUAGCCAUUUUUUUGAGCCCUCCAAAAUUUAUGUGCCCAAAUCAUAAAUGCCACAACCAUGACUAGUCUUUAUAACACGACGUCAAACACUUAGCCAUAUCAGUUUGUAUGGACAACACAAAUAAAUGAUUUUUCAACAUAGGUACUUUAGCAAUCAAAUUUCCUGCAUCAUCCUUUAAAAACACAUUGCAACCUUUUAUGAACAAAACAUAGCCUUUCUCCAAUAAUUGACCCACACUCAAAAUAUUACUCCUCAUAUUUGAAGCAUAAUAAACUUUUGAAAUAAAUUGGUGAUUUCUAUCUUUCAUAUGUAUCAAGAUUUUACCUUUCUCCUUUACUGGUAUUUUGGAGGAAUCCUCGAAUGUGAUAUUGCCACCAACCUUCUCAUCAAGCUCUAUGAACAAAUCUUUGUUCCCAAACAUGUGAUUACUAGCUCCAGUAUCAAGGAACCAAGAAUAUUUUUCUCCUUGCUACAAGUCCUUGCAAGCUAUUAAAAGAGUAGACUCUAUCUCUUCAUUAUUUUCUAUAACUUCUUCAUGAGAAAGGUUAGCUUUCGCGCCAUCACCACUUUUACAUUCCCAUGAAUAAUGUCCAAAUUGAUGACACGUAUAACAUUUAACUUGUGACUUGUCAUACCUCUUUUGAUAUGGUCUUGCUCCUCCUCUGCCAUGUCCUCUUGUUGAGUUGGAUUGAUAAUUUUCAUCUCUACGUUGAAAUGAAAUAUGGUAACCUCUUCCUCCUUUUCCAAAGCCUCGUCCUUUGAAACUUGUAUUUUCCUUUUCUUCCUUGUUUAUCAAUGUGAACUUUGAUUGUAAAACAUGCUCCAAUGGCUCCUUCCUUCUUCGAUUAAGCUUCUCUUCAUAUGCUUCUAAUGAUCCUCUUAAUUCUUCAAUUGUCAUAUCUUCCAAGUCCUUUGAUUCUUCAAUGGCAGUCACGAUGUGGUCAAAUUUCUCACUAACUGAUCUAAGGAUUUUCUCAAUUAACCUUAAAUUAGUCACAUCUUCAUCAAGCCUCUACAUUUGGUUUACAACAGUCACCACUCUUGAAAUAUAAUCCGACACCUUUUCGGAUUCCUUCAUUUGAAUAGCUUCAAAUUCACCUCGUAGAUUUUGGAGGCGAACUUUCUUUGCCUUCUCCUUUCCUUUGCAGGCAAUUUGAAGCAUAUCCCAUAAUUGUUUUGCUGUAGUAGCAUUAGAAAUCUUCUCAAAAGUGGCCUCAUCCAAUGCUUGGUGAAUAAGAGAAACAACCUUUUGAUCCUUCCUCUUAGUAUUUUGUAAAAGAUCCCUUUGUGCUUGGGUGAGAGCAGCUAGAUCGGUAGGAGCCUCAUAACCAUUCUCCACGAUAUCCCAUGCAUCAUGUGCACCAAGUAGUGCCUUCAGGCGGAUGCACCAGUUAUAAAAUUUCUCUUUGGACAAUUUUGGAACUUGGAAGGUGAUCAUGUUGGUAUUUGCUAUUGUUUCUAGUAUUGUGGCUCUAAUACCACUUUGUAGGAAAUAGAAGUGGACUUAAGAGGAGGAAAUGAUUUUCUAUUCAAUUGUGGACUUACCUUCAACUCAAGAUUACAUAAGUAUUUAUAGGACUUCUUAUCACACAAGUUCAUCCCCUCAAUUUAAUUCUACUACAUGCACCACAAUUGACUAGGUACACAUUAAUUAAUAACACAUGCAAACAUGAACCACAAUUAACUAGGUGCAUAUUAAUUAAUAAUACAUGUAUUUCAAACUCCUAAAUUCAUGAAACUAAAUUAAAUAGGUUAAAUGCAUGUUUAUUUUUCUAACAGGAAGAAAAAGCUUCUUCAAAAAGUUAAAUUUUAUUUUUGUGAGGAACCAUAUUUAUACUAGAGUGGGGCAUAUCAAAUCAUUCGAAGAUGUAUACCUGAAUAUGAGAUGAAAUCGAUAUUAGCAUGAGUUCGUGCAUCAACUUAUAGAGGUCAUUUCAAUCCUUCUAAAAUAGUAGCAAAGGUGCUUCAACGUAGUUUCUACCAGCCAAUAGUGUUUAAAAAUGCUAAAAGUUAUUGCAGAUGAUGUGUUGUGUGCACUAGUAAUAUAUCAACCGGACAGAAGAUGACAUUGAGCAACAUUUUGGAAGUUGAGCUUCUUGAUGUUUGGAUAUUGACUUUAUGAGACCAAUUCCUCCAUCAUACUCCAAGAGGCUAAUCAUUUUCACUGUGAACUGUGUGCCUAAAUAGAUAAAAGAAAAGGGCUUCCUUAUCCAUGAUGCCAUGGUGAUCGUAUGUGUGCGGUAUAUAAAAAAUUAAAUAUACAAUUGAUAUGGAGUUCUCAUGGCCAUGAUUAGUGAGGGUAGAACUCACUUUUGCAAUUAUUUAUUUAAUACAAUUCUACACAUGUAUGGUGUGUAACUUCAAGUGGCCAUUGCUGCUAACCUCAAACAAGUGGAUAGAUCGAAACAACUAACAGGAAGUUGAAAGAAGAUCUUGAAAAUAAUAGUAGAUUCGUCUUGCAAAGAUUGGUUCAUAAAGUUGGAUGAUGUAGGCAUACCACAUGGCUUCCAAGAUACCUAUCGGAAUGUCUCCAUACCAAUUGGUGUUUGGGAAAAUAUGUUAUUUAUCGAUUGAAUUUGAGUACAAGGCUGAUUGGACGCUCAAACAUUUGGACAUAGAUUUAGAAAAAGGCUGGUGAAAUAAGACUUUUUUGGUUGAAUGAGCUAGAAGAGUUUAGGUGGGAUGCUAUGAAAUCAUUGUAAUCUUCAAGGAGCGUACAAAGUAUUGGCAUGAUAAGAAUAUUUAUCAAAGAGCACUUAAAGUCGAAAAUCAUGCACUUUUUUAUAACUUCAGAUUGAAGCUCUUUGGGAGUAAAUUGCAAUCUAAAUGGCCCGACCUCCCUUAACAAUUGUUAGGUUUUAGUUUUGUUUACUAUUCUUCAGAGAAAAAGAUUAUUAUAAAAGAGUUGUAAAAGUCAAGGAGUCUGUUGGGAUAUUUUAUAAAUAAGCUAGGAGUCUUUGGGUUCAAGUAUGGAACAUGGAGAAGGAGUCGCCGAAAUUACGCUAGCCUCACGCUAAGCUUAUGCUCGAGCGUCCAAAGUAGAAUCAUCACACCGCUUGUCACUUGCCUAACGCUAGCCUAGCGCUCAAGCGAUGGUGUUACAUGUGAAACCCUGGUUCUCAUUUUUCAAAGGUUUUUUUUGAUCCAUACUAACUAUGAAGUUUCACUAUUCCCUGGGAUUGGGUUCGGGCCUUUCCUAUAUAGCUUAGGUAGAAGGCGAAUAAAGGACUCCUUCCAGGGGCUUGAGACAUCAAUGAGAUGCCACUCUAGAAGAGAUAGAAUUCUAACCUUGCGUUAAGACUGACGGGCCAUAGGACAGUCUCAGGUAGAUAGUUUCUAUGGGACAUAGGCCUCCCAAAAGGUAACGAAGCCGUGUAAAAGUUUCUUGAGGCUGGAUGGAGAUUGGCCUUUCAAUGCAAAGGUAGAAGGGAGUUUAACUGUAAGACUCAACCAUCGAGCAAGGACAGAGUUGGCUUUAGUGAUCUGACAAUUUCGAGUGAAAGGGCCAUCACUCAACGGAUAAAAGUUACUUUAGGGAUAAUAGGUUGAUCUUUCUUAAGAGCUCACACCGACAGAAAGUUUGGCACCUUGAUGUCGGCUCUUCGCCAUUUGGGGUUGUAGUACAUUCCAAGGGUUGGGUUGUUCGCAUAUUAAAGCGGUCCAUAAGCUAGAUUCAGAACGUCAUGAGAUAGUUCGGUCCAUGUCUAGUGUGGGCAUUAGAUCAUUGAGAUGACCUUUCUGUAAGUGUUAUGUCCUAUGUCCAAUCAAUUUUGGACAUAAAUACUUUUAAUAUAUAAUUAAUACAAUCUAAUGGCAGAUCUAUUAUUUAAUCAAUAGACAAUUAAUUUAAAUAAUAGUGCCCGUAGAUUCAAAUCUUCGUAAUUUGUUAAUCACAACGAGUUGUGAUUGUGAGAUACAAAUUACAUAUGAUUUAAUCUUAAAUCAUUUGUGGUCGUAAGUAAUAACGAGAUACAGAUAUCGUUAUUAUGGAUAAACCAUCACGUGUGGCAUUUCUUACUUGUGAAGUAAGUAGCUGAUCACACAAGUUAAAGUGUGGUGACACUUAAAUGAACACGUGGAUACUUUGUUGUAGAACAAAACAUUGGAGAUCCAUCGAGAGAUUUCACAUGGGUAACUAUCUGAGUGUCAGUGGUUAAUCUCUAACGUUUGGUAGUGAAAUUGGUCAUUUGACUUGAGGUCUUCAUGGUACCUUAUAAGAGGACAGUCAUAGUUUGGCGUUAUUGGAUGUUGCUCUACCAAGGGCCGCUAAUACGACAUCGUUCAAGUAUGUCAUGAAUCGUAUGAAGGUUGUGAAUGAUUAAUAGAGGACUUGUCACUCUUAGAUAGUAGGAGAUUAUGAUCCGCAUUUCAUUCAAUUAAGUCGAUAAUGAAAUCAUUGGCUAAGAUAUACAUAAGUCGAAAAGGAGAUUUCAACUUAUACUGACUUAAUAGUGGAGUGAAAGAUAUGAUCGAUAAUCGGGAUUGACCCACUUCCAUAUCACGUAAUUGAUCGAAUCAUAUUGACGAAGGAAUUGCAAUUUCACAAUAAACGAACGAGAUUGAUUUUGUCAUACCACAUGACAUUUCCCGUCACAUGUAUUGCCCUGACACAUUACUAGAUGUCAAUCUAGGACGGCGAGUAUGAAUUGAUGAUAAAUUAAAAGGGUAUUUUAAUUUAUCAAUUUUAAUUAGAUCAAAAUAAUAUUUCACGUCAUUAGGUAUCGUGAUCGGGAUCCUAAUGGGUCGCACAUAAAAGGAGAACUGGAAGAUUGUGAUUUGUCAAUUAAUUAAUUCAACAAGCGUUGGAUAAAUUAAUUUAUUGUGUUGCUUAUUUAUAGGACUGAAUUGAUUAAUUGGAUUAAUUAAUUCACGGAUCGAAUUUAAUUAAUUGAGUUAAUUAAAUAUUGGACGAGGUUAAGCCAAGCCCAUUCGGGCUUAUAUAAAUAUGAUUAUGGUUUUCAAAAAUGGUAGAGAUUUUUUUUAUUCUUCUAGCACAAGAAAAAUCCAAAUUCUACAAUCAUGUUCUCUGUGUGGAUCAUCAUUGGAGGCUGAAAAACUAGACAGCUGUGGGUCGCGAAUCAAAAUCGUUGGAGCAAAAAUUAGCAAAGGAGUUUGCAGAUCCCGAGAAAAGGUAUCACUUUUAUCACAAUUCUAUCUAAACACAAAGAGAUCCGUGGUGGGAAUUAAAAAUUGAUUUUAUUUUUUGCUGCGCACGUUAAGUAGAUUCCCAAUAGUGGUAUCAGAGCCUACUUUGUGUUUGUUAGAAAUUGCUUAACAUAUUGUGCAAUCAAAAGUUGGUUGUUUCAUUUUUUUUUUAGUUUCUAGCAAUUAAUAACUCUCAAUUUUUAUUUUUAUUUUUUUAUUGAAAUCUGAUUUUUAAAAAAUAAAAAAUAAAAAUAGAAAAAAGUGGAUCUAGACCAAGGCCGUAGUAGCAACCGGCGACACACAGCAGUGUUCUGCAUAGUGGCAUCCAAUGCCACUGUACGCCUGGCAGCGUCGGGCGCUGUUGCUAUUGUAGCAGCAGCGCCGACUGCUAAUUACAACAACGCUGCCAGGCGCUGUUGCUAUUGUAGUAGCAGCGCCGACUACUAAUUACAGCAGCGUCCAACGGCUGUUGGGCGCUGCAGCCUUUAGUGAAAAAGGCGCCGAUAACGAUCGACGCCUCCUUAAAGGAGAAGAUUGGGUGAAUUUUAUUCCUUUAGGGUUUCUGCUGAAUUAGAUUUAAAAUGAAGACAAGGCUCCAUCUGAAAUUUUGGAAAUUUCAGGCCCUUGACUGCAAUUUCAAAAUAGAGUCAUUUUGCAAUUUUUAAAAUGCGGGUUUGUCAUGCAAUUUUUGAAAUUGAGGGACUUGCUUUUAAUUUAAUUCUUGGGCCAACUUGCAAUUUUCAAAAAGGUUUUGAAUUUAAAUAUUAAAAUGGUUUUAAAGUUGGGUUUUUAUUUAUGUUUGACCCAUAAUUUUAAUUUUGACCCAAAUUAAAAUUUUAUUUAAAAUUGACAACUUUUUAUAUUUUCGUUAAAAUAUGAUUUUAACUUAAAUAUUAAACCAUGACCUUAAAUUGAAUUUUAUUUUAUUUAGGAGUGUUAUCCUAGAUUAAAAUAUUAAUUAAAUUUAAAUUAGAGUUGGACUCUAAUUUAAUACUUAAUUAAAAUAUGAUUUUAAUUAAUUACUCACCCGAAUAUAUUCUAGAAAUUAGAAUUGGAUUCUAAUUUAACAUUUAAUAAAAAUUUGAUUUUAAUUAAAUUGUCUUACCUUAAAAUUUUCCUUGGAAUUAGAGUUGGACUCUAAUUUAUAUUUAAUUAAAAUCUGAUUUUAAUUAAAUAAUUCACCCUAGUAUUUCUUGAAUUUAGAAUUGGAUUCUAAUUUGAUAUUUAAUCAAAAUUUGAUUUUGAUUAAAUCUUCCCACCCUAAAUUUCUGAAAAUUUUAGAGUUGGACUCUAAUUUGACAUUUAAUUAAAAUUUGAUUUUAAUUAAAUAUGUUCGCCCUAAAAUCUUGAAAUUAGAGUUAGACUCUAAUUUUGCUAUUUAAUUAGAAUUUGAUUUUGAUUAAAUUCAAUCGCCAACUCUAAUUUGAUAUUUAAUUAAAAUUUGAUUUCAAUUAAAUAAUCUUGUCCUAUAAUUGUGGAAUUAGAGUUGGACUCUAAUUCGGUAUACAAUUAAAGUUUGAUUUUAAUUAAAUAUGCCGCUGAUUAAAUAAUUGAUUAAUAUGAUUAAUUAAUUAUUUAAUUGUUCCGAUCCAUUUGUCUAAAAGAGCUUAGACAAUCUUGAUUGCAAGAAAUUUGAAACGUGUUUUCAUAUAAUAUUAGAUAUUAUAUAGGCAUACAUUUAUAUGAUGAAUGUAUUAUUAAGGGACGAUUAUGAACUCGACCAUGUGGAUGUAUUGAAUGGUUAAUUUUAUUCUUGUCGUUUUAUGAGCUUGAGAGCUCUUAAUUGUUUUGGGCCUACGAGCUCGCCGUUAUUGUUAUUGUUAUUUUGGGCCUAUGAGUCCAAUUUCAUCUAGGCCUGCGUGCCAACUAGUAUAGGAUACAAAUUGCAGCUAAGCUAAUUGAAGACACAUGGAGAGGAGGAAACCAUGAAGAUAGUGCAUUGAUACUGAUCAAUUCGAUACUCUCUAGGAAUUGACCAACUAAUCUUCCUUAUGGCCCGUAAAGAUUACAUAGUAAAGUCCAUAGUCGUCCACACUAAAUUAUAUAUAUGUUUAUUUAUAUGGUAGAUGUGUAAUACAAUAUAUAUCAUUAUAUCAAUGUUGAUGAGAUUUUUAAAUUCAAAACCCCUCAAUAAAAUAUCAAGCCAAUUUAUUCGCCUUCCAUCAUUAUAGUGAAAAAUCAAAGUCCCAAAUCAUCUCAGUUUGUUGAGUAUACUGAAGGCUGGUUUAUUAGGGAUAUGUUUGACACUGUGAAAUAUUUGAUAUUUUUGACUGAUGGGUUUAACUUAUCUAAUUUUUUUUAGUACACUCAAGAAGAUAAAUUUUAAAGGCAUAUUAAGCUAACACGUAAGAUUUGUGAAGACAAAGAAUUGUUAGCUUAAUGAUUUGAGAAUUGUAUGGAGAUACAAUUGAUAAUAAUAUCUACCCAAAUGUUAUAUUAAGGUUUGUUGAGUACACUCAAGAUUUUGGUAUAACAAAUGGGGUCCCAACCCACUGGGAGUCAAGUAUGGAUUCCAUAAAUUUAUGUGAGAGGGUCAUAAAUUUGAGUUAAAUAGUGGAAGCAUAAUUAAUUUAAUAAAAGUCCAUGUUAAAUUAAUUGAUGUAUUUUAUAUAUUAUUCAUUUUCUUUUCAUCAUUUACAUUUAUAUUGAAUCUUGAGCAACCAUAUGUUUUGAGUGGCAUAUUGGAUGCCAACAAUCAAAUCAAAUUUUCUUGAUUGACACUGCAAUCUAAGAAUUGUUCUCGGGCAUGAGAAAAUUGGUUAUGUCUUUGAGUAGCCCUUUCCAGAGACACCUGCUAAUGACUUGAUUAAGGAAGAUGUAGCUACUGUAAUAAACACAGUGAUGACGAUAGUACUACAGAUAUAUGAUACUUGCAACUAUGUCACCUGAGUUAUGAAAGCAACAUGAGAGAAUAGAUGCUAACACAUGAUUUUUCAUUUCAAAGAGUUGUAUGAUAAUAAUCAUGUGUGGGAGAAUAUGAGAUUUCCAAGCAACUGUGCCGAUGUGAAAUGAUAGAGGAAUCUUCAGUCGAUGCUCAAACACUGAAGAUGAUUGACGUUGAGAAAUGUCUCAACUGAGUUCACUCAUAAACCAUGAAAAAAGUAGUGAGUUGGUUCUGCAAUCUCUGUCAGAGCAAUCUAUUCACAACUAAUUAUGAAUUUAACGUGAAUAAGUUCAAAUGCACAAUUAUUUAGUUGUUGAACAUGCUUAUGACUGUUAUGCCCAGUAUCAAAGUUAGUAGUGGGCAAGUCAUUGAUUCCUCUAAGGAUAUUAAAAGGAAGUCUAAAGGGGCUUUGAGAAAGCAUCCAAUAUGGCUAAUACGGUCAAAGCGAAGGAUAAUACCAAAUCUAAUGACCCUUGCUUUCAUUAUAGAAUAAAAGGUCAUUGGAAGAAACAUUGCAUGGUUUACGUUUGCUUCACAAGUUUCUUAGGUAUUUGGUACCAGAUGUAGCUCUUAUAUUUAUACAAAUAUGAAGAAACUAAAUAGAAGUAGACCAUUGCAAGGGGGAGAAGUUAACCUACACAUUGAAGAUGAGCAACAGUUGUUGCAUUACCUGUAGGAGCAUACUUCUUGUCGUUGCCUUUUGGUUUAGUAUUGGAAUUAGAGAAAUGUUGCUUUGUAUCUAUUAUAACUGGAACAUUAAAAUGAAUCUCAUGUUCAGACAUGAACCAUUUUAAUGUUAAAGACAAUUGUUGUUCCUGCCUAUCUUGAUUAAGAUCUUAAUAGCUAUGGUAAGCUACAAAAAUAACAUUUAUAUUCUAAACACUAGGCGUUCUAUAAUGGGUAUAGAAGUUAAGAUCUGAAUAAUACCUAAAUCUGGCAUUGCAGACUUGGUUAUAUAGAUGAAAUGUAAUUUUAAAAUUACAUAGAAAUAUUUACGUAGAGUCAAUUGAUUUUCAAUGGUUUGACAAGUACAAAACAUACAUGUUUGGCACAAUGACCAAAUAUUUUUUUACUUGAAAAGGAAUAAGUCUGCAUAAAUAUUAACAUAAUACAUGGUGAUGUAUAUGGACUAGUGUCAAUUAAUGUCAGACGAGGUUUCUCUUAUGUCAUCAAUUAUCAUGCAUACUUGAUUAAAUUCAAGUAUGAAGUUCUUGAAAAGUUCAAAGAACUCAAGCUAGAAGUAGAGAAAUAAAUAGGUAAAGAUACCCUCACAUUAAAAUCCGAUCAAAGUGAGAACAUCUUAAAGAUAAAAUUUAGAUAUCUAAAAGAGAAUGAGAUUCUCUUGCAGUGAACUCCUCCAUAUACACUGCAACAUAGUGAUGUAUCUGAAAAGAGGAAUAGUAAACUAUUAGAUAUAGUGCAAUUAAUAACAAGUCAUGCAAAUCUCCUAAAAUCGUUUUGGGGUCAUGCACUGAUUGCAGUGUACUACACACUAAAUCAUGUGCUACCUAAAUUAGUUAACAGAAGUUCAUACAAGCUGUGGAAAGGCAAUAGUCCCAAUUCAUCUCAUAUGAAAGUUUGGGACUGUGACACUUAUUUGAAGCGCAUUAAAUCGGAUAAGUUUAAGAGUAAAUUCAAUAACUACAUAUUUGUGGGAUAUCCAAAACAGAUAUUUGGAUAUCAAUUCUAUUAACCCAUUGAGAAGAAAGUCUUCGUCUCAAGACAUAUUACCCUUUUAGAGAAAAUAUUUACUCUAUGAGAUGACAGUGGAAGCAAAAUAGAACUUGAAAGAGUUCAAGAGUCCACAUAUAUAGUUAACUAAGUAGAUGAAUUCGAGUUUGAUCCCAUAUCCGAUAUGGGACAUACUCUUGUUCAGGAAGUAGAGACUCCCGAGGACCUGUCGGUCUAUGUGAAUCUAGUAGGAUCAUUCGACCUUCAAGAAGGUGCGAAUCCAUGAUUAUUAAUCAGGCAUUGUUGAUUCAGGACGAUGAAUCUACUAAUUGCACAAAAACAAAGUCAAAUGUUGACUUAAAAGAGAUAGUAAGAGGCCAUGAAACUCGAGAUGAACUUGACGUAUGUGAACAAGGUUUGGACCUUGGUCGACACUCCUGACAGGAUAAAACCAAUAGGUUGUAAAUGGUUUACAAUAAAAGGUUGACAUGGAUGGGAAUAUCCAUACAUAAAAAGCAAGGUUAGUCGAAAAAGGUUAAGUGUUGACCUUAACGAAAUCUUUCGUCUCUAGCCAUGCUGAAGUUCAUUCGGAUUUUGAUUACAAUAGUUGCAUAGCGUAACUAUGGGUUAAAGCAAGCCUCUUGGAGUUAAAAUCUUCAAUUUGAUAGAAAAAUCAAAAUGUUUGAUCUUAUCAAAUAUGAAAGCGAAUUGUGUAUUUACAAGAAGAUAGUGGGAGUAUUGUUGCAUUCCUAAUAUUAUAGGAAACGAAAUCCCUAUAUUUCAAUCGUUAAAUUAAUGGUUGGUAAAGGAUUUUUUUAUGAAUAAUAUGGGGAAGCAACUUGAUCUAUAGAGAUAGAUCUAGAAGAUUGCUCAACUCAUCUCAAUCUAUACACAUAAAAUCUCGAGAAGAUUUUACGUAGAGAAAUUUGUUUACUCUUAAACGGUGUGUUAGAAAGGUUCCAAAUAUGAAACAAUCGUUGAUUCAAUAGUAGAAACCUAAUACAUGACUACUUCAAAAGUAGCAAAGAGUUGUAAUAUGGAUCAAGAUGUUCAUUAAUGAACUUGGAGCAGCUCCUAAUAUUGUUGAUCACAUGUCAUUGUAUUGUGAUAACAAUAGGGCCAUCGCAAAAGCGAAGAAACUAAGGUCUCAUCAAUGAUCCAAACAUUUAUUAUGACAAUAUAAUCUCAUCAGAGAGAUAAUUCAUAGAAAAUGACUAAAGAGAAGAACGAAUUUUCACAUUUGACAAUAUUGCAGAUCCACUGACAAAGAGUUAUCGUAGCAUAAACAUGAUUGUCAUGUAGACUCUUAUAAUGUUGGAUACAUAAGUGAUUGGAUAUAGUGCAAGUGGGAGUUUGUAAGUGUUAUAUCCUAGGUCCAAUCAACCCUGGACAUAAAUGCUUUUAAUAUAUAAUUAAUGCAAUUUAAUGGCAGAUCUAUAUAUUUAAUUAAUAGACAAUUAAAUUAAAUAAUAGAGUUCGUAGAUUCAAAUCUUCGUAAUUUGUUAAUCACAAGAAGUUUUGAUUUUGAGAUACAAAUUACUUAUAAUUGAAUCUUAAAUCGUCUGUGAUCGUAAGUAAUAAUGAGAUACGUAUAUCGUUACUAUGGAUAGACCAUCACGCAUGGCAUUUCUUACUUGUGAAGUAAGUAGCUGAUCUCACAAGUUAAAGUGUAAUGACACUUUAAUGAACAUGUUGAUAUUUUGUUAUAGAAUAAAAUAAUGGAGACACAUCGAGAGAUUCCACAUGGAUAACUAUUCGAGUGUCAGUAGUUAAUCUCUAACUUUCGAUAGUAGAAUUGGUCAUUUGACUUGAAGUUGUCAUGGUACCUUAUAUGAGGACAGUCAUACUUUGGCGGUGUUGGAUGUUGCUCUGCCAAGAGCCGCUAAUACGGCAUCGUUCGGGGUCUGUCAAGAAUCGUAUAAAGGUGGUGAAUGACCAACAGAGGUUUCGUCAAUCUUAGAUAGUUAGAGAUUAUGAUAUGCAUUUCAUUCAAUUAAGUGGAUAACGAAAUCCCUGGCCAAGGUGUAUAUUGACUUAAUAGUGGAGUGAAAGAUAUGAUCGAUAGUCGGGAUUGACACACUUCCAUAUCUCGUAAUUAAUCGAAUCAUAUUGACGAAGGGAUUAUAAUUUCACGGUAAAUGAACAAGUUUAAUUUUGUCAUACCACGUGAUAUUUCUCGUCACAACGAUUGCCCUGACAUAUUGCUAGAUGUCAAUCUGGGACAGCGAGUGUGAAUUAAUGAUAAAUUAAAAGGGUGUCUUAAUUUUUCAAUUUUGAUUAGAUCAAAAUAAUAUUUCACAUCAUUAGACAUCAUGAUCGAGAACCUGAUGGGUCGCACACAAAAGGAAAACUGGAAGAUUGUGAUUUUGCAAUUAAUUAAUUCAACAAGUGUUGGAUAAAUUAAUUAAUUGUGUUACUUAUUUAUAGGUCUAAAUUCAUUAAUUAGAUUAAUUAAUUCACGGAUAAGAUUUAAUUUAAUGGGUUAAUUAGAUAUUGGAUGAGGUCAGGCUAAGCCCGUUCGGGUUUAUAUAAAUAUGAUUAUGAUUUUCAAAAACUGUAGAGAUUUUUCAUUAUUCUUGCUAGCACAAGAAAAAUCAUAAUCCUACAAUCUUGUUUUCUGUGUGGAUAACUGUUGGAGGCUAGAUAAUUGAACAACUGUGAGUGGCGAAUCAAGAUAGUUGGAAUAAAGAAUAGCAAAGGAGUUUGCCAAUCUUGCAAAAAAUGUAUCACUUUUAUCCCAAUUCUAUCUAAACACAAAGAGAUCCAGGGUAGGAAUCGAAAAUUGAUUUUAUUUUCCACUGCGCGCGUUAAGUAGAUUCCCAACACUUUCCCUAGUACUAGAGGAUCGUGAAGGACACAUCUCUAGUGUACUAGUUAUCAUGCCCAUGAUAAACGUUGGGUAGUCAAGUGCAGAGUGAAUAACUACUGAAAGUAUCUAAGUAGUAAGCCCACCCUAAGAUGAGUGCUCUCAUAUUUUGACUUCCCCAGAGCUUUCGGUAACACAACGGAGAUAGCAAUAGGUUUUCUACCCAUACGAGGAUCAAGCGAUAAAAGUUUUGAGAAUUUAAGAGAAGGUCACAGCGAGACGAGCCUUUUAUCAUUACGAUCGGUGUCAAGUGGAAGUGUAGUGAUGUAUGCAGCUGAGGCAUCCUAAUAGACCGGUAGACUUGAACCUUGUUCAUACAUGAUCUGAUUAAUUCGAUCAGGCACUCGCCAUCUAUUCUCAUUUUUCAAAUCCUUGACAACACGAAAAAUUAUUGUUCAACUUUUUGACAAAAUGAAAAAACCAAAAGCUCUGCCCUCCAUCUCUAUCCAUCCAAUGGAUUGAAGGGCAGAAGGCCUUUGGUGUCCCCUCUAAUCAAGAAUUGGGGCCUCACAAUCACUAGUCAAAAGGCUUCUCUCUCGUUUAUUUCUUCGUUCAUGGUUCGAUAUUCUAGUAUCCAAGGCAUAGAGGAACCACACCAAUCCAUCCCAAAGUUGGUGGUUAAACUCUACUGCUGUGAUUAUACUAUAGGGGAGAUCUUGCGAAAAAAUAGCUGGACUCCAGGAUAAUAAAAAGCUUAACACUUCUCAUUCUUAUUCCUUUUCAAUGAAAAAGAUGAAAACUCAAAAGGUCAUCUUAUUCGAAAUCUCAAUUAUGACAUGUAAUGCCCCGACUAGCAUGGUUCAAAAUUUCAAUAGUUUAAUUGUACUUUAGCCAUAAACUUAAUAAUUAACUAUACUUCGAGCAGAAAGCAUAAAGAUUUAAUUUAAGAAUUUAUUUAAAUAUUAUAUAUUUGUAUUUAUCUUUUUUUUUACAACACAAUUUAAUACUAAAAGAAAAAAUUUCAAAAAUGUCUUUAGAAUGAUUUCUAUAUAUGUAUUUAUUGUUGAUGUGAACAUUAAAGGCAAGAAAUAAAAACAAAUAUUGCUGUCUUGUUUUGUAUCUCAAGCGGUAAUUGUCAAAAUGAACUCGUUUGCAUGACUAUCGACUUUGAAACUUCAUAAAAUUUUAAAUGAAAAGUAGGAAAUACCUUAUACUAUGAUAUAUCCAAAAAUUGACUUCCAUUGGUAACACGUGUUAUUAAAAUAUUUUUCAAACCUCGUAACAACUCAGUUGGAAGGUAAACCAGUGCAGUUAACUUAAAAUGACAUAAAAUUCCACAGACAUCACAAUGACAUGAUUUUCAGCUUUAUUGAAUAGCUAAUCGAUGAGGUUAUCAAAUCCCACUAGUUUCAUCCAAAAAUUCCAAAUAACGACUGAGUUAUGAAUUUUUUAAACUAAAGGCGAAAACUAAAAACAGCAACAUUAUCUAGUGUAGUUUACUUUAAGUGACAUAUAAAAUUCUACUGACAUCAGAUUGACAUGAUUCUAAGUUUAUUUAGUAGCUAACCUAUGAGGCUAUAAAACGCCACUGGUUUUGUCAAAAAAUUCCAAUUAACGCUUGAGUUACAAAUUUUUAAAAUCAAGGCAGAAGCUCGAAUGUCAAAGAAGUUGCAUAUCGACAUCUCUUUCACUAAAUAUUUAGCAUAAACGCCCCCAUGCCAAGUUCUUGAAGGAUAUUCUUUUCAACCAGAGGAAUAUGGAGGAACAUGAAUUGUUUGCUUAAUUGAGAAUUGUGAUGCAAUUCUUGAGAAAAAGUAACCUAAUAAAUUAAAAGAUUCAGAGAAUUUCACUAUACCUCAUACUUGUUUGUUUUAGUUAUUUUGAGCACACAUUAAGUGAUCUAGGUGCAAAUAUUAUUUUAAUGCCCUUAACUGUGCAUAUUAAGCUUGGAUUGGGAAAAUAAAAACCAACCAUAAUGUCGCUUCAACUUGUAAAUCAAUCUACUAAAUAUGCUCAGGGUAUCGUUGAUGAUAUAUUGGUAAAGGCAGACAAAUUCACGUAUCCGACUGAUUUCAUCAAUUUGAAUAUGAAGGAAGAUUCAGAUAUGCCCAUAAUAUUGGAUUGACCUUUUUCAAAUACUGGUAGGGCAUUAAUUAAUGUAUAUGUAGAUAAUAUCGUUCUCAACGUCGAUGAUGAACAAAUCAUCUUACUACGGCCAAAAUAUAUAUAUAUAUAUAUAUAUAUAUAUAUAUAUAUAUAUAACAAUCAAGAGAUAUUUACACAAAGUAGAAUUUACGAGUGAAUCAAUAUUUUGAAAACUGGCACGAUCAUUGACCCGGUAAAGUUAAAUGGUCAAAUCGGGGUUGAACCGGCUCGACAUGACAAUUAAACUAGCUAAAUAAAUUAUAUAAAUAAAAUUUUCUAUUAGCAUUUUAAUUCGAAAAUUCAUUAAUUAGUCCAUAUAUAAUUAAAGUGGGAACUAAAUGGGCCAAAAAUUACUUUAAGAUGCAAAAGAGCCCAUAUAUUUAAAAGUCUAAAUCCUGCCAUUUUCCAUUUAAUAUAGGGCUAUGUUAGUUUCAUUUCCUUACAAUUGUACUGUGCAAUUUCCUCUCAGUUUUCCUACGGGGGAGGUGACGACUCUCUCAUCCAUCGAUUUCUUGUAUAUAUUUGGUGGAAUUCCACUUCAUUCGUAUAUUACAUAUAUUCAUUUCUUUGUAAUAUUAGUUUGGGUUUUGAAUAUUUGAAUGAAAUGGAACACAAAGGCUUCACCAUAGAGAUGGCGAGGGCUCUGGUGACCAUUGGCCGACCAGAGACAUUGCAGUGAAGCUUUGUUAUCUGCUUUGCCUCUUCUUCUUUUUACAAAAUAUCAACAUGUAGAACCUGAAAAAUCCAUAUCAUGUUCCCCGGUUCCUGUUGCAAGGGAUGGUUUACCAAAUUUUGUGUUGGUUUCUUUUCAUCCAAUUUUUACCGUAUGAUCGGACUGGAUUUCAGAGUCAUUCUCGAUUUUUCCAGUUGAACCGGCCGAUCCAGUCCCAUUUUUAUUACGCUGGGAUGACUAGAAUAUUUUCACAACUAGUUUUAACUUGUACUAGCAAACUUCUAAGGGAAAGUGCGUAGGCCCAGGGAAAAAACCGAAAAAUUGAUCAAACUGUUUGAUCCGAAUAGACUUAAGUCAGUUUGGUCUAGCGAAUGAAAUCUAACUAGUUAAUAUAAAACCACUAAUAGGAUGCGUUGGGUCGAUUAUGGGGUUAAGGCUCCAACCCAACUAUUAACCGACCCGACCUAACCCAAUUAUAAUUUUUUAGUCCUAGUUCUUAGUGAAGUUUUAGUGUUUCCAAUUUUUAAAGAUUUGUUUAGAGUUCUAAAUUUUUAGUAUACUGCAUUUACGUGAUUAAAGCCCAACUUAAAAAUUAAAUAAACCAAAAUUCAAUACCUGAUAUUAAAAAACACGCUCAAUUAUCUUUUCAUCUUCUCUGUGGUCCCAAAAAAUGUGAAAAGUGAAUACUAUCAAAAUCAAAUUGUCCCCAUCGUCAGAGUCAUUGUCCUUCGUCUCUACCGCGUUCUCAACCUAUUGCCUCUCCAUUAUUGAAUAUGACGGACUAGAGGUUUGACCGUUCAAAUGGAGACAGGUAGAGUUUUUUAUUUGAUAUGGUCAAGUAUAGAAAAUAAAUGGGUAAAAUAAGUACUAGAGGGUUUACCUAUUCUAAAUGAAAAGUCCAUUAAAAUUUAUUGGUGAAUGACAUUUGUACCCGUGUAACCCUAGAAAUUAUUACCAUUGUAUUCCUGAUUCUUACCUAUAAAUAUAGGGCUUUGAUUUUCAAUAAGACACACAAAAAGUUUAUUGAGUUUUCUCUAUUCUCUUUUCCUCUCAUUUUAUAAAACGUUAUUAGCACGAAACUCUUAGAAGGUAGUAAUUCUUUUUCAUAAUCAUCUAUCACGUAUGUCAAAAUUAAUUUGAUAAUACGUGAAUUUUACAUAUACAUAUAUUGAAUCUGCAAUACGUGAUCUCAUCUUUCUUGAUCAUUAUAUUUUCUUUGUACCUCUCUUUGAAUUAAUUAAUGUUUUUGCCUUUACAUCAAUCCACGUGCAUUUUUAUGGAGAUAUAUUUAUGUUAAAUCAAUUGAUAUGCAUUAAUUCAUGUUCCUAUACUCUCCUUAUAUUUAGAUUAGCCCUUUACGUUCUACACAUGCUUAUAAUUUUUUUUGGUUUAAUUGGUCAAUGUUCUUUGUAAGCAAGCUUCAAUUCCAGAUCUCUAUUUUGACUGAUUCCAUACAUAUAUAUAAUAUACAAAUAACAAAUAAUUGUAUCCAACUCAUCUUUUAUCUCAAAACCAUUGGUUUCUGCAAAUUUCAUGCCUUAAUUGGUUAAUACUAAUUCAAUUCUUUUAAUUGCACAUAAUUAGAAUUUCGUGCCAUAAUAUGUGAAUAGUUUUCUACAUGUCACCAAUUUUUAUUUUUUUGUGUUUCAUUCGACUCACGUUAUUAAUUCAAAAUAAUAUUUUACAUGUAUUUGUUUAUUAAUUAAUGGUGAGCAAUUGGAUGUAUUAUCAUUUUUUAUAUGUUUAGUUAUGAAACAUUACAUUAAAUUUAUUUUUAAUUAUUGUUGCUCCUGAAGUAGCACAACAUUAUAAUUAAUAUUUCAGAAGAAUAUUAAUCAUAGAUCUAUUUGUUGUUGCUCUAGAAGUAGCACAACAUUAUAAGAAUAUUAUUUGCUCCUGAAAAGAAUAAAUUAUAACUCUCAAUAUUCCAGAAGAAUAUUGACAUAUUGCACUUGAAGAAAUAAUAGCAAAAUAUAAUAUGCUCCAUAAGUAGCAUAUGUUUCAAAAAACAUAUUAUUUCAAAUUAGUGCUUAUCCCUAGAGGAAAACACGUAACUUAAAGUCAUGUUGAUAUUGACUAUUUGAUUAACAUGUGAUGAUUAAUCAUAUUCUUCGAAAUUAAUUGUUUUUUUUAUUGUGUAGUUAAACAAAUGGCAAACAUUAUGACACUUGAGUUUGCUGCACUUGACAUAUCUGGUAAAAAAUUAUCUGUCAUGGAUACUGGAUGCUGAUAUCCAUCUCGUCUCAAAAGAUCUGGGAGAGACAAUAAAAGAAGGAAACAAUGAAUCUCUGCAGGAUCGUACAAAAGCACUCAUUUUUCUCCGUCACCAUCUUCACGAUGGAUUAAAAAUUGAAUAUCUCACUGAGAAAGAUCCACAAGUUCUUUGAAAAAAGUUAAUUGAAAGAUUUGAUCAUCAGAGGACUAUAGUCCUCCCCAAAACCCGUUAUGAAUGGAUGCACUUUCGUUUGCAAGACUUUAAAACAGUUAGUGAGUACAAUUCUGAAUUGUUCAGAAUAUGUUCAAAGUUGACUUUGUGUGGAGAAAAAAUCAUCGAUGAAGAUAUGUUUGGAAAAACUUUCUCCACCUUUCAUGCCUCGAAUGUGCUCCUGCAGCAGCAAUAUUGUGAGCGUGGCUUCAAAAAGUACUCAGAACUUAUAUCUUGCCUACUAGUUACUGAACAAAAUAAUGAAUUGUUGAUGAAAAAUCAUGGAUUACGUCCAACUGGUUCUGUACCAUUGCCUGAAGCAAAUGGUACUACAUUAUCUGAAGCAAAUACAAUAUCAAGACAAGGACGUGGACGCGGACGUAGACGUGGACACGAAUUUGGACGUGGACACGGACACGGACGUGUACGUGGAAUAAAUCAUGGAAGAAAUAAUCAACAAAGUUAUCAACAACAAGACAAUAAAUUAAAAAGGCACAAAGCAAACAAGAGUGGCAAAUCUAAAAAGGAGCAUGAAGAAAGUUGCUUCAGAUGUGAAAUGAAAGGGCAUUGGGCACGUACGUGUCGUAUCUCAAAACAUCUUGUGGGUCUCUACCAGAGAUCAAUCAAGGGAAAAGAAAAUUUGGAGACUAAUUUUGCUGAUUAUGUUGGUCCAAUUGAUGUGACUCAUUUAGAUGUCUCCGAUUUCUUUACUGAUCCAAAUGGAAAUAUUGACCAUUUGGUUGGGGGUGGUGUGAUACAAGAUAUAGAUUAAUUUACUAGUAUUUCUUUCGUUUUAAAAUUCAGUCUGAAAUAUGUUUUUUACUUUUCCGCACAAAAAAAAAACUCUAUUAUGCACCGUUUAUUUCAUGAUAUUAAGUAAUGUUUAAUCCUUUAAAUUUAAAUUCAAGUUUUUUUUUUUAAAUUUUGUUUAUUUUGUUAUAUUUAUAGAUUCAUGAUAGAUAGUCAAGACAGCUGCUUAAUUGAUAGUGCAACUACACAUACUAUUAUUCAAGACAAAAAAUACUUUUUGGACUUAAUAUUAGCUGAAAAUAAUGUUAACACGAUAUCGGGUGCGUCGAAUAUCGUUGAAGGCUCUGGAAGAGCUUGUAUUAUUUUACCAAAUAAUACAAAAUUAUAUAUUGACGAUGCACUUUAUUCUAGUAAAUCCAGAAGAAAUUUGCUUAGUUUUAAAGAUAUUUGCUGCAAUGAAUAUCACAUUGAGACGAUGUAAAAAAAUAAUGUUGAAUAUCUUUGCAUCACUUUUUUUGUAUCUGGCAAGAAGCAGAUAAAAGAAAAUUUUCAUGCACUCCCGUCUAGCAUGUAUUUUACAUUUAUAAAAAUGGUCAAAUCAAAUAAUGUUACGAACCAAAAGUUCAUUGAUUCAAAAAGUUUUAUACUCUGGCAUGAUCGACUUGGACAUCUAGGAGUCAUAAUGAUGCGUCGAAUAAUAAACAACUCACAUGGACAUCCUUUAAAGAACCAGAAGAUUCUUUUAUCUAAUGAUUAUCCAUGUGUAGUUUGUUCGCAAGGCAAGUUAGUCAUUAGACCUUCAACUACAAAGGUCCAUAUUGAAUCUCCAACUUUCUUGAAAAGAAUACAUAGAGAUAUAUGUGGGCCAAUACACCCACCCUGUGGACCGUUUGGCUACUUUAUGGUAUUAAUUGAUUCUUCUACAAGAUGGUCACAUGUUUGCCUACUUUCAACUAGGAAUGUAGCACUUGCUAGACUACUUGCUCAAAUAAUAAAAUUGCGAGCACAAUUCCCCGAUUACUCAAUCAAGACUAUUCGUCUUGACAAUGCUGGUGAAUUUAGAUCACAAGCAUUUGAUGAUUAUUGUAUGUCAAUUGGGAUUGAAAUUGAACAUUCAGUUGCACAUGUUCAUACACAAAAUGGUUUAGCGGAAUCGUUUAUUAAACGUCUACAACUUAUUGCUAGACCAUUACUUAUGAAAACAAAACUCCCAACUUCUGUUUGGGGUCAUGCCAUAUUACAUGCUGUAUCAUUGGUUCGUAUAAGACCAACUACCUAUCAUCAAUAUUUACCUUUACAACUUGCACUUGGUCAUGAACCUAAUAUUUCUCACCUACGGGUUUUUGGCUGUACUGUCCAAGUUCCUAUUUCACCCCACAACGUACUAAAAUGGGUCCCCAACGAAGACUUGGAAUUUAUGUGGAUUUUGAUUCACCAUCUAUUAUUAGAUAUCUUGAAUCUUUAACGGGUGACUUAUGUACUGCACGUUUUGCAGAUUGUCAUUUUGAUGAAAUGACUUUCCCAACUUUGGGAAGAGAAAAAUUAUAUCCUGAAAAAUAAGAUAGAAUUUCUUGGAAUGAGACAACUCAAUCUCACUUUGAUUCCCGCAGCAAUCAAUGUGAACAAGAGGCUGAAAAAAAUCAUUCAUUUGCAAAGAGUUGCAAUUCAACUACCUGAUGUAUUUGUUGACACGAGAUAAGUGACAAAGUCAUAUAUUCCAACAGAAAAUAUUCCAGCAAAAAUUAAUGUCCCUGCAGGACAAUCUGCUGUGGCAAAUGAAUUUCAAAUACGCCAGAAGCGUGGUCGAUCAGUUGGUUCAAAAGACUCUGUACCUCGAAAAAGAAUAGUACAGGAGAAAAACCAAUCAAAAACUUCAGAAGAAAUCACAUUAGAAAAGAUUGAUCAAUCAAAUAUUGAAUGUACGGUUCCUGAAGAACCAGAGGUGUUCGAAAAUAAUGAGAUCUCAAUAAAUUAUAUGAUAUCUCAUAAAUUAUGGGAACGGAAUAAUAUUGUUAUAGACAAUAUUUUUGCCUUUAAUAUGGCUCUUGAUAUUAUGCAAAAUGAGGAUCUUGAAUCAAAGUCUGUUAAUGACUGUCGAAAUAGAAAUGAUUGGCCAAAAUGGAAAGAAGCCAUACAGGCAGAAUUGAAUUCUUUGGAGAAAUGAAAAGUGUUUGGACUAGUAGUUCGAACAUCUGAAAAUGUAAUUCCUGUUGGAUACAAAUGAGUUUUUGUACAAAAGAGAAAUGAGAAUAAUGAAAUUACAAGAUACAAAGCCCGACUAGUGGCUCAAGGUUUCUCCCAAAGAUCGAGAAUUGAUUAUGAGGAAAUAUAUUCUCCCGUAAUAGAUACCAUCACUUUUAGGUUCUUAAUUAGUUUGAUCGUGUCACAAGGGCUCGAUAUGCGCCUUAUGGAUGUAGUAACUGCCUACCUAUAUGGUUCACUUGACAGUGACAUAUAUAUGAAAGUCCCUGAAGGAUUUAAGGUGCCAGGAAUAAAUGAUACAUGUCCGAGAACUAUGUUCUCAAUUAAAUUGCAAAAACCAUUAUAUGGAUUGAAACAAUCCGGACGCAUGUGGUAUAAUCGUCUUAGCGAAUAUUUGUUGAAAGAGGAUUAUAAAAAUGACGAUAUCUGCCCAUGUGUUUUCAUAAAGAAAACAAAUAUUGGAUUUGCAAUUGUGGCAGUUUAUGUUGAUGAUUUAAAUUUAAUUGGAACUCAUGAAGAGCUCAACAAAACUGUAGAUUAUUUGAUAAAUGAAUUUGAGACGAAAGAUUUGGGGAAAACUAAAUUUUGUCUUGAAUUACAAAUUGAACAUUUUCCAGAGGGAUUAUUUGUUCAUCAAUCUACUUAUACAAAAAAAGUCUUAAAACGCUUUUAUGUGGAUAAUGCACAUCCAUUGCCAUCACCUAUGGUUGUUUGAUCACUUGAUGUGAAAAAAGAUCCAUUUCGUCCACUUGAAGAUGGAGAAAAGAUUCUUGGUCCUGAAGUACCAUACCUUAGUGCAAUUGGAGCAUUAACUUAUCUUGUAAAUUGCACUCGAUCUGACAUAGCUUUUUCUGUAAAUCUCCUAGCAAGAUAUAACUCUACACAAACUCAAAGACAUUGGAAUGGUGUUAAACAUAUUUUUCGUUAUCUAAAAGGUACUAUUGAUAUGUGACUAUUUUAUUCUCAAAAAUCAGGAUCUGCUUUAGUGAGAUAUGCAGAUGCAGGUUAUCUCUCCGAUCCACAUAAAGCUAAAUCACAAACAGGAUAUGUGUUUGCACGUGGAGGAACAGCUAUAUCAUGGAGAUCUGUGAAGCAAUUCUUGACAGCAACAUCCUCAAAUCAUUCUGAGAUUAUUGCAAUCCAUAAAGCACGGCGAGAAUGUGUAUGGUUGAGGAAUAUGACCCAUCAUAUCCAAUCAUCAUGUGGAUUGACUUCAACAAAAGAUAAUCUAACAAUUUUGUUUGAAGAUAAUGCAACUUGUAUCGCACAACUCAAGGGAGACUAUAUCAAAGGCGACAGGACGAAGCAUAUUUCUCCAAAAUUCUUUCAUACACAUGAACUUCAGAAGAAUGGUGACAUUGAUAUUCAGCAAAUUUGAUCAAGUGACAAUGUGACCGAUCUAUUCACAAAAGCGCUGCCAACACUACAUUCAAGAAAUUAGUUCAUGAGAUUGAAAUGUGUCGACUCAAAGAUUUUCAGUGAUCAACAUCAAGGAGAGUAGCUAUACUCUUUUUCCUUCACUUAGGUUUUGUCCCAUUGGGUUUUCCUAGCAAGGUUUUAAUGAGGCAGCAUUUAAUUUUAAUGCUCCAAAAUAAUUGUACUCUUUUUUCUUCGUUUGAUUUUUUUCCAUUGAGUUUUUAUCAAACAAGGUUUUAACGAGACGGAUAUUUUGUAAUAUGUCAUUCAAAGGGGAGUGUUGUAAAUGAAAAGUCUAUUAAAGUUUAUUGGUGAAUAACAUUUGUACCCCUGUAGCCCUAGAAAUUAUUACCAUUGUAUCCCUAAUUUUUACCUAUAAAUAUAGGGCUUUGGUUUUCAAUAAGACACACAAAAAGUUUAUUGAAUUUUCUCUAUUUUCUUUUCCUCUCAUUUUAUAACACUACCCAAUUUUUCUUUCAAUUUUGUUGAUUUCUGGUGUAAAAUCUGGUGCAUUACUUUGAGUAAAAAUGUGUUAAUAAUAUGUUACAAAUUUGCUUUAUUUACAGCUUGCGGAUUAUGGAUUUGUGUUAAUUGCAAAAUAUGAGUUAAUAAACAAGUUACGGGUUUGUGUUAAGGGAAAAUUUUAUAUCUAGGAGUUUAAAUAUGAUCAAUUUCAAAACUAAGAAAGACGGUUUAAAUUUUCGAAAAUUGGAUAGUAUUAAAAUUUAUUUUUAAAUAAUUAAUUUUUAAUAUAUAUUAUUAAUUUAAUAUAUUAAAGUCACAUUUCUAUACAAUUUGAUCAUAAAUUAUCAAAUUAAUUUGUUACAAAUUAUUUUUCAAUAAAAAAUUUUAUAGGUCAAAUUUAUUUAUCGAUCACAAAAUCGAAAAUUUAUAUGUUGCAAUUUAUUUAUUGGCCACAAAUUAUAAAUUUUAUAAGUCAAAACUUAUUUAACGGUCACAAAUUAUCAAAUUAAUUGGUCACAAGUUAUUUUUCGAUCACAACUUAAUAAAUUGUGAGUCACAAUCAAACAUAUUAUUUAUUCGCCAUAGAUCAAAAAGGGGGAGUGGAGAGGGCGAUGCGGGAGCGGGGAAGAGAUGAAAAUGUUUUAGCAUUUGAAAUUGGGUGGCGGCGAGGGUUGUGGUGGGUGAUGUGUUUCUAAAUUUAUUUAAUUUUAUAAUAUUAAAAAAGUUAAAUUUAUUAUCUGAUUUUUAAUUUUCAAAUCCGAUUUUUGAAUUGAUCGUUUUUAAACUCUGAGUUGGUGUAGUUUCCACUUGUGUUAAUUGCAAAAAGAAAAAGAUUAUGCGUACUCAUAUUGGGUUCAAAAGCUUAUUAUUAUUAUUAUUAUUAUUAUUAUUAUUAUUAUUAUUAUUAUUAUUAUUAUUAUUAUUAUUUUAUUUUUUUAUUUUUAUUUUUUUGUAGUUUAGGCCAAAGACGAAACAGAAUAACCAAAUUGAAUCGAUCCGAACCUAUCAAUUUGGGUUGGUUUGAUUAGGUCGUUUUGGAUGGAAAUAUACCCAAAUUGACUUAGUCGAUUUUGGUUUCGAGUUGAGGUCGGCACCUUUUAUGAUAAAGAUGGUAACAAGGCAUCAAAAACUUUAAAAUGUGAGUUUUAUAAUUGUUUGAUUCGCAUUUAGUUGAACUAGUUAAAUUUCUUUUGAGGUUAGUUCAUCUUCCUUCAAAGUUUGUAUUUUAUGCUUUAUUUUCAUAAUCAAUAAAAAUAAUACAAAAUUGGUUACAGCCUGUUGAUGUGGCAUCAAAAUAUCUUCCACGGCUGCUGACUCGCAAGAAUAUAAUAAGUGGCUUAAAUCAAAAUUCAGUUUUAGGAUGUGUUUGAUAGGGAUUAAAAUUAGAUUAUUUUAAUAGAUUAGGAUAUAAGUUUUUGAAAUGUGUGGUUGAAAAGUUGGGAGAUCCAUGAAAGAUGUGGCUAAUAUUGAUUGUUUAACUUUGACCUAAAUUAAAAUAAGAUUUUAAUCAUUCUCCAAUAGGCUCUUAAAUUCAAAGUAGGCUGAAAUUAAAAUCCUCUUUUGAACAACUCUCUCUCCACUCAUGAUAUGCUCCAUCUAAAUAAUUUAGUUGUAGCAACUUGCAGAAUAGUAAAAUGCAGAAAUAAAACUGUUGGAAAAUAAUUAGUUGCAGUAACUUGCAGAACAGUAAAGCGCAGAAAUAAAACUUAUCGACUAAUUGAAUAUCGUGACAGCACGAUGUUUUAAAGUGAAAUUGUCCAUCGAUAAUUGCUACGACCUCUUUGGACAUUUACUUCCAAGAUACAACAAUCAAACAAACUACUUGUAUAGAAAUCACAAGUGGUUUUAUAACUUUCAAGUGUACUCCAGAGAAAAUAUGUGUAAAACUUGAGUAUAGAAAAUUACCGAAUAUGGAAAUUAUGGUUUCAUUUUUUGAUAAUAUAUUUCCAAUGCUAGUUGUGUGUUUAUAUAGGCAGAAUGGAUAUAACCAUUUUCACCAUGAUCCAGAAAUAUUUGGAACAUUUAAUGUCUUGUGGGUAAUGGUUGUUAACAAUGGGUUGUUGAAAAAUGGUCAUAUUAUACUGGGUAGUUUGGCCCGUUAAAUAAUCACAAAAAUGAUUAAAAUGAAUAAAAUUAUUACUUUAAUCAAGAAGCCCAAAGCCUGAUUAAAGACUUUUUUAUAUUACUGCUUGGGAUGUGACCUGAAUCCCCGACCUCCCAAACAAAUUUCACACUUUCCAACACUUGGGCAAUCCAUCUAAAUUAGUUAUUUAUUUCACAUAUUAUAUUUAUUGUAUAAAUAUCUAACAAUCUCCCAUAUGAAAGAAAGAAGAAAGAUAUAAAUAUUGCUCUGGAGUACUACAGAAAUCACGCAGACUUAGAUGUCUGUCGACUUGAACCUUGGCUUUGUAUAUUGUAUUGAGCUUACUAACUGUAGAGUGAACUAGGCCUUGAACUCUACAAUUAUAGUUGGAAACUGAGACAAUAGAACACACCUAUGACUUCUAAAAUAAUCAUUGAGUUCUUACAGUUGUGUUCAUCAUUGCUGUGAACUUUCCCAAUUUCUUUGAGUGUUCUAGAGAAUCAGCCUCAUUCUUAUAGAAAGCAGCCCCACUUGCAUACUCAAAUAGGCGCUUUUGUCAAGGCUACACUACAUCUAAACACCCCACUAAAUAUCAGUUAUAGUGAACAUUAAGAGCAUUAGCUCAUCCUCUAAUCAAUAUAGUUGGUACUAUGCAUCAUAGGGAGGGAUUUGGAAUAAAUCCAAUUUGGUACCCCCAUAGACCACUUCAAUAACUUUGUUGUUCCAUUGAACCUUGUCCACUGGAUCUCCAACUGAAAAUGUUAGGUUUCCAUUUUAGGUUAUCUAGUUUGUAAUGGGCUUUAUCCCCAUCAUCUUCAAUGUUUUUGAACUAGUUCUCUAGUUAAUUCUUUGGUUAAUGGGUCAGCAAUAUUAUCACUUGACUUUACAUAGUUAAUGGCUACAACCCCAUCUCAAGGAAGUUGACAUACAGUAUUGUGCCUCCUACUAAUAUGUCUAGACUUUCCAUGGUUGGAUGAAUUUUGAGCUCUUGAAAUAGCUGCUUGACUACCACAAUGGACAGAAAUAGCUAGAAAUGGUUUAGACCACAAAGGAAAAUGCAUAAGAAAAUUCCUUAACCAUUUAGCUUCCUCACAUGCCUUAUCGAAAGUUAAGAACUCAAAUUCCAUAGUAGAUCUAGUAAUGCAGGUUUCCUUAGUGAAAUUUUAGGAUAUAGUACAGCUCCCAAUGUAAGAACAUAUCCACUUGGAAGCUUACUUUCAUUGGAAUCAGAAAUCCAAUUAGAAUCACAAUAUCCUUCAAGUACAGUAGGAAAUUUGGUAUAAUCUAUUUCCUAAACUAGAAUGUAUCUCAAAUACCUCAAGAUUCGAAUGAGAGCAUCCCAAUGUUCACUAUUAGGAUUACUAAUAUACUUGCUAUGUCUAUCGACUGUAUAUGCUAUAUCAGGUCUUGUCCAGUUCAUGAGAUACAUGAGAUUACUGAUCGCUCUAGCAUAUUCUAAAGCGGAAACACUAGAAUCUGAAUGUUUUCUCAAACGACGGCUUGUACUAUAAGGUGUUUUAGCAGGAAUACAAUUAUAUUGGUUAAACUUUUUAAGCACUCUUUCUAUACAAUGUGCUUAGAUUAAAAUAAUUCUUUCAUAAUGUUUUACUAUUUUAAUUCCUAGAGUGACAUCAGCAACACCCAAAUCUUUCAUUUUGAAAUGGCUUUUUAAAAAUUGUUUUGUUAUACUAACCAUAUCUAAAUUAGUUCCCAUUAUCAGCAUAUCAUAAGCAUAUAAGCAAAUUAUCACACCACAGUUAUUUUUGAAUUUGCUAUAUAUGCAUUUAUCCGCUUCAUUUAUCAAUAACCACUUGAUGUCAAAAUUGUAUCAAAUUUUUCAUGCCAUUGCUUAGGAGCUUGUUUAAGGCCAUAAAAGAGAUUUUUUUUUUUUAAGCCAAUAGACUUUAUCAUCAUGGUCUUCUACAACAAGUCUCUUAGGUUAGUUCAUAUAAAUAUCUUCUUCUAAGUCUCUAUUUAAAAAUGCAGUUUUGACAUCCAUUGAUAUGUAGUAAGAUCAUAUGACGAAGCAAUAGCAAUUAAUAUCCUAAUAGAGGUAAUCCUAGUAACAGGUGAGUAAGUGUUAAAGAAGUCAUCUCCUUCUUCUUGUUUACAGCCUUUACUUUAAACUUAUCAACCAAACCAUUUGAUUAUAAAUGAAUUCUCUUUAUAAUGUUGGAAAAUAAUUAGUUGCAGUAACUUGCAAAACAGUAAAAUGUUGAAAUAAACUUAUCGGCUGAUCGAGUUUUGUGACAGCAUGAUGUCAUAAAAUGAAAUUGCCCGUCAAUAACUGUUGCAACUUCUAUGGACAAUCACUCACAAGAUACAAUGAUAAAACAAAACACUUGUAUAGCAAUCACGAGUGGUUCCAGAAUUCUUAAGUGUACUCUAGAGAAAAAAAUGUGUAAAACUUCAGUAUAGAAAUUACGGAAUAUGCAAAUUAUGGUUUCGUUUUUUGAUAAAAUUUUUCCAAUGCCAAAUGUGUGUUUAUAUGGGCAGAAUGGAUAUAACCACCUCCACCAUGAUCCAAAAAUAUUUGCACAUUUAAUGGCUUGUGGAUACGUAAUGGGUUGUUAAUAAUAUGUUGUUGAAAAGGGUCAUAUUAUACUGGCUUGUUUGACUUGUUAAAUAAAUUUGAAAAUUAUUAAAAUAGAAAAAAUUAUUACUUAAAUAAAGGAAGCCCGAGAGCCGAAGGGCCAAUCAAAGACUUAUAUUAUUGCGUGGAACGUGACCCGAACCUCCGACCUCCCACACAAAUUCCACACUUUAAACGAUUUGGGCAUUCUAUCUAAAUUAGUUAUUUUUUUUUCACAUAUUAUAUUUAUUAUAUAAAUAUCUAACAAUCCCCCACAUGAUAAGAGUUUUAGACUGCCAAUGUUAUUAAUAUAAUGUAAGCUGCUAUGUUUAUGAUUCUUGCUCCAUACCACCAAGGCUAGUCUUUAUACAAGAGAGCCUCCGACUGGUUUUGGGUUUUGUUGGAAUGACUUGAGUACCUUGGUUUAUUUUAAGGUUGAUUUUCUAUUGUUAAUGUCCAUAAAAUAAUUUACAUGCAAAUAUUACUGGCAUUGUAUUUUGUUUGGUAUUCAUGAAUUGGUCGUAUACUCACGUGGUUAUUAUUAUUAUUAUUAUUAUUAUUAUUAUUAUUAUUAUUAUUUUGAUCAUCAUCAUCAUCAUCAUUUUUUUUUUUGGCUGAAUUGGGUUUGUUUGAUGGCCGGAAAGAAUACGGGAAUAUGUCAUUCUUGUAGGGAUUAGGACACAUGUUGUUAGAAUGCCUCAAAAUUUUGAUUUGAUUAAAUCUCGUACCUUCAUUUCAAUCAUUGUUGGAAUUGUGUGGCCAGUGAUCGAUUUGAAUUUGUAUGCAUCCAAAAACAGCUGCCUGUUCUCUUCUUUCAUCAAACAUUAUUACAAUACAAACAUCCAAGAAACGUCUAUUUAUACGAAGUUUGAAGGAAGUUUCCUACGCCAAAAUUUAGGUCCUGCAUUCUGUCUUGUAACAUCAUUCUUCUCAAAGUCACAUAGUGUACUUUAACUUCACCUCGAACACAUAUUUCAUAUUUGGUACGUUAAAUUCUAUAAAAUUAAAAGAGCGAUAAGUGAAAUGUAUUUUCCCCUCUUAUUUCCCUAUUUUAUAUUCUUACAACAGGGUUUUUACGCAUAUUGUACAUGACUUCAAAAAAGUCAAGUAGGUCGAAACUAUUUAUAUUGAAAUUAGAUUGUUACAAACUAAGCCCCUUUUUGGUUUAACAUAAAGUUAAUAAAAAUUCAAAAUCAACAAUUAAUUUAAACUAUAUAUUUUAUGGAAUUCACAAAUUUAUUAACAAAGCAUCACAUAUUUCAUCAUUUUUUUAUCAAAAUUUUUAACCUUCAAUUUUUGUAGGGUUUAGGAUACAUGUUGUUGGAAUGCCCCAUCAAUCUCAUUUAUUUUAAGCUGUCCUUUCACAUGUGCUGAUUUUGCGAUUGCAUCAGUAUACCCUUGAUUUGGAUGGACUUGUUCUGUGAUUGUGCUUGACUUGAUCUAGAUGGACUUGUUAUGUGAUUGUGCUCAAGAUGGAAAGUGUUUUUACACCAUGCUCCUCCAAGUUCAUCUUUAAACUUCAUUCCAACAGUGGACACAAUAAUUUCCGUUUCUUCACCCAUGCUAGUAUCAUUCGGAUUGUCAUGAUCAGACGAAAGAAUUUUUAAAUAACCUGCAUUGACCAAAACAGAUAAUAAUCAAUUCUCAUAUUCGCACAAAACCAUUCAAAUAUAGAUGGCUAAUUGGGCAUUAGCAGAAGUUGUGUCCAUAUACAACUUACUGUUUUCAAGCCAAAUAAUCAUUUCUACAAUAAUUUGCUUGAGCAUUUUUCAUCUUCCGAUGGAAGCAAAUAAUUGACAGUAUCCUAAAGACUCUUGAAGGGUAGAAGAGGUGAAUGAAGAGGUCCUACAAAGUUACUUUAAAGUUAAAAUUUAACAGAAUCAGGAGAUUUUUUUUGCCUUGUGUCUCCCUCAUGGUACUUAUUGCAAAUAAAACUUUCCUAUCUCAUGAUGUCAUACUCAUAUUAUUUCCUACAGUAGAGCCAAAUACAUUGGGUAAACCCUAUUUUAACUUCCUAUCUGCCGAAGUUUUGUACCCAUUAAAUGUUUAGGCAAAUAUUGAAGAUGAUAUCUAUAACAGACUACAUUCACAACAUGGUAUAUGGAUAAUAGUGAGGUUUGGCUAUAUUUUAGUUUAUUUCCCCAAAUAUGUACGUCAGGAACCACUUAUCUGAAGCAAAUAGCCAUAACGAAAUUCAAUAUUUGCAGUUGAAACAAAGGAAACUAGCUUUACACAAAGAGAGUGAUAGAUGACAACCUACAGUGCAAAAAUUAACAGAAAAAAAAAAGGGAAAAUGAAGAUUAAGUUCGAAAAAAUCUUACCCAUGCUGUCGUUGCCAUUGAGGUUACCGGCCUGGGAGUUGUCAGCUUCGGUUUCGUCUGCUGCUUCAUCACAAAAUUGCUGACCUUCGACCAUGAAAGAUGGGGACAAGAUCGUCGGGUUCAUCAUUGUAUCGAUGCCGGUGUCAAAGUUGUUGUGGUCGUGGAAUGGGUUUUGCCAUGAUUUCAUUUCAGUUUUCGAAGGAUAGGUUUACGUUCGUGUUUGAUUUUGGAAUUGUACUGUAAACGAUAUGGUUCCAAAAGGGGGGAAAAGGCGCCUUUUCUUUUCUUUUUUUCACUUUUAUUGUUUAUUUACUUAUUUGUUAUUAUUAUUUGCAGUAACUUGCGAGAUUGGAAAUUUCAAAGUUCUGCCAUAACAUCAUGCUGUCACAAAUUCUGUAAAGCAUACCAUACGUGUAUCACAAUCCAAAAUAAUUUACCAUUAUGGAGAUUAGAAUUAAAAAGUGAACAUGUUUAUUGAAGAAAUUAUAUUCAAACGUAAUUGGAUGAACAAUGAAUUAGUCUUCUGUAAAAAGUAUGUAACCUCGUCUCAAUCUCAUAUAAUUGGAUGACAUAUUUUAUAUUUUAUUUUCUUAAAUAUUAAACAUAAUUUAUUAAAAAAAUUACAUUCAAACUUGUACAUCCUAAAUUGAUAUUCUGUAAAAUGUAAGUAGCCCGUCUCAAUCUCAUAUAAUUGGACAAACACAACUCAUGAUUAUCACACAUAAAUAAUCUAAUGUUAACAAACUAUUUUAUGUAACAUAUGAAAAUAGAAAACAAGAAAACAUGGGUAACUAAAUAGAGGAUUUUAUUAAAAUUGAAAAAGAUGUCCCAAAUCAUCGUCCACCAAGCAUUGUAAGAGUGACAUUGUCAAUAGAGACUCCCAUCUGGGAAGAGGUGACAUGACUACGGUUCCACUCCUCAGCAAAAAUUGGUUGCUCAGACAAAUCGACAAAAUUUGACACGACCUAUCCCGAGUCACCCUAUUGGACACGAAACGUGACGUGAGCUAAUGAUAGAUACUGACUAAAUGUCAAAUCUAUCACCAAGGCUGACAAUGUGUUACUGCACAAAAAUGCACAAAAAAUCAAAUACUUAUGUAAAAUAUAAUACGAUAGGCCCAAAAUAUUUACUUCAUGCUUCAUCCAUAUAAAUCGUAGCACUCAAUAUGUCGUGUGGCUAUUACUUUGAAAUCAUUAGGCUCUCCUAACUAUAAAGAACCAUUUGCUACCUAUAGGAAAAAUUAUGGAAAAAUAUGAGUUGAUAGCUCAAUGAGUGGGGAAGUCCGAAAAUAAUUACACUUUUUCAAUUUUAUAUUUUUAUUGAAAAUUGAGUUCAUAUAAUUGAAUAAUUCACAAGAUAACAACAUAUAAUUAUAGCCAAAACGUGAGACAAUCACAUAACGUCAUACAAUAUCAUCUCAAGGUCAUGAUGUAUAUGUCAGCUAGUAAUCAUAUUAUAAUCUCACCACAUCAAUUGUACUGAAAAAUCCACAAAAAAUGUCCCUUCUGACUAAAAUUUGUAAUCCGCCCCUUGGGCUAAGAAUUUUUGCCACGGGCCUUUUGGCCCCCUCCAUAAACGAAAGUCGGUCUCAAGACCUUUGAUAAUCAAUUUUAGAACACGACCAAAGCCCCUUAGUGAACUAUAUGUACACUCAAGACCCCUUCAUCCAUGGUCCAAGACCUCUUAGUAUAGUACAGAAUACCGCCAAGGCCCCUUGGUGAACUAGAAGAAAUAUAUAAUUAUGGGUACUUUUUUGGCCGAUCUCAAUAUCGCACAUGUCUCACAUACCAAGUCAUAAAUGUACCACGAAUAAUCUUUGAAAUUCCACAUGUAUCAUAAUAAAAUAGAUUUCUAUAAUAAUCAUAAAAUCGAAUACAUAAUUGCACAUACUUUACUAAUACACUUAAUUUAUAAGUACUUUAAAAAUAUUUAAUUUUUUCCAAUUACCAAAACUAUGUAUGCAAAAUCCACUCGGUUUGUAAGCAGUUCCCAUAUCUGUAUCGCCGCCUAAAAUAUAAUAUAAUUUUUAAAUUAACAAUUAACUAUUUUAAGAAAUUCUAAUACUUAAAUAGGCGAUACCAUAAUCUUUUCAUGUUUAAACGAUUUCUAAAGUUCUUUUAAUCAUUUAAGCUAAUUUUUAUUUCAUUUAACAUAAUUGUAUAACUCAUUCUACUUACUUCAAUAAUUUCCUAUCAAUAAAAUUGAAUUUAAACUAACAAUUUAAAAAACUAUAAAGCUAAACAUAACUACGCAAUAAGUAACUUUUUACUUACUUUUAAAUUGAAGAAUUCAAGCUUACUAGUAGGAAGCACUUAUUUUCUAACAACAAAGGUUAACUUUCCCCUCUCUCUCUCUCUCUCUCUCUCGCCUUUCUUCUUUCCCCUUUCUUUUCUCUCCCAGCUCUCGGUUCAGUGUCUGUUUUGUGUCGCGUGUGUAAUUUUAAGUGAAUUUGCUUUGGACAUAGGUGGAUUGAUUUGCCGCGCUACCAUUUUCUUUUUCUUUUUUGUUUUUGUUUUUGUUUUGUAUGUCAUGUUUGACUUUUUUUUAAUUAAAUUAAUAUAUUACAAAAAUUCCCAACUGAUCGUUCCAAGAAUUUUUGAAAUUGUAGGCCGGUUAUUAGGGAAUUCUUGUACGCACAAUAGUGCAAUGUGAAUGCACCUCACCAUCUCUCCCUAGAAUUCGACUUUGUAUAUUGUUUGAUCUAUGAAGGCUGAGCCAUUGUCUUCAUUCCAUAAUUUCCUUGCCUGAUACAAGUUAUCAUGUAUAAGAUCCUAAGGAAUAUUUGAAAACACGGAAAAAGGAGGGAAAGAUUACAAUGUGGCUUACACAUCCGAAAAGGCUUAACGACCAUUCGUUAUAGGAGAAGUUGGUGCUCUUUUUUCCACUCACAAUUUCUAACAUCAAAACACCAAAACUAUAGAUGGAAUUUUCAGAAAAUCUUCCUUCCAUUGCAUAUUUUGGUGCCAUGUGUCUACUGUAAAAAUAUGAUAAAUUCAUGUAAGUUUGAAACGUCCAAUAUUAAAAGCAAAUGGCAUGUUCAUAGUAUUAUUUAAAUACUGUGUGCCAAACAUGCCUUUAAGGAAAACAAUACUUUCGUCAAUUCAACAUUUGCUUACUAAGUUCCUACGACUCUUCCAGUGUUUGCUUGAUCUUGGUUGGCUCCAAAUAUUCAUGCUAUUCCAAAAUCUAAAAACUUUGGAUUGAAAACAAUAACAUCAACUUAAGAAGACCCUUCACAUCUUACUUAACUUUCAGUGUUUCUAAAUUAAAAACAAUUUAUUUAAACAUAGAUAAGUGAUUGUCUAUUGACGCAUCUUCAGACAUUUUGCUUAAUGAAAUAAAUCAAACGAGAUAAGAACACCAUGAUUUUACGUAAAAAUCCAAGACAAGAAAAAACUACAGGUAUAGGAGUAGUGUUUUACUAUAAUCAACAAUGAAUGUUGUUUACACAAGAUCUCAAUACUCUCAAUCAAGAUCUAAAGCUCUAUCAAGGCUAUAUCAAUGUAAGUUAUCUUUACAAUUCAUGAAUGCAGUAUAUAAACCCUAAAAUGAGGUUAAAGAAGGAUUGGAGUGCUGUAAAUGCUUUAAAAUUUGAAAUGCACCUUGGAACUAACGAAUCAUAGUUCAAGUGCCAAACAGGCGAUGACUCUACCGUUUGAGCAGUAAGUUGGUGACCAACCCCUUUUUUUGAGUGCUCAGUGAUAUUUUGAAGUAUUGGAAGGAUAAAGAACAGCGUGGAAUGCAACUUAGAAUGGUGUUGGGCACAUUGUGUAGAGAGUUAUAUGUAAAAAUUCAAGAAAUGUGAGUUUUAGAUUGAUCGAAUAGGUUUUCUGGGCCAUGUUGUGACUUCUUAAGAAAUUGAAGUUGAUCCAACUAAAGUGAAAGCCGUACCGAAGUUGUGUAGACCAUCCAAUGCUAGGAAAGUUUACAUUUUCUUAGGAUUGACGGCUAUUAUCAUAGAUUCAUAGAAGAUUUCUCCACGAUAGCUGGACGAUGACCAGAUUGGACAUUAAGUUUCAGUACUUAUGAGAGAUGUGAACAGAGCUUCCAUGAGUUGAAAUAGAGACUAGUUAUAGUACAAGUCUUAAUACUAUCGGAAGGUUUAGAGGAGUUUGUUAAGGAUUAAGAUGUGUGCAGAUGAAACAUAGUAUAUUGUUUGUAUAUGUGUAAUACUUUAACUAAUUAAAAAGGAAAGUCAACAAAAGAUUUGGUCAAAACUUAAAGAUUUUUUUUUAAAAAUAAAAAACAGUUAAAUAAGCAUGAUACAAGGUGAUGGAUUAGGAUAGAUAUCCACCAUAAUUCAUUACAAAUCAAACCCAUUUCAUAUUCAUUCACAGAGAGAGAGAGAGAGAGAGAGAGAGAAGAAAAGAAGGCCAAAAAAAAAAAAAAAAAGAAUUUGCCAAGUUGCUAGAAAAUAAGUGAUUUGUACUAUUAGGCUUGAAUUCCUCAAUUUUCAAAAGUAAGUAAAAAGUUACUUAUUGUUAAGUUAUGUAAUUGAGUAAAAUGAAAGAAAAACUAGUUUUUGUAAUUAAAAGAGACUUUAGAAAUCACUUAAAAUGUGAAAUGAUUAAGUUUAAGUAUUGUCUAUUUAAUUAUUGAAAUUACUUAAAAUAAUUAAUUGUUAAUUUAAAAAUUAUAUCAUAUUUUAAGGGGCGAUACAGACAUCGGGACAGCUUACCAACCGAGUUAAUUUUGCGAAUAUAGUUCUGUGAGUGGAAAAUUUUAUAUAUUUUCAAAUAUUAAUAAGGUACAUAUACUAUUAUAUAAAAAAAGGCAAAAAAAAAAAAAAAAAGAAUUUGCCAAGUUGCUAGAAAAUAAGUGAUUUGUACUAUUAGGCUUGAAUUCCUCAAUUUUCAAAAGUAAGUAAAAAGUUACUUAUUGUUAAGUUAUGUAAUUGAGUAAAAUGAAAGAAAAACUAGUUUUUGUAAUUAAAAGAGACUUUAGAAAUCACUUAAAAUGUGAAAUGAUUAAGUUUAAGUAUUGUCUAUUUAAUUAUUGAAAUUACUUAAAAUAAUUAAUUGUUAAUUUAAAAAUUAUAUCAUAUUUUAAGGGGCGAUACAGACAUCGGGACAGCUUACCAACCGAGUUAAUUUUGCGAAUAUAGUUCUGUGAGUGGAAAAUUUUAUAUAUUUUCAAAUAUUAAUAAGGUACAUAUACUAUUAUAUUACGUGAAAUUAUGCGAAUUAUUUGUUCAAUUACACAAUUAAUAUGGAAAAGUUCUUUCACUAUGAUAUAUGUGAAAUUUAAAGUUUGGAUAUGGAUUAUUUGUGAAUUGAAAUGCGAGAGAGACAUUUAAUAUUGAGAUCGGCUAGAAAAGUACCAAUGAUUAUAUACUUCUUCUAGUUCACUGACCGUGUCUUGAUCGUGUAAAUAUAGUUCACAAAGAGGCAUUGGCCAUGCUCUAGAAUUGAUUACUAGAGGUCUUGAAACCAACUUUCGUUCAUGAAGGGGGUGAAAUGCUCAUAGGUAAAGUUCUUAACCCGAGGGACAGAUUACAGAUCUUAAUCUGAGGGUAACUUUUUGGUGGAUUUUGUAGUAUAUUGAUGUGAUGAGAUUAUAGCAUAAUUACCGGUUUAUGUUUAUAUCUUGACUUGAGAUGAUAUUUUACCACGUUAUGUGAAUGUCUCACGUUUUCAUUAUAAUUAUAUGAUGUUAUCUUGUGAGUUAUUCAAUAAUAUAAACUUGGAUUUCGAUGAAAAUGUAAAAUUGAAAAAGUAUAAUUAGUUUCGAACUUCUCUACUCACUGAGCUAUAAACUCAUAUAUUUUCCCGUAAUUUUUCCCACAUGUAGCAAUUGAUUAUUUUUAGCUAGAAGAGCCUAAUGAUUUUGGAAUGAGAGUCAUACGAGAUGUUGAAUGUUAUAACUCAUAUUGAUGAAGCACAACGUAAAUAAUUUUGGCGAUCACCUAUUCAUUGGGAUGAAGAAGGUGAAAAAAGGGUUCUAGGUCCUAAGAUUGUUGAGCGAAUGGUUCAGGUUAUUGAUAAGAUUCGAGUAUGAAUAAAAGUAGCUCAAGACCGGUAGAAAAGUUAUGCUGAAAAGAAGAGAGAAGAUUUAGAAUUUCAAGUGGAGGAUAAAGUCAACUUGAAAGUAGCAUUGAUGAAAUGCGUGCUCCGUUUGGGUAAGAAGGAAACGUUAAGAACCUAAUUUAUUGAGCCAUUUGAAAUUCUAGAAAAGGUUGGAAAUGUGGCCUAUUGAAUCACACUGCCACCUGAACUUUCAGCAGUGCAUAAUUUGUUUCACAUCUCAAUGCUUAGAAAGUAGUCCAUAAUCCCAGUCAUGUGCUAGAUUUUCAAUUUUGUAAAAUACGUAAAGAUCUGACAUAUGAAGAAACCACAACAAAUAUAUUCAAUAGGAAGGUACACGUGUUAAUGAUAAAGAGAUUCAUCUAGUGAAGGUGCAAUUGCACUAUCGUGGAUUAGAAGAUACAACUUGGGAAAAAGAAAAGGAUAUCAAAGAAAAAUAUCAAGAGCUCUUUGACUAAAGUAAUAUCAAGAACGAAAUUCUUUUAAGAAGGAAUGAAUGUAAGAUCCUAGAAAUAUUGAAUAUAUAAUAUGAUAAAAUUAUUUAUAUGCAUUGUUGCAUGGUAACAAGUAAUUCAAGUUUAGAUUGAAAUUUCAAGGAAAGUUAAAGAUCAAGUGCAACAUCUUGAAGUUUGUGGACUCGAGUGUAAAUAAGUAAGAUAUUCGUUUUAUACAAAACAGAAUUUAUUAUUUAUAUGAUCAUCGUAUGAAGGAUUUAAGUAUUUUUAACCGUAUAAUUCAUAUUUCAAAAUAUUUGGAAAAUUUAUCUUUAAGUUAUGAAAGGAAUAUUUAUAAUGAUUCAAAUUAGAAAUUCGGGAUGUUGUAGUUUUCAAGUCUGAGAGUUGACUUCAAGUCUCUCAAUGGCUUUAUAUACAAGAAUCAAAAUAGAUUUUACCCACAAAUACCAGCAACCACCCCUUAUCUACUUAUCAGCAAACUUCUCAUAUAGUGGCAUUCUCCCGCAUAAAUUUCUUGGAAUUAACAAUGUCCAAUAGCCAAAUCCUUGAACUUUUUGUUCUUCUGUACCUAUUCAUACUACUGUGCCUUCCGCGUUUAGGAUUUUGUGCACAAACAGACACUAUCACAAGAAAAAAUUGUCCUAAAAGACCCCGACACCAUAUCAUCACGAGGCAAUGUUUUCAAAAUGGGAUUCUUUUCCCCUGAUAAUACCACCAAGAACCGCUACUUUGGUGUGUGUUUACAGCGUUUCAGAAUCAACGGUGGUAUGGGUUGCCAACAGGGCCAAACCAAUUCCCGAUUCUUCCGGCAGAAUAACGAUAUCACAAGAUGGCAAUAUCGUACUAAUGAAUAGAGAAAGUGAGAUAGUUUGGUCAUCAAAUGUUACGACCUCUUCGUUUAAUGCUAGUGCCCAGCUUUUGAGCACUGGAAAUCUUGUUCUGCGAGGUAAUUCAAGUGGGCGUACGUUGUGGGAGAGUUUUGGACACCCGUCCAAUACUGUUUUGCCCACAUUGAGGUUAAUUGACAACAUAAAUACAGGUAAUAAGGUGGUCGUAUCCUCAUGGAAAACCCCAACGGAUCCAGAAGUCGGAAAUUUCUCAGAGGGUCUCCAGGCCCUGAAUAUUCCUCAAAUCUAUAUUUGGAAUGGGACUCGUCCACACUGGCGAAGUGGUCCAUGGAAUGGGAAGAUUCUAAUGGGUGUACAAUGUAUGUAUUCUGUAUACACUGAUGUAUUCACAUUGGAAAAUGAUCGUUCAGGAGCAUACUCUUUCACUGCGGCAGAGGGGAAAUUCUUGAUGAGACUUACUUUGAAUUCAACAGGGAGUUUGGUUCAAACGUUGUGGAAUGAUAAGACACAGAAUUGGGAUAUGAUAUGGGUGGCUCCUCGUCAAGAGUGUGAUAUCUAUGGGAAGUGCGGACCAUUUGGGAGUUGUAAUGCUCUGAGUUCACCUAUUUGUUCUUGUCUGAGAGGGUUUGAACCAAAGAAUUUUGAGGAAUGGGGAAGAGGAAACUGGGCUGGCGGAUGUGUCCGGAAGAAACCAUUGAUCUGUGAUCGAAAUAAUAAUACGAGCGGAGGUGGCAAAGAAGACGGAUUCUUGAGGCUCCCGAAUAUGAAAGUGCCGGAUUUUGCUGAACGGGGACCCCUGAGGAUGGUAGAGGAAUGUAGAAGUCUCUGCUCACUUAAUUGUUCGUGCAUAGCCUAUGCACAAGACACAAAUCUUGGUUGUAUGUUCUGGAGCCAAGAAUUGAUAGACAUUCAGCAAUUUUCUAAUGUUGGAGUUGAUCUUUACCUUCGUCUAGCUUCUUCGGAACUAGGUACUUAAAGUUCUGCUGUCUUUGACAACUUGCCAUAUAAUGUUUAUGAACUCGUUAUAGGGUUUGUAAUUUGAUGUUUGGUUUUUCCAGAUGGGCACCAAGACAAAAAGCUUAAUAUUAUAAUUCCAAUAGUUGCGGGUUUGGUAGCCAUUUUGAUUUGUAUUUUCAUUUAUUGGUGGUUGGCGGCUAGGCGAAAAGGUAACACAGAAUGAACAGUGGAUAAUUUAUUGGGCUUUACAUGUAUAUAUAUGUAUCUGUCAGUUAAAGAUAUUGAUUUCCCUUGUGGAACCAGGAGCCAAAGGAAAAUUAGAUGCAAAGUUGUAUGAAGCUGGGCAAACAGGUCCAUCAGAUUCGGCCGGAAUAGUGAUUAAAGAUGAUAUGGAUAAAGUUUAUCUUGAAGAGUUUCUGUUAUUCACGUUCGAGACCGUUGCAAAUGCCACGGACCAAUUCCAUGUUGACAAUAUGCUUGGAAAGGGUGGUUUUGGUCCUGUUUAUAAGGUAAUUUUUUGUAACCAUGAGCGCCGAGUACUGCAUUUUAUAUGGCUCUUGUACUGAAAUUGCCGUUAAAUGUGUACGCAGGGUAAAUUGGCAGAUGGAAAAGUAAUUGCAGUGAAAAGGCUUUCAGCAGCAUCUGGACAAGGGAUGGAAGAAUUUAUGAAUGAAGUGGAUGUGAUUUCCAAGCUCCAACAUCGAAAUCUUGUAAAAUUACUUGGAUGUUGUGUCGAGAAAGAAGAGAAAAUUCUUGUUUAUGAGUAUAUGCCCAAUAAGAGCUUAGACUCAUUUCUAUUUGGUUAGUCGAAAUUCAACUCUAUUCUCUGUCCUUUCAAAACGUGUUCUACUACUAUGUUUUUAUAAUUUGCACCAUGUUUUUAUAAUUUGCUUUUAAUCAUGUAGAUCCUUCACAUCCAUCAUAGAAGAUUCUCGAUUGGAAGAAACGUUUUAGUAUUAUCGAAGGUAUUGGGCGAGGCCUUCUCUAUCUUCACAGGGAUUCUAUACUAAAGAUAAACCACAGAGAUUUGAAACCGAGUAACGUGCUGCUGGAUGAGGACUAUAAUCCAAAGAUUUCAGACUUUGGAAUGGCAAGAAUAUUUGGAGGCAACCAAGAUCAAGCCAACACUAGAAGAGUCGUAGGAACUUAGUAAGCAAUUGUUGAAUUGACGAAAGUAUUGUUCCCCUUAAAAGCAUGUUUGGUACGCAGUAUUUAAAUAAUACUGUGCACAUGCCAUUCAUUUUUAAUAUUGGAUGAUUCAAACGUAUAUGAAUUUAUCAUAUGUUGUAGCGGAUACAUGGCGCUAGAAUAUGCAAUGGAAGGAAGAUUUUCUGAAAAAUCUGACGUCUAUGGUUUUGGCAUUUUGAUGUUAGAAAUCGUGAGUGGGAAAAAGAACACGAACUUCUACAAUCACAAAUGGUCAUUAAGCCUUUUGGGUUGGGUAUGCCACUUUGUAAUCUUCCCUUUUUUUUUGUGUUUUCAAACAUUCCUCAGGAUCUUAUAUAUGAUUAUUUGUAUCAGGCAUGGAAAUUGUGGAAUGAAGACAAUGGUUCAACCUUCAUAUAUCAAACAAUAUACAAAGCCGAAUUCUAGGGAGAGAUGGCGAGGUGCAUUCACAUUGCACUAUUGUGCGUACAAGAAUUCCCUAAUAACCGGCCUAAAAUUUCAACUGUUCUUGCAAUGCUCAAUCAGGAAAUUGUCGAUUUGCCUGUGCCGGAGCAACCGAUUUUUGCCGAGAAGUGGAACUGUUCUGAUAUCACCUCUUUUGGGAUGGGAGUCUCCACUAACGAUGUCACUCUUACAAUGUUUGAUGGACGAUGAUUUGAGACUUCUUUCGCAUUGUUUUAAUAAAAUCCUCAUAGUUACCUAUGUUUUCUAUUUCCAUAUGUUACAUAUAAUAGUUUGUUGAAAUCAGAUUAUUUAUGUGUAAUAUUCAUGAGUUAUGUUCGUCCAAUUAUAUGAGAUUGAGACGGGUUACUUGCAUUUUACUGAAUAUCAAUUUAGUGUGCACAAGUUUGAAUAUAUUUUUAAUCCAAUUGACCGUAUGGUAAAUUAUUUUUAAUAUUUAUGACAAUAAGGAAAAUUUAUUGUCCAAUUAUAUAUGAAAAUAAGGAAAUAUUUAUCGUCCAAAUAGUGUGAGCUAACUCUAUACCAGUUCAGUUUUCUUCAUAUCUUCAAAGAGGAAGAUGGAAAGGUCUCUUGGUUGUAUUAUACUAGUGUGAAGUCUGGGACUGGGGGGUUCCUUCCUUCAUGAAGAAUUGGAAGGAAUAAGUUUUUCUAUGUCAGGGAGGAUUGGAAGUUCCACCUAUUCUAAGUAGAUAGGGAUGACAUGGUUCCUGUUCAGUACAACAAAAUUUUAAAGCUUUUGGCUAGAUAGAUGUUGUUUUCUUAGCAGAAUUUCCUUUAGUGGAUUUUUUGAUCUGUUUUCUAUUUGUUAAAGUUUAACAUACUAAUAUAAUUAGCUCGGAGACUAGACAAAGAAUUGAUAUAGCUAGUGCCUUGAAUGUUGACCAGAGAUCGAAUAGUUUCUGAUCCCUAAUUCCAACUUCUUCAGUGUCGGUCUUUUCCUUAGCAGUUCUCCCCUUCUUCCUAGAAAAUUUAGAGUCGUGACUUUGCUAUUUUUAUUUUCAUGAAAUUCUCACAAAAAAAUUGUCUUCGCAGGAUAAAGUCAGGAAAUCUUCAAAUUCAAAGCAACGAAGUAAGCUGAGGCAGAGCCUGAUGAAGCUAGGAAAGCCCAAUGAGCUUAUAUUAGAAAGGUCCCUACAGAAAAUGAGUGGCAAGUCCUAUUAACGCGUUGCUCGUGGCAAGCCCAAUGAGUUUAUUUGAUCUUCCUUCUCCACUAAGGUCUCUUCUUUACCAGAGCUUUCCUACACACGCUCCUCAGACUCGGUAUUCUUCAAUACCAGCUCCUUUGAAUUUUGACGUUCAUUUGCUUGACGAGAUGAGAUUAGACAUGGAGAUGAUGAUUAGCUAUUGUCCAGAGGCUUUUCGGGAUUUUCUGAGGGAUCCUAUACCUUCGCCCGACCUAGCUAAUGUCCUAUCAUCCAUGAGUGUUUUAGGGAAGAUUGCCCAGGAGAAAGCAAAAGUUGGACAAAGAUUUCACUAAAGAAAUAAUGCGGCUUUACUAUAAAAUAGGCAAGAUAAGUUUCAAAUUGAAGUUACAAAGUAUUUCAAACUCUCUCUCUCUCUCUCAAUAACAAAACUAUCUUUCUCAAAUCCUUACUUAGUAUUCAAUAAGCACUUUUGAGUUUAGAUUGAAAUUUCAAGGAAAGUUAAAGACAAAGUGCAACAUCUUGAAGUUUGUGGACUCGAAUGUAAAUACGAAAAAUAUUCUUUUUAUACAAAAUAGUAUUUAUACAGGGCGGACCCACAUGGAGUCAUGUGGUGUCAAAUGACCACACAAAAUUUUUGGUUUCCUUUUUUUUUUUUUUUUUUUUUUUUUUUAUGACAUACUUUGGUGCACUCAUUUCGGGAUGUCAAAUAAUGUCAAAAUAUUGCAUUCUUAAUACCAUUUUAAAGUGAUCAUUGCCUAGUUUUUCGCUCAUCCAUGAAAUGUGAACCAACCAAAUAUAGCAAAAGUUAUGAUGCAUCAAAAUAUGUCGUUCCAAACUAGUAUUUUGUGAAUCUCGAUAAUAUGCUAACUUUCAAAAUUCGUCGAUGAUUGUAUACUACAUCAUCUAGAAGCUCAUCUCGAGAACUUCAAUGUAAUCAUAUUGAAUUAUCCAAGUAAAUAUCGAAAUAGUUAAAUAUGCGUCAAACAUACGUCUUAAAAGUGGGGUCUAACUUGUCUUUUCUUCAAAAAAAAUUCAAUUAUUGCAUUAACGUUUAUUUUUUUUGGCGAAAUUUUGCAUGAAUUAUAACGUCAAAAAAAUUUAGGAUCGUCACGGAUUAAAUGUAAUUCGAAUUGCUUUUGCAUGAAUUAUAAAUUUCAUUUACUAGAAUUGACUUCCAAUAUUCAAUUUGAUACUUUGUUUUCUUUCUUGCAGUAUUCUAUUGGAGCUUAGUCCCCGUUUGGCCCCCAUUAUUUCAAAUUUUAAUGGGUGGAAUGAUAUUUUUUUAAAGAAUGGGUGGUUAAAAAAAAUAAUUAUAAAGUUUUUAAUUUACGUGAAAUAUUAUUUUAUAUGAAAGAUUGUGUGGUUGAAAAUAUCAGAGGGGAAACGGGGGCUUAACUAGUAGGUACAUGUUUUUCUUUGUCUUUAGGUACGUUUUUUCAAAAAUCAUUUCUUUACAGGAAAAUUCAUUUUUCUUUGUCUUCAGGUAGGGCUGGGCAAAUCUCCCGAACCGAACCGACCGAACCGAACCCGACGAUUCUUGUCAAAUUAAAUACCCGAACGGGUAUCUAAAUUGAGAACCGAUGGGUACGGUUCGGUUCUCAGUUCUAGACCAAGAAUCGAAGAACCGAAUAAGAAUCGAAUAUUUCUAAUUUUUUUUUUUUUAUAUUGAAUAAAUCAAAUUAUUUUAAUUUUAAUUUUUUCUAAACAAAUUAACAAUUUAACAAUUUCUAAAUCCAAAUUUUUAGCAUAAUAAUUUGUUUCAUUUCUAAUUUUUUUUUUUUUAUAUUGAAUAAAUCAAAUUAUUUUAAUUUUAAUUUUUUCUAAACAAAUUAACAAUUUAACAAUUUCUAAAUCCAAAUUUUUAGCAUAAUAAUUUGUUUCAUUUCUAAUUUUUUUAAUUUUUUGCCCAAUUACCCAUUUUAUUGUUUCAUUUCUUAGCCCAACAAAAUCUAACCCACUAAAUAACCCUAAACACCUACACUAAAGUAUAUAACGCUGUCUCGACUCUCAUACUCACUCUCGCAGCCUUCUUGACAUUCCAAAACCUAUACAAUCACCAGUCGACGCUGUGACCUCCGAUCAAAGCUAUGACCUUUGCCGACUGAAACUUUGACCAGAGCGAUCAUUUGAACAAGGUAAUCUACUAGUCUCUGACAUUUCAAAACCAUUGAACGUGUCAUUAGUUAUAUUUAUAUAUUGUUGUUAUAAAUGUUAAAAAAUUUAAUUGUAGUUCGGAAUCGAACCGAACCGAACUAAAUCAAACGGAACCGAACCCAAACGAUUCUAUAAUUAUAUUUGAACCCGACGGUUCCAUUUACUAGAUACCCAAAACUUUUGGUUCGGUUCGGUUCUAACCACGCCCACCUCUAUCUUCAGGUACUUGUUUUCUUCUUGCAGUCUUCUAUUGGAGCUCAACAAUCCAAGCAUUCCAACUAACAUCUCUGGAAGGUGGGUGGAUUGCACAACACAAAAAAGCCAUAACUACCUAGAUUUCAUCCAAAAUACAAUCUACAGAAAUAAACAACAACAAAGUUCAGGAAAUUUUGCAGGCAACCAUUUUUUCUCCUCAAAAAAAAAAAUUAAAAAUAAAUCCUCUAAAUUGUAUAUCAUUCGUCAUCAAUGGCAACAAGAAAGCAUCUCCCAAGUUUGUAUAAGCUGUGACCGCAUCCAGAUUUACCUAGGUGGCGACCCAAGGGGAAAAGCUACCAUUCCUCAGGAUUAGUCAGGCGAAAUAUGGAUACCUGAGUUAUUAAAAGAAAAAGAAAAAAAAAACAUCUCCCAAGAUUCAAAACUAUCCACGAAGCCUUUAUCUCCAAUGGUAACCUGCAACGACAUGUAUUAGGAUCCAAUUUUUCUCAAUAUCAGUAGCACUAUUAUGAAAUGGCACUCCUGUCACUUAUAUUUCUAUAUUAAAAAUAUUAACUAGCAAUUUUUUGGGUUUAUUGGUAGAAGCAAACUAACGCAAAAAUGCUCGUUCAAAUAAAAAAGAAUAAUAUCAAUUGGUGCAUGAGUUAGAGAUGACCUUACUAACGAAGUUUCGUUAAGAUGCAAUUUCAAUUUUUCAUCCAAUAAGAGUUCUAAAUGAUACUAUUUCUAUCCAAAUUUGACACAUUCAAACAUCUCAAAAUUUAAUAUUCAAUAAAAUUAAGCUAAGACUCAAUCAUUCUUAAAAUUGCUUGUUAGAUAAUAUGUGCUUAUUCAAUUGAACAUUAUAAUGCUACUUUCUGCCAAAUCUUAUUUAUAUCAAAGUUUAAAUCUAUCAAAUUUAAAAUUUUGUACUUAAAUAUAUUAGGAAAAAAACUAAUAAACGAUAUUUAAUAAAUGAAGGAAAAUAAAUUAAAUAGGACGAACAAGUACGAUAACGGUAUAAAGAACACAACUUUGUCAACAAAAUGGUAAACAAAAUUUUACAAGUAGCAAAAUCCACUUAACAAUAUUGAUAAUGAUAUAAUUAUAAGAUAUUUUCAAAGCAGCAACCAAACCUUUAUCUACUUAUUAACAAAGUUAUCAUAUAAUGGCAUUUUCCCCCAUAAAUUUCUUUGAAUUAACUAUGUCUUCAAGAGAUGCUGUGAUUAUGGAAAAUAUGGCGCCUUGAAAAAUAGCUGGGAUUGGUACAAUGAAGAUUAGAAUAUUUAAUGGAGCAAUCAGAGCACUUGCUAAUGUAAGGUACGUUCUAGAACUGAAGAGAAAUCUGAUAUCUUUAAGUACCCUUAAUUUUAAGGGGUACAGAUACACUGAUGAAGGUAGAGUUUUGAAGGUAAGAAGAGGAGUUCUUGUUGUCAUGAAGAGACAUAAAACGUCCACUCAUUUGUAUAAUUUGCAAGGUUCUACAGUUAUAGAGGAUGCAGCACUACUUCUUCUUUGGCAAAUAGAGAGUUACUAAGAUUUGGUAUAUGCAACUUGCGCAUAUAAGUGAGAAUGGUAUAACAAAAUUAAGCAAGAGAUGACUUCUUGAUGGACCACAGGACCAAUAAGGUGAAGUUAUGUGAGCAUUGUAUCUCUGGUAAAUAGAAAAGGUCAGAUUGACAAAAGAAAGACACAAUACAAAGGAAACACUUGAUUAUAUCUAUUCAUAUCCUCGGGACCGGAUAUGGUGCCUUCUAAAGGGAGUGCUUAUUACUUGUUAACAGUGAUUGAUAAUUUCUCCAAAAAAGACUUUGUUAUUCCUCUUGAAACAGAAGCAUAAUGUGUUUCCUACCUUCAAAGAUUGAAAAGCAGAUUAGGAUACAGGUAAAAUGUCUACGCAUAGAUAAUGGGUUGGAGUUUUGUUCAAAUGAAUCUACAAAUCAGAAGGGAUUUUAAGACACUUGACAAUACAUUGAACUCUGCAUCGAAAUGGUAUGGUAGAACUAAUGUAUAGAACGUUGAUGAAAAAUGUUCGUUGUAUGCUCUCAAACGCUGGUUGCCUCAAAAAUUUUGGGCUGAAACUGCUACUACAACUUGUUUUCUCCUUAAUCGCUUAGUUAUCAUUGAGAAAAAGAUACUAGAAGGGAUAUGUCUUGGUAAUCCUUCUAGUUAUUUUGAUUUAAAAAUAUUUGGAUGCCCCAGCAUACGCUCAUGUAAAUAAUGGAAAGCUAGAACCAAGGUCCAGAAAGUACAUCUUUCUUGGUUAUAAAUCUGGUGUGAAGGGAUAUAAAUUGCAAUUUUCAAAAGGAAGAAAAGUGAUGGUUAGUAGAGAUGUAGUGUUUGAUGAACUUGCAAUGGUUCAAAAAUUGCCCCAUGGAGAUUUCGAUAAAAUUGAACAAUAGAAUCAAAAUACUUAGAUGAAGUUGGAAAUUAGUUUAGGAAAGAAAUCAGAGGCUUUAGACAAAUCAAGUUUAGAGUUGAAAGACAAUAGUACUUUGCCUCCACCACCAUUACCAUCGCAGUAUUGGAUAGUGAAGGAUGGAUAUCUCAGAGAGAUUUAACCUUUACAGAAAUAUAGAGAAGUAAAAUUUGUAGCUUAUGCAUUGAAUGUGACUGACAGUAUUGAUUCUGCUGAAGAGCCUGCUACAUACUCAGAAAUAGUAAGUUGUAGUGAUUUUGGAAAAUUGUUGAUUGCUAUGCAAAAAGAGAUGGAGUCAUUUAAUAAAGAUAGUGCAUGGGACUUAGUAAAAUUACCCAAGGAGAAGAAGUUGUUUGCUACAAGUUGAUGUUCAAGAAAGGAAUGUAAAUCAAGAAUUGAAGAGGCCAAGGUACAAGGCCAGGUUAUUAGAUAAGGAUUACAAUUAGAUUCUAGGUGUUGACUUCAUAGAUGUGUUUUUACCGGUUUAAAGCAUAGAUGAUUUGAGCUUUGCUUUGGGUUGUGGCUAGGGAUGACUUGGAGUUUAAGUAGAUAGAUAUCAAGACAACAUUCUUACAUAGAAUACUUGAGGACAACAUUUAUAUACAACAAUAAGAGAGAUUCAUAGUUACUAGAAAAGAGCACUAUGUGUGCUUAUUGAAGAGGUCUUUAUAUGGACUAAAACAAUUACUAAUAUAAUAGUAUAAGAUAUUUGAUUCGUUCGUCACUACUUAUAACUUUAUCAAAAGUCGUUAUGAUGGUUAAGUGUACUUCAGAAAGUGUGAUAACAUGUCGGUUACAUAUAUAUUGCUGUAUGUUAAUGACAGCUAAAGAUAAAAUAGACGUCGAAAAGGUGAAAGCUUAGCUUAAUCAAGAGUUCAAGAUUAAUGAUUUGGGUAUAGCAAGGAAGAUUCUUGGUAUAAAGAUUUUGAGGGACAAGAAAGCUGAAAGAUUGUAUUUUAGUCAGAAAGGGCGCACUGAGAAACUAUUUUAUGGAUUCAAUAUGUUGAAUGCAAAGGUUAUCAGUACUCUAUGGGCUGCCCACUUUGCAUUACCAUCUAAUUUGUGUCCAUUGUCAAAUGAAGACAUAGACUAUAUAUCUCGAGUUUCUUAUUUAAGUGCAAGGGGUUCGCUUAUCUAUGCUAUGGUUUUGCAAGCCCGAAUUUGGUAUAUCAAUCAGUGUAGUUAGCAGAUACCUACAAAAUCAUGGCAAGGAACAUUGGAAAUGCAACUUGAUAAAUAUUUAGAUACUGGAGUUGCUCCACUAAUGCUUGUUUGCAUUUUUGUAUGAAUACAGAUGAAGUCAUUGGUUAUGUAAAUUCAGAUUAUGUAGUAAAUCUUAGUAAGGGAGAGAUGAAUCAUAGGGUAUGUGUAAUGAGUUGUUAGUUGAAAGGCUAUUUUAUAGAAUAUAGUAGCAUUGCCUACAACAAAGGCAGGUUAUUAUAGAAGUAUAUAAGAAGGCUAUGUUUUUUAGAGUUUUGAUUGGUAAAAUAAUUAAAAACUCGCAAAUUUCUAUAUUUUAGUGUAAUAAUCAGAAUGCUAUGUUUUUUACAUAGGAUCUGAUCUUUCAUGAGAGGACAAAGCAUAUUGAUGUGAGGCAUUACUUUGCACAUAAAGUAAUUGCUUGUGGAGAUAUUGUAGUGAACAAUGUUCAUAUAAAUGAGAAUCUCGUUGAUAAGAUGACAAAAAAACUUCCUAUUGCUAAAUUUUAGCAUUACUUGAAUUUAGUUGGUAUUUGUUAUUGAUUUAACCCUUGGGGCUUGUGUGGAAGAUGUGGAGUAGCUGCGAAAGAGAGUGGUAUAAUUUCUUGCAUUGGAAUUUGGUUCAAGGUGGAGAAUUGUUGAAUUGUGACCCAAAUUCUAUUGGAUAUUAGUAUUUUGUUUGAAGAGGACUUGAAGAGGUCAAAUUAUAGACCAAGGAGACAGUCUUGGUGCAUUUUCACGUAUUAAAUGCCUAUCUCCCACACCGGCUCUCAAAACAGAGGAGCUGGCACUCGCUUUAGUGGCAAUUCCUUAAGUCCAAGGCCCGUUUCGCAUUGUAACGUGUUUUUAGAAUUUCAAUCAUUCUAUAAAUCUAUUUUUAAGGGAUAUAUGUAGCAUUCACAGCUUGUAAACAUAACGAAACACUAUUAUACAGUCUUAAAAGAGCUUUAGAUCUAGAUUAAGAGCAUCACUAUCUUGUGUAAAUAACAUUUAUUAUUAAUUAGAGUGAAAUACUCCUCCUCCACCUGUGGUUUUUUCCAAUCUCGAAUUUUCAUGUAAAAUCUUGCUAUUUUUGUCUUGUCUGAUUUAUUUCAUUAUUGACUUUAUAUUGCACUUAUUUCAUAACAUAAUACUACAACAAACUUAUCUAGAUAUUGUUGAAAAUCCCUAUUCACUAGAUCCAUGAAUACUAUGGGAGCAUUAGUUACACUAAAUGGCAUAACUAUAAACUUAUAUGCCCAAAGCAAGUCUUGAACGUUGUCUUUAGAAUGUCACAUUACUUAACCUUCAGUUGAUGAUAUAUUGACCUUAAGUCAAUCUUGGAAAUUACCAUAGCUUUCUUCAACUAAUCAAACAGAUCUUUAAUUCUCAAAAGCUGAUACUUGUGUUUUGAUGGUCAAAUGAUUUAACUCCCAAUAAUCUAUAUGCAUAAUCAUUGAUCUAUCUUUCUUCUUGACAAAAUUACUGAAGCACCCUAUGAAGAAAUGCUUGGUUGGAUAAAAACCUUAUCCAACAACUCUUGCAGUUGUAGUUUCAACUUCUGCAAUUCUUUCAGCGCCGUUUCAUAAAGAGUCUUAGAUACUGGGCUUCCUUUUGGUACUCGAUCAAUUGGAAAUCUAGUUCCAACAACUCUAGCUCGUUGACUGAUUAUCGGUCCCAUUCGUCCAACCUCAACCCAUAAUAUAUGAACUUUACGGAUGUUUUGGCCAAGGUCGUGCGAAGAGUUUCUUACAAAGCAUGAAUACUCUUGAAUAAGAAGUUGCCUACGACUAGGUUAUUGACAUAUCCUGUCAUCUUUCUAGCAAUUCUUACAUUCUAACCAUUUGUCAUACCAAGCCCUCUAUCAUAUUCGUUUAAUUUUUUUUAGUUCAAUUUUCUUUUCAUGCUCUUUAGUUUAUGUCAAGAAAACACUAGAUCAUACUUAAAAUUUUCUCUUGAAGUAAGGGACAUUUACAUGUAAAGAACAUUUCAAGCACUCUUGCAAACUAUGUUGACAUUUCAUUCUUUAAAUUUAAAUAGGAUAGUUAAUGUACGAGGCAAACUUUUUCAAAAAUAAACUUUGACUUACAAAUUUGAUCAUGCUACGCAUAAUACUAUAAAGUCUAGUACAAAAGAUCAAUUUUUUUUUUUUUUACAUGCCUUUGAAUUAGAGGAAGAGAAUCAAUUGGUGUGUGUUAGUAACCAAGGAUCAAUCUCUCAUUCAUCUUUUCUUAAUAUCUUAAAUCAUGUAAAUCAUAGUUCUCAAAUAAAACGUAUAAACAAUAUGGUUGUAUAUCUCACUUAGUUUCAUAAAACAAUACUAUUUGGCUUUCAAAAAAUGAAAAUCAAGUUCAAAAUCUCAUGGUGAUAAUUCUGUAUGUUGACAUUUAAUGCCCUACAAAAUUUGGUACAUAAAUAAUAUGUUUGAGACGGUUAUACAACUAGACACUAUACUUAAAAUACUUUACAACUUGGACUAUUUUCAUGGACUAUAAAACGUCAUUCUCGAUGAUUGUCUUGGAGAGUCAUUUAUAUAUUUCGAAUCCUCAAGGUGUCUCCUAUAAGUGUACUAAACCACAAAAUUUUUUACAAACACUAAAGGGUUAAAAAAAGUACAAAACCGAGACUACUUCAACCAUUUCUGGGAUUAGACAGCAAUGGCAAUCUUAGGAAAAAUGCAUUUGUCACAAAAUAUAACUCCAUUUUAUAAACCUUAAAAUUUUGAUAAAACUAGACUCAUAAAUGUACAAUUACAAUGUGGUCUCACCAUUGAAAAAGGUCGUAAAAAUUCCUUAUAUAAAUUCAUGAUAUUAGUAUUUUGUUUGAAGAGGACUUGAAGAGGUCAAAUUAUAGACCAAGGAGACAGUCUUGGUGCAUUUUCACGUAUUAAAUGCCUAUCUCCCACACCGGCUCUCAAAACAGAGGAGCUGGCACUCGCUUUAGUGGCAAUUCCUUAAGUCCAAGGCCCGUUUCGCAUUGUAACGUGUUUUUAGAAUUUCAAUCAUUCUAUAAAUCUAUUUUUAAGGGAUAUAUGUAGCAUUCACAGCUUGUAAACAUAACGAAACACUAUUAUACAGUCUUAAAAGAGCUUUAGAUCUAGAUUAAGAGCAUCACUAUCUUGUGUAAAUAACAUUUAUUAUUAAUUAGAGUGAAAUACUCCUCCUCCACCUGUGGUUUUUUCCAAUCUCGAAUUUUCAUGUAAAAUCUUGCUAUUUUUGUCUUGUCUGAUUUAUUUCAUUAUUGACUUUAUAUUGCACUUAUUUCAUAACAUAAUACUACAACAAACUUAUCUAGAUAUUGUUGAAAAUCCCUAUUCACUAGAUCCAUGAAUACUAUGGGAGCAUUAGUUACACUAAAUGGCAUAACUAUAAACUUAUAUGCCCAAAGCAAGUCUUGAACGUUGUCUUUAGAAUGUCACAUUACUUAACCUUCAGUUGAUGAUAUAUUGACCUUAAGUCAAUCUUGGAAAUUACCAUAGCUUUCUUCAACUAAUCAAACAGAUCUUUAAUUCUCAAAAGCUGAUACUUGUGUUUUGAUGGUCAAAUGAUUUAACUCCCAAUAAUCUAUAUGCAUAAUCAUUGAUCUAUCUUUCUUCUUGACAAAAUUACUGAAGCACCCUAUGAAGAAAUGCUUGGUUGGAUAAAAACCUUAUCCAACAACUCUUGCAGUUGUAGUUUCAACUUCUGCAAUUCUUUCAGCGCCGUUUCAUAAAGAGUCUUAGAUACUGGGCUUCCUUUUGGUACUCGAUCAAUUGGAAAUCUAGUUCCAACAACUCUAGCUCGUUGACUGAUUAUCGGUCCCAUUCGUCCAACCUCAACCCAUAAUAUAUGAACUUUACGGAUGUUUUGGCCAAGGUCGUGCGAAGAGUUUCUUACAAAGCAUGAAUACUCUUGAAUAAGAAGUUGCCUACGACUAGGUUAUUGACAUAUCCUGUCAUCUUUCUAGCAAUUCUUACAUUCUAACCAUUUGUCAUACCAAGCCCUCUAUCAUAUUCGUUUAAUUUUUUUUAGUUCAAUUUUCUUUUCAUGCUCUUUAGUUUAUGUCAAGAAAACACUAGAUCAUACUUAAAAUUUUCUCUUGAAGUAAGGGACAUUUACAUGUAAAGAACAUUUCAAGCACUCUUGCAAACUAUGUUGACAUUUCAUUCUUUAAAUUUAAAUAGGAUAGUUAAUGUACGAGGCAAACUUUUUCAAAAAUAAACUUUGACUUACAAAUUUGAUCAUGCUACGCAUAAUACUAUAAAGUCUAGUACAAAAGAUCAAUUUUUUUUUUUUUUACAUGCCUUUGAAUUAGAGGAAGAGAAUCAAUUGGUGUGUGUUAGUAACCAAGGAUCAAUCUCUCAUUCAUCUUUUCUUAAUAUCUUAAAUCAUGUAAAUCAUAGUUCUCAAAUAAAACGUAUAAACAAUAUGGUUGUAUAUCUCACUUAGUUUCAUAAAACAAUACUAUUUGGCUUUCAAAAAAUGAAAAUCAAGUUCAAAAUCUCAUGGUGAUAAUUCUGUAUGUUGACAUUUAAUGCCCUACAAAAUUUGGUACAUAAAUAAUAUGUUUGAGACGGUUAUACAACUAGACACUAUACUUAAAAUACUUUACAACUUGGACUAUUUUCAUGGACUAUAAAACGUCAUUCUCGAUGAUUGUCUUGGAGAGUCAUUUAUAUAUUUCGAAUCCUCAAGGUGUCUCCUAUAAGUGUACUAAACCACAAAAUUUUUUACAAACACUAAAGGGUUAAAAAAAGUACAAAACCGAGACUACUUCAACCAUUUCUGGGAUUAGACAGCAAUGGCAAUCUUAGGAAAAAUGCAUUUGUCACAAAAUAUAACUCCAUUUUAUAAACCUUAAAAUUUUGAUAAAACUAGACUCAUAAAUGUACAAUUACAAUGUGGUCUCACCAUUGAAAAAGGUCGUAAAAAUUCCUUAUAUAAAUUCAUAAUUUAUGCUCUAAUUUGAACCAGGAUUUAACUUAAGUCUCUCUUAAAGGAAAGAUCAUCGGUUCGAAUAUUGGGGACGCUGACAGAAAUUCAUGUGGGGUAAGAUGGGCUAGGCUCUCAAAGUGGACAGUACAUAUGAUACAAUGACUUGAGCACAGAGGAUUCAGUCAUUACAAAAAAGCAUGUUUUUUGUAACAACUCAACCUCCAUUCCAAGUAUUGGUACUAGGAUUCAAAGUCUCUAUUAAGGAAAAGGUUAUCAGUUUGAAUCCUAGGGCUCUAUAGAAAGUCAUGAAGGAUAAGAUGGACUUAAACUUUCUAAAAGUGAACAAUACGUAAAAAAGGAUAAAUGAAAUUUGCUAUAAUAGUGGUGGAUUACUUCACCGAAUUGGCAGAAGUUGAACCUUUAGCAAAAAUUAGAGUGCAAAAAAUCAUUGACUUCAUUUGAAAAUCUAUCAUUUGCAAUUUCAGUUUACCCCAUUUGAUCAUUACUGACAACAAUAAACAAUUCGAUAAUUCAAGGCAUAGGUUGUUUUGUGAAGACUUAAAAUUAGAAAAUAUUUCUCGACCUUAACCAUCCCCUGGCCAAUGGUCAAGUGAAGCAAUCAACAAAAUAAUUAAGCAUAUUUUGAAAGUUCGUCUAGAAAAAUUGAAAGGAGCACGAGCACCAAGUAAACAAUGGUUCGAAAAUGCUAUUCCUCUUGGCUUUUGGAGUGGAAACAAUGAUCUCCAUCGAGAUAGAGAUCCCUUUAUUUCUAACUAUGUAUGGCAUCAAAGAAGAGAGCCAUAAGGAUUUACAAGUAGGACUGGAUCUAUUCAAAGAAAGGAGGAAUAAUGUCGACAUGAAAACCAUUAUAUAAAACUAAAAGACUGCCAUCUAUUACAACCAAAAAGUACAAAAAGAAAGUUGACAAAUUUAUGUUAAGACGUGAUCCUUGCCACUAGAGAACCCAACUUUAGGUCGUUAGGCCCAAAUUAGGAAUGAACGUAUAAAAACCAAAAUCCUCACAAAAUGCUCACACAAGCUUGAAGACAUGCUAGGUGGCCACUCAUACACCCGAGAAAUGUGGAAUAUCUUAAACAAUAGUAUCAAAUAUCAUGCAUGAUGUUAACUGUAUUGUCUCCCCUUUGAUGAAAUAUCGAAAUCCUGAUUAAAUUCUCUGAGCUCAUGUUGUAUGUGAUACAAUACUUAGCCCAAAUUUUGAAAGGAAUUUGAAAAUUAAGAAAAAGAUUCCAAAUAAAGACUGUUCACAAGCCGUUAGCCAAGUUUUGAAAAGGAAUUCCAAAAUAAGGACUGCUCCAAAGUAGUCCAGAGUUGAUGUUGUAUGUGCUACAACAUUUCUUGGAAUUUCAAAGGAAUUUCAAAAUGGACCGUAAGCUCAACAUAUUAACUACAUAGAUCAAAAUAAAAAAGAAGACUAAGAACUAAUCUUAAUCAACAAAAGACAAAAGCAACUCAAGGAAAAUGAAAAUAACUUCAUUUAAUUAAAAUGAUAAUAAAGAAAUCCAUCAUAACUAAAUAAUAAAAAAAAAAAAGAGCAGGUUGAAAUAGUGAAAACACUAGGUAAGUGGAAGAUCUCCUUGAGCUGGGAUAGUGACAUUGGGAUAGGGUUUGAUAUUUGAAGUAGGCUGAUAGAGGUUGCAACUAACAUUUGGGCCAAAAUUUUCUUCUACUCAACUAACGGUUCAUGGAGAAAAGCAAACUCAAAACCCGACCUCAUCCUCUCUAUAUGUUUGAAAACCUCGACCAACCUAAUUACAUAGGCAUCUUAGGGCAAAUUAUCAAAUUUUGGAGACUUCCUUCCACUCUUCGACCAUCCUAGUAGCUCGAACACCUCUUCAUUAGCUUGUUUUUCUCCUUUGAGCCUUUUUUUCUUUGAUUUGGCAUGGGCAUUGACCUUCUCCCUCAAGAUCUUUGUAGCCUCAAGUUUUAGCUUGAGGUCUAUUUUAGAACGUCCCUUGCUAGCCAAGUUAUUUUCCAAUUUCUUCCCUUUCUUGACUGACAUCUUACUUUCGUCCGUAUGAUUAGCUUGCUUAGCUUCAACAACUCGCUAUAUGGCCAAAGUCUAUUAGCGGCAACAAGCAUUGAAAUCGAUAAAAAAAAUAUGAAGUCAAGGAAUGGUCGAGUGAAGAAAUGAAGACCCUAUCAAAAAUGUCAUUGUAUAUUGAAUGGAUCUAUAACUCAACACUCAGCACUAAUGCAAGCUUCAUAGGCACUCAUGUGACAUAAGAAGGACUGUUUUCUCUCGUCCAUCUUGAAAAAACGCAGCUUGACCCAAAUGACAUCUAGAGGGAGGAUGAAUAGGUAUUUAUGCGGAAUAUAAACAAGUUAAUUAAUAAUUGCAACAAGUCACAGUUAUUAAUUUUAUCCAGACCAAUUCACAUGCGUAUACCCUAUGUUGAAUUACUGGAGUACAGUAAAUUGCAGAAAAAAACACAAACAAAUUGAUGACAAAGAAAAUCCCUUUGCGUGAUUAAAAACUUCGAGCACAAGCUAGUAUGAACUACUAUAAAUGAAAACCAACUUACAGUACUUCCAAACUUAACCAAAACUAGUUUUUCUAACCUCUUGAUUGCAAAGCCCUCCUCGAAUGCAUGCUCUUGCACUGACUUGUGGUUCUUUAUUUCAUCUAUCUUCUACAGAUUCUCGAGAACUCCCUAUUGAAGUCCUCUACUAUUCCAUUUACAGUCAAUUAAUUCUUCCUUAGUCUAAAGUGAAAUAUCAGUGUGAGUGACUACACCCGACACAGUAGUGGAUAGGGCUCUCCAACCAUUUUUCACACUAACCUAAUGCAUUUAUUUACAGACUUAAGAAAUGCUCUCAUCCUAACUUUCUAGUAUGCAUAGUUGCUUCAGUCAAAAUACAGAGGCAUCGAUAGCGAUUGACUUAUCUAGAUACAAGUUUGGGUCAGGAUACGAGGUUAAGCUCUAAUACCACUUUAAAGAAUGCAGUUUAACCUAAAUAACACCUAGAGGGGAUGAAUAGGUAUUUAUACAGAAUUUAAACUAGUUAAUUAAUAAUUGUAACAAGUCAUAGUUAUUAAUUUUAUCCAAAUCAAUUCACGUGCAUACUACCCUACGUUGAAUUAUUGCAGUAUAAUAAAUUGUAGAAAAAUAAAGAACACAUGCAAUUUGAUGACGGAGAAAACCCCUUGUGGGAUUAAAACCUCCGGACCCAAGCCAAUAUGAAUCCACUAUAAAUGAAAACCAACUUAAAGUACGGUCAGACUCUACCAACACUAGUUUUCUGACCUCUUGAUUGUAAUUCCCCGAAGCCCUCCUGGAAUGCAUGCUUCUGUACCAACUCCUGGCUCUUUACUUCGUCUAUAUCUCGUGGAUUCUCUGGAACUCUCCGUUUUCCAAUGAUUGGAACUCCGCUCUCCUUUCUUGAUCUUCAAACCUUGACAGAUGCUCUGGAAGGACAGGUUUUGGUGUUUGAUGGGUAGGGAUUUUGAUGUUUUUGUGAGUACACCAAUAAGAAAGUGGGAUUAAUUCAAGAUGAUAAAGUGUAGGAUGCAUUCUCAAUGUUCAAUCCUCUAGAAACGUAUGAAAACGGUUCACUAGAAUAUAUAUGAAGUGUUUUGGGCAAUGUGGACAGGGUCAGAGUCUCAAAAAGCACAAAAUAGGGUUUCACUAGAUUGCACUAUUGCUCGAGAGACAAUGCAGCGAAAGGUGAGCGACGCUAUUUCAUUCAAGCAAGGCAGGGGUGAUCAGUUAGCGAUGAGGUCUUUAUUUUUUACGCUCAACCGAUCUCUUGGUGAGCAAUUAGCAACAUUUUGGUGACUCUUCUUCCCCUUUUCCCCAACUCAAAACCUAACAUGCUUUUACAAAAUUGCGUCAUAGUCCUUGACUUUUAAACAUUUACAAAUUGGCCCUUUUGUUCACAGAAUUGCCAACUCAAAACCUAACACUUCUCCUCAUCAAUAAGCAGGUAGGAUCACUCUAUUAGAAAUGGAGACAAAUUUUAACUUUACCUCCUAAAGAUAAGGUUGGAAAAUGAUAAAGGUAGACAAAAAGUUAAAUUUUACCUCCUUAACGGAUAAGUUGUAGUUAUCAAAUUAUUCUUUGCCACUAACAAGAAAAUUCAAACAAGUAUAUCUACUAAGUCAAAUAGAGAAAGAAAGUCUAUUGGUUGAUCAAGUUCAUAUUUGAUUUUUCAACUUCUAAAAGAAGAAUUCAAGUUGUAUUUGUCAAACGAUAAAUCGCAUUACAAAAUCUAUAAAUAGGCCUUAGGAUAUGUCCAUCAUAUGUGUGUGUUCAAUGAAUAUGUGCCAAAAACUAUUGAGCACUAAGUGAGGAUUUGAGAAAGAUAGAGUUUGGUAUUAAGAGAAAUAGAGAUAUUGAAAUACAUUGUAACUCCUAUUUGAAACUCAUCUUGUAAUCCUUUGUUCCUAUUUUAUAGUACAACCACAUUAUUUCUUGAGUAAAAUGAGUUUUGCAUUAUCCUGGUAAUCUUUCCUAACAACUAGUAUCAGAGCACUAGAUUAUAGCAAAAAUGGCGGAGCUUGUGAACCUAUCAAUGGUAGUUAUGCUCAAUAGUAGCCGAGUUGCAACAAUAUCAAUGCUGUAGAAAAGUUAAGAUCGACAAAUUCAAUGGAUCGAACUUCAAAUUUUGAAAGAUGUAGAUAAAAUAUUAUCUCUACCAGAAGGAUCUUUACCUUCCUUUUGAAGAAGCGUCAAAGAAGACAGUAGAUAUGAAACUUACUCGACUGUAAAACCUAAGGUUCAAUAAGGCUGACUCUUGCUGCAUUCGCUGCUGUGAAUAUCAUAAAUGAAAAGACAACCAAAACUUUGAUGGCAGCUUUAUCACAAAUGUAUAAAAAGCAUUCUGUAACAAAUAAAGUGCAUCUUAUCAAGAAGUUGUUCAACUUGAAGAUGUCCAAAGGAAGAGCUAUAAUAGAGCAUAUCAAUGAUUUUAAUGUACUUAUAAGUCAAUUGGAUCUAAUUGAUAUCUAGUUUGAUGAUGAGGUCAAAGCACUGGUACUGUUAUCAAGUCUUCUAGAGAGCUAAAAGCCUUUAGUUGUGGCAGUAAGCAAUUCCAUGGGGUCGGUAAAGUUGAAACUAGAUUAUGUUGUCAAUCAUUAUCUCGACUAAAGUUGAAAGGCAAGUGUUGGAGCUGGGAAAAAAUUGGUCACACAAAGUAAGAUUGCAGUGCAACAAAGAAGCAAGAAAACAACAAAAGAGACAAAAACUUUGUUAAUGUUUCGGAUGCUGAAAAUUCUAAUGCAAUGUUGUUAGCUAUGGAUGCUAAUGGAGAACAUGGGUAAUUGAUUUGGGUACGUCAUUUUAUGCUACUUCAUGCAAGGAGCUUCUCCAUAACUAUGUAUUAGGCAACCUCACAAGGUGUAUCUUGGAAAUGAUAAGAUUUACAACAAAGUUGGCGAACGUAAUGUUCAAUAAAUCAACCUAAUGGAACAAUCAAGGAUAUCAGACAUGGCAGAUGUUCGCAAAAUAAUCUAAUUUCAGUCGAUCAACUUACUGACUCUGGUAUUACAACUACAUUUUUCAGUAACACUUGGAAAAUAACCAAAUAAGUUAAGGUGGUAGCUUCUGGCAAAAAGGAAGAUACUCUCAUGUUACUUUUGGUAGUCAUAGUUCUAAUGAUAUGACAUAAUCAGAAGUCAAGGCCAGCAUAUAGCAUCAUAGACUUGGACAUACAAGGGAGAAAGGAUGAAAGUUCUAAUGUUAAAUGGAAAACUACUAGGUUUAAAGUCUCCAAAUUUGAAUUUCUAUAAAGAUUGCAUCUUCGAAAAGUAGAAAAGGUUAGUUUCACAAAAGUUUAAAGAAUACGCAAGUUAGAACAGUUGGAGUCGGUACAUACAGAUAUACGGGGACCAUUUAAGGUAUCAUCUCUUGGUGGCUCUCGUAACUUUGUUAAAGAAGCUAUGAGUUUACUUUAUGAAGACAAAUUUGAUUUAUUUGACACCAUCAAAUAAUAAAAAGUCCAAGUUGAGAACGAGACAUGUUUAAAGUUGAAACGUCUUAAGUUAGACCAUGGAGAAGAGUGCGUAGAUGGUCGAAUGAAGAAAUGUUGUGCAGAAAAUGGAAUUCGAUAAAUGCUGAGAAUUCUAGGAAAGUCACAACAAAAUUGCAUUGCAGAACGCAUUAAUAGAAUAAUCCUUGAACGUGCUAAAAGUAUGAAGAUUAAUUCUGUUUACCAAAGUAGUUUUGUGCAGAUGCAAUAAGCACAGCUGCUAACCAGAUCAAUAGAGGUGCUUCAAUUUUCUUUAAUUGUGAAAUCCUGGUGGAGACAUGGAUGGAAAGAGAGUUGAAUUUAUCGCAUUUAAGAAUAUUUGGUUGCAUCUCUUAUGUUCACAUUGAGCUUGAGAAUAGGAAUAAGCUUGAUUAUAAGUCUCGAGAAUGCAUUUUUAUUGGUUAUGGCAUCGAUAAUUAAGAUUAUUGAUCUUGGGAUUAUGAAAAUCAAAAAAAAUUAGUAACAUGGACGUGGUGUUCAAUGAGUUUGUCAUGUACAAGGAUAAACUUGAUGAUAAGACUAAGGAAACUAAGAUAGUUGAGCUUGAGGAAAUCUCUAGUAAAGAUGUAUUAAAAUCUUGAGAUACGAAUGUCUAGUUGACACCAUCUAAAGAGAUGCAAACCCCAGCUCUUGUGAGGAGGUCUACAAAACUAUAAGGCAUGUAGUUGGUUAUUUGCCUUUCUUGUAUAUUUAUUGCUAAUAGACAAUGGUGAACAUAAUUGUUAUGGGGAAGCAUUACAGGUUGAGAUAAGGAAAAAGUGGGAGCUAGCGAUUAAUGGUGAGAUGGAAUUCCUUUUGAUGAAUUAGACGUGAGGAACUAGUUCUAAUGCUUGGAGGAAAAUUUUCUUUACAUAGUAAGUAGGUUUAUUGCUUGAAAGAGGAACUGAUGUGAUCUGUAGAAUGAAUGCAACGAAGAUGAGUGUGGGCAAGAAUUCGUUGAUUGUCAAAGAAGGGCUGAUGACACGGUCUAGAGCAAAAAGAGUCAAAGAAACGAUGAGAUUGCUCAUUCAAGCUACAAUGGAUGAAACAUCAAUCUUGGGGAGCAAAGGGAGAAGUUUCAUGUUUGGCUUAGAGGAAGAUUCAAAAGUGGAUCAACAUGAUAAAAGCAGCAGAAGAAGGGACUGACCAGAAAGCUAUGUGGUCGCCUAGCUUUCUAAGGCAUGUGACUACAUAUAGUGAGGCAAAAAUUCAAGAAGUAGAACACGCUUGAACUAUGCAGCAGCAUAGGGAAUUAUUAUGCUUUGCAUGGUACGAAGUUUUCAAAUUUUUACGAAAUCUUUUAUUUUUGUUAAAACUCUAUUUUAAUGGUAACUUUUGUAUUCUUUAGACACUAGUUCCAUUUAGAAUAGGAUUUUAUGGGUUUUCUAUGCAUAAGACUCAUUAUUCUACAUUAUAAACAAUAAUUAUUCAUAUCAAUUUAGAGAUUAAUUUUGUGAGCACAUUUUUCUUUCAAUUCCUUGUUAUUGAACAAAUUCUGAACUUAUCAAGAAUUAUUUUCUUGAAGUGUUCAAACAAUUAGGGUGAGAUUUGUGAGUUUUAUAAUCAAGGGGUCAACAUUUUAACGGAAAUUGUGUUGGUUACUUGGUUCAAUAUUUAUGAAUAAAUUUCAAAAUUUUGAUUUAUUGGCUUUCUUCAAUUAUGAUUCAAUUUCGUGUGGGUUUCGUAGCUACUAUUGCUAUGUGGGUUUGUAUCAGUUGGUAUCAGAGCUUAGACUCCAAAAAUCAAGAUUAUAUCAUUUUUCCUUUUGUUUGUGUCUUUUUAUUUCUUUUUUCUUUUUUAUUUUUUUUUUCAUUCUUUGCAUUCUUCAUCCUUUUAAGUCUUUAAUAUGAAAAAGUACCAAAAAAUUUAAAAGUCAUUUUUAUCCAAACUAGUUUCCAUUUCUUUUGCUAGUACCAUAUUUGAAUUUUCGAGCAAAAAAAAAAAAAAAAGACCAAUUUCGUCCAACCCAAAAUUCAAGAACCACAUUCUUGAAUUAAUAUAGUUCCCAUUCAAAUUGUCCAAAUUCUUUUACUUAUUUCUUUCAUUUCUUUUCCUGAGUCUUCUAAAGUUACAAUUCUCACUCACAUCCUAGUUUAAAUUCUUCGAGAAUAAAAUUUAGUUGAGGUCUAAUUAGUUCUUUGAAGCACUAGGACGAAAGCAAUGAGUGGAAAAGGGCAAGAGUGGUGAGACUACUAGAGGAAAAAAGCCAAUUUGAAUAUUACACAAGUGUAAACACGUGAGGCAAUAUUACUAUAGAUUUAAGAUGUCUGACUGAGACCAUUCAACAUCAAGUAGGAACAACAAUCAAGUCAAUAUGUUGAAGGAUGUGAUAUGAUGGUUCGAAAGGUUGUUUGAAGAUGUAAGGGAUAGGAUGGAUAGGCAAGAGAUGUGGAUGGAAAGGCAAGAGCCAUUGUUUGCCAAUUUAUGUAAGGAGUUCCCAAUUUAAGGAGGCAAGGUAGGCGAGAGCCUAGGAUGGAGAAUCAAGGUGAUUAUGAAGCGGGUAGUGGUAUGGAUGAGGAUUUGAUAGUGGAUGCCGAGUUAGGAAAAAUAAGGGAUAGAAGAGUUAGGCCUAUAAGAAGGGGUAGAUAAUCUAUUGGAGAUAGAGUUGAUUGGAGUAUAGGUAAUAUCAAAAUGAUAAUUUCUUCAUUCAAAGGAAGGAAUGAUUCGAAAGCCUACUUGGAGUAGGGGAAGAAGAUCGAGUUGAUAUUUUAUUGUCACAAUUACUCGAAGGAAAAGAUGGAAAAGAUUGCGGUACUUGAGUCACCGAUUAUGCUAUUACUUUGUAGGAUCAAGUAGUGACAUCUAGAGGAAGAGUCAUGAGAGGCCAAUUAAUGAAAGAAUUGAAGGCUAUCAUGAGGAAGAGGACAUGCCUAGUCAUUACUAUAGGGAACUUCAUAAAAAAUUAGAAAGCCUCUACCAAGGGUCUAGGAGUGUGGAUGACUAUCAUAAGGAAAUGGAGAUAAUAAUGAUUAAAGUGAAUGUUGAGGAAGAUCAAGAGGCCACUAUGGCUCAAUUUUUGAAUGGUUUGAAUAUAAAAAUAGCUAAUAUAGUGAAAUUACAACAUUAUGUAGAGCUAAAGGAUAUACUACAUAUAGCUAUGAAGGUGGAGAGGCAAUCGAAAAGGAAGGGGACAACUAGGUAUCAGUCGAGUUCUUCGGGUUCUAACUCUUUUUGGAAUUCGAAAUGGAUAACAAGGAAGAUGGACCUAUUUUGAAGGGCAAAAUUGAUCUGUCGAAAGGGAAGGAAGAAAGUUAGUAAGGUUACAUCCAAAGUAGAAUCCCAGCCAUCUAGGAGUUGAGACAUCAAAUGCUUUAGGUGUUUAAGGUUGGGAUAGAUUGCUUCUCAAUGUCCAAACAAAAGGACAAUGAUUUUGAUAGAUAAUGAGGAAGUGAUGAGUAAAAGUGAGGGUGACUAUGAUGACAUGUCGGAAUAGAAGAAGCUCGUGAUAGAGAAAAUGUGGAGUAUCCAGUGGACGAGCUAUUAGUUACCCGGAGCAACAACAGGAAAACAUAUUCCAUAUGAGUUGCCACAUCAACACAAUGUAUGUAGCAUGAUUAUUGAUGUUAGUAGUUGUACUAACGUUGCUAACACUACACUUGUAGAGAAAACUGAGGUUAACCAUGCUAAAAUAUCCUAAACUUGAUAAACUACAAUGGUUAAAUGAAUGUGGGGAGGUUAAGGCAAAUCAGAGAAUAUUGGUAAGCUUUUCAAUUGGUAUAUAUCAUGAUGCAGUAAUGUACGAUGUAGUUCCUAUGUAUGUCAGAUACAUUUUGUUGGAUAGACCAUGACAAUAUGAUAGGAAGCUGAUACAUGAUGGGUACAAAAAUAGGUACAACUUUAUCAAUGAUGAAAUCUAUUACUCUUGAGCCAUGAGGAUCAAAUCAAAUUGAAAAAUGAGGAAGAGAAAGUAUUGAGAGAAUUAAAGAGCAAGAGAGAAAAUAGCGAGGUGGCUAAUAGUGAGAAAAAAGAGUAGAGCCACAAGAGCGAAAAGAAAAAGAGUCUUCCGAUAAGAGAGUAAAGUCGAAAGUGAGUUUCUUUGCAAAAUUAAGUGAAUUGAAUAGGGCAAUAGUUGAGAGGCGACAAAUGAACUUGUUGGUUUAUAGAGUUACUCCUCAAUUUUGAGGAUUCUAACACACAUCUCCUUGGUUUUGCUACAUCUUUGUUGUAGGAAUUCGAAUACGUGUUCCCAGAGGACAUGCCCAGUGGGAUACCACCAUUCGAGCCAUCGAACACCAAAUUGAUUUCGAACUAGGAGUUGUCUUUCCAAACCAACCUACUUACCGAAGUAAUUCUGAAGAGAUCAAGGAUCUUCGAAAGUAAAACAGAAGAAUUGAUGAGCAAGGGGCAUGUAAGGAAAAGUAUAAGUCUAUGCACCUGGUCAAUACUACAAGUGCCAAAGAAAGAUAAAACCUGGCGAAUGUGUGUAGAUUGCAGGGCCAUCAACAAUAUAAUGAUAAAGCAUUGUCAUCAUAUUCCUAGGUUAAAUGAUAUGUUAGAUGAUUUACAUAACGCUUGCAUAUUUAGUAUAUUGAUAUUAAAAGUAGUUAUCAUCAAAUUAGGAUGAGGAAAUGAGACGAAUAGAAAAUCGCUUUUAAAAUUAAAUACGGAUUGUAUGAGUGGUUAGUCAUCCCAUUUGGACUUACUAAUGCACCUACCACCUUUAUGUGUUUAAUGAAUCAUGUUUUGUGUGCAUUCAUAAAUAAAUUCAUAGUAGUUUACUUCAAUGACAUUUUGGUAUAUGGUAAAGACUUAGGUCAGCACAUAGGGUAUUUAAGAUGUGUGCUUCUAGUCUUAAAACAAGAACAACUUUAUGCUAACUUUAAAAAGUGUAAAAUUUGCAUAGUGAAAGUUGUUUUUCUUGGGUAUGUGGUUAGUGCAAAGGGGAUAGAAGUAGAUGAGGAAAAAAUUAAGGAAUGGCCGACACCUAAAAUUAUAACUAAGUAAGAAGUUUUCAUGGUUUGGCUAGUUCCUAUGGGCAUUUUGUUAAAUAGUUUAACACAAUUGCCACACCAUUCAUGAAAAUUGUCAAAAAGAGCAUGAGUGUAAGAUUUCAAUGAGGCGUUAAGCAAGAACAUGCAUUUAAUACUAUUAAAGAAAGGUUGUGUAAGGCAUCGAUUUUAAUAUUUCCUAAGUUUAAUAAAAUAUUUUAGAUUGAAUGUAAUGCCUUAUGGAUAGGUAUUAUAGCUGUUUUAAUGCAAGAUAGAAGGUCGAUAGUUCACUUCAGUGAAAGCUAAGUGAAGUAGCUUUUACUUUUCAUACAUAUGAUAAAGAGUUGUAUGCACUUGUUAGAGCUUUGAAGACAUGGUAGCACUACCUAUGGCCGAAGGAGUUCGUGAUUCACACUGACCAUGAAUCUUUAAAGCAUCUGAGAGGUCAAACUAAGAUAAACAAGAGGCAUACAAAAUGGAUGGAAUUCAUGGAGACAUUUUCAUAUGUUAUUCGGUAUAAACAAGGUAAGGAAAAUGGGUUAGUAGAUGCAUUACCAGGGAGGUAUGUGUUUUUAAGUGCUAAAUUGUUGGGUUUUGAAUAUGUAAAGGACAUGUAUGCUAAUGACCCGAAUUUUUCUAGUAUAUACAAAUCAUAUGAUAAAGGAGCUAUAGAUAAAUUCUUUAGGCAUGAUGGGUAUCUAUUUCGGGAAAAUAAGUUAUUUGUUCCUAAAUGUUCAGUGAGAGAAUUGCUAGAAAGAGAAGCACAUUGUGGAGGUUUAAUGGGGCAUUUUGGGAUUAAGAAGACCUUAGAAAUGCUAAGUGAACAUUUUUAUUGGCCUAAAAUAAAAAUUGAUGUUAAUCGAGUUUGUAGUAGAUGCAUCACUUGCAAAAAACUAAAUCUACGGUUUUACCUCAAGGUUUGUAUAUCCCAUUACCUAUUCUUAGUGAACUUUAGGUUGAUAUUUCUAUAGAUUUUUUAUUGGCUUUACCUAGGACUAAGAAAUGAAGAGAUUCCAUAUUUGUAAUGGUAGAUAGAUUUAGAAUGGUACAUUUCAUUCCACGUCAUAAAACUGAUAAUGUCACUAAUAUUGUGGACUUAUCCUUUAAGGAAAUAGUGCGAUUACAUGGAAUUCUUAGAGGCAUUAUAUCUGAUAGUGAUGUCAAAUUCCUUAGCCACUUUUGUAGGGUUUUAUGAAUAAGUUAGGCACAAAGUUAUUGUUUUCUACAACUUCUCACCCAAAAACCGAUGGAUAAACUGAGUUAGUCAAUAGGACCAUGAUACAAUUGCUACGCACUAUUGUUAAUGAAAAUUGAAGAGUUGGGAAGAGUGCUUACAUUAAUUGAAUUUCAUAUAAUAGGGCCAUACAUUCUACUAUUUUGUGUUCUCCUUUUGAAAUUAUAUGGUUUUAAUCCAUUAAUAAUUCCCUUACAUAUCAAUGAACGAGGUAGUUUAGACGAAAAGAAGAAGGCCGAAUUAGUGAAAUCACUUCAUGAAACGGUAAGAAUGCAAAUUAAAAAGAAAAACAAGCACUAUGAUUCUUAAGAAAACAAAUGUCAGAUGAGUGUUGGGUUUGGGUACAUUUGAGAAAGGAACAGAACAAAGAAAAUCAAAGUUACAGCCACAGGAAGAUGGUCCAUUUCAAGUCCUUGAAAGGAUUAAUGACAAUGCUUAGAAAUUUGAUCUUCCUGGUGAUUAUAAUGUUUCGACUACUUUUAAUGUGUUUGAUCUUUCUCUCUUUGAUGUAGGUACAAAUUUGAGGUUGAUCUUUUCGAAGAGGGAAUGGAUGAUGUAAUCAUGGAAAGAAUGCAACAAAGACAAGUCUGGGUAAAGAUUCAUUGAUUGUCGAAGAAGGGCUGAUGACUCGAUUGUGAGCAAAGAGGAUCAAAAAAGCGAUGGAAUUGCUCAUUCAAGCUACAAUGGAUGAAACGUCAAUCUUACAGAGCAAAGGGACAAGUUUCAUGCUUGAGAAUUUAAUUUCCAAAACAAAGGGGCUUUUUUGCUUUCCUAUUUUUCCAUUUUUUUAAGGUCCCAUCAAAGAAUCGAAGGAAGAUUUGAAGUGGAUCAAUGUGAUAAGAGUAGCAGAAGAAGGGACUGACCCAGAAAACAAUGCGGUCAAGCAAGGAAAGAAAGCCUAUUAGUUGAUCUAGUUCAUGUUUGAUUUUUCAACUUCUAAAGGAGGAAUUCAAGUUGUACUUUUCAAAUGAAAAACCACCUUACAAAAUCUAUAAAUAGGCCUUAGGAUGUGUUCAUUAUAUGUAUGCGUUCAAUGUGUGUACCAAUAAUAAUUGAGCACCAAGUGAGGAUUUGAAAAAGAUAGAGUUUGUUAUUGAAAGAGAUAGAGAGUUUGGAAAACUUUGUAACUCAUAUUUGAAACUCGUCUUGUAAUCCUCCGUGCCUAUUAUAUUGUAAAGUCGCAUUAUUUCUUGAGUGAAAUCUUUGUUCAAGUUUCCCUUUAUCCUAGGCAGUUUCCUAACACACUCUUGGAUGAUAGGACAUCAGUUAGGUUGGUCGAAGGUACAAAAGCCCUCAGAAAAUCCAGAAAAGCCUCCAAACAAUGGCUAAUCAUCGUCUCGAUGUCUAAUCUCAUCUUGUCUAGUGGAUGAAGGUAAGAACUCGAAGGAGCUGGCGUUGAAGAAUGCCUAGUCUAAGGAGUGUGUGUAGGAAAGCUCUGGUGAAGAAGAAACCUUAGUGGAGAAGGAAGAUCAAAUAAACCAGAUGAUCGCGAGCAACGUGUUAAUAGGACUUGCCAUUCAACUUCUACAGGGUCCUUUCUUAUAUAAGCUCAUUGGGCUUUCCUAGCUGCGUCCGGCUCUGCCCUAGCAUACUUCACUGCUUUGAAUUAGAAGAUUUCCUAACUUUAUCCUACGAAGAAAAUAUUUGUGUUAGAAAAUUCCAUGAAAAUAAAAAUAGCAAAGUAAUGACUAUAAACUUACUAAGAGGAGGGGGAGAACCGCUAAGGAAAAGACCGACACUAAAGAAGUUGGAAUCAGGGAUAAGGAAACUAUUCAAUCUUUGGUCAACAUUCAAGGCACUAGCCAUAUCGAUCCUCUGUUUAGUCUCUGAGCUAAUUGUGACAGCAUGAAAACUUUAACAAUCAAAAAAUAGAUCAAAAAAUCUACUAAAGGAAAACAACACCUAUCUAGCCAAAAAACUUAUAAAUUUUGUAGUACCGAACAUGAACCAUGGCAUCCCUAUCUACUUUGAAUAUGUAGAAAUUCCAAUCCUCCCUGACAUAGAAAAAAAUAUUUCUUCCAAUUCUUCACGAAGGAAGGAACUCACAGUCCCUGCCUUCACACUAGUAUAAUACCACCAAUAGACCUUCCCAUCCUCUUUGAAGACAUGAAGAAAAUUGAACUGGCAUAGAGAUAGGUUAAAAAAACAAAAAAAUACUUAUCUGUGCCAAAAAAGUAUGUAGCCAAAAGUGAUCUACACUUGUUAGGGUAGAAUUGAUUAGGAGCUAUUCCCUGUGUGGAAAGAAACCCCCUAAUAGUACAGAAAGAUAGUCCCAGACCGAUAUUAAGGAUUGACGGGUUGAAGGCCACACAACCUAUAGGUGGAUUACAAGCUCGAUUGUCAUCCUUGGGAAGGAAUACUUCGACCGAGUUAGGGAUAGCAUAAUCCUUAUACCACGACUCCGAUUUUUUUCUCGGUAGAUGUGGACCUAUUUUAAACACUGCCAACUCUUCCCACUAGGAAGAACCUCACCUCUCUCAUCACUCUCCCUAGAGUCUUCAUCCCUAAGAACACCCAUCCAAUUAGGCUUGUAGUUCUCUUCAUGGGGGAGGGAUAUUAUCGGAUGAGCAAUUGUUAAGGGAACAUUAUGGAAUAACUUGUUAAAAGGAUAUUUUCACAAAUUGAUAAUUGUUACCCAUUUAUUAUUCAUAGAUAAACUACUCUUUUUCAAAUCACGUUAUAAUUUUUCCCAAAGAACUACUUAGUUGAUCAAUCUACAUCUUUUGGUUUGACGUCAGCUGGAUCUUAAGUGAUAUCUCGUCCACAUUGGACCAAGUUAUUACUAUUCAUACAUCAUUGCCAUCUGUACUUAUAAAGAAUGAUCGAUUUUGGACAAGAAUUUUGUUAAUUCUCUCACUACUUUAGAUUCAAUGUUGACGAUUUUAAGAAUGUAGCAUCUCAUAUUAGCCAUGCACAUCUCAUAUUAGCUAUGCACAAAGUAUCAGUCUCCCUUUUUUGCACCUUUUUUCUUUUUGUGAUCCUUAAAGGAUUUUACAUCCUGAAAGUUUGGCAUAGUUCAAGAGUACUUAAUUUUCCUAUCCUAAUAUAACCAACAAAUUUUUCCAUGGGAAGUUAUUAAUUCGGCAGGGUGAUUGGUUAAGCUCACAAAAAACUACAAAUUACUUUCUGUGUCUUAUUUAAAUAACCUUUUUCGAUUUUCAAAUAACUCUACUUCACUAUUAAAUCGAAUUUGAUGUCACUUGUUAGGAAUAACAUGGUGCUUGAAAUUUGGAACACAAUCAAUAAGAAAUGCCUUAAAAGUGAUCGACCUAUAAGUCACUUCUAAGUUUGUAGCCAAUCAAUGUUACACUGAGUUUGCACUUACGGGAAAACUCCACUUAUGGGAAAACUCCCUUCAAUUUCGAGCAAUGACCACUCAACUUUUUCUAUGAAAAUGAAUCAAAAGGAAAAUUAAUUCAUGACAUGGUUGAUUUAUUAACAAACAAAUUGAAAGAUUUUAGCAUUUUAGCAUUAAUCAAAAGGGAAAUUAAUCCAUGAUGCUAAUGGAUUGAGGUGAAUCAUCUCUUUCAAUUGCCAUCAUGAAAUAAACAAAUAAACUACUACCAAUCAAAAGAAAUUACUAAAUUCCAAGAAAUUCAACGACCACCAAUGUACAGCCUCUAACUACCAUCGGAAUAUACUGUACAGUACACGUAUAUUCAAACUAAUACCACCAAAAGAUAAAAAACUCACCAAGGAAGAAGUUGCCUUUUCAAAUCACCUCAAAAUCCCCUCUCACAUGCCCUCACGUGCCAAAACACCUUUUGUGCUGACCCCCACGUGCCGCCGUUCACUGUCAUGCGCCGGACUAAAAAAUUCACCUCGAUUUGCAGAGCACAGAUAUGGUCUUAGUUUCCUCAAACAAUGUUUAGUAUGGCCAGAAAACAAGAAAACGAGUUUGGUUAUUGGCAAUUUUCUCGACAAAAAUUUGUGCCGUGAUUUUCUGUAGUUUUCACCAUUUUUCUCCACUAAUUUCACUCUCAAUUAUAGGCUCUGAUACCAUGAAAAUUAUACAAACGAAUUUGACAAACCAACCAAAGAAGAAAAACAAUUAAGAGGAGGAGAAAACAAUUUUAGAGCCACACAAAAUUAGGGUAAAAUUAUGGACCAAAGUAGUUUAUAUAGUACAAGGAAACCUAUAGAAAUUAGGAAACUAACGCAAUAAGGAAACUAAUUUGUAUAAUUAUGCUAAAUAUAUUAUUAUAUUAUCAACUUUCUCCAUUCAUUAGUACGAUAUUGCCAUCUGAUGAUAUCGUUAUACUGCUGGAAGAGUCUGGAAUUGGUUUGGCCCUGUUGGCAACCUGUAUCGCCGUUGAUUCAGAAACGCUGUAAAAUACACCAAAGUAGCGGUUCUUGGUGGUAUUAUCAGGGGAAAAGAAUCCCAUUUUGAAAAUGUUGCCAACAGUAGAAUGAAUAGGCACUGAAGAAAAAAAAAUUAAUGAUAUGGCUAUUGGACGUGGUUAAUUCAAAGAAAUUUGUGGGAGAAAAUGCCAAAAUGUGAGAACUUUGCUAAUAAUUAAAUAAUAGCCAAUGGUAUUUGUGGGUAAAAUCUAUAUUGAUUCUCAUUAUAUAAAGCAUAGAGGGAAAUUGACGUCAACUCUCAGUCUUGCUUUUCGACGUUGGGCCGGGGUGUGAAGAAAUUACAUUAAUAGUUAUUUACAUGCUUUUCCACAAUUUUCUAAGCUAGCUAAAAACACGAGUUCCAUGGUGGGGCUACAUUCGGUGGGUUUACUCAGUGGGAGUAGGGUAAGUAGAUGAACAAUAUUAUUUAUAUAUCAUCAUAUUCUUUUACAGAUGAGUAAUGCUAUUUAACUCCACUAAGAUUGCAACUCCAACCUAGAUGAUAUUAAAUGAUAAGUAGGAUUAAAGGAAUUAUUUAGUUCCGCCUCUGAUUUAAUUGAUUAUCUAGCACCACCUAGAUUGAAAUUGCAACCCUAGUGGAGUAUCAUAGCCAUUAUUCUUUACAAUUGGUGAGUUGGGAAAAAAAAAAAAAAAAGGGAGAGAGAGAAAAAUUUAUUUUUUUUAGUUGGCUAGUGAAAAUUGGUUUCGAGAUCAUCUUCGCAUAUAAUCUAUUGGUAAACAACAUGUACAUGUAGCACAAUUGUAAAUAAUAUCGAUUGUGUUUAAUUUUUCAAAAUUGAUCGAAUUCUCACUUAUUCAUUGUGAAGUGUGGACUCCACCACCACUUUAUAGGCUUUGUGUUGGAAUUUUGUAUUAUUUGGUGAAUGGAAAAUUAAGCCAAAAUUUAAAUCACUUAAAUACAUGAAUUAUUGGAAAAGUGCGUAGAAUAUUAUGGAAUAUUUUAGAAAUUAUUUGGCUGAAAAGGUGUCUUUCUAUACGAAAGAUUAUGAUUUUUGGCAUUAUCAUUUUUCAAGAGACAUGUCUCUUCAAAUAUAGACUAAUUUUAAUGGUUGUGUCUCUUCCAUAGGUUGUGUCUUUUGAGACAAACUUUUUCAAUAUCUAUAUAUUGACCCCAUAUGUUUGGAUUUAUUAAUUCAAAAACUUCAUUCCAUUCCAUAUUUUACAUUUUACUAUGUAUAAAACACUUUGUAGAACUGAUUAUCUUUUGCAUCAAAAUCAUGGUUAUGGUAGAGAGGGAAAUCCAUACGAGUUCGUUGGUUGAAGCCAUUUGGAGUGUUCCUAUGGCCUGACGUGGUUGUUGUAUCUUGGGAGAUGAUUGUCGAAAAAUCGUUAGCACCGAUGCGGGGCAAAUUCAUCUUAAGGAAAGAGUUAUUCUCCCCUCGACCAAUCGCAUCACUUGCAUCUAAUUUUUUCUUAUUUCUGAUUUCAUUUCUUCAUACUUGAUUUCAGAAAAUGAUUAAUUUUAUUUAUAUGGUUUACGCAAGGUUUGAUAUGAAGAAUCACAUGUUUUAAUUCAGGAAUGAAAAUUGUCAGAUUCGAUAAUCAUUGGUUACUUUCUCAAAACCAUUUCGGUAAGUCGAAACCUUGUUUCGAUUUCGUGAACGUGUAAGUUACGUUUUGUGAAUACAAUAUGCACUUUUGAAUCGGUGUAUUCCCCAACAAUCUUAAGAUGAAUUUUGUUUUCGUGCAUUUAUAUUUUUCAUUAUUCUGUUUGCAUGAACAAAGUAUUAAAUGGAUUGGAUGAUAAAAUUUGAUUGCAUUAACUCGACACCAAUUUAUAUUUUAUGCUUGGUGGGGUUCUGUGCAACUCUCAAAAAAAACUGAUGCAUACAUGAGAAACUAUUAUGUUAUUAUAUGAAUUGUGUCUUAAGUGUACAUGCCAUCCAUUUGUGUAGUAUAUGAUGAAAGUGAAGUAUUAUUUAUUGCACAUGGUUGAAUUGUUAAUCAAUAUAUAUGGCUGUCAAUAAGUAUCUUUCCAUAAAUUAGUCAAGGACCAUGAAAUUGGUUUAUUUUGAAAAAGUGCAUGUGGUUUUUAAGGCAAUUUAUUAAAUGACGACUCUUUAUUUUCUAAAUGCAUUUUCAAAUCCAAUUUCGUAAUCUAUCAUCAACUUGAUUAUCCUAUCAAAUAAUAUGACAUGUAUAUUUAUUUAAAUAGGAUCUAUAUAUGUUGGUCAUUAGUACAACUCCAAUAUCACUGGAAUAGAUACCAACUAAUUGUGAAAGUAUAUGAACUUUCAUGACUAUUCUUUUAUUGGAAUAUAAAAUAUGACAUGGUAAAUUAGUUGGUUGAAUUUUCAUAUCUUGGUUAAAUUUAAUCCUAUGGAAUUAAGUGAGAUGACUUUUAUGCAAGUUAUAUUUGCAUAAAGUAUGACGAAUUGUGAUUUGUUCUAGUGGAAAUUGUUACGAAAAUAUUAAGACAUGAAAACACUUUGCAGAGCACAAACUGUGCCUAAAGUUGGCAAUGGUGUUGAACUUCCUUUAAAUCUAAAAAGUUUAAAUGUGAUGAUUUAGUUAAAUUUCUGACUUCAAUAAUAUUAAAUGGGAUAACUUAUGCAAAAUUAUAUUUGCAUAAGAGUAUGACAGAAUAUGAUUUAUCCUAAUUUGAUUACUUGGAAUUGGUGGAAAAUUAUGUAGAAUAUUAUUAAAUAUUCUAGGAUCAAUUUAGAUGAAAAGGUGCGUCCUUUCAUAUGAAAAAUCAUGAUUUCUGAUGUACUUAUUUUUCAAUGGGUAUGUCUUUUCAUAGAGAUUAUUUCAAGAGGUGUGUUCUUUUGUAAGAUUGUGUCUCUUGAGAACACAACUUUUCAACCUAUGGUUGAUUCGUUCAUUUAAGUUUGAAUAUGGUGAAUAUGUAUCUUAUUAUUUGACAUGAAAUGAAACUAUCAUGUGAAAGGUUACAAUGUAAUAAGAGAAGUUGCAAUUUUUGUGAAUCAAGAUACUUAGCCCUCUUCACUGUUGAAAUUGACUUCAAUCGUGAGACCAAUUAAAUUGGUUUAUGCUUAGAAAGCAUUGCUGAUCUAUAUGAUGGCAUUGAUUUAAUUUAGAUGAUCAAAUUAAAAUAAUUGGAUUGAAGUACAUUAGAUACAACUUUAAUUGAAAUAAAUUGUGAGUCAACGACUACUAUUUUGAAAGUACUUCACGAAGUGCUCGAUAUGGAUAUUAUCUAAGAGAUAAAUAUAUAGAAGAGUUGAUGAAUUCUAAGUUCAACUAUAACCUAAGAAUGUGGAGGGUUAAAUUUAGUGCUUGUGAAUUUGAAAUGGAAAGUUCAAAAUUUGUGGAUGCAACAUUACUAGAUUGCAUAUGUAUUCCUAAUUGAGGAAUUGUGGGGGUAACUCAGUUUAACAGUUACGUUUGCUUCUAUCUUAUAAUCAUAGAAAGAUAUCUAUGAAGGAGAAAAGAUAAAAAAAAAAAAAAACCCUUACACUAAUUAUAAGGAUGAUAUACACUAAGUCUAAAGUGGAUUAAAUGGGUGGAAUUUAGUUGUGGCGUUUGUUUCGACAUGCAAGAACAAAUUGGAAUAUUUGAAGAAUAUUCAUAAAGUUCAAAUGCAUGGUAAUGUUUCAAUACUCUUGAUUCUGAAAUCCACUAACAAACAUGGUUGACUAGUGUAAUAAUUAAAUAGAAAUCCUCUAACAGUGUUAUCUGGAUUCAAAUCUAUCAAAUGAAUCGAUCAUUGGCUAGCAAUAUUUGAUAAGAUACUAAGUCACAUAUAAUGGUAGGUUUAGACAUAUAAGUCAUAGACAUAAUACCAUUAAGCAGAUGAUCUCAGUAGUGUAAACUCGUGGUACCUUUAAGAGAUUUAUCGAGAGAUUAAGUAUACUGCAUAUCGAAAGGAAUGAGAUAAAAGCCUACUACGCUAGAGUCCUUAUAAUGGUAACCCUAACUUGUUGACUGGAGAUCCCAAAAUCUUGGUUCAAAGGGACAACUAAGUUCUGAGGAUUUCAUGAAGCACUAAGAAAAAUAAUUUCCUAACUCAUUCUCAUGAUAUUAAAGUGCAUUCUGUAGAGUUGCAAGAGGUUAAGAUAAUCUUUUAAUGAUUCCAAUAUCUUGAUUAAGUCGAGUGGAGUAUGGCAGAAUGCUCUUAAUAGGAGGUCACCUAUGUGAGUGUGAAGUGGGGCCACUUCGAUGAGAAUUAUUUAAGGCUUAAAUUCUCUAAACACUGUAAGAACCAAGAAGGGUUCAGAGCUAAAAUGAACCAAGUCAUGAGAACCAUGAACGAUUUAGGGAAGACAUUGUGUGAGUAUCGUUGUUUUGGCUUACACUAAAGGCUGAAUGGUUCAAGACAUAAUGUUCACCAAUUAGCCGAGUAAGUCCGAUGGUAUUUCACUAAGGGAGGUUCAAGGUCAGAAGCUAUCAUCCUUGAUGCAGUGCUUUUCCGCUCUCUCUCUCUCUCUCUCUCUCUCUCUACUAGUGUCUGCAUAGAUAUUUGCAUUAAUUUUCAUUCAUGCGGGGGAUUGUUGGAAUUUUGUUGGAAAUUCUGUAUUAUUUGGUGAAUGGAAAAUUAAGCCAAAAUUUAAAUCACUUAAAUACAUGAAUUAUUGGAGAAGUGCGUAGAAUAUUAUGGAAUAUUUUAGAAAUUAUUUGGUUGAAAAUGUGUCUUUCUAUAUGAAAGAUUAUGACUGUUGGUAUUAUUAUUUUUCAAAAGACGUGUCUCUUUAAAGACAGAGACUAAUUCCAAUGGUUGUAUCUCUUCCAUAGGUUGUGUGUUUUGAGACAAACAUUUUCAACAUAUAUAUAUUGACCCCAUAUGUUUGGAUUUACUAAUUCAAAAAUUUCAUUCCAUUAUAUAUUUUACACUUUACUAUACAUAAAAGACUUUGCAGAACUGAUUAUCUUUUGUAUCAAAAUCAUGGUUAUGGUAGAGAGAGAAUUUUGUUCGAGUUCGUUAGUCGAAGCCAUUUGGAGUGCUCCUAUGGCUUGACGUGGUCAUUAUAUUUUGAGAGAUGAUUGUCGGAAAAAUAUUUAGCACCGAUGCGGGGCAAAUUCAUCUUAAGGAAAGAGUUAUACUCGCCUCGGCCAAUCGCAUCACUUACAUCUAAUUUUUUCUUAUUUUUGAUUUCAUUUCUUCAUACUUAUUUUUAGAAAAUGAUUAAUUUUAUUUAUAUGGUUUAUGCAAGGUUCGAUAUGAAGAAUCAUUUGUUUUAAUUCAUGAAUGAAAAUUGUCAGAUUCGAUAAUCAUUGGUUAGUUUCUCAAACUCCAUUUCGAUAAGUCGAAACCUUGUUUCAAUUUCGUGAACGUGUAAGUUACGUUUUGUUAAUACAAUAUGCACUUUUGAAUCGGUGUAUUCCCAACACUUUGUUUAAGACCAUGACUAAUUGAACGUAUUACUCUUUCCAAGAACUCUCAGCUUUGGGAUCUAUUUUGAAAAUUUUAUUAUUUGGUCUUUUUUUUUUUUUUUUAUUCUUUUGUGUACUGGAAAGUUAGUUGAUUUAUGAGUCAAUUAACUUCAACUUUCAAUAUUUAAAUAUUUAUGAGUAAAUUCGUUUCAACUUUCAUUAUAAGAGAAUGAUGUAUUAUUUUUAAUAAUUCAAAAAGAAAAAGACAUUACCCUUCAACCAUUUACUUUAAAUAAUCAUUGGUUACACUAUAGUUUGUCGAUUGAUUAGAUUUAUUUUAUUUAAAAAUUAAAUGGAUUGAAAAAUCUGGUUAAAGAAAACUCGUAUUCAUAUAGCAAUAGCCCACUUAGAUUGAACUUAUUCCAAGAAAAAAUCAUAUUUAUCUCUAAUAUUUUAAAAUAAUUGAAAUAAAUAAUUAAUACAAAAAUUAAACAAAAUUUUUGCCCGUCUUUUCAAUGCACGUUAGCAAAAUGUUUGGAUAAAAACCAUGAUUAGAGACAAGACAUGUUAAUUAUUUGAAGGUUGAGAAUAACAAUGCAAUGAGAAAAAUUGAGGACAUAAAAACAAAAGUGAGAAAAGAUUGAAAACCUUUCUUUUAAUUAAAAUGUGGUACAUAUAUAUAAAAAAUUGUUGUGGUAAUAUAAUUAUCCUUAAACUUUCUUCUUUAAUUAUGUUAGAUAUUGUAUUAAACACAUCAUUACAAAUAUGUAAUCUCCUUUCUUUUUUUUUUUUUAAACCCAAUCUUCUCGGGUUUAUAUAGCUUUCUAAUGACCCGCUCCAUUGAAAUUCUAUGAAGAACAGUAAUUCAAAGCUUUCAUACUUUUGGCGAAAGUUAAGUAGAUAAAUGAUAUGAAAGCAGAAAAUGAUAUAAUGCAUAGUGGAUUAAUGACCCCCUUAUGUAAUACUCUCCUGUUCAGUCGUCGCAAUCCCCCUCGCUAGUCAAUAAUUCCAUUAUUGAUGGCUCACUCUCAAUUUGGCCAUUUCUGGGAAAUGAGUGGAAUGAAAGAAGAAGUUUCAUUUUUGGAUUUUUUAUUGAUUUUAAUGUCUUCUAGAAAUGAAAAUGCCUCCUUCAUAUAUCCAAGUUUAUUAUUAUAUACGUGGUCAGUGUAUCUCAAGAAAGGGAAAAAAAAAAAAAAAAAAAAAAAAAACUAGAAAAUGCGUACAAAUGCUAAUGGUUGAUGAUUGAAUCAUGUGCGAGCAAUUAGAAUAGUGAAAAUAGAUGAUGAUUCAUCAAUUGGAUUAAAUGUGCCAAUCAAUAAAUUUUUAAUGAGCGACAAUCGAGUCACUCAUAUUUUAUUUCGAGUAAUUGGGUCGCUUAAUUUUAAUUUGCGUGCAACCAUUGUGACUCCAUCAAUCGCCGUCAAUCUAAUAACGUGAUAUUUUGACGAGGACAUUAAAAUGAUGGAGGGAUACAUGUAUGGAAAAUGAAAAUUGAUUGUUAAUAUUUCUCUUUCUUAAAAUUUGUAGCUUAACAAGCAAAAAAAUCUUGUGUGUUUUGUUUGCACAAAUUCUUUCUUUCAAAGUUAGAAACUGAUAGCAGAUAGAUUUACAGAAGAAAUCUGUCUUCAAUAUAUACCAUUUUUCUGUUGUUUGAAAAUAAAUGUUUUGUACAUACUACAAAUGGAAAGAUAAACAAAGAAAUAUAAACAUAAUGACACGAGGAAAAACGUAGUAUUCAUCGUCCUUCAAACAUUGUAGUAAUGCUGACAUUGUUGGACGAUCCCCUCAUAUUCGUAUGGCUUUGGGAAGAAGAAAAGGAACGGAUCAAGUUUUGCAUAAAUGCAGGUUGCUCUGGCAAAGGCAGAUCUAUAAUUUCCCCUCGGAGAAUUGACAGAACAGUUGAUAUAUUUGGUCUUUUGAAAGGGAAUUCUUGAACACACAAUAAUCCAAUAUGUAUGCAUCUCAAAAUCUCUUUCAAAAAACUUGGACUUGACAUUCUUCCAUCUAUCAAAGACACUGCAUUGUCUUCAUUACAUAAUUUCCAUGCCUGAAAAAGAUUAGGAGAAAUUUUCAUGAUGGACAAAAGUAUCACUGAGGAUUUUCAUACCAUUUGUAUGUACUUACAUAUCCUAAAAGGCUCAAAGAAGAGUCGUCGUUGUAAAUGAUUGUGUUCCUUGUCCCACUUAUGAUUUCUAACACCAAAACUCCAAAACUAAAUACAUCGGAUUUUUCUGAAAACUUUCCUCCCAUUGCAUGUUCAGGGGCCAUGUAUCUACUGCAAUGUCACACUAAUUCAACAAAUAAUCCAAAGAUGUAUGAAGCCCUGUUACUGGCAAUUAAGUAAGAAUAACCAUCUAAAACAAUUUAACAUUUAUUUACUAUGUUCCCACAACUCUUCUAGUAUUAGCUUGAUCUUGAUUGCCUCCGAAUAUUCUAGCCAUUCCAAAAUCAGAAAUCUUCGGAUUCCGGUGCUCAUCAUGCAAAAUGUUGCUUGGUUUGAGGUUGCGAUGGACUAUUUUCAAUCUAGAAUCCCUGUGAAGAUAAAGGAGGCCUCGACCAAUACCUUCAAUAAUAUUGAAGCAUUUUGUCCAAUCAAGAAUCUUUUCUGAUCUAUCUGUACAGAUAAAAUCCCGAGGCCAAAGGACUUCAUUAUAAGUAGCAUAACUAACAGACUAAUAAUAUUAAUUGAGGCAAAUAGAGUCAACUUACUGAAAAGAUAUAAAUCCAGGCUUCUAUUUACUAUGUUUUAGUUUGGAAAUGACAACAACUUCAUUCAUAAAUUCUUUCAGCCCUUGUCCAGAUGCUCUCGAAAGCCUCUUGACUGCAAUAUCUUUAACAUUUCCGAACUUUCCCCAUACACAUAAGCAAGAAUUUUACCAUAAACUAAAACCUACAUGAGACAAAGUCAGUAUUAACGAUGAAUAUUACCUUAUAAACAGGACCAAAACAGCCCUUCCCAAUUAGAUUAGUCACAUCGAAUUGAAAAGUUGCAGUUUCCAGAAUCUCGAAGCUGAAUAAUGGCAACUUGUCAAGACUAGCUUCGUCAAUAUCAUCUCCAAGAACAACGCCGCUUGAACCUGAUAUACAUGCUUUCUCUACUUCAUGUGUUAAUAUUCUUCCUUCUCGGUUGGCCCCUGAUUAAAAGACAACGGUAUUUAUCUUUAACCGAUAACUCCAUAUAUAUGUCCCAACAAGAAUUCAGAUUAAUAGUACCUUUUCGCUUAGCCAUCCACCGUCAAGAAAAAAAAUAUGCAUAUAAAUACGAUAACUACUCCAUUUGUUAAUGAAACCAUGACAAUCAUGUUAGAAAAUCAAAUUAGAUCCAAAUAUAAAUUAAAUCCUAGGAUCAACAUCAUGCUAAAUUACUAGGAUUCACAGAUUCAGAUAAUAUACAUGUAUCCAUUGUAAACGAUUGCCUACUGUUGCGGAAUUACUGCGACAAUCGACUACGUACCGAUGAAUGCAAGAGAAGAUUGUGGUUUUGUGAUCUUCCUCAACCAAAUCUCCUUAUUCCUCAAUGGGACCGUGAUUUCUCUUCUUGAUGGGAAGAAGGGAAAAGAGUGUAUUAUUUGGUAUAUUGGGGACCAUAACCAAAAUAACCUUUAUAUACUACUUAAUUAAGGUUCCCAUUAUCCCUUAAUUAGAGUAAUAUUAGCCGGUAUCUACUCACUUAGUCCAUAUUAAUUUGAGUAGUCUAUGGGCAUACAAAAAAUAGACCACUUGAUUUUUGCCCAUUAUAUUAAAUAGCAAAUAUAAUUGUAUUAAUGUGUUGUCAAUAUUAAUUUAGAAAAUCGUGUUUUUCUAACAAUCUCCCACUUGGCUACAUAUUAUUCCUUAAACAAUUAUAUUACAAAACUCCUUAGGCGCGCAUCUGUAUGCUAUUUAUCAUUAGACUGCUCCUUAAACAAUUUUGUCCAUCUCAUAUACUAAUAAUGGAACCACAGCAACUUUAAUCACAAUACAUUAGUGAUUAAACCACGAUGAUCAACAUAUUAAUACACUUAAUGACGUAGAUCAAAUAUGGAUGAGUAGCAUGGAAAUUUACAUGAAAUGUGAUCUCAAACAUGCCUAUUUCCAACUAGUCCUUCUUUAGUCUUUAGUGAGAUCAUUCCAAAGUCCUUAAUGCAAUGCAAACAUUGCACAAUGAAAACACAAGCAAACUCAGAAAUAGAAUCAUAGACCAUCAACUUUAUUUUGCAGAAGGUUAAAUAAUUUAAUGUCUAAAGCAAACAUAUAGAACAUAAAAUUGACUCCCACUAGACUAGAAUAUCCUCGGAAAUAAUGCUCAUGUGAGCAGUGUGCUCAUGAAAGACCUUCGGCAUUAAGCCCUUGGUUAGUGGGUCCGCUAGCAUGGAAUUUGUUCCUAUAUGUUCUAUGGAAAUCUGUUUAUCUUGAACUCUCUCCUUAACAACUAGAAACUUGAUAUUAAUGAAUUUCGACUUUGUCGAACUCCUAUUGUUGUUGGAGUAAAGCACCACUGAGUUAUUGUCACAAUAAAUGUUUAAUGGCCUGUCAAUGCCAUCUACCACUCGUAGUCCAGUGACAAAGUUUCGUAGCCAUAUUCCAUGGUUGGAUGCCUCAUAACAAGCAAUGAACUCCGCAGCCAUGGUUGAAGAAGCUAUGAGAGUCUGUUUAGCAGACUUCCAUGAGAUAGCUCCUCCAGCCAACAUAAAGACGUAGCCUGAUGUGGAGCGUCUGCUAUCUUGGCAUCCCACAAAAUCGGAGUCAGAGAACCCCAUGAUCUCUAAACUAUCUGAUCUCCGAUAAGUGAGCAUGUAGUCUUUUGUUCUCCUCAAAUAACGCAUCACGCGUUUGGCUGCUUUCCAAUGUUGCAUGCCAGGAUCACUCAGUAUCUACCCAAAACUCCCGCUAUAAAUGCUAUGUCGGGACGAGUACGAAUUAGAGCGUACAUUAGACUCCCUACCACUGAUGCAUAGGGAAUCUUCUGCAUCUCUUCUCUUUCAAGAUCAUUAUUGGGUCACUGUUUGAGACUAAACUUGUCUCCUUUAGAGAUGGGUGUGUCUCCUGGUCUACUAUCUUUCAUGCCAAAUCUACUCAAAACCUUAUCGAUAUAGCUAUUUUGUGAAAGUCCAAGGAUACCUCGAGAACGAUCUCUCAGUAUCUGAAUACGUAAUACAAAAGAGGCAUCCCCAAGAUCUUUCAUCUUGAAUUUCUUCAUCAGAAAUUUCUUGAUUUCAUGCAAUAAGCCUAUAUCACUGCUAGCGAGUAGAAUAUCAUCAACAUAUAAUACCAAGAAGAUAUAUUUACUCCCACUGAACUUAUGAUAUACACAGUCAUCAACAACAUUUGCCUCAAAAUCGUACGAGGUAAUGAUUUGAUGGAACUUGUGAUACCAUUGACGGGAAGCUUGUUUGAGACCGUAGAUGGAUUUCUUCAACUUACAAACCAUAGACUUUGGAUCUCCUGAUACAAAGCUUUCUGGUUGUACCAUGUAAAUCAUCUCAUCAAUGUCUCCAUUGAGAAACACAGUCUUGACAUCCAUCUGAUGUAGCUCUAGAUCAAAAUGAGCCACUAGUGCCAUUAUUGUUCUAAAAGAGUCUUUCGAAGAUACCAGAGAGAAAGUCUCUUUGUAGUCUAUGCCUUCCUUUUGAGUAAAGCCUUUAGCGACUAGACGAGCUUUAUAUCUCUCGACACUGCCUCUUGAAUCCCUCUUGGUUUUAAAUAUCCACUUACAACCAAUGGGCUUCACACCUUUAGGCAACUCGACGAGAUCCCAAACGUCAUUAUCUUUCAUAGACUUUAUCUCAUCUUUCAUGGCAUCAAUCCACUUCUGAGAGUUAGAACUGCGCAUGGCCUGAUGGAAGUUGAUCGGGUCAUCCUCCAUUAAACCAACGCCAUCCUCAUGUUCUUGAAGAAAGACGAUAUAAUCAUCUGAAAUCGCAUUUCUUCUCUCCCUAGUGGAUCUCCUUAAUAGCACUUCUUGAGGUUGUUGAGUUUGUUCUAUAGGUGGUGCUUGAGGAAGAAUCUCAUUGUUGUCUUGGUCUGAAACAAUGUCAGGAAUAGGAGCCUGAACAUUGUCAUCUAUUACCAGAACUGUGUCUUGAACAACAAUAGGUACAGAGACCUGAUUGCUGUCAAUGACAGAUUCUUCUUUAAAGACAACGUUCCUUAUGUUUCCUUUCCCUCCAAACUCAAUAUCCUCAAGGAAUCUCGCAUUUCCCGUUUCAAAGAAGGAUCUUGAUGUGGGAUAGUAGAACUUAUAGCCCCGAGAGCGUUCUGCGUAACCAACGAAAUAGCAGCUAACCGUCCUUGAGUCCAGUUUUCUUUCAUGUGGCCUAUAAGGCCGUGCCUCAGCUGGACAACCCCAAAUGUACAAGUGCUUAAUGCUAGGCUUCUUGCCUGUCCACAGCUCAUAAGGGGUUUUGGCAACUGCCUUGCUUGGUACCCUGUUAAGAAUGUACACUGCGGUCUUCAAAGCUUCUCCCCAAAGUGACUCUGGUAAGGAGGAAUGACUUAUCAUACUCCUUACCAUAUCCUUAAGAGUUCGGUUUUGUCGUUCUGUAACACCAUUCAUACUAGGUUUGCCCGGCAUGGUGUAUUGCGGAACAAUUCCACACUCAUUGAGGAAAAUAGCGAAGGGUCCUGGAUGUUGUUCUCCUGAUCCAUCAUAUCUUCCGUAGUAUUCACCACCACGGUCAGAUUUGAUAGCCUUUAUUUUCUUUCCAAGUUGAAGUUCAACUUCAGCUUUAAAAGAGUUGAAAACAUCCAGGGAUUGAGACUUCUCGUGUAUUAAAUAUAGGUAACUGAAUCUAGAGUAAUCGUCUAUGAACGUAAUGAAGUAUUGUUGUCCAUUCCAAGAAGCCGUAGGGAAUGGGCCACAGAUAUCAGUACGUAUCAGUUCUAAGACGUAUGUAGCUCUCUUGGCACCUAAUUUUCUCAUGUUUGUUCUUUUCCCCUUGAUGCACUCAACACAAACUUGGAAGUUUGUUAAAUCUAGGGGUUCAAGAAUUUCAUCCGACACAAGCCUCUGAAUUCUCUGCUUAGAAAUAUGACCUAAACGCUUGUGCAAUAAAGUGGCAGAAUUCUCACUUAAUUUUCGCUUUGUACCACGUGAACUUGUUUGCAGUAUUUCGUUAUAGGAACUAACAAUAACAAGUACAUACAGAUUAUCAAUCAUAUAACCGGAACCAACAAAAUUUGAAUUUUGAUAGAGACUAACUUUAUUAUUUCCAAAUGAACAAGAAAAUCCUGAUUUGUCCAAACUAGAAAUAGAAAUUAAAUUUCGUCUAAAGGACGGUGCAACAAAUGUCUCAAACAAAUCCAAAUAAAACCCAGUUUUUAAUUGUAAUCUGAAAGUCCCUAUAGCCUCUACCGCAACUUUAUUGCCAUCGCCCACAAAGAUGAAUCUUUCAGCAUCAUUUGGCGAUCGGCUCCACAGGCAAUCCUGCAUGGACAUACUUAUAUGAGUAGUAACACCAGAAUCUACCCACCAAGUAUCCUUAGGUACAGAAGCUAAAUUAACUUCAGAACAAACUAAAGUUAGAAGCAUACCCUUCUUUACACGCCAGGUAGCAUACUUAGGACACUCCUUCUUCAUGUGUCCCGACUUCUUGCAGAAGUAGCAGGUAAACUCCUUAUCCUGCUUCUUUUGCUUCUUCUGCUGAGAAGUUCCUUCAACAACAUCCUUAGCUCUCUUCUUUUUCUUGUUCUGAGAGGUUGAGGCCAAGUGAGCACUCUCAGUCUUAUCACGCUGUUGCCUCUCUUCUUCUUGCACACAGUGAGAUAUAAGCUCAUUUAGGGACCAUUUGUCCUUCUGAGUGUCAUAACUCACUUUGAAUUGCCCAAAGUGUGUAGGAAGAGAGAUCAAAAUCAAGUGCACGAGUAAGUCAUCAGACAGCUCCAAGUUAAGCGACUUGAGUUUUGAUGCGAGAUGAGACAUCUCCAUGAUGUACUCCCUUAUGUUCCCUUUGCCCUUAUACUUCAUGGAAAUGAGUUUAGCCAAAAGGUUACUCGCCUCCGAUUUUUCAUUCUUGGCAAAAUAUUGCUCAAUUUCUUCAAGGAACUUCUUGGCACUCUCGCUCUCAGUAAUAGAGCCCCGAAACGCUUCCGGAAUGGAACGUUUCAUGAUCAUCAAGCACAUCCGGUCAGACCGAUCCCACUUUUCAAUUUUACCCUCAUUGGGGUUUUCCGGAGUAGAAGCGGGUCGAUCUGAAUGAAGUGCAAGAUCUAAAUCCAUACAGCCGAGGACAAUUUCCAUGGCUUCUUUCCAAACUUUAAAGUUCGUCCCGCUCAGCAUUGGGAUGUUGCUGACUUGAGCAGAGACGUUCGCAGCAUUAACAACAGAAACUGUAUAGAGAACAAAAUAAGCAAGCAUGUCAAAUAAGAAAAUUAGGACACGCACAAAUAAUCCAGAUUUUGGGAUCCAUCUCAAGAUACCUAGUACGACAUUAAUUCCUAGUCUUUGGACAAAGAAAUUAACUGUAAUUGGUACUCUUGGUGCAAUGAUCAAACAUUGACAAUCAAUUCUAUCAAAUAAUAGCCUUUCUUUGGACCGACUAUUAUUCACAUGAAAUGUCUUUAUAAUUGGCACACAUUUAUCAUCACAAGCACGUUGUUAUUUGGCCAAAUUGUAUCUUCCUUUGGGCCGAGCACAAUUCGCAUAAAUAACUCCGUACAAAACAUCUAUGUAUUUUCAAUUAAAUCAAUCUACACAAUAGGGGUUACUUUGGCAACAUGUUGCUUUAAUCAAUUAAAUUGAAUAUACUAUACAUCCAAAGGGAACAAUCAAAACCAAAGUUUUGAAUUUAUUUUAAAACUUAAAAUUGGAAAAAAUGAAUUCUGAAAUAUGAAUGGGUUGAACAAAAUGAAUCAAUUUCCAAUUUUAUGUCUACCACAAUCUGUUUCUAAUUCCUUAUAUAUAUAUAUAUAUUUUAUUUUUUUUUAUUUUAAACCAAAAGGCACAUGUCUUGGACCCAUUAUGAAACAAAAGUCAACAAUUGCAACUGAAUCAUAUAAUGCAAUUGAAAUUGAUCCAUUGUGAAAGGUUACGUGUAUUACCAAUCUAUACUAAAUAUGCCAAAUAGUAUUCUGUCAUACACCAAUCUAUAUUGACUCCAUUAUGAGACAUAAAACAAGGGUCAAAAAAUGCGGCUAAUCCAUGCAGUUGAAAUUCUGAUUUCUGGAUCCAUAAUGAAGGUCACAGAUUUUGACAGUGAUCUACACGCUACCAAAAGUGAUGUAUCCAUUAUAAACUGUCCAAAAUUGCUGACUUGCUCUUGAUGCAAUUGAAAUUCAGCCCCAAAAAAAAUUUUUUUUUAAUCGACAGGGACAGAAUAUGUAUUCAUUAUAAAAUGAUCCGAAACUACAGAUGUCUAAAAGACAGAUGAAAUUCAUAUCCCAAAAAAAAAACUUAAAAUGGACACGGACGGAAUUUAAAAUCAAUACUAACUAUGCCGAAAAUUUCGAGAUCCGAUUUUGCCGAAUGCAUCAAGAAUAAAUCUUAAACUUAACAGUGUAAGGAAUUUCACAAAAUUCAAACAUUCUAUUCGAGAAAAAUUAUCCAAAUAUCAUACGAAUAAAACAUGCACAAAUCCUAAUAAUCUAGCAAAUGAUGAUCGCUCUGAUACCACUUGUUAGAAAAUCAAAUUAGAUCCAAAUAUAAAUUAAAUUCUAGGAUCAACAUCAUGCUAAAUUAUUAGGAUUCACAGAUUCAGAUAAUAUACUUGUAUCCAUUGUAAACGAUUGCCUACUGUUGCGAAAUUACUGCGACAACCGACUACGUACCGAUGAAUGCAAGUGAAGAGGGUGGUUUUGUGAUCUUCCUCAACCAAAUCUCCUUAUUCCUCAAUGGGACCGUGAUUUCUCUUCUUGAUGGGGAGAAGGGAAAAGAGUGUAUUAUUUGGUAUAUUGGGGACCAUAACCAAAAUAACCUUUAUAUACUACUUAAUUAAGGUUCCCAUUAUCCCUUAAUUAGAGUAAUAUUAGCCGGUAUCUACUCACUUAGUCCAUAUUAAUUUGAGUAGUCUAUGGGCAUACAAAACAUAGACCACUUGAUUUUUGCUCAUUAUAUUAAAUAGCUAAUAUAAUUGUAUUAAUAUGUUGCCAAUAUUAAUUUAGAAAAUCGUGUUUUUCUAACAAAUCACGCUUAUGUCUUUCUUCUUAUCUGAAUACAACAAAAUCAAAUCAAAUCUAUACAUAAGUAUUAAUAACUUCAUCAAUCUGUGAUAUCAAUAAAAUGUAAAGUAAAUAAAGUUUGUUACAUUGCCUGGGGAUUUAGCCAAUUUUACACUUGGCAUAAUUUCAUUGGCAGUUGGACAAAAAAUAAUGUUAACACACCCAAUCACAGGCUAUCAUCUCAGCCCUGGCAAAAUUCCGUAUACAAUGGGACUUAUUCCAUAACUUAACAAGUGAAUUAACCAUUAAUGAUAACUAGUUAAGGAUAAGAAGUACCAUGCUCCGAAUAUAACACUUGAACUUGAAGAACCAAGCCACCAACAGGGAACUGUCGGACAUCGAUCAAGCUUCUGUUCCAGAACAUACAACCAAUCCUAGGAUCAUGUGAAUAGGCUAUACAGGAACAAUUCCUCAAACAAAAAGCUUCACAUUCUUCUGCUUCUAGACCAAUCGACACAUCCAUGAAGUUCGGAACUUUCACAUUCGUCAUCUUCCAAAUGCAUCUUCUUUGUUUUUAUCGCUCAAAUUAUUGCUUCUAUCACACUGCAAAAAUGUCUUCCUCAUGCAUCCACCACUCCGGUUCUCUUUAUCCCAUUUCUCCUUGUCCUUGGGUUCGUAUGCUUUCAAACAACUACAAAUGGGUUAAUUUAGCAUAUUACAGUUUCCAAAUGGCCCACACUUACCAUAAACAUCACAAACAUCUAUAGGAGCUAUCCACGUAAUAAUCUAAACCCUUCUGUUAACAUCCCACAUUGUUUGAACAAAACUUCCAUUUGGUUUAAGAAUUAUCUUCAUUGAGAUUUUACCGUAGUAAUCUCGCAUAAACAAGAUAGUACCUGUUAGAAUUUGGGUGUGACCCCGAAUUUCUUAUUGAAAUAAUUGUAGAGUUUUGAUUGAAGUGCACAUAGAGAGAAUUCUAACCGGAAUGCUAUAGUGGAAUCUUAUUCAAGUUUAAUUGUCAAAUUCUAGUUAAAGCUCUAUUUGGAAGCCCUAUUGGGAGUUGAAAUUUUUAUUGGACUUGAAGAGAUCAAAAUAAGAAAACUUUUGGCAUUUUAUUUCAUGUACAAAUCUACUAAUAGGAUUGUUCCCUAUAAAUACUAGAUUCUUAAUCUAGAUUUGUGGAGUCAAAAAGCAUUAUAGCUCAGUUCUUUAUACUCUCUCUGGUUGUUAUUAAUAAAACAUCAUUCCUCUAACAAUUUCUUUCUUGUUCUUUACUUUAAAUCUUGUUUCUAUGAUUGCAGUCUUGUAGACUUCAUACUGAUCCAUAAUUCUCAAGGUGGUCUAUUCUUGUUCCGCCUCCAACAAGUGGUAUCACAGCAGAGGCUGUGUUGUUUGGUUGAAGUUUUCUACAGAUGGCUGCUUUGAAGUAUGAUAUUCCUCUGCUAGAUCGCAAUACAAGAUUUUCUUUGUGAUAAGUAAAGAUGAGAGUUGUUUUAGCAUAGAUGGAUUUUUUAAUUUAAAAAUAUUAACUUUCAAAAUACCCUCAUACCAAAACAAAACACGAUAAAUCAAAUUAACAAUUCUUCCCCAAAUUCAAAAUCCAUGUCUUGUUCCCAAUCACCUCCAUCAUCAUUCCAUGAGGGAACUUCAGUCUCCUAUUUCACUUCAUCUCUUUUACAAUCACUAUUGCUACGUAUGCUAUUGCUUAAAAUUGGCGAUCUAGGUAGAGAAAUAUGGAUCCUGCUUUGGUUGCAAUUGAUCUUUGUUUGAUAUGACCAAUUUACUCAAUUUAAUUUUUUGGGAAAUAGCUGGUCAAGGUGGUGGGAAGAGGCUCGUUGAAAAGGUUGGUAGCGACAAAGAUUGUGCAUUUGAACCGAAAAUUGGGCUUAGAUUUCUGGAAUUGAGUUGAAGAUAGAGGUUAAGAAGUUUCAGACUGGGUUUUGUAUUGUGCCUGGGUUUGUGCUAUAGUGGCUCAAUUCUAGUUUUAUUUUAUUAUUUUAAUUUUUUUACUUAGAAAAUGUUAAUUUAUCAUUUUACCAUUUUACUUAAUUUGUCGAGUUGAGUCAAAUUAUUAAUUUUUGGGUUGACUAAUGGUUUCUGUCCAAUGGACUCUGACUGCAGUCAAGGUGAAAGGUUCGAGCUUCUGGCUACAAAAAUAAAAUGUUAAUCUGCAACAAAUUGAAAGGUUUGAGACCUCCGUUGUAAUUUUUCAUUUUAACAAUACUCGAUUUUUCUUUGAUAUCUCUGUUAUUUUAUGUUUAUAUUUUUACCUAAGUCGAAUGAUUUCGGUUUAUUGACAUAUUAUUAGAUUAUCGAUUUGAUAUUAUAAAGUUCUCUUUGUGGAGGCUGGGAUUUCCAUCAAUGCUCGUGGUGGGAAAAUGUUUUUUUCCCAAACUCUAGCUACCAUUUGAUAUCUCCACUAUCAUGUGCCCUGUCCUAAUUAUACUUUUGCUUGGAAACUUGCACAAUGGCAGGAAGAAUUCUCAGUUUCUAAGUUACAUAAGAUCAAUGAGUGGAGUAUACAUGGAGCGCAAAUAAUGCUAGUAGUAUUGGUCUUGUUGGUUAGGGAGAUUAAAGAAGCACAUGGUAGCGAUAGAGUUCCCUAUUGUUUUUAAGAGCUAUUGUCAUUUAUUGUACAUCAUUGGUCAUUCAAAAUUCCUAGUAUUUUUUCAUAUCACUGUGUUGAGCAUGGGAUUAGAGGCAUUUUUAUUUGUUCUAAGAAAAUGACAUUAUUAUUUCAUUCACCAGAUGCAUAUUGGUCAUUAUACUAUGUAUCGCUCAUGGUUUCCAAAGAUAGUGCAUGUGAAGAUUCAUUGUUAUAAUCAUAAGAUAGAAUAUAGAAAGUCAAAUGGAUGUUAGGACCUUCCUCUUGCUGCUCACGGUGAUUUUCGGGCUCAGUUAACCAUUAAAACCGAAUUUAACAUCAAUUUUGGAGUCACCAAUACCGCCGGCGCCUCUUCCUCUUUGGUUGCUUUCCUCCUUUGCUUUGUUGAUUUAAUCCACUCACUUAGGACGGAUACCACUCAGGUAAGGUUCACAAAGACUCAAGCAAUUGGGGUGGAGAAGAAAUCAUGAAGAAGAUGAAGGCAGAAGAACACGGCUGGGCACGGCAGUUUCUCUAACUCUCACGGCUUCAACAUUGGACGGGUUCAACAAGGGUGAAAACACCAAUAUAUAUAGUAAGUCAAGUGGCCAACAUAAGGUAAGUCGGGAUAUGGUAAAUAGGCUCGACUAGGGUUAACUUCCAAUGGAAGGAAUCAACAAGCCACAAAGAGUAUUAGCCGUCCAAUAGGUAAAGCAACGUUUGGUCGGUUCAUCCAUUAUUCGAUGUUGAAUUAUCGUUCAGUCAUUCAUGUCGACUGAUAAAAUUGGUUCUCAUCAUCGCCCGGGAGGUCGUUUGACAACAUAAUGUCUAACAACCUCCACCUUGGUGUCAAAGGACCUGCAAAGAAAAACGUUUUUCCAUUAGUGACACCUCUAACAGAAAAACCGAUAAAAUUGAAAUCAUUUACCUGUACCGAUGUUUAGAAGCUCUUUGCAACUUCUAAACUUUACCAGUGGCAGCACUUUCGUGCCCAUAUCUGAAGGAUUGUACUGUGUGUGAAUUUUUUCAAGUCUUANNNNNNNNNNNNNNNNNNNNNNNNNNNNNNNNNNNNNNNNNNNNNNNNNNNNNNNNNNNNNNNNNNNNNNNNNNNNNNNNNNNNNNNNNNNNNNNNNNNNNNNNNNNNNNNNNNNNNNNNNNNNNNNNNNNNNNNNNNNNNNNNNNNNNNNNNNNNNNNNNNNNNNNNNNNNNNNNNNNNNNNNNNNNNNNNNNNNNNNNNNNNNNNNNNNNNNNNNNNNNNNNNNNNNNNNNNNNNNNNNNNNNNNNNNNNNNNNNNNNNNNNNNNNNNNNNNNNNNNNNNNNNNNNNNNNNNNNNNNNNNNNNNNNNNNNNNNNNNNNNNNNNNNNNNNNNNNNNNNNNNNNNNNNNNNNNNNNNNNNNNNNNNNNNNNNNNNNNNNNNNNNNNNNNNNNNNNNNNNNNNNNNNNNNNNNNNGGAUUGAAUUGAGCAAGAUAAUGGCCUUAUAGGUUUUAGACACGGCUUCGUCACAAUUGACAAUAUCUUGCACCAAUUUAUUAAAUACAUCUAGAUUGUCGUCGAGAUCCUUUGAACGAUCCAUUUUAAAGCUGAAGAAUCGUUCGAGUAGGUAGAGUUUAUUCGGUGUAGAUUUAAGCAAGUAUAAGUCUUCUAGUCUUUUCCAAAGUUCUUUGGUGGUUUUUAGUUUUCCCACUUUUCUUAAGACGGCGUCAGACAAGUGUAAUAUUAUUGAGGUAUAGGCAAGCUCAUCGGCUUCCUCUUUUUGUUCUUUUGAGAUAUCAGGUGCAAAAUUGCCUUCGAUGGCUUUUGACACCUUUUGUUGGACUAGUAUGCCUCUCAUCUUUUGUUGCCGAUAGAGAAGUCCCCUUUACCGUUAAAAAUUCCCAAAUCAAAAUUAUGUGUUGUCAUUGGUUAACACCCUAAUUAAACCACACGAAGUAGUAUUGGGAAACGUGAUAAGGUAAUGUCUUGUUAAUUAUUAGCAAAGGUAAUAAUGAACCUAAACGCUACGUCCACCAAGGAAUAACAAGCACUUUAAAUUAAAAGAACAAAUACUUAAUUAACGCAAGUAAUCCUAAUUUUAGCACACGCAAUGGUUACCCCUUCACGGUAACCCCAAAACCUAACGAUCACCCCACACGAUGAUCUUGCUAUUGCUGAAUUUAAAUGGAUUAAGCCAAUUUACCAGAGCGGACCUAUCUGAGUCCGUAAAGUGGAGAAAAACGAGCUUGCUGUUGAAUUUCAAUCGGCGUCGUACCAAAGGGCAAAAUCCUCCAAAUUUUUCUGUGUAACCUGAAACACAAAACAAAGUAUAUCAGCGCGUUCAGGAGAUCGAAACAAACAAGUUACCUGAAGAUUGCAUCGCCGGAAAACCGCCCACGUGCCGCCUCUCCCGGAGCGCCUCGGCCUGCUGAUGAUGGGUAUGGCCUCCGUUUGUCCAACCGAGCUUUGGUUUGUGAGUAAUUGCAAAUUUUCAGAUUCGGAUUCUAGGUUGUAGGUGCGAAAAUCAGCCGAUUUUGAGCCGUUUUUUGCCACCCAAGCUCUGAUACCAGAUGUUAGGACCUUCCUCUUGCUGCUCACGGUGAUUUCCGGGCUCAGUUAACCAUUAAAACCGAAUUCAACAUCAAUUUUGGAGUCACCAAUACCGCCGGCGCCUCUUCCUCUUUGGUUGCUUUCCUCCUUUGCUUUGUUGAUUUAAUCCACUCACUUAGGAUGGAUACCACUCAGGUAAGGUUCACAAAGACUCAGGCAAUUGGGGUAGAGAAGAAAUCAUGAAGAAGAUGAAGGCAGAAGAACACGGCUGGGCACAGCAGUUUCUCUAACUCUCACGGCUUCAACAUUGGACGGGUUCAACAAGGGUGAAAACACCAAUAUAUAUAGUAAGUCAAGUGGCCAACAUAAGGUAAGUCGAGAUAUGGUAAGUAGGCUCGACUAGGGUUAACUUCCAAUGGAAGGAAUCAACAAGCCACAAAGAGUAUUAGCCGUCCAAUAGGUAAAGCAACGUUUGGUCGGUUCAUCCAUUAUUCGAUGUUGAAUUAUCGUUCAGUCAUUCAUGUCGACUGAUAAAAUUGGUUCUCAUCAUCGCCCGGGAGGUCGUUUGACAACAUAAUGUCUAACAAUGGACAUGAAAUUAGCUGACACAACAUUCAACUGUUUAAAAUGAUAUGUCAUUUUAGUUCAUGGGUUCUCGAUUUCAAGAUAUCAAUGAAGAAAAGAUUUGAUGGGUACUAUCACAAUCAAUUCGUCAUAGUAAAUCAUUGCUUGAAUAUGUAUAGAUUUGUAGCCAAAUAGAUGUUGUUCAACGAUUUUAUGAAUGUUGGAAAAAUAACUUGUUGCGGAAACUUGUAGAACAAUAAAAUGCCAAAAAUAAAAUUUAUCAACUGAUUGAGUCUCGUGAUAGCACGAUAUCCUAAGUGAAAUUGCACUUCGUUAACUGCUGCGCUUGUCUGGACAAUAUCAUUCACAGGAUACAACGACCAAGCAAAAUAAUGAUAAAGUAAAAUGAUGAUUUCGUUUUUUGAUGUAUUUUUUUUCAAAGCCAAAUAUGUGUUUAUAUAGGCAAAAUAGAUAUAACUGCCUCUACGAUGAUCAAGGAAUAUUUGCAAUUUUUAAUGGAUUGUGGAUAAUGAGUUGUUGAUGGUGGGUUGUUGAAAAAGGUAAUAUUAUAUUAUAUUGGCUAGUUUAAACUAUUAAAUAAUUUUGAAAAUUAUUUAAAUAAAUAAAAAAUAUUAUUUUAAUCAAGGAAGCCCAAGAGCCCAAUCAAAAACCUUUUAAUUAUUGCAUGGGAUGUGACCCGAACAUCCGACCUCCUAUAAAAAUUUCACAUUUUCCACCAAUUGGGCACUUCAUCUAAAUUAUUUAUUUAUUUUACAUAUUAUAUUUAUUGUAUAAAUAUCUAACAAUCCCUCACACGAAAGAAAUAAGAUAAAUAUAAAUAUUAUUCUGGAGUACUGUAGAAAUCACGUAGGCUUAAGUGUCUAUCGACUCGUACCUUGGUUUUAUAUAUUCUAUUGAGUUUGCUAACUGUGAAGUGAAUAAUAUCUUGAACUCUACAAUUAUGGUUGCAAACUGAAGCAAUAAAAUACACAUAUGACAUCUAAAAUAAAUCAUUGAGUUCUAGCAGUUGUGUUCAUUUAAGCCAUGAAAUUUGUCACUUUCUUUAAUUACUCUGAAGGAUUAGCCUCAAUUAUCAUAAAAAGUGGCUCCACUAUCGUACUCAAAUAAUUGCUUCCAUCAAGGGUGCACUGUAUCUAAACACCCCAGUGAAUAUCAACUAUAGUAAGUAUUAAGAGCAUUAAAUCAUCUAAUCAAUACAUCUGGUACUAUUCAUCAUAGGGAAUGGUUUGGAAUAAAUCCAAUGUAGUACCCCCACAGACCACUCUAAUAAUUUUGUUGUCCCAUUAAACCUUGUCCAUGGGAUCUCUAGUCAUUAGAUUGGGUUUCCAUUAAAGCUGAUCUAGUUCGCAAUACGCUCUAACCCCAUCCCUCUAAAUAUUUUCUAGAAUUAGCUCUCUAGCUAAUCAUUUGGUUAAUGGGUCAUCAAUAUUAUCACUUGAUUUUUACAUAGUCAAUAGCUAUAACCCUAACCUUAAGCAACUAAAGCAUAGUAUUGCGCCUUGUACGAAUAUGUCUAGACAUUCCACUGUAGGAUGAGUUUUGAGUUCUUGAAAUAACUGCUUGACUGUCAUAAUGGACAGAAAUAGUUUGAAAUGGUUUAGACCACAAUGAAACAUCCAUAAGAAAAUUCCUUAACCGUUUUGCCUCUUCAUUUGCUUAUCUGAAGAUAUGAACUCAAAUUUCAUAAUAGAUCUCGCAAUGCAGGUUUGCUUAGUGAAUUUCCACGAUAUAGCACCGCCUAAUAAUGUAAAUAAAUAUCCACUCGUAGGUUUACUUUUAUUGGUAUCAAAAAUUCGAUUAGCAUCACAAUAUCCGUCGCGUACAAUAGGGAAUUUGGUAUAAUGUAUUCUCAGUCCAGAGUGUAUCUCAAAUACAUCAAGACUUGAAUGAGAGCAUUCUAAUGUUCACUAUUAGGAUUACUAAUAUACCUGCUAAGUCUAUUUACCGCAUAUGCUAUAUCAGCUCUUGUACAGUUCUUAAGAUACAUGAAACUACCAAUUACUCUAGCCUAUUCUAAAGCGAAAAAAGUAGGACUUGAAUGUUUUUUCAAAUGACGAUUUGCACCAUAAGGUACUUAGCAGGAAUAUAGUUGUAUUAGUUAAACUAAUUAAGCACUUUUUCUGCAUAAUGUGAUUGGGUUAAAGCAAUUCCUUCAAAAAAUUUACUAUUUUCAUUGCUAAAAUAAUAUCAGCAACACCCAAGUCUUUUAUUUUGAAAUGCUUUUUUUAGAAACUGUUUAGCCUUAUUAAUCACAUCUAAAUUAAUUCCCAUAAUCAACAUAUCAUCAACAUAUAAGCAAAUUAUCACACCACAACUAUUUUCAAAUUUGUUGUAUAUGGAUUUAUCUACUUCAUUUAUCACAUAACCAUUAAAUGUCAAAAUUGUAUCAAAUUUUUCAUGCCCGCUUAGGAGAUUGUUUAAGGCUAAAAAGGGAUUUUUUAAAUCUGUAUACUUUAUCAUUAAGGCCUUCUCCAAUGAAUCCCUUAAGUUGGUCCAUAUAAAUCUCCUUUCCUAAAUCUCCAUUUAAAAUGGCAAUUUUGACAUCCAUUUAGUGUAUGAUAAGAUCAUACAAUGAAGCAAUCACAAUUAACAUCCUAAUAGAGGAAAUCCUAGUAAAAACUGAAUAAGUAUUAAACAAGUCAACUCAUUCCUUUAGUCUAUAGCCUUUAGUUACAAGUCUAGCUUUAAAGUUAUCAAUAGAACCAUCGGAUUUAAGGUUUUCUUAAAAAACUUUCUGCACCCAAUGAUCUUACAUCUUUGAGGUAAGUCUACUAACUCCCAAGUGUUAUUUGACAUAAUGGAAUCAUAUUCACUAUUUAUAGCUUCCUUCCAAAUUAUAGAAUCUGGUGAAAACAUAAGUUCACCAAAAGUGCUAGGAUCCUCCUCUAAUAAGUAGGUUAAAAGGUUGGGACUGAAAGAAGUAGUGGUCACAGGUCUUCUACUUCUUCUAAUUUCAACUUUUUCUAAUUUAGUAGGUUCCUCCCUGACUAUAGGAGGAAUACUAAUAGAACUACUUGGUCUUUCAGUUUUUCCUUUAAAAGAAAAUCUGUUUUCAAAAAAUUCAUCAUUCUAGUUUUAAAAAUUGUGCUAUUAUCAAUCAAAUUAUUUUAGAGUCAAUCACUAAAAUUUUGUCAACAUUACUGUGAAGAUAAUAGCCUAUAAAAACAUAAUCAACAGUUUUCAUACUAAGUUUAGUUCUCUUAUGUGCUUAAAUAUAAACACCCCCAUGCUUUAUGAUAUUUAUAUGAAAGUAUUCUACCAUUUCAUAUGUCAUACAGGGACUUAUUGUUUUUCUUAUUGAAAAUUCUGUUAAGAAUAUAACAUGUAUUAAGGAGGGUUUCCCCUCACAAGUUAAAAGAUAUUCUAGAAGAGUUUAGCAUUGAAAUGACCAUAUCUUUAAGAGUCUUAUUUUUUUAUUUCAGCGAGACCAUUAGAUUGGGGAGAAUAAGGAAGAGUAAUAUCAUGAAUUGUACCAUUAUCAGCACAGAAUUUAUCUAAAUCAUUUGUAUAUUAUCCCCUAUUAGUUCCUAAACUUUUAAUAGUUUUGUCUAACUGGUUUUCUACUUCAGUUUUAUACAAAAUAAAUUUUGAAUAACUUUCAUCGUUGUUCUUAAAAAGAUAAAUGUAACAAUAUUGAGAAUAAUUGUCAAUGAAAGUCAAAAAUAUAUAUAUAUUUCCACCACGUGUAACAUAUCAUUUUAAAUCACAUAAAUUAGAAUGUAUUAAACUUAAAACUGAAGUAGUUCUAUCAGCAUAAGAAAAUGGUUUUCUAGCAUAUUUAGAUUAAACACAAGUUUCAAAUUGCAUUUGAAAAAUCAUCAGUUUUAAGAGUGUUCCCCAAACUCAUUAAUUUUCUAAUAGAAGAUAUAUUAACGUGUCCAAGUCUUACAUAUCACAAAUUAAAAGAAUUCAACAAGUAAAUAGAAGAAGUUGAUACUUUAUUAUUAGUCACAGAAAUAUUGAAUUUAAACAUACUCUCAUCUGCAUACCCUUUCACAACCCUUAGAUAGUACAACUUGAUCACUCUCGAAUGCAAUCUUAAAUCCUUUUUUGACUACGAUAAAAUCAUAUGCUAGAUUUUUUCUAAUUUUAGAUAAAGGACAUCCUUCAAACUAAAGAUAUUUGCAAAAGUAAAUCUAAGUAUCACAGUUCCUUCUCCUCGAUUUUGGAGGAAGAAGUAUUUCCCAUGAUCAAACAUUCUCCAUCACUAGUAGGAGUGAAUAAAGAAAAUGCACCGUUUGUGUGUCAAAUUUACUUGGUAGCUCCAAAAUUUACCUAUCAAUAUGUUAUUUUGCUUACUAGAUUAACUUCUAUAACCAUAUCAGAGAAAUUUCCGUCCUCUACUACAUGUGCAUGAUUCUUCACUGCUUUUCCCCUUCCUUUUUUUUUUUUAAUCUCUAUAGUCCUUUGCAAAGUGAAUUGGUUUACCAUAAACAAAAUAGUUACUAACAAUUUUAUUUUUAAAUUGAGAUUUAGACCAAUUGUUCCUCCCUAUGAAUUGCUUUCCUCUGUUUCUGUCUCAUAAGUUGUAUCCCUUGGUGAAAUUUUCAACAAAAUUCUUACUACAAGAAUUUCCUUCAAGAAGAUUAGCUUUGGUAUCCAAAUCUAGUCUCUCUGUACAUUCUGUCAUUCUGUUGUCUCCUCAAUUUUAAUCAUGAUAAUCAGAUCCUCUAUGGACGUUUCUUUUCUUUUAUGCGUCAAACUGUUUUUAUAUUCUUUUUAAGAAGGUGUUAAUUUUUCAAUAAUAGCAUACACUUGUAAACCUUCACAAAUUUUAUAUCCCUCAGCAAUAAUUUCAUAAAUUAUAAUCUGUAAUUAUUCAACUUGACUGACCACUGUUUUAAUGUCAUCUAUUUUAAAAUCUAAAAAUUUCCCUACAACAAAUUUCAGAUCUUCUCUUGCAUAAAGCAGUCAACAGCUAGGAAGACCCUAUGUAACCCGCAAUCUCAUUCUCCUUUUUGUUUGAUCAAUUUCACAAUUGUGGAUCGGCAAAAUAGAAACCUCAAUUGUGAUCAGCAAAAUAGAAACCUCAAUCUCUGAAAAAGACAAACUAAGAUUACCAAAGUACCGAAAGCUUAGAUGAAAAAAUAAUAAGGGAAAUGGCAUAGCAUAUUUUUCUAAAUAAUUUCAUAAUUCUUUAGCAGAUUUAUACGACCAAUAAACAUCAUAUAAAUCUAACGUCAAUUAAUUUAGAAGACGGUUUCUACACAUAUAUUCUUUAUGUUUCCAACUAGAUAAACCUUUUAUUUCCUUAGCUGUAGGCUUAUCAUUAAUUGCAGCAACGAGUUUAUCAGCUUCAAUAACAUCAACAACUUUAACCAUUCAAAUAAAAUCACAAUUUCAUUUGCCAUCAUUUAAAAUUUUUUUCCAUCAAUUCAGAUUUUUCAAAAUAAUUAGGAACAUGCAUAUCCAUUGCAAACAUGACAAUUUAUUAUAAUAAAAAUUUUAAUUUAGAUCUUUGGAAAAAUAACUGUCGCAGUAACUUUGAAUGGUAAUAUACAGAAAAUAAAACUUAUCAACUGUGACAGCACGGUGUCCUAAGUGAAAUUCUCUGGCAUUAAAUAUUGCAUUGCGACCUAUGUGGAUAAUCACUCAGAAGAUAAACGAUCAAACAAAAUUCAGAACUCUCAAGUAUACUCUAGAGAGAGAGAGAGAGAGAGAGAGAGAGAGAGAGAGAGAGAGAGAGAGCGUGUGUGUGUUACAAAAAAUAAAAAUGAUGAUUCCAUUUUUUUGAUCUAUCCAGAGCUAGAUAUAUGUUUAUAUAGGUAGAAUAGAUAUAACCGCAUCCAACAUGAUCCAGAAAUAUUUGCAACUAUUGAUGGAUUGUGGAUAAUGGGUUGUUGAAAAAUGAUCAUAUUAUAUUGACUAACUUGACCCAUUAAAUAAUUUCGAAAAUGAUUAAAAUAAAUUAAAAGGUAUUAUUUUAACCAUGGAAGCCCAAGAGCCCAAUUAAAAACUUUUUUAUUAUUGCGUAGAAUGUGGCCCAAACUUUCGACCUCCCACACAAAUUCUACACUUUCGAUCAAUUGGGCAUUUUAUCUAAAUUAGUUAUUUCGUUCACAUAUUAUAUUUAUUGUAUACAUACCUAACAAGGAAUUCAUUUUCAUGCCUAAGGAGAGCACCAUUCAAUCGAUAUUCUGUUCGCUCUCCAAUUUUACUCAAUUCACUUUUAAGCAUUGAUCCUAAAUACUGAUUUGGUAAUACGAAUUUCUUGAGGGAAUUGGUUCUUUAAAAUACAAUUAUUGCAUAUGGACGUGGUGGUCGAGAGGUUUAGACGACUGUGAGUGGAUGUGGUGGGGAGGAAAGUUCAGAAGUGUCGGUGGUGAUGGCGGUAGGGUGGCGUGUUGUGGUAGAAUGAGGUGGGAGUGAGAUGAAGAUGAUUGUGGCCACUUAAUUUGGUUUGUGACUAAUAAAUAAGUUGUUAUCUAUAAAAAUGCACAAUUUUGCAUUCAAUUUGUAAUUGUGACCCACAAAUUGUGUGUUUGUGACUAUAACCUUGCGUGAUUUGAGACUAAUAUGUGAUCGUGAUUGUGAAUUAUGUGUUAUUAUGACCUUGAUUUAUAUAAUUAAUUAAUACAUUACAAAUUUCAUUAAAGAUCAUAAAAAGUGAUCACCUAAUUUUCGAAACUUUUUAACAAGUUUCUUAUUUUUUACUAUGUAUUUUAAAAUAUUUGUGAUUAUGUAUUUUUUUUUCUCAAAUUUAUUAUUAGAUGCAUAGGCCCAUUUUGAAAACCCACAUUACAGGUUUACAAAUCACUCUUGCAAUGGAUAUUAAUUUAAUAUUUUAUUUUCACCUUUGCUUUGUAUUUGGAAAAUGUUGGUGUAUACCUUAUGUUGUACACACAAUAUUACACCCCCCCCCUCACAUGGAGGGGGUCCACGAAUAUUAUAAUACAUGUGGGCCUCUCUUGAUGUAAGGGGGGUGUAAGGCUGUUUGUACACCAUUGUGUACACACAGCACAACCCAAAUUUUGGAUUUGGCGUCACGUACAGGGCUACGUUAAAGGGGCCCAACUUGCCGCUGUGAUAGGCUGGGGAUAUUUAAAAAUGAAAGUCUUUUUCCUUGUUUUUUUAUUUUUCCUGAAUUACCUCUUUUGUUUUUGUUUUUUUUUUUUUUUGCUAACAUCAACUCAUAUUUUUCCAUCAUAUCUUUUCACAAUAAUUUGUGAAAAAGUAAGUUUAUUUGAAAUUUUAAUUAAGAUAUAUAAAAUGAAAGUACUGCAAAUAAAUUUCUCGAAUUUAAAUUCCAUGACAGCAAAUUUAAGACAAAAUUUCAUGUCAAGUAUUUGUCUAAUAACUUAUCAAAAUUUUAGGUAAGCGUGAUUUUAAUCUAGUAAUUUAAUUAAGCCCCGUGCUGGUGUAGCUAAAAAAUAGCGUUUAGUAAAUUUUGAUAAAAAUUAAUGAAAUGUGUAAUUCGAAAGUUGUGGAUCACAUAAAAUGUAUGAUUAAAAUUAAUUGUUAACUUUAACUUAGAUUUUAUUCCGCAUCAAACAAGGGCUAAAUUUCAAUUAGUUAACUACACUUUGAUUUAAUUUCAAUUAAGGCAACUAUGCUCAAUUUUUCAUUGACAUUCAAUGAAUUUUGGUUAUCACACAUAAAUUCUAGUUGCCAACAUGAAAUAAGUACAAUUUUAGUGAAAAAAAUGAUGAUCAUCAUCUUGACUCUUAAGUCAUAAUUCCCCAUCAUUCAAGUGAUGGAAUUUAAUGAGUUAACUUGAUCGAAAUUAUAUUAAAGCGGGUUAUUCAACAUAAAAAAUUGAAGUACGAUUCUUGACUAAGUGAAAGAAUCGUCAAGGGAAAUGAAAGUUAUGAAAUUUCUAAUUCAUUAAACCAAAUCCAUACAUGACACGAGGCACUCUGCAUAGAAAGUAGGAUGCCUGAAAAGAAAAAACCGAUCUUUACUCUUCACAAAAACAGUUUUAUUACACUUGCAUCAUGGCUGACAACUUUGUUUAUACUCUUUGACAUGUAACACAAUUUUACAAUUGAUUUUAACAGUCCUUAUUCAAAUCAAUGGCCUCAAUUUUGCCACCACAAAGUGCGUCAAACUAGUUGUACAACUAGCUUAAUUCUCCCAAGAAUGGCAAUAGAGUCGAGUUAAAAAAAAAAAAAGAAAAAAAGAAAAAAACAUUGUUCAGUUUUUCAUCUUUCCUAUUUUUUAGCCGGAAGAAAAAAUUUUCACAUGUAACGAUUGUGUGUAUGUGUGUGUGAAAGUUGUUAGGGUUGUGACCCAAAUUUGGUUGGUUUUUUUAUUGGGAAAAUAAUUUUUUCUUUACUCCAUGCUUUUUUGAUAUUAUUUCCAUCUUAAAAAUAUUGUUAGCAUUUUGACAUGUCUCCUAGAUAUAACUAGCUCUUCUUUACAAGUUGGUCUAUUACAGAAGUUAGAAUAAUUGUGAGAAACACGAUUGUUGUAAUUCUUUCUCUAUUAUAGUUGAAUAUAAUCUCCAAUUCCUCAAUCAAAUUAAAUUCUUGUAUUUGUGUUCAUCUAGUUGUCGUGAUCAAUAUUUCAUAUCAUGCCGUAUAAUCUCGUUUUGCCCCCAACAAAAGUGAGGAAAAUGAAGAAAUGAGAGUUAUGCAAGUCGACAGCAACAAUGCAUUGUGAAUUCAAUCGAGUAAGCCUGUGCUAGGAUUAUGAUGCCAGGGUUCAAACAACAAACUUUCUUGUAGCUAAGCAUUCAAGAAAUCUUUUAUGCCAUGUUCGUCAACUUCCAAGUCUGUGGACUGGUUCUAGUCACGGACUUGGGCUGACAGUUUCUCUUUGCGACUCUUGUUCUAGCAGAAGCAAUUGGAAUAAUUGGGACCAUGAUCUUGAAAAUGUGGAUAUAGAAGACGAGAAUGAGGAUGACGAUAAAGACGAGGAGGAGGAGGAAGAACAUAAUAAUGAAGAAGAAGAUCAUGAUGAUAAUGUUGAUAAUCAAGUUGUGCCUUCAUCUUCAACAUCUCUGCCUCCACUUUUGGCUUCAAGUUCUUCCAACAAUGAAGAGUCUUCUUACUGGAUAGACUUUAUAGGGAAAGAAAUGGCGUUUUCGGUUCAAAUUUCCAAAUUUCAUUUGCACUAACAUUCGAGGAUUAUAAUGUAAGCUUUUUUCGUUUCUUGAUUCUAUUUGUUUCAACACAGAUUCUGCUAUGAAAUCCUCAUAUUCUCAAUAGUCAAAAUUUCUCCAUUGCGUUAGGAAACUGUUAGGCCACAAAAGAAAAGUACAGAAAAGAUGGGUUCGUGGACAUUGCGAUAAUCUUGAUGAUCUCUUUUUUUAAAGGUGUUUGUACUUGUAAUUGUUUCUUGCUGUGCUUACAUUGUGACGUUCUUGAUAAAAUUGUUACACCAACAACCCUGUACUUAGGAGACCAUUAUAGACUGCAAAUUCAAGCUUAAUGUAUCUGGUCAUGUUCAAAUUUGUUGUAUGAUUCAAAUCCAGAUUCUUACCUUGUUUACAUUUUAAUGUGUAGUCAUUUUUCAAUUGAUUCAGCAAAGAGUUUAAUGGAUACUAGAUGCCUUCAAAAAGUAUUUAUUUAGUCUAAUACUAUCCAAUGCAACCAAGUCUUGUUUUCUGAUUACAAGAAAAAGAAUACUAAUGAAUCAGUUUUUCGCAAAAUGCAUCAUCAAGAAUGGAGUUAUUAGAGCAGCCUUUACCAGAUCAAAUUGUUGGGUUUUUUUAUACCUAAUAAAUCCCGAGCUAUGACAUUAACUUAGGUUAAUAUAUUUUAUAGAAAUAGGCCGAUGAAUGAAAUAAGUCCAAUAACCAAGUCCACGAGCUCCACCCGGUCCAAUUGUAUUCCCUCUUGGAUGUCUUGAAUCUUGAACCGUUUACCAUCUUUUUGGUCCAAUUAAAAGGCCUAAUCCUAGCAUAUUUAUAAGGAAUAAACCACUACCCAUUUUCUAGUGUGGUUUGUGUGAGAAAAAAGUGGAAAUACGGCUGCCCCCUUGGUGUGUCAAAAACAGCCCUUUUGAAGUGCCAAAAUUGGUUGAUUACUUUGUGUAAUAGGUGGUUUCUUCAUAUCCUACCUUUAUGGUAUUUUCUCCUUGCCUUUUUGGCUACAGAUAAUCACUGUUUCUUACCCUUCAUGGGUAAGACUAAAUAGAAACCGAGGUAAAUUAUAUUGGUCGUAGAUCAGAGCUGGUUGGAUUGGUUGUUGGUAGAGAAACGUACGUUGGACAAAGCCCAGAAAACACCGCACUGAAGAUCCUUGGAAAGAGCUUCUGCAACAUUUGGUAUCAAAGCUUUAUGGUGGUGGUUUUGGCUCAUGAAAUAUACUAGAAAAUGUCUUGAAAAUUGGCAGAAACGUAGAGGAAAUCAGUUCAAAGAAGCUGUCCAGAAACUAUCCAAAAAUUGAAUAUGUUCAUACAAUUUCCAGUCGAUCUAGAAGGCUUUUUGGUGAAAUAGAGACCACUGGUGUGACGUGCAGGUGGUGGUGGUCCAGGUUGACCGACGUGUGAGGCUCCCCGCGGUACGUGUGUCGAAGCGUGAGGCCCACACGCAAAAAGGAGAAGCCACACGUAUGUGAGGGGGUAUUUCGAGAUGGCAUCUGCAGGCAGUUUGUUCCUGACGUUAUUUCUAACAUAUUGGUGUUGUUAGUUAUUCUUCAAACGUUUAGGACUCGAUCGUGAUUUGUUGAUUGCUGCAGUUGCUAAAGUGACGCCGGGUAGGAUAGUGAUUAUCCUAUUGGCUUGUUGUAGCAGAUGAUUCGCAAGAAAAGAACGACAGAAAAUGCCCAAAAAACCAAAGAAAAUACUCUGAAUUCAACUCAAUAUUAUUAAUAAUGUAGAAUGAUGAAAACUAACCCACAAGCCGGGUUAAAUAGUUGCGAAAUAUGAAAUUAUGGGAAAAUUACCAAAAAUGGCAAAAUCCCAAAAUUAUACCAAAAUAAAAUAUUAAGUAAAAGAAGUAAGUUGCCAAAAAUUUGGCUCAAUUCGAGUUUUCUAACAUAUGGAAAAAAGGAAACGAAAUAUUACCAUAAAUAGUAAAAAAUAACUUAAAAAUGAAUUUUGGAAAGAAAAAUAGUGGAUUUUGGGCUUGAAAUUGACUUCCAUCGAGCAUAGCUCGGUGGCCACGACGUGCGCGCUGAAGAGAGCUUUCUGAAUUGGGGUCAUAAUAACGAUUCCGAUAACCGUAGCCAAAGUUAUGGCCAAAUUAUCAAAGAUGCGUCAAAUUCUCCCAAUUAAGGAAAUAAUUGUGAUUUACUUUCCAUCUCAUGGUAUCUCAGCGCCAAUCCGCCAUCUCAUGGUAUCUCAGCGCCAUCAUCGUGCUAUCUGACAAAUCAGCAUCACUUGACUCGAAUCCUCCUGCAUCAUAAAGGCUUUAGGACUAAUAAUGGUGGUUCUAAAGUGAUAAAUUUGUGACUCUCAUAAUAUACGGACUCAGAUUGGUCCGCUCUAGUAUAUUAGCUUAUCUCAGUUUAAAUUUCAACAUUAGCACGUCAUCGUGUAGGGGCAUGUGGGGGGGACAAUAGGUUUGUGGUUACCGUAAUGGGGUAACAUUGCUUGUACUAGAAAUUUAGGAGUUAUUUGCCAUAUUUUGAAGUAUUGAACUUUGAUUGCAUGUUAGUAGUUGAUUUUGUAUUUUAAUUGUCAUUUAGUCACUAUGUGAGACUUAUUGUGUGAGAAUUCGAACUUUUGUUUACAUACCUUCGUGUUGCAUUGAUUAUCCUAUUAGAACACCUGAACGUGACCCAUUCAAACAUUUCCUUGAUCUAAGAUCAUGAAUCUUACGAAACCUUGGAAAAUUAGAACGGUGUAUAUUGCGGCCUUAGGAUCACUUUGUGUGACCUAUCCGUGGAUUUGGUUGUUCUUUUUUUUUCUUAAAAUGUCUAUAUACUUUGAAGUUGGAAUUUUUAAUGGGAAAGGGGAUUUUUCAAUUUGGCAACAAAAGAUAAAGGGCAUUUUAAUCCAACAAAAAGUUUCAAAAGUCAUAAAUGACAAAUUUUCUACAAACUUAACAGAAGCACAAAAAGAAGAGUAUGAUGAACUUGCAUACACUUCAAUUAUUUUGCAGCUGUCUGACAUUGUUUUGAGAAAAGUUGAAAAACUCGAUUCUACCAAAAAACUUUGGAAAAAUUGGAGGACUUAUAUUUUCUUAAAUCCCCUCCUAAUAAAUUGUAGUUACUUGAAAGAUUUUUCAAUUUUAAAAUGGAUCCUUCAAAGGAUCCUGACGACAAUCUGGAUGCCUUUAACAAAUUAGUUCAAGAAAUUGUUAAUUGUGAUGAAAAGGUCUCUGAAAUAUUUAAGGCUAUUAUCCUACUUAAUUUCAUGCAUGAAUCAUAUAGAGAGGUUAAGAAUGCAAUUAAGCAUGGUAGGGACACCUUAACAUCCGAAAUUGUCAUAGAUUCACUUAGGAGUAAGGAGAAGGAGAUUAAUAUUGAAAAAGAGAAUUGGAUGAGUGAUAAGUUACAUAUGAUGAGGAGUAGGAUGAAGUUUAAGCAAAUGUAUUUAGGUAGAACUCAAGACGAUAGUGAUUCCAGUAGUAACUCAAGUGUGAAGGUAGUAAGAAGAAGGGGUAAGGGAUAGGACAAGCUUAAUGGUAGACGGUGUUAUAGUUGUGGCAAGUCUAGAUACUUUAUUAGGAACUGACCUAAGAAGAAAUAUAAGCUGAAAGGUAAGAUGAGAGGUGAGUGACGACCCUAGUGAAGUUUAUUGAGAAUAAAUCUAGUUGCUGCAUGUGCAUCUGUGUAUGAUUCUUUUCGCAUGUGUGUGAUUGCCUAAUUCUUGUUGCAUGAGUAUAUGUUGCAUUUGAAAGUGUUUGAUAUGUGCAUUUGAAUUUGAGGCAAUAUGAUUACUUAGUAUAAUUUCCAACAUGCAUAGUGGGUUAGGAUGCACUAGCAAUGCAUUGAAUGUCUUUUGGUGAGCUAGAAUAUAGAUGCCUAAGUGUACAUUGUGAUUUGCACCAAGGAAGUAAAGUGUGACAUUUGAAUCACGAGUGGAGAUGUGAUUAAAUAUCUGAAAUCCUUUAUCUAUAAAGCGACCUUGAUCAAGUGGAGUGUGAGAGAGACACUUCUAUUACUUCUGUUAGGUAGAGACCCAUUAUCCUCGUAGGUUGGAAAAAAUGAUGUGGUGAUAAAGGAUUAUUCCAUAGAUUUAUGAUAUAUUAUGACUUACUAGUUAGAUAUGAGUUGAGUGAUCAGUCUAGUGUUCAUGGUAGACAAUGAGAGGAGAUAUGUUCUCGAGGUGUGAACAACACAGAAUGAGAUAAGGUAAGUGUGGUUUGUGUUAGAAAAAAGUGGAAAUUCGGCUGCGCCCUUGGUGUGUUAAAAACAACCCCUUUGAAGUGCCAAAAUUUGUUUAUUACUUUGUGUAAUUGGUAGUUCCUUCAUAUCCUACUUUUGUGGUGUUUUCUCCUUGCCUUUGUAGCUAUAAAUCAUCAAUGUUUCUUGUCCUUCCUGGGUAAGAUUAAAUAGAAACUAUUGUGAAUUAUAUUGAUUGUGGAUCGGAACCAAUUGUAUUGGUUAUUGGUAGAGAAAGGUAUGUUAGACUGAGCUCGAAAAACACCAAAUUGAAGAUCCUUGGAGAGAGCUUUUGCAACACAAAUAAUAAAAUCGCCAUCAAAUAGUACACUCUGUACAGGGACCAAAAUUCGUAAUUAAUAUAAGAUUUGGUUGGGAUUAAAAAGUAGGACCUCUCCUAGCCUGUAAAUGUGGAGACCAAAGGUUUUGGUCUCUUUAACUUCCAUUAAUUGACUCCUUAGAACUCAACACCAAAUAUGUCAUGCCAAUCCAAGUUGGUCUAUAUUGUUCAUGAAUCUCCCCAUCAUUGGAUUAUAGAUUCCUAAAAUGAUAUCUCGAUGCAGUUUUUUUUACAUUCAUUGUUAUGAACAAACCAGAUACCAAAAUUGCUUUGAUACUACUUGUUAUAAUCUAGAUAAGAUUUGAAACAACUUUAUUGAAAGCGAAACAUCUCUAAUACCAAUUUGUUGAGAAUUUGGUCAAAUAAUUAAAGAAUGAGAAAAGAUGGGUAAUAUGAAAAUAAUUGAUCACAAAUAAAACAAAAUUUACGUGGAAACCCAAAUUUAGGAAAACCACGUGUAGAGACGGAGAAUUCUCCAUAAUAAAAAAUAAGGAGUUACAAAGGAUCUCUUUGGAUCAAUAAUUAGUUGAACAAUUGGUCAAUUCGUAUAUGUGUUGUAAACUACAUAUUUAUAACCAAAGAAUUUCUAACAUACUAUGAGAUUUAACACAUAAAGAGUUUAAUAUAAGGUGAAGUCCGAAUACAAUAGGUAAAACUAAUAAUGGAGAAUUUGGGAUGAAAUAGAAGUCAAAUUCACCUUGAACUCCUUCAAGAUAUCUUCAAGUCUACUACCAAUUCUAAUACUCAUCCAACAGUUUUUCCAAUCAAAUACUUAAUAAGAAUUCGAGUCAUAGCCCAACUCUAACAAAUUUUAGCUUGACAUAAGUUCCAUUGCAAGGAAUAAAACUUAACUCUUCAACUCCAAUAAAAUUCUCUAAACAAAAACACUCCACCAAAUUGCUCCUCCUCUUCCACAAUGCCCCUCCGAGCAUACUCAGCAACUGUGGACAAAUUUUAAACCUUGCAUACCAGCAGAAUUACCUUGUGUCAAACCUACUUGAAUCAUCUUGUUCAUUACCAACUCUAAUUGAGUUACCAAACAUGCUCGAGUCACCAUGAGCACUUCCAACUCACUGAGUUGUCAAGCCUGCUCAGAUCAUCAUGAACAAAAUGAUCAACAAAAUCAUAACUAGCUCCAACUGAGUUGCUAGGAAGUUCUUCAAUAUCAUUGCUUGAAUCACCACGAAUAACUCUACCAAACUAAACUCUAUUUGAGUUACUGCUUAUCUAACCAUAAACUGUAAAAUGCAUCCAAAGUGAUUGUCGAACCGUCAACGAUAUAUAAUUGAUCAUCACAUUGCUUCUCAUCUAGUAAUCAAAAAAAAAAAUAUACCAUAACAAAAUAUCUUGUUGCGAUCUAAAAACGGAAAUCAAAUUUUAUACUUAUCGUCCCUAAAACAAUCAACCUUGAUCAAAUUUCGCUUUAAUAACCAAUGUGGCCCUCCCUGGAACCACAAAAAUCUUAGAUCUGAUACUACUUGUCAUGAACAAAUAAGAUACCAAAAUCACUCUGAUACCACUUAUUACAAUUCGGAUCAUAUCUAAAACCACUUUGUUGAAAGCGGAACAUCUCUAAUACCAAUUUGUUGAGAAUGUGACACAAAUAAUUAAAGAACGAGAAAAUAUGAACAAUAUGAAAAUAAUAGAUCACAAUGACAACAAGAUUUGCGGGAAAAUUCAAAUUUAGGAAAACCACGUGUAGAGACGGAGAAUUACUAUAAUCAAUAAUAAGAAGUUACAAAUGAUCUCUUUGAACCAAUAACUAAUUAGACAAUUGGACCACAUAUUUAAGCCAAAGAAUUCCUCACAUAUUAGGAAAAGUAAUAUAUGAAGAGUUUAAUAUAAUGUGAAGUCCCAAUACAAUUGGUAAAACCAAUAAUGAAGAUUUUGGAAAGAAAUAGGAGUUAAAUUCACCUUGGACUCAUUGAGUACAUCUUCGAGUCUACUACCAACACCCAAUACUCCUCUAAUAGUAUUUUCAAUCAAAUAUUUAACAAGAAUUCGGAUCACAACCCAAUUCUAACAUUCACUAGAUGUACUUUUGUAUCUAAUAGUUUAACCCACGAGACACAUGUCAACUAUGUUAAGAAAAAUGUGCCAAGUCAUUUGGAAAAUUUGGGGUAUGAAUGAGUAUGAUUUUCAUAAAUGCAUCUUGGAAUUCUAGUCUUUAUUAGCUAGCCAUGAACCUGAAUUUUGACUCUCUUUAUUCCCUUAGAAGUAUAGUCUAAAUCAGCUUGCCGUUAAUCCUAUUUACUUAAUCCUCGGUAUUUUUCUUACAUUAAAAAUAUGACCAAUUAAACAAUCAUAUAAUAGAUCGUCAACCUGUGGACCUUUCACACGACCACAUGAUAUGGAUGCCGAAUAUAUUUAUGAUUUAUCCCAAAAACAAAUAGGUUGACUUUAAUAUAGCAUCUACAAAAGAUUGAAGAAAAAUGUGUACACUAACAGCUCCAGUCCACACUAUCUUUUUUGUAUUCUAAUAGCGAGCUGAUUAUAAUUUAUAACAUACUUAAACAAAUCAUUGCAAGUAAAACAAGAUUAAUGUUGGGGGCCCAAGUGGCAGAGACAGUCAAGAAAAAGCAAUAUUAUUCAGUUUGAAAAUUGUGGCGGAGGGGGAGAGGAAGCUGGAAUUCUUUUGUGGCCACGAUCGAUGUAUUUUCUAAAACUCUCUCACUGUGAAGCGUUACUUUUACUACUCUCCAUAUGGACUCGAGCAAUUCAAUUCACAUUUAUAUUUCUAACAUUUUAUGCCAAAUAUUCCGAGUAAAUGCACAUCAUACUGCACAUAGAAUAUCAGCUUUGUGGCCCUUAUGGACCAGUCUUACAUUGUUUUACUUUUAUUUUUAUAGCUUUUCAAAAAUAGCAUUUUAGCAAACAGAAUAUUACAUGAGAAAUCUUUACAUUGGGCUCGUUAUCCGAUUUACACCUCUGCAUAGACUAAUUCCUAAUAGCCUAGAUAGCAUUGUUCUUGAAUAUUUGCUUUUCAUGACUUGAUGUCACAACCAACAUUUACAUAGGCUAACCCUUUUCUCUUACUCCAUAUUCUGUGUAAUCUAUUUUUGUACUAGAACUGAUUUAGGUUCUCCCACUGCUUCAUGUUACAUGUCUAAUAUACACAAGUCUUUCUUUUCGUGUAGGUUACAUAUGGACUAAAUAUUAUUCCCAUAUCCAAACAUAUGAGAAAUUUUAUUCUAUGCUAUGGAUUUAUGCAUUACAUACUAUUAGAUAUUCUUAACUUAAGUUCUUAACACACACAAUUUCUUAGCUUAAUGCAUGUGUACUCCUACUGUCAUGGGACACCUUUUGUAAGACUCGUAAACUUCCGCAUUACAAAAAACCUUCUCCAUUAAGCUAUUUUUAUCGAACUAUUACUGCGUACAAUGGCACAUAAUUUUAUAAGAGCAAAAAAUUAAAAUAGAAUAAAAAAACAUUUAUGAGAAUGAAAUAGAAGAUUGUUAUUGGUCUCUUGAAUUGUAGAAAUUGAUUGUAGAGUUAAUGUUGGAAAUAUGAUAGUGAAAGGGUAUUUUUGAAAUGAAUAAUGAAUAAUCAAAAUCGCAAAGUUUAAUCCUCAAGAGCAUAAUUAAACAUAACAAAGUUAAGAUAUAUAAACCACAAAAAGAAAGGAAACAAGAAUUUAAGAAGGAAGAAUCUGAUGCAAGUGAUAAUCACUAUUUCCUUACGAUAAUAUUGCCUGCAAUGGCACUCACAGAUUAUGGCACUUGUUUCCCAAUAUACAACGGAUAUGACUUGUGAUAGAAGUAUUUCAAACCACAAGUUCCAGCGAACUUUAUGACAGAAUUUUCCUCUCUACAAGGAAGAUGAUAUGGAUGAUUUUGGAGAUGAUUUUACAGGAGAUUCAAUGCAAUGCUUAAUGCAAGAGUGAUAUGGGAUGCCUUAUGGACGUUCAAAGGGUCCUAUUUAUAGAGGAUGAGGGGCUAUAGGUAAAGUGUUGUGUACCAAACCUCGCAACUUUAUGAAUAGAAGCAUCCCUUGCUAUCACUGACCUCUCGGUCGAGUGUCAAAGUUAAAAUUUUAACAAAACCCUUUACGCCCCACCCAUCGCUAGCUCAUUGCUUGAGUGAUAGGCGAGAGACGGAGUUAGGGAAAAAUCUAGGCCAGUUUUUCCUCUUUUUUCUUCCAACUUUGGAUUACAAUGUUUCAUUAAUCCAAAAUUGGUUUUGAGAUUUCAAAUAUACCACAAUAAUCUGCUUGACGAGUAAAAUAAAUUAAUCUAUUUACAUUUGUAAUUUGACUAUGGGAUCAAGUCCAAAUAUUUGGCCGAAUUUGUCACGAAAAUCACUUUUUUUCCACUUUUAUACUUUAUCAAAUUUUCUCAAAUUUAAAUCAAUUUCCAGCAAUCCCCUACAUGAAUGGAAAUUCGAAUAUGUAUAUGCAAUGUGCAAGUUUAUGAUGCAAUGUAGGGAAAGCGGGAAAACAGUGCAUCAUGAAUUGUAGCUUUCGGCAUUUGACCUUCCAUAGUGGAAUAUUAUCGGACUUUCUUGGCUAAUUGCUGAACAUGAUGUCUUGAACCAUUCAGCUGUUUAUGUAAGCCUAGACAAUAAUACUCAUAAAGACGUCUUCCAUUCAGCUGUUAGUGUAAGCUUAGACAACACUACUCACAAGGACGUCUUCCCUAUCCCUUUAUGGUUCUCAUGACUUGGUUUAUUUUUGCUCCGAAUUGUUCUUGGGUUUCAUAAGUGUUUAGAAAAUUUUAGCCUCGAAUAAUUCUCAUUGAAGAGGCCCAAUUUCACACUUACAUAGGUUAACUCCUAUUAAGAGUAUUCUGCUCUACACUUCUUGACUUAGUCAAGAUAUAGGAAUCAUUAAAAGCAUUAUUUAAUCUUAUAACACUUUGCAGAAAGCACUUUAAUUAUCAUAGGAUUGAGUAGCAAUUAUUUCUUAAGUUCUUCAUUGAAUCCUCACAACUUUGUUGUCCCUUUGAACCAAGAUUUGAGAUCUCUAGCCAACAAGGUAGGUAUGGCAUUGCAAAGACUUUUAUGUAGUGGGUUUUAGUCUCAUUCCUCUUGAUAGACAAUGUACUUGAUUUUUAGGCAAACCUUUCGUAAGUAGAUUCACAAAGUUUCCAUUUGAUUUCACAUAAUUUAUGGAGAUGAUGCCAUUAGAGAUCAGUUUCACAAUGGUAUUGUGUCUGCGAUAUAUAUAUAUAUAUAUAUAGGCUUACCUUAUACAUGCUAAUUCGCGCCCUUCCAAUAGCCGAUUGACUAUCACAAUGUAUACUCAUUACAGGUGCUGAGUUGGGCCAAUAUGGAAUGCCUUCCACGAAGUUACAAAGCCAUUCUACUUCUUUUUCAGCUUUGUCCAAAGCAAUGAACUCUGAUUCCAUUGCUUUGUUGAUUUUCAUGAUAUAGCAGCUCCACAAAAGAUAAAUAUAUAUAACUGCUAGUAGAAUAUAUAUAUAUAUAUAUAGACUUACCUUAUACAUGCUAAUUUGCGCCCUUCCAAUAGCCGUUGACUAUCACAAUGUAUACUCAUUACAGGUACCGAGUUGGGCCAAUAUGGAAUGUCUUCCACAAAGUUACAAAGCCAUUCUACUUCUUUUUCAACUUUGUCCAAAGCAAUGAACUCUGAUUCCAUUACUUUGUUGAUUUUCAUGAUAUAGCAGCUCCACAAAAGAUAAAUAUAUAUAACUGCUAGUAGACUUCAAAUCCUUCAUGUUGGAUAUUCAAUUCGCAUCACAAUAUCCUUCUAAUGCUUUUGGAUAUUUUGAGAAGUGCAAUCUACAGGUUAAGGUAUACUUCAAGCACUAAGAACCCUUGCUACAACCUUCCAAUGAUAAUGGCUUUGAUUACUAGUGAAUCUACUAAGUUUAUUUACAACAAAAGCCAUAUCCGGUUGACUGCAGUUCGUAAUAUAAUUUGACUAACUAUCACCUAUGAAUACUUUAGUUGUCACAUACAUUCACCAAUAUUUCUGACUACAUGUAAACUGUGUCAAUAGGGGUUUUCAUAGGACUUUCCUCAAACGCGUUGUACCGUUUAAGUAUACUCUCAAUGUAGUGAUAUUGGAAAAAUAUAAUUUCCUCCGAUGUUUUAGAGAUCUUAAUCCGUAAUAUCACAUCAGCCAGACUCAUAUCUUUCAUAUCAAAAUGCUUUGUUAGCAUUUUCUUAGUGUUUAGCAUCAUUUCAUGAAUAUUGCUUACUAUCAACAUGCCGUUUACAUAUAGACAUACAAUCACAUAUGCAUUUGAUAUAUGUUUUAUGUAUACACAUUGUCACACUUGCUUAUCUUAAAUUCAUUUGACAACGUCAUUUUGUCAAACUUUUGUUUCCAUUGUUUAGGAGUUUGUUUCAAUCCAUACAAGAACUUAACGGUUUAUAAAUCUUUUGUUUGUGAUUAAGAGAAAUGAAUCCUUUGUGUUGUUCCAUGCAUAUCUUCUCUUCUAACUCACUAUUUAGCAAUGUCAUUUUUACAUUUAUUUAAUGAAUCUCAAGAUUUUUUACUGCCGCAAUUACAAUUAACAACCUUAUUGAAUUGAUUCUGGUCACGGGUGAGUAGAUAUCGAUGAAGUAAAGUCCUUCAUUUUAUCUAUAUAUUUUGGCAACAAACCUAGCCUUACACUUAUCAAUGGAUCAAUCAAAUUUCAAUUUAUUUUUGAAAAUUCAUUUACACCUUAAAAGGCUUGUUUCCAAGAGGUAAAUCAACCAACUCUCAAGUAUGGCUUUGCAUUUUAGAAUUUAUUUCACUAUUAAUAGCUUCUUUCCAAUGUGGUGUUUCCAGAAUAGACAUUGCUUCAUCGAAAGUCUUUGAGUCAUUUUCCACCACAUAUUUAAGAAAAUUUGGGCCAAACAUCAUAUAUAUUUUAGCCCUUUUACUAUGCUUUGGUUCUUCCUCAUUUGAAGUACUACUUGUAGUAUCAUAAAUUCGUUUAUUCGAACUCUUAUUUUCCUUUUCUUUACAAGAAAAAAAUUCUUAAAGAGUGACGCAUUUCUUGAUUCAAUUAUAGUUUCCUCAUAUACAUUUUGAACUUCAGGUUUAUGUAGAAGGAAACGAUAUGCACUACUAUUAUUAGUAUAUCCACUAAAUAUGCAAUUAAUCGUCAUGGGACCAAUCGUUGCUUGUUUAGACUUAGGGAUUUCAACCUUAAACACACCCCCAACACACACUUUCAAAUGUUAGUAGGAAUGAGGAUGACAUUUCUAUAAUUCGUAUGGGUUUCUUCCACUUUCUUAAGGGGUAUCUUGUUAAGAAUACUAUUUGCCGUUAAAAUAGCGUCCCCAACAAGCUUUAAAGUAAACCGAACUAAACAACAUGGCGUUCAUAACUUCCUUAAGGGAAUGUAUUUAAUUACGACUUUUGAGACUUUAAUGAACUUUUUUUAAGUGAUGACUUCUAUAGAUUUCGUGGAUUUUUUUAUAGAUUUAUAUGGAACUCUUUGAGAUCUUUCGUAGACUUUCAUUUUAAUUUUUUUAUAGACUUUUGUAGAAUUCAAACGAAUUUCGAAGACUUUCAUUUUAAAUAAAAUUCACGUGGAUCUAGUACAUUUGUGUGAAAUUCUCACAUUCGAGGAAUUGGUUCCCAAAAUUCUCCAUUUCCUUCCCCUUCCUCUUCCCAUAUAAUAAAAAAAAUUAAAAAUUAAAGACCUUAAUUAUAUAAAUAAAUGAUAAUCAAUAAAAAAUAAAUUUAAUAUUCAGUAUUACUAAUAUAAUAUACCUUUAAAGAAUAAAUAAAAAAUGAAAAUAUUUUAAUUUAAUUUAUAAAUUUGUCUAUAUCAAUUAAAAAUAGAUAUUUUCAAAAAAAAAAAAGACUUAGAAAAUAUAAAUAAAUAAUAAGAGAGAAAAAAAAUAGAAUCAAUAGAAAAAAAUUAUUCAUAAUUCUAAUGUUUGUAGAAGGGGAAAGGAAAAAAGAAAUAUUAAAAAAAUCAUUUUCUUUAUUUCAUUUUUGGGAAAGUCUCCCAAAAUUUUGUGAUUAAUAAGAUACAAAAUUUGAGAUUUUAUUUUAGUACUUUUCGCUUAAAGUUAUUACCAUAAAGACUUAAACUAUUUAAAUUCCAAAAAAUCAUUAAAUGUCUCAAUUGAAUACAUCCCUUAAGAGUUCGAUUUUCACAUUCAGCAACACCAUUCAUUUGAGAAGAGUAAGAUAUCGUUGUUUGAUGAAUAAUUUCAUAUUCGGAAUAGAAUUCUUCAAAUAGUGCCCCAUAUUCACCUCCUCUAUCACUAGAAUAUUAUUUAUUCGUUUACAGAAUUGGGUUUCAACAUCUACCUUAUAAUAUUUUAAUGCAUCUAAGGCCUCGUCUUUAUUUCGUAGUAGAAAGACAUAAUGAAACUCUGUACAAUCAUCAAUGAAAGUUAUAAAAUAUUUCUUACCACCUUUAGUUUGAAUAGAUUUCAUAUCACAAAUAUCACUAUAUAUUAGUUUUAAAGAUGUCGUGUUCCUCUGACCUAAGUGAAACGAUGUUUUAGCUAAUUUUGUUUCAACACAUACUUCACACUUAAGAUUAAGAUCAAUCUUAAGUGGCCGAAAUUAAACUUUGAUUCAUAAGUUUGCACAAAUAUUUGUAAUUUACAAGUCCUAAUCGACUAUGCCAUAAACAAAACAACUCAAACGUGUAAACGAAAUUAGAAUUUUUAUUCAUAAUGCUUUGCCUUAAUACAAUUGUAAGAACGUUCGUUUUGAACAUUCCAUCACACAUUUAUCCUUUUCCCAUAUAUAUCUCAUUCUUAGUGAGUACAAAUAUAUUAGAUGCAAAUACAAUUUUAAAGUCAUUUUUGCUAAGUAGAGAUCAAAUACAAUAUUUUUGCAAAUGUUUGGCACAUGUAGGACAUUGUUAAGGACGAGUUCUUUACCGGAAUUUAUCUUCGAAGUAACUUUCCCUUACUUUGAACUAUGCAACUUGCAGAGUUCUCCAUGAAGAGUUGUUCUCCAUUCAAACCAUGGUAGUUACGGAACAUGGACUUGUCAGCGCACACAUGUUAAGUAACACCAGUAUCUAGCCACCAAUCCCUAGAAUUUUCAACGUUGUUACAUUCAGAAACAACUGUAGAUAGAUUCAUUUCAUGAAUUCCUUCAGAUAGUAUGUCUCUUCAAUCAUGUUUGCUUGGGCGUUCUUCUUCAGCUUUUGACAUUUUCUUGAACGAUGUCCAGCAUUUCCAUAAUUGUAACUCGCCUUUAAACCUCUUGGCUUUCUUGGAGAUGCCUCUUCUUGGUGCAUAUUGCAAAUCUUACACUUCCUGUUGACAACCUUCGAACCAGUUUCAACAAAGUUUGCUCCAAGUUGGAUAAUGGAACUUCUUUCAGUAUUCCAAUUGUCUUUUUCAAUCAUCAAGCAGAACAUCCUCCAAGUUGAUAUCCUUACGUUUGUGCUUGAGAUAGUUUUUAAAGUCUCUCCACCUAAGAGGGAGUUUCUCAAUGAUGGCUACAACUUAGAAAGAUUCACUUAAUUCCAUCUUUUCGGAAUGUAUCUCAUCUUGAAGUUCUUGCACUUGACUUAUCAUUGUUUUGAAGUCUUCCAACUUGCCAUCCAAAAACUUGCCAACUAUGAAAUUUUUCGUUCUAGCAUUCUUGGUCUUGUACUUCUUUUCCAACAAGUCCUAUGGAUCCUUAACAAAGUCCUUAGAAAAAUACACUCCAUAUAGUGUAUUGUCCAAUCCGUUUAGGAUGUAGUUUUUGAACAAGAACUUCGAGUACUUCAAUGAAUCCAAUUCAAUAAACAAUUCACGAUUAUUUUCUCCUUCUUGUAUCAUUGGUGCAAGCCCUUUAAGAAACUUUGCCAAGUCUUGAAGUCCACUCCUCCAAACAUUUUUUAUUUUUCCCCAUGUGAGAUCGUAGUAUUUUGAAGUGGUACAGUCAAAGGCGGAACCACAUUAUUCGUACCAUUGGUUGUUUGACUUGAAGUUGUCUCCAUGGUUUUCAUUUCUGUUACAUGAAUAGAAGUUCAACACAAUAACAUUAAGAAGGGAAUAGUAAGUAAAGCCUAUUCCAAAGACGAAGAUCAUAGGUUUGUAUCCACAAAAACCCACAGACUAAAUAUUAUCCUAAGAUUGUUGGAAAUAUGAUAGUAAAAGGGUUAUUUUGAAAUGAAUAAUGAAUAAUCAAAAUGGAAAAGUUUAAUCCACAAGAGUGUAAUCAAACAAAACAAAGUUAAGAUGUAUAAACCACAAAAAGAAUGGAAACAAUAAUUGAAGACGGAAGAAUCCAAGGCAAGUGAUAAUCACUCUUUCGUUAAUACAAUAUUGUCGCGUAAUAGUGCUCAUGGAUUACGGCACUUAUCUCCCAAGAUACAAUGGAUAUGACUUGUGAUAGAAGCACUUCAAACCACAAGUUCUAACGAACUUUUUGAUAGAAUUUCCCUCUCUACAAGGAAGAUGAUAUGGAUUAUUUUGGAGAUUAUUUUACAUGAAAUUCAAUGUAAUGCUUAUUGCAAAAGUGAUGUAGAGGAUGAAGAAUUGUGUAUGAAGUGUUGCGUACCAAACCUUGCAAAUUUAUGAAUAGAAUCAUCACUUGCUAUCACUAGCCUAUCGCUGACCACGGAGUUGAGCAAAAAUCUAGACCAGUUUUCCUCUAUUUUUCUUCCAGUUUUGGACCUAAAAUUCUCAUUCAUCCGGAGUUAUUUUUGAGAUUUCAAUUAUGCCACGACGAUCUACUCAACGAGUAUAACAAGUUAGUAUAUUUAUAUUUGUAAUUUGACUACCGGAUCAAGUCCAAUGAUUUGCCAAAAUUGACACAAAAUUCGCUUUUGUUCACUUUUAUACUUGAUCAAAUUUUCUCAAUUUUAAACCAAUUUUCAGCAGUUUACACAGUGGAUAAACUUUAUAAUACGAUAAUAGCUUACUACAGAACAAUUCCAACACUCACAAUUUCCAUAAUGAUUAAAAGAAAACUCAAGCGGCCCUUGUAGCUACGGAAAGGUUGACUAAACAAGUAAUUUUAUUUGUGAAACAAAAUACUUCGCCGCUAAACAUCUUGAAAUUACUCGAGAGCCAAUGCCGUAUUGAUGGACACUGAUGUUUAGAUGCAACUCGAGAUUCCCACCCUUGAUACCUGUUUUUGUGUUUUCCAACCUUUAUCCAUAAAUAAAUAAAAUUGUGUAUAAUACGAUUGUUGGAAUUUUUGGUUCACAAAAAGUCUUCAAUUAGUGCGAUGAGUAGUUGUGCCUCUUCUAUAUAAAUGGUGCAUAUAAAAUAGUUAUAUCGAAUGUAUACGGCCUUUUGAUAAGGUGCUACUUUGACCAUCAAUUUUGAAAAUGGUGCGAUCUAGUGAUUGAAAUUAAUUUAUGUCAAAAGAUACGACCAUUCGAAGAAACAUAUGAAAAUCUAUAAAUUGGACCCUCCUAAUUCCAUUUGAACGCUCCAAAUCAAUUUCAAAUAAUUCAUUUCCAAUUCUUUUUUCUCUAAAUUCUGUAGAAAUAAUUUCCACAUUAUUGUUGAGUUUCGUGUUCAAGUGUUGAUUCGCUUGACAAAAUUGAUGUUGUGCUACAUUAAUUAUAGAAGAAGCAUUAUAUCUUGGGAGAUGGAUGUCCAUUUGAUCCUGUUAGCAUCCAUGCAUGGGACAAAAUUCAUUUUAAGGAGAUUUGCAUUCACAUGCACCGCUUCAUUUCAUCUCUUUCGUAUUUCUGCAUUUUCUAUGUUCGAGUAAAUCGUCGGUUGUUCAUUCUGAUGUACAUACGAUGACUCAUAUUUUCGACUUGUAGAAUAUAAAUUAUGCAUCAAAUUAUUCAACAAUCUUAAGACAAAUUUCAUUUUAUAUAUCAUAAAUAUGAGUUCACGUGCAUGUAAUAAUCAAUUGACUAUUGUGGAACACGUGUGGAAUUCAAUCGAAUAAAUGUGGAUGUAUUAAGUUCUUUGCUCAUAUGUGGAGUUAUUCAUAUUUUAUUGCACGAAUCAAGUUCAUAUUUUGAGUUGUGAAAUUAUGUUUAAUCCAUGUGCUGAUUCUAAUCCGAGGCAUUACAGAAUUUGUCAUAAUCCAGUACUAGAAAUGUUGACAAGGCAAACAAUUUUACAAAAACAAUGAAGCUUGUGCAAAAUGAUUGCAUUGCAUUAAUUAUGCAAAAAGAAAGUGAUUUUUGUUUUUCAAUUAUUUAUUUGAAAUUUACUUGGAAUUUUUUUUAAAAAUUUGGGAGUGUAGUUGCUACUUAUUCUUUAUUUUUUGUUUAUUUAAAGAGGGGGUAUAUUUGUCAUUUAUAACUUUCAAUUGGAAAAAUGGAUGAAAAUAAAGAUUUUCAAAAAGAAAUAUAAAAGGGUGAGAAUGUUAAAAAAUAAAAGGCAGGGACGUUUUGCAUAAUAAUAAUGAAAGUUGUGUGCUCACAAAAUUAUUUCUUUCGAUUUAAAACACUGCAAGUGUACGAUUCAUUAACAAGUACUACUGUGGAAUUUAGAGUUUCGAAUCGUCCCACAGAGAUUGAGUAGUUCAACUCUAUCUAUCGUAACCUUAACUGAAAUGAAAUUAUCAAAAUUGAAAUCUUAAUCUAAGAAAACCCAAAUUUAGCAAAACCCUAAUUUCGCUAAAAUGAUCUUGAAUGAAUUAAGAACGCAAAACGAUGUAUCUAAAUGAACUGGAAUGCAAUAUGAUGAUUGAAGCGCAUUUUGAUUUUACUCAAUGAAAUUUAAAUGCACUAGGAUCACAAAUUUCCAUGCAAUGAUCACCUAAAACCCUAAUUUUACAAAAUGACAACACAAUUGAAUUAUUGAAAAAUCAAUGCUGCUAAACCUAUCCAACACACUCUCUCGAGCAAUAUUGAACCUAUUCUCAUAUACCAUUAGCCUAUAUCUCUGUGACGGACGCAUAUAUAUAAGAAUGCAUGUGAUUUUAUGAGCAUUUAACGAUUCACGCAAAGCAUAAGAGUAUAUCUCUAUCCCCUAUCAGAUCCUACGAUGAUUUAUACCCUAUCAAAUCUAUUUUCCUUCUCUCAAAGGCAAGAAAUAAAUCACCACAUAUCACAUAAUUACAUGCACUUAAUUAUGGAAGAAAGUAAUGUAUAUAAAUCAUUCAAAUAAUCAAAAACGUGUUUUAACGUCGAAUUGCGAAACUAGAAAUCAAAAGAUCACUUCAAUGUUUUAUCGAUCUCCUAGUAUAAGAAUAUUCAGCCUGACAUGGAGAAAAUAAAAUAAUACAUGAUUUCUUGAAGAUAAAACAUCACCGGGUUAAGGAUUCAUGUGAAAUCUUGAUGAUUUCGUGAAAUCUUUCGUUACUUUUGCUCAAAAUCUCCUCCAAGAUGUAUUUUGUUGCCUCCCAAUGCAUUCUAGCUUGAUAUCCGAUGAGUCUAGGCUUUUAUAUUGCUUCCAAAUUGAGUUUCAAAAGUGUUUUAACGAAACAGGAAACUGCAGAAACGGCCCCCAGAUUUUGUCUAUGAAACUGCAUAGGUAUAACCUAUGCGAUCGCAUAGAAGUAAAAUUGUUGGCACAACAAGUUUCGGUACUAAUGCUCGUGACCGCAUAGAAGUAACACUUGCGGUCGCAUAGAAGCACAUUUUUCAAAGAUAUUUAUUUUGGUCCUUGAACUUUCUUUUCUUCCAUUUUAACUUCGUUUCUUCCUUCUUCUCAUUCCAUCGACCAAUAUUAACCUCCAAUUGGUACUUGGCUCAAUCAAAUCCUUGAUUCCUCUUUUAGUUCAACUUUUGAAUAUUUGCACUUUGGCCCUGAACUUUCACUUUGCUUCAUUUGAUCCUUUUCACUUCUUUUUCUCGUGAAUUCCACCAUGUCCAUCAAUAUAACAUACAAUACAGGAAUUAAAUGAAUUUAAGCCACAAUUCAACACUUUGUUCGUAAUUUAGUCAUAUUUGUGAGUUAAAUAAGUGCGUAAAAAUGCACUUAUCAAACCCCCCAAACUUAAAUUAUUGUUUGUCCUCAAACAAAAUAGUGACUUAGCUUCAAACAAACAUGGCUUAAUAACUUGUCAUGUCUCAGGAUUGGAACUUUGUAUUUGUCAUUAGAAAAAUUUCAAUGGUGCUUGAAUGAGAUCAACAUUUACCUAUUAAGUGCAUACUUGACAUGUGUGUGUGUGUGAGCUCAUGCCAACAUAUCAAGCUCAUAAUGGAGUUAAUCCCAACCAAGAGUGGUCAUGUCCUCACUUAGCUCAAGAGAUAUACAACCCCCCAAACUUAUUCGUUUCACUCAAUUAUCCUGGGGUUGUGUUUUAAAGUUAGGGUUCUAGUAAUUGUAAUCCCUACCCUCUCUUAGUUUAGAUAGAUCUCACUAUCACAAGUUCACAUGUCAACAAAUGAAGGCUCUCCUAGAUUUGAUUGCGUCAACACUUAUGAUUAAACUCAGUUACUUGCCUUGCCCUGAAGGUAUAAUUUUAUCAACUCAAUGUCGAAGAGCUUCAUCCAUACUAUCGUGUCUUUUAUUUUUCAUUUUCUAAAAAUUAAUUUUUUUUUUGUGUCAUCUUCUCAUUCUUGUUAGAGUCAUAAAGGCAUGGAAAAAGGUGUCCUCUUUUUAUAACUUAGAUUUAUGCCCUUAUUAUUUUUCUAGACAUUUGGUCUCUGAAAUCAACUCCCAAUUUAAGACCUUUACCUAGUCUUCAUCUCACCUUGUCUAGGCAAUCCACACAACAAAAUUCAUGCAUAGAGCCCCUUCUUAUCUCAAUGUUCCGUUAUGAUUGCUCAACCAUCUCCCAACUAUUUUAAGGUGGUUCACUAUUUCAUUCGGUGGAGGGUUAUCAUUCUUCUCCUAGCUUAUGUUAAAAACCCCAAUCACUAACUCAACAUGUAAAUCAUAAGUGGCGUACAUCAAGAGUGUCGUGUACUACACCAAUAAGUGCCAGUUAAUACAUUUAGCACCAUAUCCAUAAUUUCUAAACUAUACUUGUCCAAUGAUCACGUAUAGCCAGCAAGGCUAUCAAAUCCACGCAAACAUGCAAUGAACUUAAUAUAGCAUAUUGAAUAGAAUCCAAUAAUCACUCAUCAAGCACACAAUAUGCAACUAGUAAACAAAAGUAUUGAUGGAUUGUGAUAAAUUCAAAACAAAUUACAUGUCGAUAGUUUAGUAUCCAAAAUGUGCCACCAUUCAAAAUAUGCCACCACCAUCCCAAACUUAUACAUUACAUUGCCCUCAAUAUGAAAAGUAAAAGUUUAAACAGGCAUAAUUUGAAGGACAAGUUUAAAUUGAAAGUAACAAAAUGAGUUAAACAAGACUUCCCUAAUCACUACGGUGGUAGUGGUGAUUGAAAACUGGUUCCCACAGUGUCCUCUCCUAGUAGGGGAGAGAGAUCGGCCAAGAUCUGCCUCAAUAGCUCUGACUGUUGGACCUGCUCAGCCUACACCACUUUUCACUCUGUGCCCUAGCUUCUUCCUUUAUGCUACAUACUCUUUCCCAAGUUUCAUUUACCCUCAGUUGUAUGCCAUCCACUUGGCCGACAUACAUUCAGUCGACUAUUCAUGAUGUCAACCUCUCUUCUUGCUGCUUGGGAUUCUCUCUUGGCAUCCAUUGUAAAGUUUUUGGAAGAGAAGACUUUACUUUAUAUCUUCUGUACAUUGAUUGUAUGGCCCCAAAUGCCUGCUGAAGGCUAUGAAUAUCUCUGUUGGAACCAGUCGUGGUGGUAAAGAUAUGUCUUAACAGUUGUGUAUCCACGUCAACUAGUGGUAGAGGAGCUUGUGGCAUCUCUAUAUCUACAUUUGCCCGUCCUACCGCGGCUUGCUGCUCUCUCCUAAUCCUCCAGUGUAGUGUGCUUGAUGAAAGAUCUAGGCUUCUCAGGCACUUCCCUUGAUGGGAUUGUGAUGCCUAUGGACUUGCAUAUAUCUAAAACCAGCCUUGGGAUUUGUAAAAGUUGUUCGAUGCGAGGUCGGCUCCAUAUUAUGGCAUAUAAAAAUAGCCACAAGAUGGCUAUGGAUGGUGUCAGUUCAAUUUGGUGCCAGUCCUUGGUUGGGAGUUGCCAAGCAUUCUCUCGCCCUAAUAGGAUCCUGCCACUUCAUUCCAAUUGAACUCACCCGGGAUGGGAUUUAUGUUGUUCCAAGUGAGCUGAUAAAAGUCAUGGAUAACUUUCGAUGAAAACAUAAUCCACUGUCCCCCCUAACCCACAUCUGAUGCAUAUGGUUGGAGCCCGGUGUGUCAAACUCGACAUUAAAAUUUGCAUAAAACUCUCCAACCAAACUCUCAUAUACAAGGUGUGGUCGCUCCACUAUUUUUUCCCAUCCACAAUUUUUGACCAUAAGGUAACUAAUUCAAAAUCGGGGAAAUUAUCUAACUUCAUUGGCUGCUUUGGGAUUAUUGCCCACCGACUUACGAUGUUUGCAUAGCGGGCUGCGGUCUCGGGAUUUAAGAAUCUAUGUAUGCCACCUUCGAGAUCUCUAGUGCAUGCUAUCCCAGAUAAUGAUUUGACAUUUUCAUUCCCUUUUGAAGUUCUUUUCGAUGGCAUCCUAUAAGAGGAAAAGUUUCAAUAUCAAAACCACAGAGUGUAAUGAAUUAGGCAUGAAAAAAAAAAUAAGAAAGACAACUGUAAAGCACGAAUCCCCCAAACUUACUUCGAGAUGCAUCUAUAACAUGUUGGUAUGUAAUAUUCAAGAUCUUUAAGUUCAAGCUAGUAUCAAUAUUGCACCAAUUAGAAAAACAACCAAAUUAGGCCUGAACAGCACUUCAUGAAAUUUUGAUCCAUGAUCGAGUGAGGACUUUCACCCUCGAGCAUCACUGGGAAAUAUUGAAAUUUUCCUAGGCAAUCUCUAGGCGUAUGGAAUUAUUCAAUGUAGUCUAGCAUAUAUUCAAAUUUCAAGUUGAUCGGAGGUAAUUUGGUUAGGUAAAUGAAUGGGUCAAGUGGGUAACGUAACGUCAAGUGACCUAGCCAUAUCGUGCCUACAUGUGUGCGAUUUGGGUUUUUAUGUUUUGCAAUGUCUUUGCUCUGAUAUCUCAUCACCAAAUGCUACUCAACUCCAUUGUCACACACCACAAAAGCAAAAUUCACAAAAUUUCAUAACACUCCUCACUUAGGCAUUGUAUCAAACACCUUGUGUGCAUAAUGAAAUUUUCAUAACUUUGGCAAUUAAUGCUUUAUAAUCUAGCUCCCAUUUUCACACAUCAAUCAAAAACAUAAAAAAACACCCAAUCUCUACCAAAUAUUGAAAAAUAAGACAAACAAAAUCCCCAAUUUUGAAAUUGAUGGAAUAAGGUGUAGGACACUUACCUUGAAAUUUUGUUUAGAAUUUGAAGAUUGGAGAUCAUUACACAACUCCAAUACUUGAUAUUGUAAUGAUUUGUGCAAUAGAUUGUUGUUGGGUGUGUUGAGUUGUGUUGGGUAUGUGUGUCGUGUGUUUGAGAGUAUGAAAGGGGAAGAACCGUGCGUGUGUGUGUUAUAUGUUUUGAGAGUUGUGUGGACAUGGUGGUGGGUGUUUGUGAUUUAAAAACUUAAAAAAAAUUCUUUUUUUCUCAAACUUACUCUAUGUGACCGCAUAGAGCAAGCCCGUGCGGUCGCAUAGAGUAAAAUGUUAGGGCCAAUUUAGGCCCUGACCAUGAUGGUGCGACCACAUAGCUUUUUAGUCUAUGCAGUAGUAUAGACUAGCAUAGACUAAAAUGCUUGUGCAUCGAGAUGUGUGAAUGUCACACCCAAUCACCUAUGACAUCUCAAUUCAAUCUCAAAUCAUGCUCGAUGCACAGGGCUUCGUAUAUGUAGUGCUUAGACUACCUUGACAUGCAUAGAUGAUCAAUGACCUAUUGACUAAAAAUGCAAACGUGAAAUUGAAAAUUCCUAAGUUAAUGUAGGCUGCCUCCCACCCAAGACUAGUUUAUAAUCGAUAGCUCGACUUUCCCACUUCUGGUUCAAUUAGAUGUCCCGAGCUGAAUGGUGGACUUUUGCUUGGAGAAGUCAUCGUCCCAGUAGUGUUUCAGCCUUUGCCCAUUAACUGUGAAGGUACCCUUUGUUUCAUGGCUGACUUCUAAGGCUCCAUAUGCCAAGACCUUUAUGACAGUGUAAGGACCUGACCACCUUGACCUUAAUUUUCCCGAGAAAACCUUGAGUCUCGAGUUAUAUAAUAGAACUCUCUGCCCCACUUUGACUCUCGCCUCCGAAUGUGUAAAUCAUGCCACUUUUAGGUAUGUUCUUUAUAAAGCUUUGAGUUUUCAUAUGCUUCCAUCUUAAAUUCAUCUAACUCAUUAGGUUACAGUAAACGCUUUUCAUCGGCAGCCUUCAAAUCCAUGUUUAACUAUUUCAUAGCCCAGUAUGCACGUGUUCUAACUCUAGUAGGAUGUGGCACACUUUCCCAAAAACUAGGUGGCAUGAAGACAUGUCUAUCAGUGUCUUGAAUAUUGUUCUAUAUGCCCACAAUACGUCAUCCAACUUUUUAGACCAGUCCUUUAGGGAAGAAUUCAUUGUAAACUCUAGUGUUCUCCUCAACUGGCGAUUGGACACUUCAACUUGCUUUCUGUUCUGUGGAUGAUAUGGGGUUUCUACAUGGUGUUUAACACCAUAUUUACUCAGCAACUGUUCAAAUUAGCGAUUGCAAAAGUGUUUGCCCCUAUCACUAAUUAUUGCCCGCAGUGCGACAUAUUUGGUGAAGACGUAUUUCUUCAAGAACCUAAUUACCACCUUCUCGUCGUUUGUUGGCAAUACAAUAGCUUCCACCCAUUUAGACACAUCGUCAACUGCCACUAGGAUGUACUGAUUUGAAAACAAUGAGGGAAAAGAUCCUAUAUAGUCAAUUCCCCAUAUAUCAAAUAUCUCAACUUCCAAUAUAUUGUUAAGUAGCAUUUCAUUCCUUCUUGAGAUAUUCCCAGUACGUUGACAACUAUCACACCUCUUGAUAAACUCAAAGGCAUCUCUAAACAAUGUAGGCCAAUAAAAUUCUGAUUGUAGAAUCUUUACAGCAGUCUUUGAAGCUCUAAAAUAUCCUACAUACGUAGAUGAAUGGCAAUGUUCAAGAAUCUCAAGCACUUCAUCUUCAGGUAUACACUUCCUCACAAUUUGAUUGGUCCCUCACCUAUAGAAAAUAUGAUCUUCCCAAAAAUAGUACUUCAUUUUAAGCAAAGAACUUUUUCCUCUGGUGACUUAAGUAAUCUAAAGGUAGAAUAGACUUAGCUAAAUAGUUGACAAUAUCUGCAUACCAAGGUGCUUCUUCUAUACUAAACAUUUGUUCGUCUGGGAAAAUCUCAUUGAUAUCCACUGAUUCUUUUGCCUUUCCUGGCUCCAAUCGAGAUAGGGAUCUGUCACUAUAUUUUCACAGCCCUUUUUAUUCCUGAUUUCAAUGUCAAAUUCUUGCAGCAGUAAUACCUAGGGGAUCAAUCUUGGUUUAGCACCUUCUUUGUCAUUAGAUAUUUCAAUGCGGAGUGAUCUGUGUAGACUAUGACCUUAGACCCCACGAGAUAUGAUCUGAAUUUGUCAAAUGCAUAUACCACAGCCAAUAAUUCCUUUUCAGUGGUCAUGUAGUUGAUCUGGGCAUAUUCAAGGUUUUGCUAGCAUAAUAAAUCACACGGAAAAUCUUGUUCCUUCGCUAUCCCAAUACUGUCCCCACAGUAUGGUCAUUGGUGUCACACAUUAGUUCAAAAGGCAGUUCCCAAUCUGGUGCUACGAUUACCGAUGCUGACGUGAGUUUCUCUUUCAAAGUGUUGAAAGCUAUCAGGCAUUCUUCAUUUAAUUCAAAUGGAACGUCUUUCAUCAAUAGGUUGCAUAGUGGCUUAGUGAUUUUUAAGAAAUCCUUGAUAAAUCUCUUGUUAAACCUGACAUGCCCCAAGAAACUACGAACCCCUUUAACCGAUGUUGGCGACGAUAGCUUCUAAAUGACCUGAAUUUUUGCUUUGUCCACCUCAAUUCCUUUGCUGAGACUCGAUGUCCAAGUAUAAUCCCUUCCUGCAUCAUGAAGUGGCAUUUCUCCCAAUUCAAUACCAAAUUAGUUUUUCCACAUCUUUGUAAGACCAAAUUCAAGUGUUUUAAACACUCGUCAAACGAAAACUCAAAGAUCGAGAAAUCAUCCAUGAAUAUCUCUAUAAAUUUCUCCACUAUAUCCGAGAAAAUUGCCAUCAUGGAUCUCUAAAAUGUGGCAGGGGCAUUGCCAAGGUCGAAGGGCAUCCGAUGGUAUGCAAAAGUACCAUAGGGGCAAGUGAAGGUUGUUUUCUCUUUGUCAUUUGGUCCCAUUGGCAUCUAAUUAUAACCUGAAUACCCGUCGAAGAAACAGUAAUGAGAGUGGCCUGCCAAUCUCUCUAGUAUCUGAUCAAUAAACGAAAGGGAAAAGUGAUCUUUCCUUGUGGCUAUGUUGAGUUUACGAUAAUCGAUGCAAACCCUCCAUUCCGUCAAUGUUCUAGUCAAUUUUAGUUCAUUCUUCUCAUUCGACACUACCGUGAUUAUCCCUUUCUUUGGUACCACCUAAACUAGGCUAGUCCAUGGACUGUCUGAUAAUGGAUAUAUGAUUCCAACAUCCAGAAGGUUGAGUACCUUUGCUCUGAUCACUUCCUUCAUAUUUGGGUUCAACCUCCUUUAACUCUCUAUGGUUGGUCAAAUCUAGCAUGAAAAUCUUAUGCAUACACAGUGAAGGGCUGAUCCCUUUAAUAUCUGCUAUGGUCCAUCCAAUUGCUGUUUUAUUUUCCCUAAGUACUCUAAGCAGUUUCUCCUCUUCCACUUUAUUGAAUGUGUUUGAGAUGAUGACUGAGAGUGUAUAAGACUCCUCCAAGUAGGCAUAUCUGAGAUGUAGCGACAGCUUCUUGAGUUCUAAUUUCGGUGGUUGUUGAAUAGAUGAUAGUGGUUUCAUGGGUCCAAUUCCAAACUCCUCAAAAUGCCUUCCACGUGUAUAAGGUGGGUUGGUAUCUAAAAACCUUCCGCAUGUUUUCGUCUCUAUUAAUUCAGAAUGUAGUGACUGAGAGUGUACAAUGCAAGCUUCAUAAGCAUCUGAUAGAUUAUGUAGUAAAAAUGAGUCUUAAACCACCUUGUCAAUCACGUCGAUCUGGAAGCAACUAUCUAACUCUGUAAGUAGUUUCAUUGCCCUGAAGACAUUAAACAAGAUCUGCUCGUCUCCCAGUCUCAAAAUCAACUGUCCAUUGUGAACAUCAAUUAAAGUUCACCCUGUUACCAAGAAUGGUCUGCCAACUAUCAACAGGAUGUCCUUGUCCUCUUCCAUGUCCAAGAUGAGGAAAUCUGCAGGGAAUAUGAAUUUUUCAACCUUGAUAAGCAUGUCUUCUAUUAUUCUCUUGGGAUGUGUCAAUAACCUAUCAGUUAGCUGCAGUGUCACAGUAGUCGCCUUAGCCUCUCCCAAGCUAAGUUUCCUAAAAAUAGAUAGAGGCAUUAGAUUAAUACUUGCACCAAGAUCACAUAAGGUUUUAUCAAAAUAAACUUCACCAAUAGUGCAAGGAAUAGUAAAACUCCCUGGAUCUUUCAAUUCGAUGGAAGCUUUUUUUGAAUUCAAGCGUUGCACUCAUCUGUUAGCAUUACUGACUUGUGGUCCUCCAUCUUGCGUUUAUUUGAUAGUAUAUCCUUCAAAAACUUUGCAUAACUGGGCAUCUGGAAUAGUGUAUCUACUUCUUUAGCCUUUGUGAAAAAGGUAUGGGAGUCUCAUGAGGUUUGACAAUAGCUUUAUUUUAUGAUUUGCCUGGUCCUUCAGCUGGGGUAGAUUCCAUUAUGUGCUCGUUAUGCUCCAUAGCUUCCUUACAUUUCGAGUUUUAAUUGCCUUAGCAUGUUCUUUCGAUUUUAUUUUCGUGUUACUUUGCAAAUUGCCUGGUGCUCUGCCAGUCAAAGCAACUGCCAUUUGUCCUAUUUGAGUCUCUAGAUUUUUGAUAGCUGCAUUUUGGUCUUAAAGAGUGGCCUCAGUUUUCCUCAUGAAUUGAUUAUUAGCUUCCAUGUAGUGAUUGGUCUUCUCCAUAAAUUUACUGAAUAUCUCUUCUAGCUGAGGCUUUUUCUCUUGCUGCUAAUACUGACUCUGUGACCUAUUCUGGUUUUGGUUGCUCCUAGAGAAAUUUGGGUUCUUUUUCCAACUCAGAUUGUAUGUUUCUCCAAAUGUAUUGUUCUGUCGAUGUUGUCCCCAUUGAGCAAAAUCUGCUGCUCUAGUCCUUGUAACAAGAUUGGACAUUCUAUUGUUACAUGUUCGUCUCCACAUUUCUCUCAACUGGCCUUCUUCGACUGUGCUGCAUUAGCUAAUUGUGACAUGUUUUUCACCUUGUGAAAGAAUGAGUCAAUUUUGACAGACAAGACAGAAUAAACGUCCACUUUAUAAACUCAUGGUGUCCUCUUUUGAGCUCCUCAUUUUGAUGUCCACAUAGCUGAUGUAGUAGUCAUAGUAUAAAAAAGUUUCAAUGCGUCAUCAAUUAUCUUUGUGGAAAGUGAUCCGUUUGAUGACGAGUCGACCAUGCUCUUGAAGGCUAGAAGCAAUCCUACAUAAAAGUAUUGGACUUGGAGUCCCUUACUAAUCCCAUGAUGUGGACACUUUCGCAACAUAUUUUUGAACCUAUUCCAGGCUUCAUCAAAAUUCUAUGUGUCGCCUUGAUGAAAAAUAGAUAUGUCAUUCUUGAGCAUUGCAAUCUUGGCAAGCGGGAAGAACUUGGUACAGAAUUUCUAAGGUAGAUUAGUCCAUGUAGUGAUGCUAGCGAUUGGUUAUAAAUCUAGUCAUUCGAUUUCCUUGUUGCGUAGUGUAUAUGGGAACAACCUUAAUCUGAUUGCAUCAUCUGAGAUUCCUUGAUAUCUGAAGUACAUCUCCAAGAAACGAGAGACGUGCGUGUGCAUAUGUGGAUUCUCUUCAAUUUUUCCAUAGAAUUGAUGUCCAUUUUGAAACAGUUGUAUCACAUUGGUCUUCAAUUAGAAGUUAGGCUGCCGAAAUAGUGGAUACACAAUGCUCGACUAGCUUUGAAUUAUCUGAGAGGUCAUGAAAUCUCCUACUAGCAUAUUGCCUUCAUCCGUUGCCUCUCCUUCAUUGGCUUGAAAAUUGGGAUUGUUCUGUACAUUAGCCAUCUGUUGCUGUGCUUCUCUAUUCUCUUACUGCAUUCGAUGUAAAGUUCAUUCUAUUUCUAGAUUAGGUGGGAUCAAGUCUCCUUUAAUAGACUUUAACAUGCAAAUCUGCGAGAAAAAUCAAUAGAAGUGCUUAGAUACUAAAAUGAAGCAAUUAACAAAACAAAUAAAAAUAAAUGAAAUAAUAGAAAAUAAAAAACUAAAAUUAUUAAUGUUCGAAUUAGCGUUGAUGUAAAUAAAAUUAAAUGAAUACUCUAUCCCCGACAAUGGCACCAAAAAUUUGUUCACAAAAUUAUUCCGUUCGAUUUAAAACACUGCAAGUGUACGGUUCGUUAACAAGUAAUAAAAUGGAAUUUAGAGUUUCAAAUAUCGUCUCAUGGAGAUUGAGUAGUUCAACUUUAUCUACUGUAACCUUAACCAAAAUGAAAUUAUCAAAAUUGGAGUUUUAACCUAAGAAAAUCGAAAUUUAGCAAAACCCUAAUCAAAGAAAACCCUAAUUUUUCUAAAAUGAUCUUGAAUGAAUUAAGAAUGCAAAAGGAUGUAUCUAAAUGAAUAAGAAUGCAAUAUGAUGAUUGGAGCACCAGUUGAUUUUACUCAAUGAAAUUUAAACGCACUAAGAUCACGAAUUUCCAUGCAAUGAUCACCCAAAACCCUAAUUUCACGAUAUGACAACACAUUUGAAUUAUUGAAAAAUCAAUGCUCCUAAAUCUAUUCAACACACUAUCUCGAGCAAUAUUGAACCUAUUCUCAUAUACCACUAGCCUAUAUCUUUAUGACAGAUGCAUGUAUAUAAGAAUGCAUGUGAUUUUAUGAGCAUUUAACGAAUCACGCAAAGUAUAGGAGUAUAUCUUUAUCCCUUAUCGGACCCUACGAUGAUUUAUACCCUGUCAAAUCUAUUUCCCUUCUCUCGAAUGCAAGAAAUAAAUCACCACACAUCACAUAAUUACGUGUACUUAAUUAUAGAAGAAAGUAAUGUAUAUAAAUAAUUCAAAUAAUCAAAAACGUGUUUUAAUGUCAAACUGCAAAACUAGAAAUCAAAAGUGAUAAAGAUCACAUUACAUGGUUCAUUGAUCUCCUAGUAUAAGAAUAUUUAGCCUAACAUGGAGAAAAUAAAAUAAUACAUGAUUUCUUGAAGAUAAAACAUUACCGAGUUAUGGAUUUGUGUGAAAUCUCGAUGAUCUUCGUGAAUCUUUCAUUACUUUUGCUCUAAAUCUCCUCCAAGAUGUGUUUUAUUGCCUUCCAAUGCAUUCUGGCUUGAAAUCUGAUGAUUCUAAGCUUUUAUAUAGCGUGCAAAUUGAGUUCUAAAAGAGUUUUAAUGAAAACAGGAAACUGCAGAAACGGUCCCCAAAUUUUGUCUAUGCAACCGCAAGUUAUAACCUAUGCAAUUGCAUAUAAAUAAAAUUGUUGGCACAUCAAGUUUUGGUAAUCAUUCUCGCGACUACAUAGAAGUAACACUUGCGGUCGCAUUGAAGCACAUUUUUUAAAGAUAUUUAUUUUGGUCAUUGAACUUUCUUUUCUUCCAUUUUAACCUCGUUUCUUCCUUCUUCUCAUUCCAUCGACCAAUAUUAAACUCCAAUUGGUACUUGGCUCGAUCAAAUCCUCGAUUCGCCUUUUAUUUCAACUUUUGAAUAUUUGCGCUUUGGUCCUUGAACUUUCAAUUUGCUUCAUUUUGGUCUUUUUCGCUUAUUUUUCUUAUGAAUUCCACCAUGUCCAUCAAUAUAACCUACAAUACAUGAAUUUAACGAAUUUAAGCCACAAUUCCAACACUUUGCUCCUAAUUUAUUCAUGUUUGUGAGUUAAAUAAGUGCAUAAAACCCCACUUAUCAGUAUGGGCUUUUGUAUUAAUUAUCCUUUUAAUAAUUUAUUUGGACUGAUUUGCACUUUUUAAAAAGUUUGAGAGCAUGAUUGCAAUUUGUUCUUCAACAUUUCUUUUCUUUUUUAUUGUUUAUUUAAAUAGGGGGUAUAUUUUUCAAUUUACAUAAGAAAUUUUAUGAAAAUGAUUAUUUUCGCAAUAAAGGUGAAGAUAAGGUGAAAAUGCCAAAAACGGAAAGAUAUGGACAUUUUUGCACAAUAAUAUUGAAAGACAAGGACGUUUUGUACUAAUUACCCUUGCUAGAAUUAUUAAAAAUAUUAUCAUUUUGAGGAAGCAAAAGAUCAGGGUAAAUAGUACAAAACAUCCCUACCUUUCAAUGUUAUUGUACAAAACGUCCCUACCUUUCAUUUCUUGGCAUUUGCACCCUUAUUUUCGCCUUUCAUUGUACAAAAGUUCCUUUUCAUUCAUUUUCAAAUAAAAAAUAAAAUGACCCCACGACCUACGUACUUUGAAUUCUCUCUUUAUUUCUUGUCUUCUCAUCUUUAGCCUUUAACGGGGCGAUGGAAUCUUCAAAUUUCGAGGGAAUUUUGACAUCUUUUGGAAUUAUAUUUUGGGUGGCCAUAACAAAAAAUAAACAAAUCAAUCAAAAUCUGCAGACCUGUCGUCUUUUUUCUUUUGUUGUCAUCUGCAAAAAAUUAUCUUCUUUUUUGUCGUAAUUAACCUAUUCAACUGCUCUUCAUGGAUCUGUGUUUUUUUCCCUCCAAAUUUCCCAUUUAAAAUUUUCUAUAUGUGCUUGUUUUGAUGAGUGUUUAGGGCUGUGUCCAUUAGUAUUUUUCUAGUCUUGUUUGGUUCGAAUUCUUAAGAACCUCUUUUUUAAUACAAUUUUCGUAACUUUUUGUGCAUUUUAUUACUCAUUAUUACAUCACUUUUGAGAUAUUGGCUUAUCCUAGCCAAAAGAACUUGUUCUUUAUCAAAUUCUUUUUUUGGGCAUUUUGGGCACUGACUUUGCUUUGAUCCUCUUAAAUGGUUCUUAGAGUAAAAAGUUCUUAUUUUUCUCGUCGAAACCUCAUAUGCUUGAAUGACCAUAAAUUAUUGUUACAUGAAAUUGCAUUGAAUAGUAAGAGUAAAUUUGUGAAUUUCUUGUUUCAAGAUCUGCAAUGAUUUUUGUUUUUUAGUUUUGAUUUUUAAUUAUAUAUUUGUGAUUAAUUUGUAAUUUUUUGAAAAUUUGGAACUAUUGUUGCAAUUAAUUUUUUAUCUUUUCUUUUUUCUUUUUUAUUUGAAUAAGAGGGUAAGAUCGUCUUUUACUGGAAAAAUGGACGAAAAUGACUUUUUGCGUAAUGAAAGGUGAAAAUAGGGGUUAAAAUGCUAAAAAAAUGAAAAGAUAGAGAUGUUUUGCUCAAUGACGUUGAAAGACAUAAAUGUUUUGUGCUAUUUACACCAAAAGAUCAUUUCACAACUGUACACAAGUCAAGAAAAAUUGCAACAAAGGUCCCAAACAUUUCAUUUUGGUGUAAAUUAUACCCUAACCUUUUUUUUUUGCGGUUGUAGUCCCAAGCCUUUAUAUUUAACUGCAACAAUGGUCCAACUUACUGAUUCCAUCUAUAAUGACGAUAGUCAAUAGUGAAAUUGUAAUUUUGACUCAAAUAGACAAAUAAAUGAGGGGUGAAAUAGUAAAUUUACCAUUUUCAUAAACAAUUAAUUAAACACAGAAAAUGAAAGCAAGAAUAUAAAAAUAUUACAGAAAACAUCUCCUUCGACAGAGAUACAGUUUUCCACAUCUUCAGAUAGGAAAACCAGAUUGCAGAUGCUCUUGUUGCAGAUUGUUGGAAUCACCGGCUAUAUCAGGUAUAUGGACCAUCUGACCUACCACAACAAAUUAGGGCACUCGUACAAAUAGAUAGACAUGGACUGUGCAGCAUUAGAACAUGAAUUAUAAAAUUAAUUUACAUGGACUGUGCAGCAUUAGAACAUGAAUUAUAAAAUUAAUUUACUUUUAUUUUUAUAUUAUUCUUGUUUUUGUCUUUAAUUGCAUCAGUUCUUAUUGUAAGGGAAGUAGUACUUCCUCUUUUAUAGCUGUACAUUUAUUUUGUUUUUAGCAUUCACUUCCAUUGUAAGGGGAGUAGUACUUUCUUAUUUACUGCUUUCAGCAUUUUCACAUGUAACCACGACAUUCCUCCUUAAAAAAUGAGGGCAUAUUAAUAAACUUUUGGAGGUACCACCCUUCUUUAACCAAAAAUAAAAAUAAUAAUAAUAAUAAUAAUAAUAAUAAUAAUAAUAAUAAUAAUAAUAAUGAAAGAAAAAAUAAAAUCAUCACUUUCUCAAGCCCAUCCCAAAAUGACUCCACUCCAACCAAAAUUGACCACCAACGCGACAACCAUCACUACCACGGCCAUCACCACCACCACCACCUCUCCCUCCAUCGUCUUCCCAACCAAAGAUGAAAUUAAGAUUUUCCGUAUGAUUGUUGAUCGGUGCACAUAAAACCCAGCCCAUUAAAACCUCAAAAGCAAUAUCUCUGUGGGCCCCUCUUUUUGUGGGUUUAGGAAUUCUGGUCCUUUUGAAAUUCUUUCACUAAUUUCCUUUCUUGCUGGGUUUUCACUGCUUGUAACCCAAAAAUAUAGGGGAGUUGGGAUAUAAGCGUACCAAAUACAUAAGCACCAUCUAAUAUUUUGACCUUAGGUGAAAACUUCUAGUUUCUGUUUUCACUAAAACUUGGUGUGUUUCCACUAAAAAUCACCUUAUAUCUUUGUAAAGAAUCUAACUUUAUGCUCAUUCUAGUGGAUUCUGCAAACCCUUCAAAUUUAUUGGAAAAAUGAGUUGAAUUUUAACUUGAAAAUUAUGGGUUUUGUUAGUGGUUUGAAGCUCAUAAAAUGAGGAAAUUCAAUAAAUAAAUGGAUAGGGAUGGUUAGGUGGCGAUGGACGGGAGGAGGGAGAGGUGGUAAUGGUGAUGGUGAUGUUGAUGUUGAUGAUUGUGAUGGUGGUGGCGGUAGUAAAGAUAUAUAUAUAUAUAUAUAUAUAUAUAUAUACACACACUUUUUCUGAUGGAAAAAUUAAAAUUAUUUUUAAAGGAUCUUCAUCUAGAAUUCAAAGAUCUCUUUCGUCCAAAUCUUCUAGAUCUGAGGAAAAAUCAAGGAAUUCUUUUCAAUCUUCAAGAAAUUCUACUUCAUCAUCUUUCAAAGGAGUCGAUUUUACUCCUAAUAUUCCAAAUCCUUUUUAUUAACCUAAAGAAAAAGAAGAAGAAACUGAGCAACCAGAGUCUCCAAGGUCAUCAAAUUCUUUGAGAAUUGAAUUUUUUACUUUUUCAGCAAAGAGUUUUGGAAGUCCUGAAAUAAAUUUUUCUUUCAAAAAAGAUUGUUGACAAUCUUCUCUAAUCAUGACACGAGAUAGAAACAUAUCUUUGUACCAUCGAAAAUCUUGUAAUUUUGGACAUCUUAAAUUCAUAAAAAUAUCAUUUUGUAAUUGCAUUAAAUUUUCUGGAGUACCAAUAAAAUGUUUGAUAAUAGUUAAACCAAGAACGGUAAAACUAUCAUUAAUUUCUUCUCCAUUUUCGUUACGAAUAAUACUGUAAUUUUCAUCACGUUUGAUAGAGGAAAAGAUAAUAUCUUUCUCAGUUUUUGAGAUAUAAUUAUCCCACCAUUGGCCAAGCUGUCCUAUGAAUCCAAGAACAAUAUUAUUUGUAGCUUCAAUUCUUGAAUUUCCUUUAGCAAGAAAUGUUUUAUAACAAAUGGUCAUUUGUCCCAUUAAAUUAAUAAUUUGGAAUUCAGUAAGUCCGUCUAAGUUCCAUUCAACUCCGGAAUUACCAUCAUAAGAUUUUUGAGGAAGAGAUUUUUCUUCGAAAAGUUGAUCAGCAAACGAAGGAUGAGGAUAAAAUUUUGGGAUAUUUUGAUAAUCAGAUUUUCUCAGCUUAUUGAUUGAGUCAAAUUUUUCAUCAAUAAAUUGAGAUUCAAUUUCAUCAAUAGUAUUGAUGUUUUUUGAAACAUGAAAAUUUUUUAAUUGAGUAACAAGUUCAGAAAGGACUUCACUUUCAGUUUGAAGAGUUGGAGGUUUUCCAAAUCGAGGAAUUAAAUCAUCAUUUUUAAAGAUUGAUGAGGAGGAUGCUUUGGAUAAAUUUUUAUCUUUACUCUUACUUUCUCGAUAUUCUUUAAAAGAAUCUUUUUGAGAAGUAAAAGUUUCUGAUUGAGAAUUUGAUUCAACGCGAUUUAAUUGAGAACACAUGGAUUAUAGAACAACAUUAGUGUAAUUGUUCUGGGAUUGAAUAUUUUUGAUAUCCUUUGCAAUAACCUGAGAGUCAUUAGAUCGUUCUUUUGAAAUUUUUUUGAGAGGAGAUGCAGGUAUUUCAGUUUUUCCUUGUGAAAAAACUAUUUCUUGAUAGGAGGAUGAAUAGAUUGAUAAGUAUUUCCUUCAGGAGUUUUCCAAGAUUUUGAAGGAGUUUUUGUAGUAAAUAUUUGAGGUUUUUUACCAAAAACUUUAAAUUGAAUCCAAUCAUAAAAACUUAAAUUAGUAGAAGAUUCAAAAUAAUCUUCUCAAUAUUUUUCUUUUUGUUUUGAAGAAAAACUCUCUAAAAAGUUUUCUAAAAUUUUUUAAAAAAAUAUCUUGAUCAUAUUUAAAUUCUUUUCUUCUGUCAAUUUCAGAAGAAAUAACAUUAUAUUGAUGAUCAAGAUCAUUAUUUGUAGGAGGAACCAUAUCAGAAAAAGUAGGAGACUCUGGUUGCUCAGUUUCUUCUUCUUUUUCUUUAGGUUGAUAAAAAGGAUUUGGAAUAUUAGGAGUAAAAUCGACUCCUUUGAAAGAUGAUGAAGUAGAAUUUCUUGAAGAUUGAAAAGAAUUCCAUGAUCUUUCCUCAAAUCAAGAAGAUCUGGACGAAAAAGAUCUUUGAAUUCUAGAUGAAGAUCCUUUAAAAAUAAUUUUAGCUUUUCCAUCAGAAAAAGUUAAAAUUUCAUUAGGAAUUGUAUGAGUUUGGGCUGGAAUAGGAGCUUGAAUAUUUUCAAAAUUCCAUUCAAGUCCUCUGCAUUGAAGAUUCCAAGGGAUUCUUUUAGGAAUUUCAACAUUCGAAUGAAAUGGAUUGACUUCUACCAAAAGACUUUCUUCUCUUGGUGAAGAAUGAAGAGCACCUAUAUUGAGUUGAGUAUUCAUAAGCUUAUAAUAUAUUCUAUAUAUUAAAGCAAAAGCAUUUGAUUGGCUAUCAAACUCAAGGUUUUUAGUCUGAAUAUGAAGAUUUAGAGCAUUUAAUAUUGCUUCAUCAGUCAAUUUUAUUGAAAAAUUGGGAUAACAGUUUGAAAAAAUUGGACCACUUUCAAGAUUUGAUUCAAGAAGAGAUAAUAAAAAAUUUUCAAACUUGAGAUGUCUCUUAUCUCUAAGAUUAAUUAAAAUUGGAAUGUCAAGACCAAGUUUAAACAAAGUUUUAACAGCAAUUUGAACUAAUCCCACAUGAACAUAUUCGAAUUUCUUCUUAUGAGAUUCAGUAGAAUCUUUUGAAAAUAAAUUGAUAAAUGCAUUUUGACUAUUAAUUGAAAUUGUUUGCUCAAAUGUUUUAAUAACAUAAUUUUGAGUAAAAUCGAAUUUUCCUAUUUCAUAGAUAGAUAAACCGAGGAUGCCAAAACAAAGAAGUUCAUUGUCGAAAAAAAAUUUGGACUACAAAAUGAUGGAUUCCAAAACCAUGAUUAGCCAAGUGCAAAAGAUUCAAGUCUUAUUGCACGACAUCCAUGCCGAGAAAAUGGAAUUGAGUGAAUCAUUCCAAGUGGCUGCCAUUAUUGAUAAACUCUCUCCUAUGUGGAGAGAUUUCAGAAAUUACUUCAAACACAAAAGUAAGGAAAUGAAUUUGGAAGAAUUGAUUGUGCGCUUGAGGAUUGAAGAAGACAAUCGAAAAAUCGAACGAAAGCCCGUUGAUUAAGAUGGUGCAAAUUUUGUUGAAAUGGAACCAAAGACAACAAAUAAGAAACGAAAGGCUUCUAAUUAUGCAUAGCCCAUUCCGACACCGUCGCGAAAAAUGACGAAAUUGCCCCCGGCGCGAAAAAUGACAAAAUUGCCCCCGGUGCGGCGCGGAUUUCGUUUCCGAUCACCGUCGCGAAAAAUGACGAAGAGACAAUUUCAAGAAGGCUAAGAAGUUCAAAGGGAAUUAUUACAACUGUGGCAAGGCUGAAUAUCGUUCAAGUGAAUGUCGAAAGUCAAAGAAGAAUGCUCAAGCCCACAUGGUUGCAAAUAACACUCUAUCCGAUGGACUGCAAGAAAUGAGUUUAUCUGCAGUAGUAUCCGAAUGCAACAUGAUUGGAAAUACUAUAGAAUGGUAGAUUGACACCGGCGCUACCCGCCACGUGUGUGCGGGCAAGGCGAAAUUCUCCAACUAUCAAGAAUUGAAUGGGGAACAACAAUACAUGGGAAAUUCUGCAAGUUUCAAAGUUAAUAAGUCGUAAUUAACUGGGAUCUUUCUGUGAACAAUAUGGUUUUGAUAAAAUCAUUCCUCUUUCUUCAAAAUCUAUAAAAUACUUUCAAAACAAAAAAAUUUCAAAAAGAAAAUAUUUCAAAAAUUCUCCAGACGAAGUUUCAAAUAAAAAGAAAUUUUCAAAAAGAAAAUUCUCAAAAACACUUCUAACAUCACUUAUUGGAAAUGUAAUAAGACUGGUCAUUAUUCCAAUAAAUGUCCUCUCCAAAAAAAAAAUCAGUACUCUUCAAAUUGAUGAAGAUACUAAAACUCAACUUCUCAAUCUCAUCGAAUCUAGUUCUAAUAAUGAGUCUAGCUCAGAAUUAGAACAGGUUUUUCUAAGUCAAGAAGAUUCUGAUUAUGAAUCUACUCAAAAUUCUAAAUCUAGUUCUUCUUCCAAUAAUGAUAAAGAAAUUUGUGGUUGUAAAACCAUAAAUGUGUUAUCCAAAGAGGAAGAAGUUAUUUAAGAUAUUAUUGAUAGGAUUGACAAUCAUAAACUCAAAAAGAAAUUUUCAUCUCUUUAACCUUCUUCAUCAAAAGAAAAUUUUGAUUAUAUCAAUCUUACCAACAUUCUCAAACGUGGUCAAAAGGAACUUUCGAAAGGUUCUAAACCUUCAAUUCCAGAACUUCAAGUAGAAAUUAAAGAUAUGAAAUAUCAAAUUUCUAAUCUUGAAGAUCAAGUCAAAAAAAUUCACAUGGAAGUAGUUUGCUUAAAAGCAAAAAACUUAAAUGAUGAAUUUUAUUCAAAAUUUAAAGGAAAAUCCAAAAUUUCUUCAAAAUCAUCUUCAAAGAUAUCUUCUCAUCAUUCAAAAUCAUCUUCAUCUGAUUUUUCAUCUACUUCAAAAUUUCCUCAAUCUGAAGAAGAAAAGGUUAAUGUAAUUAACCGUAUUCAACUUCAGAAAUGGUAUUGCAAUAUGACUAUUGUAGUCAACAAAGAAUUCAAAUUGACUACUCAUGUUCUUAUUGAUUCAAGAGCUGAUCAAAAUUGUAUCAAAGAAGGCCUUAUUCCUCCAAAAUACUUUGAAAAAAUUACUGAGCGUCUUUAUGGUGCUAGUGGUAAAAAAUUAGAUAUUAAUUACAAAAUUUCAAAAGCUCAUGUUUGUAAUUCAAAUAUUUGUUUCAAAAAUAUCUUUUAUUUAGUAAAAGACUUAGAUCAAGAUGUCAUUCUUGGUACAUCUUUUAUUGUUCAAAUUUAUCCUUUUAAAGCAGAUUAUAAAGGAUUAACUACAAAAAUUUUUGGUAAAAAAAUAUUUUUUGAAUUUUCAAAUCCUCCUUCUUAUAAAGAUAUCAACUCUUUAAAAGAAGCUGCAAUUUCAAAAAUUAUUCAUAAUAUUAAUCUCAAAAGAAAUCAUAUUCAAUUUCUUCAAGAAGAAAUUUUAUUUCAAAAAACAGAAAAUAGAUUACAAGAUUCUUCUAUCAAAAAUCAAAUAAUUAAUUUACGAAAUAAAAUUGAAAAAGAAAUUUGUUUAACAAUUCCAAAUGCCUUCUGGGAUAGAAAGAAACAUGUUGUUUCUCUUCCUUACAAUUAUGAUUUUCAUGAAUCAAAUAUUCCUUCAAAAUCCCGUCCUAUCCAAAUGAAAAAAGAAUUGCUUGAUUUUUGCAUCAAAGAAAUCAAUGAUUUACUUGAAAAAUGUUUAAUUCGUCCAAGUAAAUCUCCCUGGAGCUGUUCUGCCUUUUAUGUCAAUGAUUCUGCAGAAAUUGAACGAGGAGUUCCUCGUCUUGUCAUCAAUUAUAAACCACUCAAUACUGUUCUUCAAUGGAUUCGUUAUCCUAUUCCUCAAAAGAAAGAUCUUUUAAAUCAUCUCUGCAAAGCUAUCAUUUUCUCAAAAUUUGAUAUGAAGUUAGGAUUCUGGCAAACUCAAAUUAAAGAAAAAGAUAGAUAUAAGACUGCAUUCAAUGUUCCUUUUGGACAAUAUGAAUGGAAUGUUAUGCCAUUCGGUCUCAAAAAUACUCCUUCAGAAUUUCAAAAAAUUAUAAAUGAUAUUUUUAAUCCAUAUUCAAAUUUCAUUAUUGUUUGCAUUGAUGAUGUUCUUAUUUUUUUUAAAAAUUUAGAACAACAUUUCAAGCAUAUUCAUACAUUAAUUCAUAUCAUCAAAAAAAUGGUUUAGCAAUUUCUGCUAAAAAGAUUAUUUUAUUUCAAACAAAAAUUCGUUUUCUUGGUCAUUUUAUUCAAAAUUCCCCAAUUACACCAAUUCAAAGAAGUCUUGAUUUCAUUGAUAAAUUCUCAAAUGAAAUCAUUGAAAAAACAAGUUUGCAACGCUUUUUAGGUUGUGUCAAUUAUGUGGCCGAUUUUGUCGAAGAUAUACGUCAAAUCUGUUCCCCAUUAUUCAAAAGAUUACAAAAUAAUCCUGACCCAUGGAAUCAUGAGUGCACAUUAGCCGUCCAAAAGGUUAAAAGGUUAGUAAAAAAUAUUCCCUGUCUUUCAAUCUUUGACCCCACAACUUCAAUUAGUGUUGAGACAGAUGCCUCUAAUAUUGGGUUUGGCGGAGUAUUAAAGCAAAUCCCACUAGAGUCAUCUCAAGAUUUCAUAGUGGAGUUUGGACUGGCCCUCAAAAGAAUUAGUCAACCAUUAAAAAAGAAAUUCUUUCAAUAGUUCUCUGCAUUUCAAAAUUUCAAGACGAUCUUAUCAAUAAAAAAUUUAUUUUGAAAACAGACUACAAAGCCUCAAAAGAUGUUUUACAAAAAGACUAAAAAAUCUUGUUUCAAAACAAAUCUUUGCAAGAUGGCAGGCUAUUUUGUCCUGUUUUGAUUUUAAAAUACUAUAUAUACAAGGAAAAUCAAACUUCUUGGCAGACUUCCUCACAAGAGAGUUCAUUCAUAAAAAUAGUAAUGAUGAGUUGGGCACAACAAGUUGAUGAAGAGGAUCAAAAUCCUUUUCAAACAAAAACUAGUAGAAAGAAAAAUUCUACUCCAUUCUUUUCAAUCAAUGAUCUCCCAAAAGAUCAUCAAGAAGCUUCUUCUUCUUCAAACUACCUUUAUACCUUUGUCAAAAAAUCAGAUCAAAAACUCAAACAAAAAGCCUCAUCAUCUACUCCUUCAAAUUACAAAAAAGCCGUUCAAAGCACUGGAAAACUUCCUCAAAUUAACCCUCCAAAUACCUUCAAAUAUUUUACCAAAAAUAUUUUUGAAAAUUGCCUUGAUAUGGAAACAUCUUGGCUCAAUAGAUAUUCAAAUUUGGAUAAAUGUCUUUCAAGCAUUUUUCCAAAAGACUUUUGGUUCAUGCCUUCAAACAUCAAAAAAAUUCGAUAUUAUUAUGAGACUAUCCUUUUGAAAAUAGGAUCAGUCAUAAUUACUCAUACUCCAGAUCCAAAAGACAAGUCAAUUAUUAUGUAUUCAAAAAUCAGUAUUCUUAGAGUUUUGUCUUACGAAAACUGGGGACAAAACCCAUGGGAAGAAAAGAGACUCAAGCUCUCUUCAACAUUUUUCACAAUAAACAGUAAAAUAGAAUAAACUGAUUCUUACCAAGCCUACAAACGGGACCACCCAACACGCCUUCUCCGGCUAUCAACGGGCUGACCAACAUCUAUUUAGUAGACAUCCCGGAAUCAAACCAUUAUCACCUAAAUAACAAGUGCCUAAUGUGAUAAAUUAAAUUAAUCUUAAUUAAUUCUCUUAUGGCUCUGAUACCAUAAAGGCCCAGUGGAUGAAGGGAGAGAAAGAGAUCAACAGAAAGUAUGAAAAUAGAAGGAUUUUAUUGAAAAUAUAAAGUUUUACAAUGAAGAGAACAAAUUAACAAAAGAAAAUAAACUUCUUCUUGCUUAAUUCGCUUUGCUGAUCUUGAAGGGCUUGAGGUCUUCUUCUACUUGAAAUCCAGACUUGAAAAUUUCUUUCAAAUGUCAGAAAGAAUCUUGAAAAGCAAGGUGGACGACAGGAUGAUGAAGAAUCACCAAAAGGAAUGCCAUCUUUUGAUAAUUUUUCCAACUUUUGACUUCCUUUAAUAAAAGAAAUUUUUUCUUUAUUAAAGUAGUGAUUGACACUGUCCACAAAGCAAAUCCAAAUUAUGACAAAUCUUGCACCAUUGAAAUUUGUCUUGAUGAAUAUUGAGAAGAAUUUCUCUUGAUUUGUAGGCCCGAAAAUCUCUUAAUUCGUCAAGAAAACUAGGUCCAUGAAGUCAUUUGUUUAAAGCAUCUUUUUGAGCUAGGACUCUUAAUAGUCAUAACUUAAAUCAAUUAAGUCAUCACCAUUGUCAGUCUCUUGCGAAAAUUGAGAUUCUUGAUCAUCUGAAUCUUGAGAUCUUGAUUUUGUAGAUCCUUUUUUAGAAAUUUGUUCAUAAAUUUCUAAUAAUUCUUUUGGAUCUUUACAUUUUGAUAACAUUGAAAUGAUCUUUUUGUUUUUCAGUCAAGAAAUCGACUUGACUUUCUUGUUCUUCCUUUGAGAAUUUAGGGACACCUAAAUUUCUUUGUUCUUGAAUCCAAGAUUGAACUGCUUUUGGACAAUAAUUUGUUUCCUUGAAUUUCGACCACCAUUUGAUUUUGAAUAUUCUUGUGAUCUUUUGAGUAAAGUACUCAUCUUUGAGAUUUUGAAAUUGAAAGAAAUCCCAGCAAAAAAUCCAGGAUACUUUCAUAUUGAAAGCAAAUUGAAACAUAACACUUUCCUGAAUUUUUAGAAAAGGUUUUGCUUCAUCUUUGAAAAAUUCAUAUCCUUGAAGAGUAAGGCUGGGUAAAAUUUGCUCUUCAAGUCCAUGAUAAAUGAACCAUGUUUGAAACCAUUUGAAAAAUGAGGAUGGCAAUUUUGAUUAAAAAGAAUGAACCAAGAAUGAGUCAUAGGUCUAAAAAAGAAGACUCUAUACCAAGCAUUCUAGUAAUCAAAAUAAUUGAAAUUUUCUUGAGUUGUGAAAAAUGUUGAAGAGAGCUUGAGUCUCUUUUCUUCCCAUGGGUUUUGUCCCCAGUUUUCGUAAGACAAAACUCUAAGAAUACUGAUUUUUGAAUACAUAAUAAUUGACUUAUCUUUUGGAUCUGGAGUAUGAGUAAUUAUGGCUGAUCCUAUUUUCAAAAGGAUAUAUAUUUCUUUUCGUUUUUUUUUUCCAUUUUGCCCUUCAUUUAAUUGGUCCAUCCGAGUCAAAAUUACAAUUUAAUUGUUUAUUAACGACAUUAUUUACAGAAUCAAUGAUUUGGGCUAUAGCUGUAGUUAAAUAUAAAGGUUUGAAACUCCAACCGUUAAAAUAUAAGGUUGGGGUAUAAUUUGCAGCAAAAUGAAAUGUUUGGGACCUCUGCUGCAAUUUUGCCCUCUAGUCUAAAUCUUUUAAAAGAUUUCAUUAAUAGAGGAAUUUUAAAAAUUCAAAAAGUCCAAAAUUAAUAUGAUAUUUAAGAAUGCAAAGCAAUAAAUAAUAUUUUUUGUAUGUCCAAAAUUAAUAAUUUUUUUUUGUAUCGGUCUGACAUUAUUCUAAAAAUUCAAAAUUGGAAAUUUAUCAGAGAUAAAUUAUUAAUCUUUAUAUAUCAACCUUAUAUUUUUUAUAUUUAGGUUAUCGGUGAUUAAAAUGUAAACAUUCAUGCUGUAGCACCAUAAAAAAAACAUACUUGCUGCAUAUGCUUAAUAAAAAUAGAAUAGGGUAAGUUUUAUUAGUUAAAAAAAAUAUUUUUUUAGAAUCGUCUUUGGAAGAAUAACUUUAAAGUAACUUCCCAUACUUUUAUGCACAAUUAAGUCUUUGUUUGAUGCCCAUUAUUUCGAAUUUUCAAUACUUUGAAUAAUGAAUUUUUGAAGAAUAUGCAUUUAAAAAAUAGAGAAAGUUUUGGAUUUACGUCCAAAAUAUUUUAUUAUGUAAAUGUAUGGUUUAAAAUGAGUAUGUAAGAAAAAGAAUUUUGAAAUAAAGGAUGUCAAAUAGGGGCUAACACAUGUUCUUUGUGUUAGUUGUAAUCUCUCGCGAUCUGAACAUUUAGAACAAAGGCUAGGCCACGCAUUCCAUACCAUGGAUUGUCAACGUACACAAGCUUACUAUAAAAGUGUGUUUGAUUGAUUUUAUAUAUAUUUUUUUUAAAAAGGGUCAUUUUCUCUCCAAAAAUCUUAACUUUGGGAUGUUUGAUUAACAAUUUUUGCCAUAAAUAAUGUUUUCCAAAUUUUAGUCUUGUGACUAUAUUUUCUCAAAAAUAAGGAAAACAUUUUCUUUCAAGAGUAAUGGUUGUUAUUUUCAAGGUAAUUCACUCUGUCUUUCUCUCUCUCAUCUAUCAACUCUUUCUAUCUACUCGCUAAUAAAGAAUGAACAAGUAUAAUAUUUUAUAAGUUAAAACUAAAUCAAUCAAACACAUUUAAUUAAUAGUUUUCAUAAUGCUCACAAUAAAACGCAACCUUAGAGUUAAUUUUUUAUACCAACUCUUCUUCUAUAUAUAUAUAUAUAUAUAUAUAUAUAUAUAUAUAUAUAUAUAUUUGUAAGCAAUUAUUUCUUCUAUUUGCUCGUGCACAUUCAUUAUCAUUCACAUUCGACAUGAAUUUUUGAAGAAUAUGCAUUUAAAAAAUAGAGAAAGUUUUGGAUUUACGUCCAAAAUAUUUUAUUAUGUAAAUGUAUGGUUUAAAAUGAGUAUGUAAGAAAAAGAAUUUUGAAAUAAAGGAUGUCAAAUAGGGGCUAACACAUGUUCUUUGUGUUAGUUGUAAUCUCUCGCGAUCUGAACAUUUAGAACAAAGGCUAGGCCACGCAUUCCAUACCAUGGAUUGUCAACGUACACAAGCUUACUAUAAAAGUGUGUUUGAUUGAUUUUAUAUAUAUUUUUUUUAAAAAGGGUCAUUUUCUCUCCAAAAAUCUUAACUUUGGGAUGUUUGAUUAACAAUUUUUGCCAUAAAUAAUGUUUUCCAAAUUUUAGUCUUGUGACUAUAUUUUCUCAAAAAUAAGGAAAACAUUUUCUUUCAAGAGUAAUGGUUGUUAUUUUCAAGGUAAUUCACUCUGUCUUUCUCUCUCUCAUCUAUCAACUCUUUCUAUCUACUCGCUAAUAAAGAAUGAACAAGUAUAAUAUUUUAUAAGUUAAAACUAAAUCAAUCAAACACAUUUAAUUAAUAGUUUUCAUAAUGCUCACAAUAAAACGCAACCUUAGAGUUAAUUUUUUAUACCAACUCUUCUUCUAUAUAUAUAUAUAUAUAUAUAUAUAUAUAUAUAUAUAUAUAUAUAUUUGUAAGCAAUUAUUUCUUCUAUUUGCUCGUGCACAUUCAUUAUCAUUCACAUUCGACACUUAUUAUCAUUUCCACUUUAUCUUGGAAGGAAAAAUAUUGGCUUAGAAUGAACGUGGUUGAGAUCACCUUUGAAAAUAUUGAACCAACCCUUAACAUUUCUUUCCAUAGCUCGAAAUAAUGCAGUAACAAAAGCCUAAUUUUAGAUUCAAUAAUUUCAAUAUUCAUUUAUUUUGUCACAACUUUGACUAUUUAUAGAAUAACUUAAUUGAUUUGGUACCCUUGUGACUAUAAUUUCCAUUAAAGACGACAAAGAGAAAUACCCAAUUUUAAGUAAUUUGAGGUUACAAAUAGACAUAACGUCUUCUAUGGAAAACAUCUGUGUCUUUACCUCUCUCUACAAAUUCUUCUUUGAGUUGGGACUUGUGACAACCAUCCUUUUUCAUUCUUAAUUUAAUCGAGUAGUAAAAUCUACUUUGUUGAGGAAGUUAAGAGAAAAAAAUGAUGCAUGUAAAGAGAGAUUUCGAGGUGAAGUUGAGAAAGAAUGAGAUGGUGGCGCCAACAUUGCCUAUUUAAGAGAAUAGGCUGCCACUUUUCCAAUCUCGACUUGCUCUUGCCGCCGGACGAUGUCAGGGUUUUCUUUUGUUAUAAAAAAACCCAAAAAUCUUAUGUUUGAAUCAAUGGUGGUUGUUCUUAAGUAGGCCUUGGCACCAACUUUAAUAUCAUACUAUGCAUUUGCAGGUGAGCUCAUGAAGAAUGAGGCCAGGGAGCCCAAACUUCUUGGCAACAACUGAGGUGUUGACUUUGUCGAAGCCUUGGCCGAUGUAGAAAUCAAGGAUCUUGAUUUGUACAAUUGAAAAUAUAGACCAACUUAUAAGAUUUUAAGCUACUCCUCUUAAGAAGGUUGAUCUUUUAAAAUGGAACUUUAAAUCUUAACAUGUUAUCAGAGCUCAUUAAGCUCCAAUGAGCAAUUCGAUCCGAUUGAUUCAAUAAAUGAGCAUAUCAAUUUUAACAUUGGUCUACUCAAACAAGUCACCAUCUUGCUAGGGCAUGUUAAGGGAUAUAAUCACAUAUUGAAUAAAGAUGAAAAUAAAGACUUAUAAAGUCUUUGGUUACUCCUCUUAACAAGGUUUAUUUUUUUAAGAUGAAACCCCAAGUCUUAACACUGAUGCAACUGUAGAAGGAAAACUUGUACGAAAGAGAAAGAAAGGUCUACUGGCCAUCCAGGUGAUUACUGAACUGACAAAUGCUCUCAUGUUUGCAUAUACAUUUCCAAUUUUAACGAUUAAUUCAUGUAAAUUGGGUCGAGCAAAUUAUUGCAUUUGCAUAAUCCUAAAUAUAUAUCUUUUAAAAAUGAGUCUUUCUAUCUUUGGACGUCCUAAAAGGUCUUGAUAAAGAUCUCAAGACCUGAAUAUUCAUAUUUUUUUACCAAGAAUUUGUUCUUAUCGGCAUUAAAUUACUUGAAUAUAUCGAUUCAACUCUUGAGCAAAUGUGUAGUACAAUAUUGGUUUACAAGUGAAAUCAGAUGUUGCAAGGCUGGCUGAAAAAAAAAAGUUUAGUACAGAAAUUUUUGUUUUGUUUUAGGUUUGUAUCGUUAAAAAUGUGCUACGAUUAGAUUAGAACAAAAGGCUACGACAUAACUAUCCAAUUUUAGAGAAAUAUGUGACACCAAAACUGACCAAAUAAAGUUUUAUUGUGUGUGUUGAUAAGUGCAUUUUGUGCACUUAGUUAUGCCACAUUACUAAACUUGUAUGUCGUUAAAUUAGUAAUUCUAUACUUAAUGUGGGUUAACUUUCAUUUGUUUUAGUGUUUAACUUGUUUGAAGCAACUUGGAAAAGAAAAAAGGAUCAAUUAGCUAUUGGAUGCAAGUUUUUGGGAUCAAGUAUACACUAUAGAAAUUGAGGACUAAAUUGCAUAGUUGAAAGAAAUGAGGCCUUGCAAAGAAUUAUUAUAUUAAUUGGGCGUUGAAAUUGGACUUCCAAUUGGCACACAAAAGAGAAACGGGCUGGACUCCUUCCCCUUUUUUUUUUGGGUUCCAAUAGCAAAAGGCAGCUCACUUGGGCUUCAUUAUAUUGGACAUGUAAAAUUCCAAUUUGAGUCAAUUAUAAGGCUAUCAAAUUGAAAUAUAUAUAUAGACACACACACACACACUAGACGGCAGAAAGGAGAGGAAUUGAUAUGCAUAGAGGACGGUCUACAGUUUUCUGGGAAAAUUUUGAGAUGAAAGAGGUAGCCAAGGUUCUAUACAUCUCACACGCAGAAAAGAAAGAAAAGAGGAGGAGGUGGAAUUAAUUGGAGUCCAACAUCAGUAGCUUUGGUGAGACAAAAAGACAAUACUUGCAGCUGCUAGGGAAGUUAUCAAAUAUUGAGGCUGGUAUAUAUAUGGUCGCACGUGCUGACUCCAUCGGAGUCUUCAGUCAAUUCAGUGGCCGUCGGAUUGGCAACAGACGCGCCUGCACAACAAUUGCAGAUGGAGGAACUCAGUUUGAGCUGAAACUGAAAGAGGAGAAGACGACCCCUUUUUUCAUUUUUUCUUUGGGCUAAUCUAACUGAAAUUGGGCCUACUUAAAAAAAAUAAAAAAAUAAAAAUAAAAUUGCCCAAGUAUGGAAAUUGGAUCCAUUCAAAUGGACGGUCCAUGGAUAAUUGGAUAUAUUGGUUUUAAUUGAUAUUUUUCCCAACUCCCAAACCUAAAAUCAGCCCCAAAAUCCUUGUGAAGGAUGGCAAGCGAACCCUUGGUCCCUUUCCUUAUACAGAAACCAGUUAUCUACUUAUCCUUCAAUUUCUAUUCAAAGCAGUAGCACCAGAUGGAGGUAGUGAGCCGAUGAACAUGCGUGUACCACCAGUGUGCUGUGUGCGAAGACUUAAAGUUAGGGACAAAUCUCCAUCUUCUCCAACCAGACCAAGGACAGACUUCGAAGUCCGAGGCCAAUGGCAAGGCCGAGCUCGAGCAGCCAACAGUGUACAUUGUAGGCUACAACAUUGGUGAUUGGUGAGUUAAAGUUUACUAAGUUCAAUAUUUAAAGUUAAAGAGUUGAAUAUUUGGUUAAUUGAAUUGUUUUGGUUGUCUGAAUUCUAAUUUUCUCAACUUUGUCUCUGUUGUCUCUUGACGGUUUUUAUUGCGUGUUGACUGUUGAGAAAUUGAGGGUUGCUAUGUUGACGACUUGACGUAUUGUAUUUGUUGAUUUGUUCAAUUGUGCCGGUACAACUGCAAUUUGCCGACCCUUUGUUCAAUUUGUUGUAUGUUGAUGCCUGACGCUGUUGAGAGUUUGUUGAGCACUUGGAAUCUUGGAUGACUUGAGUUAAGUGACUCUGUUGAAGAUUUGGAGACUUGAAGUGUUAACUGGCUUGAGUGUUGUACAAGUUAUUAGUAGGGGCGGAGCCAGCACUCGACGAGGGAACACGGUCACGCAUGCUGGCUUCGCCAGAGUCUUCAGUCAAUUUAGUGGCCGUCGGGUUCGCAGCAGACGCGCCUACGCACAGCAAUUGUAGAUGGAGGAACUCAGUUUCAGUCGAAACUAAAAGAAAAGAAGAUGGCCCCUUUUUUCAUUUUUUCUUUGGGCUAAUCUGACUGAAAUUGGGCCUAUUUAAAAAAAAAAAAAAAUUGGCCCAAAUAUGGAAAUUGGAUCCAUUCAAAUGGACGGUCCAUGGAUAAUUUGAUAUAUUGGUUUUAAUUGAUAUUUCUCCAAACUCCCGAACCUAAAAUCAGCCCCAAAAUCCUUCUGAAGAAUGGCAAGCAAAUCCUUGGUCCCUUCCCUUAUAUAGAAACCAGUUACCCACUUACCCCUCAAUUUCCAUUCAAAGAAGUAGCACCAGAUGGAGGCAGUGAGCCAGUGAACGUGCAUGCCAGUGUGCUGUGUGUGAAGUCUUAGAGUUGGGGACGAAUCUCCGUCUGCUUUGACCAGACCAAGGACAGACUCCGAAGUCUGAAGCGAAUGGCGAGGCCAAGCACGAGCAGCCAGCAGUGUGCAUUGUAGGCUGCAGCAUUGGUGAUUGGUGAGUUAAAGUUUAUUAAGUUCAAUAUUUAAAGUUGAAGAGUUGAAUAUUUGGUUAAUUGAAUUGUUUUGGCUGUCUGAAUUCUGUCUCUGUUGUCUAUUGACUUUUUUAUUGUGUGUUGAGUGUUGAGAAAUUGAGUGUUACUGUGUUGAUGACUUGACGUAUUGUAUUUGUUGAUUUGUACAAUUGUGUUGGUGCAACUGCAAUUUGUUGGCCCUUUGUUCAAUUUGUUGUAUGUUGAUGCAUGACGGUGUUGAGAGUUUGUUGAGCACUUGGAAUCUUGGAUGACUUGAGUUGAGUGACUCUGUUGGAGAUUUGGAGACUUGAAGUAUUGACUGGCUUGAGUUUUGUACAUGUUAUUAGUUAUUAGUGAUAGUGAAUCAAUGUUUAAUUCAUAUAGUCAUAGCAAAGGAAAUUAGGAUUUAAGAAUUAUUACUAAGAAUUGUGAUUUUUUAAUCAAUUCUAGUUGAAAAAUAAAUUGGGGGGCAUUUUGCAGAGUAUGGAUCGAUUCUUUCAAUCGAAACGGAAGUCGAUACCUAGUUCUCCUAGUUCUAGUUGUGCUUCUAGUCUAGCCACUACUUCUAGCCUAGCACGCGUGUUGUUAAAUAACACAAAGAAGUCUCGAGCUCAAUUCAAUGUGGAUGAUCUUGUAUCUGAUCCAGGGAAAUGUCUCCUUAUCGAGUCAUAUGAUCCUAAUAUCAGAGAUGAUGUUAGGAUGGCAUACUUGAAGAAAUGUCCUUGUCAACCAUAUGGGCACGACUUUCCAAGAAGACCGAUAGGAAAUGAUAAUAGGUGUUUUCGAAAAGAAUGGUUUUCUGAAUUUCAUUGGUUUAGAGCACAGUAUAGAAAAGGAUGUUGUUUAUUGUUCACAUUGCUACUUGUUCAAACCUGAUAGAAGGAGUCAAGGGGGUGGACAUAUAUUCACCAAGACUGGCUUUAGGGAUUGGAAGCACAAAAAGACAUUGAAAGAUCAUGUUGGGCUCUUUGAUAGUGCUCAUAAUCAAGCUUUUGCAAAGUGUACUAGUUUGAUGAGUCAAAAGCAAAGUAUCUCCUAUGUUAUUUCUAGCCAGAGUAGUAGUCAACAUAAUAGUUAGAGGACAAGGUUGACUGCGGUGCAAGAUUGUACUAGAUUUCUCUUGAUAUAAGGAUUGCCAUCUUGUGGUCAUGAUGAGUCCAAAGAGUCUCUUAACAGAGGAAAUUUAAUUGAGCUAUUAAAUUGAUAUGCAGCUCGUCGUAAAGAAAUGGAAGAAGUGUUAUUUAUUAACGCUCCUGGAAAUGACCAAAUGACUUUACCAAAUAUCAAAAAGGAUUUGGUUAAUUGUUGUGUCGUAGAGAUGAGGAGGGCUAUUAUCAAUGAGAUGGGUGAUUCUUUGUUUUCAAUAUUGGUUGAUGAGACUCGUGAUAAUUCUAUAAAAGAACAAAUGGUAGUUGUUUUGAGACUUGUUGACAAGAAUGGGAAAGUGAAGGACCGUCUGUUGGGCAUUUCUCAUGUUACUGAUACUUGUGCCCAAUCACUGAAGGAUGCCAUUGAUGCAAUGUUUUCUACAUAUGGAUUGAGCAUAUCUAACUUGAGAGGUCAAGGUUAUGAUGGAGCAAGCAAUAUGUCAGGUGAGUUCAAUGGCUUAAAAGCUUUAAUUUUAAAUGUUAUAUAUAUCCAUUGCUUUGCUCACUAGCUUCAGUUGGCGGUUGUUACUGUGGCACGUACGAAUCAUAUGCUUGGUGAUUUUUUUAACAUGUUUGCUAUUAUUGCGAAUUUGGUUGGUGCAUCAUGUAAGCAUGUAGAUGCUCUUAGAGAAAGUUAUCAUGCUGAUAUUCUAGAGAAGCUUAAUAUUGGGAACUUACUAAUGGAACUGGUCAGUUUUAAGAAAUGAGUUUGGCACGCCUAGGUAAAACUAGAUGGGGCUCACGUCUACUAACAAUUACUCGCUUUAUUAGUAUGUUCAACGCCGUCAUAGAUGUUCUUGAGAAUAUAUCAGAAGAUGGCAUAAAUAUAGGUAAAAAAUCAAUGGCCGUAGGAUAGAUGAACACUAUGCAAGAUUUUGAGUUUGUGUUCAGUCUCCACUUAUGUUUGAAAUUCUUGCAAUUACAAACAACCUUUCACAAGCCAUACAAAAAAAGAUCAAGAUAUUCGAAAUAUUCUGAGGUUAUUGAAGUUGUGUAAGUACGCAUUGCAGAAUAUGAGAAACAAUGGUUGGGAUACUUGUUGAUUAAGGUUAUUGAGUUUUAUGUUGAUAGACAUAUUUCAGUGCCCAAUACGGAAGAUAUUGUAGUAUUGAAAGGUCGACCUAGGCAUGCAGCUCAACAGGUGACUUAUUAUCAUCGAUUUUAUGUUGAUUUGUUUUGUCAUGUGAUAGACUCAAUCUUGCAAGAAUUUUUGAGAAACAACUACUGAGCUCUUUGAUUAGAUUUCGUGUUUAAAUCCAAGAGAUUCAUUUGUAACUUUUGAUUAGGCUAAAUUGGUACGUCUUGCCCAGUUCUAUCAUUUGGACUUGAAUAGUGAAGAGUUUUUAUUACUUAGACCUGAACUUGACAAUUUUGUUAUAUUUAUGAGGAUGGACGAAGCUUUCUUCAACCUAAAAUGCAUAUUUUGUGUAGCUCAGAAGUUGGUUGAAACUGGAAGUAAUUGUUAUUUUCCAUUGGUUUAUAGGUUGAUCACCUUGGUUUUGAUAUUACCUGUGGCAACUGCAAGUGUUGAAAUGGUAUUCUCCACUGUAAAUUUAAUCAAGAGUGACUUGCGCAACAAAAUGGGAGAUGACUCAUUGAAUGACCAUUUGGUGGUUUAUGUGGAGAAAGAUCUUUUUGAAAAAGUUGAGAAUGAGGCAAUAUUACAAUGUUUUCAAAAUAUGAGAUCCUGUAGAAUUCAAUUGUCUAAGUUUACAGUUACAGAGUAAGGUUGUAUCGUAUAUUUUUUUAGUAUUUUGGGUUGUAUUGAACUAUAUUUUCAUAUGUAUAUAAUGCUUACAUAUAUAUCGAAUAAUUUUUAAUAUUAAUUAAUCAUAUGUUAAUACGAUCGUUGAUUAUCGAUGAUCAACGAUUAAUGGUCAAAGUCAACCGCCCUAGCUGAAACUGGAACCUAGAUCCGCCCCUGGUUAUUAGUUAUUAGUGAUAGUGGAUCAAUGUUUAAUUCUUAUAGUCGUUGCAAGGAAAUUAGGAUUUAGAAAUUAUUACUAAGAAUUGUGAUUUUUUAAUCAAUUUUAAUUGAAAAUUAAAUUGGGGGCAUUUUACAGAGUAUGGAUCGAUUCUUUCAACCGAAAUGGAAGUCGAUACCUAGUUUUUCUAGUUCUAGUUGUGCUUCUAGUCCGGCCACUGCUUCUAGUCGAGCACGCGUAUUGUUGAAUAACACAAAGAAGUCUCGAGCUCAAUUCAAUAUGGAUGAUCUUGUAUAUGAUGUAGGGAAACGUCCCCCUAUCGAGUCAUAUGAUCCUAAUAUUGAAAUGAUGUUAGGAUGACAUACUUGGAUAAAGGUCCUUGUCAACCAUAUGGGCACGACUUUCCAAGAAGACCGAUGGGAAAUGAUAAUAGGUGUUUUCGGAAAGAAUGGUUUUUUGAAUUUCAUUGGAUAGAGUAUAGUAUAGAAAAGGAUGCGGCUUAUUAUUUGCAUUGCUACUUAUUCAAACCUGAUAGAGGGGGUCAAGGGGGUGAACAUAUAUUCACCAAGACCGGCUUUAGGGAUUGGAAGCACAAAAAGACAUUGAAAGAUCAUGUUGGGCUCUUUGAUAGUGCCCAUAAUCUAGCUUUUCCAAAGUGUACCAAUUUGAUGAAUCAAAAACAAAGUAUCUCCUAUGUUAUUUCUAGCUAGAGUAGUAGUCAACAAAAUAGUUAUAGGACAAGGUUGACUGCGGUGUUAGAUUGUACUAGAUUUCCCUUGAUGCAAUGAUUGCCAUCUCGUGGUCAUGAUGAAUCCAAAGAGUCUCUUAACAGAGAAAAUUUAAUUGAGCUAUUAAAUUGGUAUGCAGCUUGUUGUAAAGAAAUUGAAGAAAUCUUAUUUAGUAACGCUCUUGGAAAUGACCAAAUGAUUUCACCAAACAUCCAAAAGGAUUUAGUUAAUUGUUGUGUCGUAGAGACAAGAAGGGCUAUUAUCAAUGAGAUGUGUGAUUCUUUGUUUUCAAUUUUUGUUGAUGAGACUCGUGAUAAUUCUAUAAAAGAACAAAUGGCAGUUGUUUUGAGGUUUGUUGACAAGAGUGGGAAAGUGAAUGAGUGUUUGUUGGGCAUUUCUCAUGCUACUAAUACUUGUGUCCAACCACUAAAGGAUGCCAUUGAUGCAAUAUUUUCUACAUAUGGAUUGAGCAUAUCUAGCCUGAGAGGUCAAGGUUAUAAUGGAGCAAGCAAUAUGUCAGGUAAGUUCAAUGUCUUAAAAGCCUUAAUUUUAAGAGAAAAUCCAUAUGCUAUAUAUAUCCAUUGCUUUGCUCACCAGUUUCAGUUGGCGGUUGUUACUGUGGCACGUACGGAUGAAAUGCUUGGUGAUUUUUUUAACAUGCUUGCUAUUAUUGUGAAUUUGGUUGGUGCAUCAUGUAAGCAUGUAGAUGCUCUUCGAGCAAGUUAUCAUGCUGAUAUUUUGAAGAAGCUUAAUAUUGGGGAACUUACUGAUGGAAUUAGUCAGUUUCAAGAAAUGAGUUUGGCACACCCCGGUUAAACUAGAUGGGACUCAUAUCUACUGACAAUUACUCGGUUUAUUAGUAUGUUCAAUGCCGUCAUAGAUGUUCUUGAGAAUAUAUCAAAAGAUGGCAUAAAUAUAGGUAAAAAAAUCAAUGGCCGUAAGACAGAUGAACACUCUGCAAGAUUUUGAGUUUGUGUUCAUAAUUGGGCACCAAGAAAUAUAUUAUACAUAUAAAGAAAAGUAGCGGCAUUAGGGAACGAGCUGCCUACUAGACUAAAAAUGGAUCAAAGGAAAAUCUAAAUUAACUAGUCAUUGGGGCUAAUCCAUGAGUAGUACAACCGAAUAUAAUUGCAGCCAAUGAAAAUCGCAAGGCUCAUGGCCGAACAUAUGGUUCCACCGAUAGUGGAAAGCCAAUCCAGUAUCAUAUAUCCGACGUUUGGUCAGGCAAAUUUUCACUUAAGGACAGAUGUUAUCAACGUAUUCCAAAAUGCGCUACAAUUCUUUAGGGGAGGUACAGAGAAUUCCAACGCUCAUAUAUCAAGAUUUUUGGACAUGUGUGCAAUAAUUGAGUAUCCGAUGGUGUCUAGUGAAGCAACCAAAUUGUGGCUUUUCCCAUACACAUUGAGGGACUCAGCAAGGGAACGGUUAGACACUUGUCCACCAUAGAGUAUCAAAACUUGGAACCAAUUGAGUCAGAAAUUCCUUAGCAAAUAUAUUCCACCAAAAAGGAUUGAAAAGCUAAGGAACGAGUCACUACUUUUUAGCAAAUGGACUCAAAAUACUAAUAAGAGGCUUCGAAAAGAGACAAAGGUUUACUUCGCCAAUGCCCAUAACACGGAUUACAGAAGUGGCUUCGGGUGCAAUUCUUCUACAUUGGUCUGAACCUGAUUAGCAGUGCUAAGUAGACUCUGCAUGUGAUGGUUUUAUUACAAAAAGCACUGUGGAUCAGGUCUACCAAAUAUGGAGGAUUUGGCAUUUACCAGUGCACUUUGACCUACUAAAAGGGCAAGUGGAAAGAAAGCUGCUGGGUUAUUCGAAGUUGAUUCUUUGAUAGCGAUUUCAGCACAAUUGGCAUCAUUGACACAGAAGGUAGAUCAGAUACGGAUAGCUCAGACAGUGGGACUGAAAUACAAACAUUGUGGAGAGAGCCACGAGAGUGUUGAUUGUAACGUAGGAUUCCUUUUGCUCAGAUAGUAGAAGACGUGAACUACACCCAAAAUUUUCAAAGGCAACAACACAAUCUAAAUCCUAACACAUAUUACCGAGGCUGGAGAAAUCACCCAGGCUUUCAAUUGAGUAAUAAUCAGGGAGCUCAGAUCGCACCAUAGUAGACCGCAACACCCGAAUUCCAGCAGAAUAGUAGAAAUCUUCACUAGAAGAUCUUGUGACUAAAUUAGCAUAAAUAUCUACUUAGCACAUGCAACGAACAUAUAAGAGCUUGCAAGUUCAGGAUGCUACCAUAAGAAAAUUAGAGAAUCAAAUUGGACAAAUAGCCAAUGCACUUUCAGAUAGACUACCAGGAAUAUUGCCUAGUGAUACUAAAAUAAAUCCUAAGAAGCGCAGCAAGGUUUAACUACUCGCAAUGGGGUACAACUACCUGAAAUAAAUGUAAAGAGGCCAGUUGCUACAUAAGAGAAGGUACCUACCACAGUUGAGGAGUAUUCGGGGUAAUUUGUGUCGAACAAAGAAUAAGAAGAAGCACCAGAGGAUCCAAAGUUUAAGAUAACCGCUCCUGCCAAAGAAAUGGACAAAACACCCCCAUUCCCACAUAGGCAACAGAAGCAUAAGUUGGACAAGCAGUUCUCGAAGUUUCUUGAGGUAUUCAUAAAGUUGCAGAUCAACAUACCAUUUAGGGAUGCACUUGCACAAAUGUCCAGGAAUGCAAAAUUUAUGAAGGAAAUACUCACAAAUAGAAGAAGUUAGAGGAUUUAGGUACAGUGAUGCUGAAUGAAGAAUGUAGUGUCAUCUUGUAGAAUAAAUUGCCACCUAAAUUAAAGAACCCAGGGAGUUCUACUAUCCCUUGUACUAUUGGUAACAUGAAACUUGAUAAGGUUCUCUGUGAUUUAGGUGUUAACAUUAACCAUAUGCCUUACUAUUUUCAGGAAACUAAACUUAGGAGAGGCAAAGGCAACAUCGGUCUUAUUGUAGUUUGCAGACAGUUCCAUAAAAUUUUCCAGAAAAAAUUACUGAAGACAAUCUGGUAAUGGUUGAUAAAUUUAUCUAUCCUAUAGAUUUUGUCAUUCUGGACAUGGUUGAAGAGGAUAACGAUGUGCCAUUGAUAUUGGAAAGACCGUUCCUUGCGACAUGUUGAGCUUUAAUAGAUGUUCAAAAAGGACAAUUGAUGUUGCGAUUAAAUGAUGAGCAUAUGACAUUCAACAUUAUUAGUGCUAUUAAGUAUCCUACAGAAUUAGAUAGAUGUCUGCGCAUUGAUGUGGUGGAUUUGGAAGACCACUUAAAGAAUCUUCUUGUGCACUCACGAGAUAAAACAUCAACAAUUGAAGAGAUAAGUUAAGUUAGAUUGCUUACAUUAUGGAAUUUGCUCCACCCAUUAGGAGAAGACAUUUUGAAGAACUUGGUUCAGGACCUAGUAAACCACUACCUUUUGUUUUAAAAGCACCAAUCUUGACCUCAAGCAAUUGCCAUCACAUCUGAUGUAUGCUUAUUUAAGAGAGUCAUCUACACUCCCUGUUAUAAUUGCAAACGGGAUGACCAAGUUGGAAGAGCAAAGAUUACUAAAGGUUCUGUAGGAACACAAAAUAGUCAUUAGGUAGUAUAUAGCAGACAUCAGAGCAAUCAUUCCAUUGAUAUCCAUUCACAAAAUCAUGAUAGAAGAAGAGUAUAAGCCAACAGUAGAAAAUCAGCACAGAUUGAACCCUACCAUGAAGGACGUUGUGCGAGCAGAGGUAUUGAAACUCCUUGAUACAUGCAUCAUCUACCCAAUCUCUGAUAAAAAUUGGGUUAGUCCAAUCCAUGUUGUUCCAAAUAAAGGGGGUAUUACAAUGGUAAAGAAUGAGUAUAAUUAGCUGACACCGACAAGGCCUGUCACAGGAUGGAGAGUAUGCAUAGACUACAGGAAACUGAACAAUGCAACUAGGAAAGAUCACUUUCCUUUGCCCUUUACUUACCAAAUGUUGGAAAGACUAGCUAGAUAUUCACAUUGCUGUUUCUUGGAUGGGUACUCGAGUUAUAAUCAGAUUGCACCAGAAGAUCAAAAGAAGACUAAAUUUACAUGUCCUUACGGUACUUUUGCAUACGGAAAGAUGCUAUUCAGGUUGUGUAAUACCCAUACCAGAUUUCAGCCAUGGAUGAUGGCAAUCUUUUCAGACAAGGUGAAGAAAAUCAUUAAAGUCUUUAUCGAAGACUUUUUAGUGUUUGGUUUAUCAUUUGAAAAUUGCCUCUCAAAUUUAAGAAUGGUCUUAUAGUGUUGUGAAGAAACAAAUUUGGUGCUAAACUGGGAGAAGUGUCACUUCAUAGUGCAAGAAUGAAUUGUACUUGGGCACAAGACUUCAGUAGAUGGUAUCGAAGUGGAUAAAGUAAAGAUUUAGGUGAUAGAGAAGCUUCAUCCGCCAACUUCAGUAAAGGAAGUAUGUAGCUUCCUUGGCCAUGCAGGGUUCUAUAGGAGGUUUAUUAAGGAUUUCUCUAAAAUCACAAAUCAGCUGUGUAAUUUACUUGAAAAGGACACACAAUUCAACUUUUCUGAAGAGUGUUUGACAGCCUUCAACACUCUGAAAGAAAAGUUAAUUUUUGCACCAAUUAUAGUUGUACCAGAUUUUGACCUACCAUUCGAGCUGAUGUACGACACUAGUGAUUAUGCAGUGGAGAUAGUAUUGGGUCAAAGAAAGAAUAAAAUUUUCCAUGUAAUCUAUUACGCGAGCAAGACUUUGAUAAAGGCACAAUUGAACUAUGCAACAACAAAAAAUGAGCUAUUGGCUAUUGUGUUUGCCUUCAAUAAAUUCAGUUCCUAUCUCAUGGGACAGAAGAUAAUUGUCUACACAGAUCAUAGGGCCCUGAAAUAUCCUAUGUCUAAGAAAGAUAUGAAGCCCAGAUUGAUUCAGUGAAUACUCUUUCUUCGAGAGUUUGAUUUGGAGAUUCGAGGCAAAAAAGGAUGUGAAAAUGUGGUGGCAGACCAUCUUUCAAGACUUGAACAGGUAGAAUAGAAAGACGAGGACGAUAUACAAGACUCUUUCCCAGAUAAGGGUAUCUUCACAAUUGACAGUGGGCUAUGGUAUACGGACAUAAUGAAAUACUUGGCGUGCAAUGUGCUUCCACCUGAGUUCACGCACCACCAAAGGAAGUUCUUUUCUGAGCUGAAAUAUUAUCAUUGGAAGGACCCUAUCUUAUACAAGAGGGGUACUAAUCAAAUCAUCCGAAAGUGUGUACCAAAUGAAGAGGUUUCUCAAAUUCUAGAACAUUGCCACUCUUCUACUUAUGCUAGGCAUUCUGGGCCUUCUAAGACAGUAGCGAAGGUUUUACAAUCAAGGCUUUAUUGGCCAUCACUAUUUAAAGAUGCACAUGAAUAUGUGAAACGUUGUGAUCAAUGCCAACGUAUAGAUACGAUCUCUAAAAAGAAUGAUAUGCCUUUGAAUUCGGUUCUAGAAGUGGAGUUCUUUGAUGUUUGGGAGAUCGAUUUAAAUGGGACCAUUUCCUUCUUAUAAAAAUCAGUACGUAUUAGUGACAGUUGUCUAUGUAUCAAAAUGGGUAGAAGCAGUAGUAGCAUCAACGAAUGAUGCUCAAGUGGUUGUGAAUUUUCUGAAAAAGGAUAAAUUUUCGCGCUUUGGUACCACUCAAACUAUCAUCAGUGAUGGAGGUAAACACUUUUGCAAUAGGCUUUUGGAUUUAGUACUAACAAAAUAUGGGGUAAAACAUCAAGUUGCUAUCCAUAUCACCCCCAAACAAGUGGCCAGGUAGAAGUGUCAAAUAGGGAGCUAAAGAAAAUUCUCAAUAAGAUAGUGAAUAGCUCAAGAAUUGAUUGGUCACGACAACUUGAUGAUGCACCGUGGGCAUACAGGUCUGCUUAUAAAGCACCAAUAGGCAUGUCACCAUAUUACCUUGUAUUUGGAAAAGCUUGUCGCCUUCUGAUGGAAUUGGAGCAUUGAGUAUAUUGGGCAAUAAAGCAGUUGAACAUGGACAUAACAUCAGCUAGAGAAAAAUAGAUGUUGCACUUGAAUGAAUUGGAAGAAUUUCAAAUGGAAGCCUAUGAAACUAUAAAGCUGUAUAAGGAGAGGACAAAGAAAUUGCAUAAUAAAUAUAUCUAGAAGCGUGAGUUCACCCCAGGUCAAAAAGUAUUGUUGAUCAAUUAUAGGUUGAAACUUUUUCUUGGGAAAUUGCGUUCUAGAUGGUCUGGUCCAUUCACAGUUGUUCAAGUCUUUUCACAUGGGGCAGUUGAAGUAACUCACGAGACAAAAGGAACCUUCAAAGUAAAUGGGCGGCGGUUGAAAGCAUAAUGGGGUGGUGCUUUGAUAAAGAGAAGUCACUUACCUAACUUCACGACUCUAAAUGAUCAAUAUGAUAGUCUAGCUAAAGACUAUAAAUUAAACGUUGAUUGGGAGGUAACCUAACCUUCUAAUUCUUUUAUUUAUUUUACUUUUUACACCACAUUUGCAUGUAGAUUUAUUUUGAUUAUUAGUUUGUAUUAGACUUAGGCACAUUUAAAUUUUGUAGGGUAUCACCAUCCUAUUAUGUUUUACCUUAGACCCUUAAAAUUGUUGUUGGUUAUUUCGAUUAUUUGGGCUAAAUAACACAUGUUCUAGGUUAUUUGAUCUUUAAUUUAAGCACUGUGUGCAGGAACAUGAUGUCGUGGAACACUCAAACCAACAUAGAAUAAAGGAAAAGCAUGAUGAAAGAGAUUUUCGAGCCGUCACCCACAGUACCUCACAUAUUCAACGAAAAACUUUGAGGAGUACCAUUUUCCUUUUCUUCCCCACCCCUUAUGCACUUGCUUAUACUUUAUGACUUUGAAUACAAUUUCUGGUUCAAGUUUGGGGGCAGGAAAAAUUUUGAGUUUUUGGUUUUCGUAUGUUUUUGUGUUUAGUUAGAAAAACAUUUUAAAAUUUUUUCUAAUUGUGUGCCUAUAUGGGUUAGACAGUUUAGCUGUCAAUGACAAUAAAAUUGAGAUUUAGUGUUGAUUUAUGAACUGUUGAUAGGGUGCAUGCUAUACUGAUUGAAGCUUAACCUUACAAAACUUAAUAUUAUAUGCGUACUAGAGUUGGGUUUGACAAGGUGAUGAAAUGAGUUGUUUCAUGCUCUUGAUAGAUUGAUUUAGUUAGACAUAGAUGCUUUACCCAAACUAUACUAAACUAAUUAUCCUUAGACCAAACCUAACACAGUUUGGGGGUGAUCCUACUGUUGUAGGAAGAUGCAGGUGUGAAUGUGGAUUCCUUGUGUGAAAAAAAAAGUUUUGUGUGGAUUGUCUUAGAUUAACAGGAUCAAAUUGGGAGAAAGUCUUAAACUGGAGAUCGAUUUACUUGAAUAGGUGUGUGAUAAGGGGCAUUGCACUAAUUAAGGCUUAUAUUUUAAAAUAUAAAACUUCUCUUUGAAGCCUUUAUGACCCGAGUAAUUAAGCCUGCAAAGAUAUCUUAAAACCUGGUGCCCUAAAGUCGUCUGACUUGGGAGUUAUCAACCUAAAGCUCGCUGUAGAGGUCAUUUAGAAAGUAAUUAGAAAUGAAGUUGUCCUCAAAAAAGGAAUUUAAAUUAAAUUAAAAAUAAAAAAAAUCGUUGUUCUCUUCGAAGCCUUUUUAACUUGGGUUAUUAAGCUUGUAAAAGUAUCUCAAAACUUAGUGCCCUAAAGUCGUCUGAUUUGGGAGUUAUCGGCCUAAAGCCUGCUACAUAGGUCAUCUAGAAAGUUUAAGGGGGAGUACAAAAAAAAAACAAAAACAAAAAUAAAAAUCACUAAAUGCCUUGUUUGUUAAGUCCCAACAUUAGUUCAAUGGAAUUUGAUUUUCGAUGAAGGAUAACUAGCCUAGUUGAGUCUUGGUGGUCGAACUAAUCGAAUAAUUGGAUAAUCUUGAUUCAUUGAUGUGUUGACUUGCAAUUAAUGACGUUCACUUGAAUUGGAAAAAAUGAGGAUAGUAAUGAAAAAUUCAACAUUGGAUCACACGGUAGGAAAAGAGUGAAAAAGAAUAAGUUUGGGGUGUAUGAAUCUUACGAGAGAUAAAAGGAUAUAUUUGACCAUUGAGGGUCAAGAACUGGAACGACUUAUGAAAUCAUUAAUGUCUACGUAGUUCUUCACACACAGACACAUCGAUUUUACAUUGGAAAAGUGGAUUUUGAUUUUGUAUUAUGACUUUGAAGCGGUUUGUAGAUUUAAUACGGUAAUCUCAAUUUCUAAAGUAAAUAGCUAGACUGUUCAUAAGAGUGUAAAAUAUGAUAUUUUUCCCUCUUAAUUGUUGCAUUCAUUUGAUUAUGUUAUGUCAAAAUAUACUCAUUACUCUUAUGUUUUGAUCUAGGUCGCAAUUUGAUGGAAAAGGUGAAAUUUGGAAUAAAUGAGUAAAAAGGGUCAAAGUGGAAGAAAGUGAAAGUUCAGGGACCAAGUUACAAAUAAUCCAUAAUGAGACGGGUGAUGGAAUGAUAAUUCAAGAAAGCUAGGAGUCAAUUGGGUGUAAUUUGAAGUCAAAAGAAGUGAAAUAUGACCAUAACAUUUUCACAAAUCAAUCCCAAUUAAAAAAGUUACGCACUGGUUUUCAGCCUCACAUUAAGACCCAUUUUUGACAUGGAAGAUGAUCGAAUUGUCUGAAGCAAAGUUGUAGCCCUUCAAGUUAGCUUUCCAAUACAACUUGAAUCUUCUCAAUUGGACAUCGAGAGCAAAAGUUAUAACUAAAACACUAAAAGCUAUCCGGUGAAAAAAAUUUAACUAUGUGGUCGCAUAGUUCAAAAGCUAUCCGACCGCAUAGAAGGGUCCAAGGAACUUUUGGGCGCCACACAUUUGUUCUAUGCAACUGCAUGGCUUAUAACCAUGCGGCCGCAUAGCUAUCCUCCGAGACCAAUUUCACCAAAUUCCUAAAUUGACGCCAUCACUUAUGGAAACAUGUUUUGACACGUUUCUUAAGCCCAAAAAUGCUCCAGAACGUGGGGGAUUGAACCUGGACUCCAUUUUUCUCUCAUUUUGGCCAAGAAACUUCAUGGAAGGCUAAGAACAACCAAGCAAAGCUACGAACAAACUCGAUUGGUGUUGGUAUUUUAAUGUUUCUUCAUGAAUGUCUUAUUAUUCCUAUUAUUAAAAAAAUUUUGAGAUUGUGAUUUCUUGUUUUUCAUGAGUAGAUUAUGAAAUUGAUUUAAUUUGUACUAAGUUCUUCAUAGAAUUAAUCACUUUCUUCUAUCGAAGAAUUGAACUAUUCAUUGAAUGUUAAUUUCAUUUACCUAUUGGUGUAAUUCUUUACAAUUUUAUGCAUAUUGUAUAUGAGUUUUUUAUUUGAUUUCAAUAGAUUAAAAUGAUGUAUACAGUAUUGGAAAUCUUAAUUUUAGAACUAUUGUCGGAUCAAAGGGAUUUUGUAUGCCAUAUCUUCCAAUCAAUGCAUUAUGAAUGAGAAAUCUUUAAUUGGGUAAAACACUUAAGUGACUUACAUUGAUUAGGCCGAACCAAUUGAGGGACUUUCGAUGCUUCGCUAUCUUACAUUUUGAUAUUUAAAAUACAUUUCAAAUUGGUACAUUAUUUUCAUACAAAUUCAUAUCGAAAAACCCUAGCUUUUGAACUUUUGAACUAUGUUCCCAUCUCCCUGUGGAUACAACACCCCAAAGCUAUACUAUAAUCGUCACGUUAUGCUUUGGGCAUAAUCAACUGUCUAACUAGAUAUUUUUGCAUGCUUGUGUGUUUGUUGUUAUUUAGGUUAUAGUUUUAUUUGAGGACAAACAAAUAUUUAAGUUUGGGGGUGUUUGAUAAAUGCAUUUUGUGCACUUAUUUAUGCAAUAUUGCUAAACUUGUAUAUCGUCAAAUUAGUGAUUUUAUAAUUAAUGUGGGUUAAUUUUCAUUUGUUUUAGUGUUCGACUUGUUUGAAGCAACUUGGAAAAGAAACGAGGAUCAAUUAGCUAUUGGGUAUAAGUUUUUGGGAUCAAGUCUACACUAUAGAAAUUGAAGGACUAAAUUGCAUAGUUGGAAGAAAUGAGGCCUUGAAAAAAAUUGUGAUAUUAAUGGGCUUUGAAAUUGGACUCCCAAUUGACACACAAAAGAGAAAAGGGCUGGACUCUAUUAAUUCAUUAUUAUUUUUUUUUUUCGGUAGCAAAAGCUAGCUCACUUGGGCUUCAAUUUAGUGGACACGUAAAAUUCCAAUUGGAGUCAAUUAUAGGGCCACCAUAUUGAAAUAUAUAUAUAGGAAUGAUUUCCUAAGUGUCGAUGCUUAGCUUAUGUUAAGCACCGUUGACAUGGUAUAUUAUUUAAUUUAUGAAUAAGAUAAUAGUAGGUUACAUGUAUUUAAUGAUUCACAAAUUAAAUGAUGUGCUAUGUCAUUGAUGCUUAAUAUAAGCUAAGCAUGGUGUUUAGGAGAUUAUUCUUGUGUGUGUGUAUAUAUAUUAGAUGGCAAGAAGGAGGGGGAAUUGAUAUACAUAGAGGACAGUCCACAAUUUUCUAGGAAAAUUUUGAGAAAAAAGAGGCAGCCAAGGUUCUAUACAUCUCACGCGCAGAAAAGAAAGAAAAGAUGAGGAGGUGAAAUUAAUUGGAGUCCAACAUUGGCAGUUUUGGUGAGACAAAAAGACAAUACUUGCAGCUGCUAGGGAAGUUAUCAAAUAUUGAGGCUGGUUAAUAUGUAUGUAUGUAUGUAUUUAUGUAUGUAUUUGUGUGUGUGUGUGUGUAUAUAUAUAUGCACGAGCGCAGACAGAGAAAGGAAAAAGUCAGAAUUGGGCACUAAGAAAUAUAUUAUACAGACAAAGAAACGUGGCGGCAUUAGGAAAUAGAACGAGCUGCCUAUUGGAAGGAAAAACAAAAGAAUUCGAAACGAUUAAUAUAUACAUAGAGGCACAGAAGCAUCGAAUUGAAGUUCAAAAGAUAACAAGUUGCCUGCUGGAAAAAAAAAAGAAAAAAGGAGUGCUACCUGUUUACGAUACACCCACAGAAGACGGGUAGAACUUGACAAAUAUGAGGAAGAAGACAGCAACUUUAAUAGGAAGAAUUAAUCACGUUUCGUCAAAGUUUGGUGAUGUCUAUUAACUUGUGUGCAUUUAAUUUCGACAAUAUGUUUGGCUAAACUUUUCAAUAUUGCUAGGAUGUGAUGAACCCUGUUAUGAAGUUCUUAGUUUGAAUAAUUAAUUUGACGAUAAUUUGUUUAAUUGUUUAGAUAUUAAUUAUUGUUUCGUUCGCUUUUCAAAUAAUUGGCCAUUGAUUGAAUUAUUUGUGGGUAUUAUUGUCAUCGAGAGAUAUAAUAAAAUUAGUAGCACAUAGUAAUAAAUAUUGUGAAGUUCGAUAGAGGAUAUAGAUAUACAUGUAUGCGUCACAUGAUUUUUAUAGAUGUUCUAGCUCGUUUAAUGCUUUCUUGUACGUUCGUAUUUUUCAUAGAGAUAUAUGAACAUCACAUGUAUGAUUAGAUUUAAUUGCUAUCGAGAGAAGUUUUUAAAUAAAAUAGGAACAUUGACUAACAAGCAUAAUUUCAAAUUGUCCAUCUAAAUUUUUGAACUAAAAAUGGAUUAACAAGAGGAAUUCUAUAUCUUAGCAAUAUGUCUCACAAAUUUAAUAAAUUUUCUUCAUAUUGCUUUUAAGUUAGUUAAUAGAUUUAAUAGUGUUUAGUUACAAUUUGAUUUUGCUAUUUGAUUGAGGGCAUUGUUAGUUUUAACUAGAUCAAACACAUAGUCAUCUGGAUUCGACACUCUACACACCACCUUAUUACUUGUUCAUGAUUCCAUGCAUUGAAAUUUACUUUAUCGUACAAAGUAAGUAAUUCUUUUUAUAUAAAAGUGUGUGAUACUGCACAGUUAAGGUUGUGUAAAACAUCGAUCAUAAGAAUCCAAACGGUCCUAAAGGAUUUGCAUAUGUAGUGGCUAUGUGAUAAGUAUUUUGUAAAACUUUUAUCAGAUUUUGAGAAAAUUUGAUGAAAUUUGGCGAUAAAAAGUUUAUAAAUUUCAUGAAAUAUAAUUUUAAAAUUAAAUUUUGAUUAGUUAAAAGGUUGAUAAAAGUUAUGAUUUUUUUUUUUUUUUAAAUUUAUCAUGAAAGCUUAGUAUUUAUGAUUUGCACAUACUCAUAGGCCAUAGCAAAUAAGAAGAAUAAGAAAUAAUAAGUACUGAAAAUUUGUUUCUUAGAAAAAUUUCAUGUUUUUAUUUAUUUAUUUAUUUAUUUAUUUUUUUGGUAGAGUCCUUUGAAACCAGGAUUAUAUCUAGUGGGAACCCCAAUUGGUAAUCUUGAAGAUAUAACUUUAAGGUGAGUAACUUGUGUGAAGUGUAAUCUUAUUGAAGCACUGAAUGUUGUGUUUCAUGCAUUUUCUUUUAUUGAUUUUUGCAAAAUUAAAAUUUUAAUUAAUGCUCACAGAGCUUUGAGAGUGUUGAAAUCAGCUGAUAUCAUACUUUCGGAAGACACUAGGCACUCUGGGAAGUUGCUUCAGCACUACUGUAUUAAAACCCCACUUGUAAUUCACUGCUAAUUUAUGUGUUUUCUGUAGAAUAUUAGUUUGAUUUAUACAUGUAUUUGUGUGGAUUAUUUUCUGAUAUUGUGAGUUAGAUUUUCAGUUGAGUUAUCACAAAUUUAACGAGUCUCAACGAGAACAAAUAGUGCUGAAGAGAUUGCAAGAUGGUGAAAUUGUGGCACUAAUAAGUGAUGCGGGGACACCAGGUAUCAGUGAUCCUGGAAUGGAACUGGUGAGAUGCAUAUCAAUGCUGUGAUAUUCCAUUGUACACUUCACAUGUAGCAUUUGAAUGUAUUGCCUGUAUUUACCGUACGUGUACGAAUGUGAUAUCAGGGAUACUGGCCUCAUGUAUGGCAUUUUGAAAUAUGGAUGUAGGCAAAGUUGUGCGUGGAUAAAAAUAUACCUGUUAUUCCAAUCCCUGGGCCAUCUGCUUUGAUAGCUGCGCUUUCUGCGUCAGGUCUAUCAACUAAUGAGUUCACAUUUGGUAUUUUCUAAAACUUUGGUACUAGUGUCAAUUGCUCGAUUAUCGUGAUACAUUGUGUACAACAUCCAUGCAGUUGGCUUUCUGCCUAAACACACUGGAACGAGAAGAGAGAGGCUGACAGUGUCUGCAAAAGAAGUAACCACUCAGGUCUUCUUUGUUCCUCCUCACAAGCUCUCUCAAUUUCUUGAAGAGGCUUCUUCAAUUUUUGGUGACUUAAGGUAAAUCUUGUUGAGGACUGUGGUGCCAUUUGUAUCAAAAUUGCUGUAACUAUAAGUUUGAAGACUUUUCCAUUAAAACAGAUACUGUGGCAUUUGAGAUGUUUGAUGUUCCUAGUUGUAAUGAAAACUCAAGCUAUCUUUCACAUGUCGUGGUUCUUCAUUUUCUGUUCUGAGGGGAUUCUAGAACUGAUUUGCAUCUGGAAAAUUAAUUUCAUAGUGUGUACACUAUCUUUAUUUGUUCAUUUUUUUAACUAAGGACAUAUGCCAAUUCAAACUAGAUUGUAAACUCCUUUUCAAGUUAGUUGUUUGACUUGUCUCAAACGGGACACUUAAAAUAGUCCUUCCUGACUAAUAUUAUCCCUUUUGUCACUCGACCUCUUCUUAUUGCUUGCAAUAUCAGACAGCAAAUGAGAUUCCUACUUCAACAUUUUGAAUUCUUUAUAUUCUCAUCUAUUUCUGUAAGUGAAAAACUGAAGAGAUACAAUAUAUCAGAUCAUUGUCUAAUUCCUUUGAAUUUAUCACAGGCGAUGUGUCAUUGCUCGAGAGAUGACUAAAAUUCAUGAAGAGGUAAGGAUUGUAAUUUGUGAUUGGCCUAUGUGUUCUCAUUCAAAGUGCAGUUAUAGCAAUGGCCUGAUCUAGUUUUCGUUAGAAGAGUGGAAUUCAGUAAGAUGACAAAUUAUAAAUUUGAAAACUGAAAUGCAAUAUCCGUUGUUAAAACUGCAACUAGAAAAUCCAUUAUACCACACUUGAUUUAUGGAUUCAUGCCUGAUCUAAAUUGAAUUUUAACCAGAAGAACUGGAAAAGACUUAACGCACAACUUUUUUAAAUGUAGUAGAAACUGCAGUGGGUAAACUCUUCUCUUCCCCUCUCUUUUCCUGGAGGAACUCAGCAGUUGUUUGUUAAACUGUAUUCUUACUUGUUUGUGAACAUAAACCACAUAUGCCAUUGAGGAGCAACAUCUUAGACCUCCCCACAAACUAGUGAGCUCAAUCCUCUUCAGUAACUGUAGGCAAACCCCGUGGACCGGAAAUGGGAGAAAAUAAUAGCAGUUUUGUUGUAUGCUCUUAUUUCAUUAUGUUGGCAAUCUAUUUUGUGUUAUUUUGGUGGUUGUAGACUCUUUUGAUCUGUUAUGAAAAAAGUGGUGUUUCCUGCAUUAAAUCUUUGUGAGUUCAGAUUUGUAGUGUACACCCUCUAUCAAUGUAAAAUCCUUAGGGCGUCUUUGGUAUAAGGCGUGGAAUGUGGGACAAAUGGAAAGUAACAGGGAUGUUCUUUCCAUCCCUUUAGUAAGGAAGGAGAGUGGGAGGGAAUUGGAUUUGUAAUGUUAGACAGGGGGGAAGUGAAGGAGAUAAAAAUUUCAAGUUUGUGGAAAUUAUUAUUUUACCCUUCUUAUAUCCACAAAAGGAAAAUUUUAACAUAACUGUACCUUUUACUAAAAUGUUCUUUAGGCAAUCUAGGCAAAGUUGACAAGGAAAACCGAAAACAGAGUGUCUAAAUGGAACUCUCGCCAACUUCUAGCUUGACGAGAAUGCUUAGAUGAUUUGAAAUUUGUGCAAAAAGGAAAAGAAAGCAUCUAAAUGAACUAGAAAAUUCUUGUCAACUUUGUUGGUUUGACUAGAAUGCUUAUAUACGGUUCAAAAUUCGUGCAAAAAGGAAGAGAUAGAGUUUCUAAAUGGACAAGGCAUUCUUGUUAAUUAGUCUAGUUUGACGAGAAUGCUUGAUGAUUUGGAAUUCGUGCAAAAAGGAAGAUGUAGAAUUUGUUAACACUUUUGAAAGGAGAUGGCCAUACCUAAAAGUGGUGGAUAAACUUCUUUUGCUUACUCUUAAAGUGUCCUAUGAAGGAAAUUUCUUCUAUACAUAAUGAAGUUUUCAAGAUGGGUAAAAGAGUAAGUUUGUAAACUUCAACUAAAUGUUGGACAUGUUAAUGAUUGCAUCAUAAUUUUGUAUCCCAAUUCUAUCAUUAUUAAAUGGACUGUUAGCUUAUUAAUGGUUUUCCUCCACCACACUUGCCUAACUAUAUAUUUGCAAAGAUUCAAAACUGUCUUCAGUCUGAAGACAUUGUUAUGCUUUGUGUCCAUGAAUCCCAUGAACAAAUAGGUUGCGUAUAUAAUAAACUUGGGGUGAUGGUGAUCAUUUAACCGUUAGGAUACAGACACCUCAUCUUUUCUUGGUUAAGGUCCUUUUCAGAUCUCAACUAAAAUGUUAUGAGAACAAGUGGGUCUUACAUGGGAUGAAAUUUUUAAGGUGACUUGUAAUUUCAUUUUUUCCGCAUUUCUUUAUUUCCUUCAAUGUUGUGAUGUUCCGACCUCUUCACAUUUCAACAACUAUAAAACCUGAUUUACAAUAAUUACUCACUAUACAUUUCCAGAUGUGAAAUUUUGAUUCUUAGCCAAGGAAAUUACAAAUUCUAAUCACAAAGUCCACUCUGUAGAGUUGAGUGCAUGCCACUAGUCCUGUCCUUGAUUUUAGCACCCAUUAAUUGGGUUGUCAUUUGAAAGACAUCAUACGCCUUAUCAGAAUUAGACAUUAAUCAGUUAAACCAAACCUGUUACUAAAAUAGUGGAAUAAUUCCUUUCCUCUUUGACACAGCGGGAUGGGAGUAGCAGUUAUAUUUUACAUUGUUCAACAUAUAGUAAUUAAAUCUUUAGCCAUUUCUUCUGUUUGUGCCUGGAAGAAAAAGGGACAUGCAUAAACAAUUUUAUUUUGUGUGUGUUGGGUGGCGGGGGGGGGGGGGGGGGGGGGUUCAUGCCAUAUUUCAUAUAUACUAAUGGAUGCCAAACUAUCAGCUAGCUUGGCUUGGAUUAGCUGAUUUGUUAUAUUUUUAUUCAUUCUCGACGUAAUUCAAUACAAUAACGAUAAUUUUGCAACUAAAGUUUGAUUUUUGAGAAUUUGUGCAUUAUUUUGAUGCAUUACUUGAGGUCCUAUUGUUCUUUCAGAUUAUUCUUGGUGUAGUAGGAAUUUACAAGAAAAGGUUCCAAAAUAAUCUGUUAGCCAAUUGAAGGUGUUUAAUUAGUGUCUUGUUUCAUUAUAUAAUUUAUCAAUUAUACACACAGCUAACUGAAGAGUGAGGAGUUUAUAUAUUUAUAAUUAGUAUUCAAAAAGCGUAAAGUGGGACUAAGCGUGAAGAUUUGGCUUCAAACUUUACGAGCUUAGGCAAGGCUUAGUGUUACUUAUUUUUAUUUUUUUAAAUACUUAAAUCAUUCUAAAAAUUAUUUAAUUUAAAAUAAUACAUACCAAACAUGUAAAAUUAGUAAAUUAUAUAUUUACUUAAUAAUUCCUACAAUUAAACAAUUAUACAAUUUCCAAGUUUUCAAAAUGUAAAAGUUAAAUGAUUUUUCAUAAUCACAUUUCAACCAGACAAGUCAUAUUUGAUAGAUUUAUAGAAAUUUCAUAUAUGUUUUUGAAGUUUUCAAAAAUAUGAUAUGUUUCAAAAUCAUAAUUACAUAAUAUAAAUUGUACAGUAACUUAAAUUUUAUCUACAUAAUUAUGGGAUAAAGUCAUUUUAAGUUGAUUGCUUAAUUCACUCUUACUAAAGCAAAGCGCCCUUUUCCCACCUCCCCCUUAGACGGGCUUUUUAAAACACUACUUUAAUCCACAGAUUUUAAUGUAAAAUUCCCAUAUGUUAUUUGCUUAAUUCAUUCUUACUGCUAAGACAAAAUGCCUUAUUCCCGUCCUCGGGACAUAAUCCAGUGAUGUAAAGGAUAAGAGUGAGAUAGUCUUAACCUUAUUGGCGGCCACAGUAUGAGGAUUCGAUUCCUGAGAUAUAGAAUUUGAUUCUUUGUGGACACCAGUGUACGGGCAAGCUCCUGUUCUCUGACAUGUUGGGACAUAUCCUGUGAUUUAACUCCCUCACGAUACUCUAGAGACGGGACGAUAGGGUCCUUCAAACUUGGAGUUCAAAAUUUUUUUUUUUUCCCGAAAUGCCUUAUCCCCGCUUCGUGUUUAGACGCACGCUUUUCAAACACUGCUUAUUACGUAAUUCUGAGUGGAGUGUGUCAUGUCAACCUAGUUGAUUUCUCACGUUUUCAAUGACUUAGCUAUAUUAAUGUAUCUAAAGUCUUGCUCUUUAUUAAGGCCCCGUUUGGUAGGGAUUUUUUGCUUCAAAAAAUUAAUUUUUUGACCGUUAUUUUACUAUUCAAGCCUUAAUUUUUGACUUCUUCUCUCACAUGUGGACCCCACUUUUCUUCUAACGGUCAAAAAAUCAAUUCUCAAAAUCCCUACCAAACGGGCCUUAAAUGUAUAUUACUUUAUUCAAUUGUUUUGUACUUAGGGUGGCCCACGGUCUAUAAUCAGAGGUCACUCGAAGUACCACGUCAUUUCGACGGGGCCCGACAUGUUGACAUCUAUUUUGGCCUAAUCUCCCGGCCCCAGCAUUGUAAUUAUCAAUUUGUAGAUAAUUACUAAAAGUUGUUACUUGUUUGGAAGAGAUUAAAAUUUGAUUUUGAUUUAAGUCAAAAUUAAAUAAUUAAUAUUAAUCACAUUUUUUAUGGGUUUCACAACUUUUCAACUACACAUUUCAAAAAUUUCUAUUACAAUCCACUAAAAAAUAUAAUUUUAAUCACUAUCAAACACCCUCGACCAACUUCUCUCUUAUCGUAAGCAUCGUUAACCUAAUCAUAAUUUUGGAGGGGAUAUGAUUAAUUUUCAUAUUACAUUAUUUUUUCUAUGUAUUUUAUGAUUGAGGUUACAUCAUGAUGACAAGCUAUAGAAAAGGUAGAGCAAAGCUACACUUACAGAAAAUGGUGGCUACAAAAUUGGUAUAGAACACACAGAACACACACAUGCAGGGGUAAUUGGGUUUUUUUUGCAAUAUUUUAAUAUACGUGGGGUCCACCAUCUUGUGUCAAUCUGUAAUCUUUCUGCGAAAAAUUGUUCUAUACAUCCGGUUUUUUUCGAAAAGGUAGGUGAAAGUAUGCAAUUUAAUAAGCAACUUCAAUAAAAGGAAAGUUUGUUUAAUUCAGGUCUUCCUUUUACUGAUUGGAGUUUGUUUAGUUGAAAAUAACUUAUUUGCGCAAUAUUCUUUUGCAACUAAAAGGUCGAAAUUCAAUAAAUAAAUAGCCGAAUUUAGUGCAGCAAGCAAGCAACUCCUUUACAAGGAAAUUAUGUUUGAUUUUAAUUUUAUUAACUUACGAACAAUGUUCUAAAUAGCAUAAAGUCCGAUUAGAUGGUGAUGCCAUGUUUCAAACUUUUACGAGCCUAAAUGGAUCUAGAAGUAAAAAAAUGUAAAGCAUGACUAGACGACAAAAUCAAACUUUGGGCAAAAAUAAGAUCUUCACAACAACAAACACAUAAAGUCAUUAUAAUUUUGGUUUAAUGUUUCACAAUAAACUAAGUCACCAUUGUUAAUAUCUUAUUCUUAUAAGUGAUUUUGCUUCAACUAAUUAAACUGACAUAAAUAUUAAUUACAAUAUUACUUCUUUUUUUUCCCUAUCAUUUUCUCCCUCAGAUGAAAGGUUUGAAACUAUCAAUAUGUUUAUCUGCGUUUACCAAAAAUCACAUUCAGCAUAAUUUACCAAAAAUCACUACUGAUUUUAUCGUGCAUCGACUUCUGUAAGAGUGACAUUAUUCAAGGAAAUACUCCUCUUUUGUCUCUGCUGAG